Molecule: long non-coding RNA, 203543 nt
Filed under: Citrus sinensis (sweet orange)
Lineage: Eukaryota; Viridiplantae; Streptophyta; Magnoliopsida; Sapindales; Rutaceae
Description: long non-coding RNA (CSIN_LNC000050)
Source: RNAcentral
UGAAGCAAUCUCUCGCAAAAACAUUAACCCACUACUACCCUUUUGCUGGAAGAUUGAUUGACAGCUUUUCAGUCGACUGUAGUGAUCAUGGGGCUGCAUUUAUUGAAGCUAAUGUUGGCUGUGAUAUAUCAAAGUUUCUUCAACCACCAGAUAUGGAGCUGCUACAACAGUUAAUCCCACCUAGUCCCCAGUUAUCGAAUUUAGAUGUUUCUGAAAGAGAACUUUUGGCAGUCCAAGUAAAUUUGUUCAGCGGCGGUGAAAUGGCAAUUGGUGUUUGUUUUUCGCAUGGAGUGGCCGAUGGUUCAGCAAUAUUUAACUUCAUGAAAACGUGGGGCGAAAUCACUCGUGGGGUGAUUAAUGGUAAUGAUAAUAUUUGCAAUAACAAUGUCGUUUUAGAUUGCACCUCUUUGUUUCCGCCGGUAAAUUUUCCAAAGCCGUAUCAAAUCGUCACAAGCCCACAAUCUUCAGGCAACAUUGUGUUCAAAAGAUUGUUGUUUGAUAGCAAGAAGAUAGCAGCUCUAAAGGAGAAGGUGAAUAAAGAAAUAGGUAAAUUUAAUGAGCUACAAGCAACGCGUUUCGGGGUUGUAUCAGCACUCAUUUGGGGGGCCUUCAUUGCUAUAGCCCGUGAAAGAAAGAGGGCAAUUGACAAUAAGUUGUACUCUCAUGCAAUCUAUUAUACUAUGAAUUUGCGUAACAAGUUGAAUCCACCAAUGAUUCCACAAUGCAUGGGUAACAUUUAUCGGCUUGUAAGGGCAGAAUGGUCACUAGCCAAGGAUGAUGCCAUAGAGGAAACAAGUUUAUUAAGAGAAGUGAUCAAAGCAAAGAGAAUGGGAAGAGAAGUGAUGCAUAAUAAUGAGUACUUAGGUUUCAUAAAGGAUAUGAAAGAAACAUGGGAAGAUUCAAGGUCGUUUGGUUUAACUAGUGUGGUUGGAUUGCCCUGUUAUGAAGUUGAUUUUGGCUGGGGAAAGCCUGUUUGGUUUAGUGUCGGGCCGUUGUUAUUAAUUGAUCUUGCUAUUUUAACGAGCACAAGCGAUGGUGAAGGAAUAGAAGCAUUGAUGGUAAUGUUUAAGGAGGACAUGGAUAAAUUUGAACAGGAACCCAGCAUCAUGGCUUAUGCUUCCUCUAACCCCAGCAUAUUUAUAGGGAAGUAGGAACUUAAUUUUAUUUAUCUUGCUUUGAAUAAAAGAGUUUUUGUUUAUCUUUAACUUGAGUAAUGAUGAUAUGCUUGCAAAGUUGGGAAUGAGUUAUUGUACAAUAAUUGUAUCUUAUUUUCGUCAUAUUUCUUUUAAAUAUAAUCAUGCUGUAGAUAAAUACUUUCUUUCUAGAAAACCAACAACCAUAUUGAUGGUUAGGGAAAAUGAGGGGAAAAAACACUGAAUAUGAUGUAGUUAUAUUGGACAAGCAUAGCUGCAUAAAGAUGAUUUUGAUAUAUUUAAAAUGUGAAUCAACUCUGAAUUUGCCACAUAAUGUCAUUUAGUUUUUUUAUUAAGGAAAAUAUUAUCUAUGACCAAGAGAAUCGAGAAGCUUAGUUUGAGUGUAGUUCAGCAACUAGAAUGGAAGACACAAGAGCUUGCUUUGAGUUGAAUUCAGUAGAAGGAGCCUUGAAGCUUAGCUUGUGGCUUUGAGUUUAGUUUCUUCAGCUGGAUAGGAGAGCCUUAGGAGCUUGCUUUAAGUUUAGUUCAGCAGCUCGGCUGAAAGAGCCCAAAAGUUUGAUUUAAGUUCAAUUGAAGAGAGAGAGAGAGAGAGAGAAUAGUAGUGAAUAGUGAUAGGGAUGAAAUGGUAACGUCACCCAAUCCUAAGUGAUGAUGACAAUCAAAAUAAGUUCUAAUUUGAGUUAUUUGCUAUCACCAAUUGCUAUAAAUUAAUAAGCACUGAUAUUUGAACUCCAUCACAACAAUAUUAAGACAAAAAAUGGGGUAAUGUUCAUGUUAUAGUACCGCUGUAGCACAAAAAACGAAAGCACUGUCCAUCCUUCUACAUGUAAGCUAAACACAUGGUUAAAUACGCAUGAUGAAUAAAGGAUAUCAUUUAUCUCUAAUAUGAAUUUGGAUCUAGUGCUACAUUGAGUUGUGCUGAUUUUUUUUAAUAAUAAUGUAUAAAUAAAAUUUAACUAUGUAUUAUUUUUUAAUCAAAUGAUUACUAAUCAUAUUAUUAUAAAAAGUUCUGGACAAUAUUGAAUUCAAAUCCAUUAAAUAUAAUCCCUAACACUUGUGUUUUUUCGAGGUUAAUUAGGGGUUAAUAAUUUUUUAACCUUAUUAAUUGAUAAGAGUACUAGUAUUUACCUAGAAGAAUUUUUUAAUGCAGUAAUAAACCGACAUUAAAACCAUAUGGAUUGCCGUUAGUUGAAAAAAAUACAUUAAAUCCAUUUGAGAUUGCCGUCAAUUAAAAAAUAAUGGAAAAAAAAACACUUAAAACCAUAUGAUUUUACUGUUGAUUUUGUUACCAUUCUGAAACCUUUAUUGGUAAAUAUCAUUUUUCAAUUGAUCAGUAGCGGUGAUCACCUACUAAUAUCUAUAAAAACAAUCAAACCAUUAUUUGCCUCUUCACACUUCUUGCCGUACUACACUUCUUACACAAAAGUAAACACAUCGCAACUAUACAUCUAAUGGGGUAAACACAUCGCCUUUUAUGAAUAGCAAUCAAACUCAUCAAAGACAACUGCUAUUUAUUCCACCUUAUGAAUCCGCACUUCCAUUCACUUGUCAGAUAAAUUUGUAAAUGAAUAGUAAUAUUUGUUCCCUCAAAUUUAUCUCUUUCACGUAAUCUCAUUUAUUUUUAAGAUAAUUCUUGUAAAAAAAAAGCAGAAAUAAUAAUUAAAAAAAUUCUCUUCUCUGUCGUUUGCCUUUCUCUCAAUCUCUCAUCUGCUGUUAACUUCUAUGCUGUUGGAUCAGAAACAUAUUGAACUUAGAUAAACAUAACAAUGGCAAUUACAAAACAUUCAUAAGAUUAGAGAAAACCCAAGCCAUUUUAAAGCACCAUAACAUAUCUCUGCACCAUAGAAAUUCAAUUGUUCACGAUUCAAAAUAAACACCCUUGGAAGCAGAUAUAUUGGGCUAAAGUCAAAAGCAACAAAUGAGAGAGAAACGAAAAGAAAAUUACAAAAAGAAAAGUUUAUUUUCAUUUCAAAUUUCUUAUAAGGGUAAUUUUGUAAAUAAAUGAGUUUGAUUUAAAGUGAAGCCUGAUAAGAUAAUCUCGAUUUAUUGACUUUAAUGCUAAAAGUCAAAAUACAUUAAUGGCAAAUGGUAGACAAGUAACCGGCCAUUUUAGAACAAGCUCUCUAGGCCACUCUCUUCAAAAUUUUUAUAGGGAAAUUUAUAAAAAUAAUCUUAAAAUUUUUAUAAUUUUUAAAUUUAACCCACCCAAUUUUUUCCUAUCAUAACUAGCCAAACAUCUUAUUUUUUGACUAAAUUAUCCUCAUCAAUUUUGUCAAAUUUACAAAGGUAUGCCACUUGAGAAAUUCCAACACAACUAAAUGCUUUCAACCCUCAAUAACUUAACAAACCUUCAUCACUCCCAACAAACUUAAUCACUCUUAAUAAAUCAAAAAAUUCUAUCAAACAAGCAUUGCAUAAUUGAAGAUAUAAUCAACUACUUGGAGAGCUUCUUAAGGUUAGUGUAUGUUCUUACACUAUAUAAACUUUUAAUAUAUUGAUUUUAUCGACUAAGUUCAAAAUUAAAGUGAAUUUUGCUGCCAAUGUUAUUACUUUUCAUUAAUAAAAACAAAGUGGAUGGUUAAAGUUCUUAGUUUGAGUUGAGAAAUCAAGAUAAAUCAUUGAAAAUACUAAAAACUCGAGUAAAAAAUAAAACCCAAAACAAGUGAGACAUGCUAAUUUAGUGAGAUAGACAGUGGGACAGGUGCUUGUUUCAUAUAAACUCGUUGUGUUUAUGUGCGAUAGACACCUGUCCCACUGCCUGUCGCACAUAACUUGGUGAGACAGGCACCUGUCCCACUUGUUCAACAUGCUUGUCUCACCAAAUUAUGCACAACAUGUAGUGGGAUAGGUGCAUGUCACACAUAAACCCAUUGUGUUUAUGUGAGACAGGCACCUGUCCCACUGCCUGUUUCAUAUAAACACGCUUGUCUCACUAAAUUUCAAAUAUUUUCCGAAAGUCAUAACUUGAGCUACAUGUUUCCGUUUUAGGCUUAUAAUAUACCAUUUCGAAACUUGCGACAAGACAAAUCAAAUGCAACAUCGUAGACUCCAUUCUAUCACAUGGUCGAUUCAAAAAUUUACCUAAACUUAAGUGCGAUAGGCAUCUAUUGCAGCUAAGGGUAUAAUCACAUUAAUUGUGAUUAAUUGUGCAUAAUAUAUUGCUUCGACAAGUGUCCUGUGGUGAAAGAAAAGAAAAAUAUCAGUUAUGGUUUCAAGUUGGUGAUGAUUUGAUACGCUUAUCGAUUGGAGAGCAGUACCUAGUAACGGGACUUUGCUAUGGCAAAGAUGUCGUGCUGAAGAAGCAUAAAACAAUGCACAUGUUACUUAAGAAGUAUUUUGGCAAUAUGUGAACAUGCACGAUAGAUUGUGUUAUUAGACCUCGACGUUGUCUUCAUCGUCAUACUAUAUUCGUUAGGAUUUAUCUAAAAAACUUCAUACACUCAUACUAGAAAUUGAUCAAAAGUACAAUCUUUCUGAACUAAAAAGGUCGUAUUCUUGGCAUUCACGUACUCCAUACGGUCAUCUGCCAACGUCUCCCACCAAUCGCCGUAACAUAAUUGAAGCACAAUUGAAUCCAUUAAACCUAAAAAUUAUUAAGAAAACAAAAGAAAUAAGACUAAAUGAUACAAAAUAUGGUAAAGUGAAUAUGCACCACAUUUAUAUGGAUGUCGUACAUAAUGUGAUUAUGCGCUUAGAUGCAAUAGGUGCCUAUCACACUUAAGUUUAGGCAAAUUUUUGGUUCAACCAUGUGAUAGAAUGGAGUAUACGGUGUUGCAUUUGAUUUGUCUCAUCGCAAGCUUUGAAAUAGUAUAUUAUAUACCUAAAAUGGACACAUGUGACCCAAAUUAUGAAUUUCAAAAAAUAUCUAAAAUUUAGUGAGACAUGUGUGUUUAUGUGAGAUAGGCAGCGGGACAGAUGCCUGUCUCACAUAAACACAGUGGGUUUAUGUGCGACAAGCACUUGUCCCACUGCCUGUCGCACAUAAUUUGGUGAACAUGCAUGUUGAACAAGUGGGACAAGUGUCUGUCUCACCAAGUUAUGUGCGACGGGCAAUGGGACAGGUGCCUGUUGCACAUAAACGCAGCGGGUUUAUGUGAGACAAGCAGCUGUCCCAUUGCCUGUCUUACUAAAUUAGCUUGUCUCACUUGUUAUGUGUUUCAUUUUGUGCUCGUGUUGUUAGUGUUUUCAAUGAUUUAUCUUGAUUUCUCAACUCAAACUAAGAACUUUAACCAUCCACAUUGUUUUAGUAAUGAAAAAUAAUAACAUUGGUAGCAAAACCCACUUUAAUUUCGAACUUAGUUGAUAAAAUCAAUAUAUUAAAAGUUUAUAUAGUGUAAGAGAAUAAACUAACCUUAAGAAGCUUCCCAAGUAGUUAUCUUCAGUUAUGCAAUGCUUGUUUGAUGGAAUUUGUUGAUUUAUUAAGAGUGAUCAAGUUUGUUGAGAGUAAUGAAGAUUUGUUAAGUUGUUGAGCGUUGAAAGCAUUUAAUUGUGUUGGAAUUUAUCAAGUGGCGUGCCUUUGUAAAUUUGAUGAAAGAGAUGAGGAUAAUUUAGUCUAAAAAUAGGGUGUUUGGCUAGUUAUGAUAGAAAAAAAUUGAGCGGGUUAAAUUUAAAAAUUACAAAAAUUUUAAGAUUAUUUCUAUAAAUUUCUCAAAUUUUUAAAUGGCUAUUUUACCGACAUUUGGAAGCAAUGAGUCAAGCUUCCAUAAAUGCACCUUGACUUCAUUUCAUGCAUGAUGGCAUGCAAGACAAAUUUGGCUCCUUUAUUCAUCACGUUGGCAAUUAUCAUGCUCAUUUGGUGGCUUAUAAAAGUCAAGAUUAUCAAGCUCAAAUGGAGGCUAUUUCAGCGGAUUUGAUCCAAAUUAUUUGACAAUUGAAGGCUUACUUUGCCUUUAGACAGAGAGGGGUCUUGGAAAUGGAAGCUAGAGGAGUUGGAGUGUGAGUGCAGUUCUCAAACAAUUUAAGAACUUAGACUGAUUUGUGAGAAGUAAUUCUUUAACAUUUAAAAGAGUUAAAGUGUUCUCGAGUGAUUUGAGAGUUUGGGUGUAUUGAAACUUUAGGUUAUGAGAUAAAUAUUCAAUAUAUGUACUUUAUAUUUUUAUAGUGAAAUAUUCUUUUUUGUCUUCGCUUAUUGAAGUAGACUAAAACACUGAACUACUAAUGUCAUUUGUUUUUUGUUGCGAUAUAUAUAAUCUUGAAUUGUUGCAAUAGAUAAUUUGAGGCAGUCAAAUAUCAUCACUCCUUUGCAAAAAGUAUAAAAAAAUAUAAAAGCACAAAAUAAAGAAUAUUGAUAUUUGAACCCGCAUUUUAUCUCACUAACUCCACCUUUAAUUAACCCCACAAAAAUAAUGAUAUUUAAACCCACAAUGUAUCUCACUAACUCCAGCUUUUGAUUCUCCCCAUUUAUUUCUGGAAUUGCCCUAUUUAUCAAAAUUUUUCCCGAAUUUUUAUUCGCUUAUGAAGCAUCAAGUUUUCGAGGGCAAAAUAUGUUUAUGCUCAUCGUCAUCGAAGGCAACUUCAAUUAAAAGUCAUCAUUUUGUCAACUGCAUCAUAUCUUUUUGUUCAUUCCAGCUAUGACCAUCUAAUUCGGCAACUCCUUCAGCUGCCAUGCAGUUGACCAGAAAUGUAGAUGUUAUUAGCAUACCCACCCGUUGCAUGACUUUGUGAUUGUGAAAAAUCACACUAUAAAAGGCAUGAUCAAACAGUUUCUGACUCAAUCAUCAGCCAUCCAUGGACGAUUGACUUGGCCAGAUAAAUAAUUUUCAGGCUCUGUAGAUAAUGUUUCUGCUUGAACACAAGAAUAUGCAUAAAUCAUUCAUAAAUGAAAAUGUAUUGCUAAAGAGACUAAGGUCCCAUUUGAGAUUACCGUUAAAAUGUUAUAAGCUAUUUAUUUCAUAAGUUUUGAUAAACAAGAAAAAAAAUUCAGUAAAAAUGUGUUCAAUAAAUUUUUAAAAAGCUACUUAUUUCAUAAAUUUCUCCAUUUUGACAAUAAUUUUUAGAAGCAGGUAAAAGGUUGUUUUUCAUAGACUAGUUACUAAAUAAGCCAUCACAUCUUUUUAAAGCUUCUAUUAUAAAUUUAAUAUUUUAACAAAAUGACAACUAUACAAAUAAACGAUAAUCUAAACAUAUGUCUAUUUUUAUCUCGUUUUAAAAUUUACCAAACUCAUAUGAUCUAUUUUUCAAAUUCAUAGCAAUGAUAAUAACACAAUUUACAAAACACCAAGCUAUUAUUUUAAUCAGUAGCUUAUUUUCAUCUACAUAAUAGAAACAACUUAUUUCAUCAGUUAUCGUAAUCCCAAAAUGGCGCUAAGUGCAAGAAAAUGAUUAUUGAUGAAUUAUUUACUUUCCAAAGUUCUGUCGUCUUUUUCUCUUGAAUUUGAACAAGAGUCAGGGGUAAAAAAAUGAUAACUAAGGUAGUUUUGCAAAAAGUGAGGUUUAAUUGAGGGGCUAAAAAAUCAGUAUUCUCACACAUUACACAAUAGAGAUACAAUAAUUUAAUGUGAUUUAUAUUGAAUUGGCUGUAUACUAAUAAUUAGUAAAUUAUAGUUGUUCAAGCGGCAAUUUCAUUGUGUUGUAUAUUAGAAAAUAUCAAGGGAGCAAGAUAAUCAUGUAUGUUUCUCACAUUUACACUUAGGCCCCUAUUUUUUAAAAUUUCUCAGUACAACCCAUAUGUUAAAUAAACUGUAAUACAAAAAAAAAAAUUGUAUUCUUUUCUUAUUAUAAGUUUUGUUCUCAGUCAAAUAUAUAAUUUACACGGUAUUGAGUUGUUGGUCUUUUUCUAUCAUAAGCUCAGUGUCACUAAAGUCAAUGAUGUGGCUUGAUAUUUAGAAAUUAACGCCCAUUGCUCCUAGUUGUAAGUUGUUGGUUUUGUACAUGUUAACAACUCAUUUUCUUUUAACUAAGAAUUUUCAAAUUAAAAAGUAUAAAAGUUGUGUAUAUAAUUAAAAAAUAACGGGUUAUAUUCAUACUAUGAUAGAUGAUAAAUUAUUUUAAAUAUACAUAUACGUGGGUUGUCUAAAGACUAAAGGAGCAAGAGUCUAGCCUAAUAGUAUUGUAGUAAUAAUUUGAGGGGGAAAAACAUUACACUGCCUUGUUAGAUAGAAUUAGGCUAUUGCUUGAGAGAUUGAAGCAACAAGCAUUGUCCUUAAUUCUAGCCAUAAUUCCUAACCGUGCAUGUAGCAUUAUUUAUAAUAAUUAUUUAGUGAGCAUUGUCCAAUAGCCCAGUUCCAUAUUUCGUAUAUUCACUUCACAACUAAUAAAUUCUGUUAACAAGUAACCAUAGAGUAAGAUAUUUGGUAAUUGUCAUGCCACUAGCAUUCUCCUGUGAAUUUCCAAUAAUAGCAUCAUAUCUCGUUAGCGUGGUUUCAAAGAAAUAUUGACAUAGCUAAUCCAAUGUCUUAAAUACUUAAAAUAGCAAAACAAAAAGCUGAUGAUUCCUGCAAACAUCAAUCGAACGACGGAGAAUUUGUUGAAAAUAAAGAGAAUGAAAUAAGGUUUAGGUAGGGAGACAUAUUCAGCGUUACUUCUUGAAGAAUUAUACAACUAAAAAUAUUUUUAAAAAAAGUCGAUAUGAAAAGCAACAAUUACCUAACCCUUAUUAGUUGGCUCUGGACACGCGGAAGUUGUUGACGAGAAUAAUCAGAGAUAAUAGAAACAAAAUUAUAAAUCAAAAUGAUUGGUUAUUGUCUCCAUUUUUAUAAAUCAUUUAAAAUAUUGAUUAAUUGACGUCAAGAUUGAUUGACUCAAAUCUUUAUAAAUGAAAAUAUUACAUCAGUUGUAUAAUUUUAAUUUUUAUUUUUUCAUACAUUGUGUAAAUUCAGCGUUUAUGUUCCUGGAAAUUUAGUUUAUUCAUUUCAUCAAUUGAUUACUCCAGUAUAAACGAAUUAGUUUAAAAUACUUUAGAUUCUUUUAAGCAAUGGACAUAUGGGGCUGUUUGUUUGUUUGUUUUUUCUAACUUCAUGAUUUAAUUGACUUAAUUUCAAUUAAUUAAGUCAUUGAGAGGGCGUUUGUUUUCUAACUUAAUGAUUCAAAGUGACUUAUUAAUUAAGUUAAGUAGAGGGCGUUUGUUUUUAUAACUUAAUUUGAAUUUUUAAAUAAUUUUGACUUAAUUAAAAAAGUUAAUUUUUUUUUGGGUUUUUAUGACUGGAGAAGUUUGAAUCAGCCAAUUGAUUUCUAAUAUUAAAAAUAUCUCUAAUUUAUUAUUUAUUUUUCAUGCUUAUCCUAAAACACACCCAUACAUGUUUAUCUACUAAUAAUCUCAUCUUUAUUUUUUCCAGCUGCUAUGAAAUCCCUCCCUACUUUACUUCUCUCAUCAAGUUCUUGAAUUUCUCAUUAUCGUUAAUAAAAGAUUUUAUUCUUAAAAUUUUUAUGUAAUUAUAUAAUCAGUUUUUAUUAAAAAAGAAAUUUAUAUGUUAUAAUUUCAAAAUAAUUAUAUAUAUAAAGCUUAGGAAAAGGAUACAAAACUCUCUAAUGUCUCAAAAAAGACUUUUAAACUCUAAAUUAUUAAUGGAUUCAAUUUUUUUAAAUAAUUUAAAGGUUAAUAUGAUACAUUCCAUAAUUAAUAAUGGGUGAUGAUAGUUGAUGAAGAAGAAGAAGAUGACAUUGAAUAAGAUGAGCAAUUAGGAAAAAGGAGAUAAUAAACUGAAUUUCAACAGUAAAAUUCCAACCAUUAUAAAUAAGGGUGUGUUUCUAAUUCUAUUAAUAAUUUAUGGGCAAAAUGGAUUAGUCAAUACAAUUACUUGUAUUUUAGAGGAAGAUAAUGGUAAUCAUAAGUUGAAAAUAAUUUUUCUUGUUAAAAUUAACAGAAUCCAUUAACAAAUUGGGGGUAAAUGUUUUUUUAAACGUUAGAGAGUUUUGUAUCCCUUUCUAUAAAGGUUUGGGGUGUAUCAGUCAUUUUCUCUAUUAUUUCCUUGACAUUCGAAUUUAAUAAGGAUACAAAUGUAAAAGUACACAUUUUUAGUUUUUAAGUUAAAAAAAAAACUUAAUACUUUUUCAAAGAUUGAAAAAAAAAUUAUUUAAAUUCAGACAUCCUAGUCUAUUAAAAUUUCAUAGUAGUUCAAGUCUAUUUAAAUUUCAAAUAAAAAAAUUCCAGCUAAAUCCGUUUGUUUUUUCAACAUAAUGAAAAUUUUUAGUUAUUAAGUCAUUAAGUCAUUAAGCCAACUUUUUAACUUUUUGCUAAGCAAAAAAGAUGCCAUUAAAAUAUAUCUUCCAAAAUAUCCCUAUCUAAUUAAUUAAUUUUCAUCCUUACCUACUUACCUAAAUAAAAUUUCAUCCUUACCUAAAUAAAAUUUAAUAAUUAACAUUAUUACCCAUCUCUAUAACUUGUGAUAAUAUAGCGGUAGGUGACUAUUAUUUUUAUCCUUUUAUUUUCUUCAAAUUAGCAUAAUUAAUCUUCAUGAUUUUUUUGAAUAUUUUUUUAUAUAAAAAUAUUAUGAACUACAAUUAAAUUGAUUAACAUGUACUAAUUUAGAGUAUAAAGGGUUGUACUCAAUUAAACAUGAUUUAUGUUAUGGUAGCAUUCUAUUUUAUUUAAGUUCUUUGAGGUGUUUAUUAUUUAUUUAACAUUUUGUAAGGGCACAAAUGUAAAAAUAUCAAUUUUCAAAUUUUGUAAGUUAAAAAAAUAAACGACUUAAUAUUUUUUUUUAGCAAUUCAAACGAAAAAAUAUCAUUCAGAUUCAAACAUCCAAUUCUAUCACAAUUUAUACUAAUUCAGAUUUACUUAAAUUUUAGAGAAAAAAAAAAUACUUGUUUUUACACUUAGAGCUAAUGUAUUGUCAUAAAUAGAAUUCUCACUAAAAAAUCAGGUACAGAUUGAAGAUAUUUAAACUUUAUGUUAAGUCCAUUAUUUAUAGAGUUGACAUUUUAUGGCAAGUCUAAUUAAAUUGGAAGUUUAUUUAUUGCAUAUCUUGUAAUAGGGAUUAAUUUAUUAAUUCCCUAAUUUAGUGAGAUUCCAAUUUAUUAGGAAUGUUUGUUUCUUAAUUUAAUUAAAUGUCUAUUUUAGCAAGUCAAUUAAUAGUGGGAUUCUAUAAUUGGUGCAUGAGAUCUAUUUAGAGUAAGAAGUUGGUUCAAACAGAAAGUCAUUAAAUGCUCUAGAUAUUUCUUAGGAGACAAGUAAGGCAAGAAGAUCAGAUUUAAUCCUAUUCAGAUUCAUGGGAAUUAUAAGAGAAAAGAAACUCUUAUUUGGAAAGAAUCCAAAUCUUUUAAGACUUGCUAUUUUGGUGAAUCCCUAGUGCCUAUAUAAAGAGAGGUAUUUCACAAUUGAAGUUGGAUCGCACAACACAAAGUAUAAAGCAGAGAAGCAAAAUUUGGCCUCCUCCCUAGAGAAUCCGGAUUUGGCGCAUAAUGUUGUGUUGAUUUGUUUUCUUACCUUUUUUUCAUCUAUGUGGAGAGUCUAUGUGGAUCUUGGAUCACUAGACAUUGAAGAAUUAAAUAAUUGCUAUUGAUCACUUUGCGAAGUGCCUUGAAGAUCGUGGAUCAAGAGGGGUAGCAAUUAUUCAAGAGAAGCAGAUUCAUUCUAAGGUUGAGUAAAUUGUAUGGUGAUAAACUGUAAGUGAAAGUCUUAAGUUUGGUAAAUUCAUAGGUUGUAAUAUCUCAACUUAGUGAAUUACUUUUCAUCUUGGCGUGGCCUUGUGGAUGUAGGAUUGAUUAAUCCGAACCACGUAAAAAUCUCCGUGUCAUUUAUUUUCUGCAUUUUAUUGUGUUUUUGAAAAAUUAAUAUUUUCUAUGCGGAUGAACAGUAAUCGGAAACAGUAAACGUAAAUAGUAACUGUGAAUAGUUGCGGUGAACAGUAAUGGUGACCAGUAACAGUGAAAAGUACUUCCGAAAAAAUUAAGUAAUUAAUUUUUUAUUUUUAAUUGCCUACUUCUAUUGUCGAUAGAUCUAAAUUCUUUUCACUUUAGAUUUUGAAAUAUCCAAAGAUUAGAGACCAAAUUUAUUUAUCAUUAAUGGCAUAUAUUAUUAAGCAAUAAUCCUAUGCAAACAACAUCAUCUUAUUUUUAAUGAGUCAAAUGGAAUAGAGCAAUGAGCUUUUCGUCAAAUGGACCAAUCAGAUUAUUCCAAAAUGAACAAUGUAGAUUAAUUAAAUGAGUAAUGAUACAGUCACAAACUCUUAUACAAACUUAUCUUGUACAAACGUAUGUGAUGAGCAUAAUUUAUAUACAUAUUUUACCGUUUAUUAUCUAAUUACUAGUUAUUUUUAUUUGAUAUUUUUUAAUUUAUUGAAUUAUUUUAUUGCAUAAGAAAUUAAUUGGAGAUUGGAAAUAAAAAGUGUAAAAAUAAUAACAAUUUAAGAGAAUAUCAGUUGAAGCCGUGACAGAGUUAAGAGCCAAGAGCAAUUUGCAUUGAAUUUCAAUUCUCCAAUUGAGUUGCACGUGCAUGGCAUUGCAAAAGUGGAAAGCAAUUUAAAUGGGGCCCACACUGGACUUUCAAAAGUGGAAUUAAUGGCUUAUGGUGGCGUUAUUAUGGAAGCUUUGUUUUAUAAUUGGAAAAGGAUUUUAAUUAGUAGACAGAGGAUUCGGUGGCUAAGCAUUAUAAAAAGAGAGUUUUGGCUUUUGAAUGGGGGGCCGCCAGAGGACAAAAACAAAGGUGCAGACGCAAGGCUGGAAGAGAGCAUUCGGCAGCAGCAUCAAUUCGCCUUCCAUGACUGAUUUUAUUUCUUGUAUUGCUCUCAAUUCAAGUAUGUCUAGUUAAUUUUUUUAUACUGAGGUUAAUGAUAAAAUCUUGUUCAAUGAAAUAAUUAUCUUUUUAAUUCCCUAUAUAUGUUCUUUAAUGAUUAUGAUUUUUAUUUCACAUGAUUAAUUGGAUGUUAUUAAAAUCUUUUCAUUAAUUCUGUCAUACAUUAUUGAUUGUUAGGAUUAAUAUUUGAUUAAAUCUAUACUUGGAUUUAUAAAGUUUAUACAUGAUUAUCUUUGAUUCUAUGUCUUUUAUUAAAUUGUUUACAUGGAGUGCUUAGGAAACUUUGACUCUUUGUUAUUCAAUAUGUUUACAUGAGCUUCUUAGAAGUCAUACUAUUAAGCAGAAAAAGAACCUACACAAGAUUAAUUUUAUUUGGGCUUAAUUAUUAUAUCUAUGAGAUGACAUAGAUUGAUUUCAAGUUGUCACUCUAAAAUUGGGGAUUAAUUAAUAAUUAGAUAAUUACUAGUUGAAUAGUGGUGGAUUCUAAAACCUUGGUAAUUUUUGUCUUAUUGAAAUUUCAUUUACUUUAAUUGUUUUCUUAGCUUAAUUAGUUUAAUUUCUCUUAAAACUCAAUUUGCUCAACUAGGUUAGAAUUAAUACUAAUUUUAGAUUUAAAUUAGACUUUAUAACAAUCCAUGUUGGAUCGACCUCGUUACCACUAUUCUAUCUCUAGAUUCGUGCGCUUGCGAGUAUAUUAAAAUUUUCAUAAGUUUUUGGCGCCGUUGCCGGGGAUUGUGCUAGAAAGUCAGUUUAAUCUAGGUUAAUUUGAUUCUUCCACUAGUUAUAAUUUAGGCUGUCUUUUAUUUUAUUUAUUCAAAUUUUUAUUAAAAAAUACAAAAAUUUGUUUAAUUUUGAAUUUAUUGUUUAGUUGUUUGAUUUCUUUUAUUUUAAUUUUGUUUAUUUUAAUUAUUGUUGUUUUAUUUUUCUUCUUUGUCUAGUUAGUUUAUGAGUGUUUGGGAACGUGAUUCAACAAAUUGUUUGGUUAAAAGAGAGUCGAAAAUUGAUAGUAGUCAAGUUAGUUCUUCUCAAGUCAUGGAUGACCUAAAUAGAUUAUUGCCAGUACUACCACCAGUGCAAGCAGAUAAAACCCUUAGAGAAUACUUUUCACCACUUGUGGCCAACCAACCAUCUUGUAUUGUGUUGCCACAAACUACAGCGACACACUUUGAACUUAUGCCCUCAGUCAUUCAACUUAUACCAUCUUUCCAUGGGUUAGAGAGAGAGGAUCCAUAUUUGCACAUUAAGGAAUUUCUUGACAUAUGCUCUACAUUCCGUUUUCAAAUUUUUAAUGAUGAGUCAAUUAGGCUUCAUAUGUUCCCUUUCUCAUUAAAAGACAAAGCAAAAGCUUGGUUGAAUUCGCUUUCUGCUGGGUCUAUUACUACGUGGGAUGAAUUGAAUAAUAAGUUCCUCACCAAGUUUUUCCCUAUGUCUAAAGCAAAUGCCCUUAGGAGAGAGAUGAAUGAUUUUUAUCAAAGAGAGGGUGAGCAAUUUUAUGAGUGUUAGGAAAGAUUUAAUGAUUUACUCCUUAAGUGCCCCCACCAUGGUUUUUAGAAAUGGAGACUUAUACAAUGCUAUAACGAUUUAACCAUGUCGAAUCGUCAUAUGGUAGAGUCUAUGAAUGGUGGGAGAUUUUUGAACCUACAUGAAGGGGCUGCAUGGGAUUUCUUUAAUUCACUUUCUGAGAAUUCUCAACAGUGGAAUUUUUCAAACCAAAGGGAAAAAUCAUCUCAAGUUUCUAGAAAGGGGUUAUAUGAAGUUAAGGAUGAUUUUGACGUGAAAUCCACUCUAGUUACACUUUCUAGAAAAGUAGAUGCCUUAGCUCUGAACCAAUCAAUGAAUCAUCACCCUAGUGUAGCUAAUGAGGUUUGUGCUAUUGGUUCUAACUUGUUUCAUACAAUACAGAAUUGUCCAUCAUUACCAGUCUAUCCAGAGGCUUAUUCUGAGUAGGUACAUGCCUUAGCCCAAACAUAUAUAAAUAGCUAAAGCACAAGUCUGCUGUACGGCCAAGGCGGAUGUACGGUACAGCAGGGAUACACUUCAAAGUUUCAUUCAGUCAACCCAACAAGCUUUUCAGUCAAACACGCAAGCUAUUUUAAAGCUUGAACAUCAAUUGAGUCAAUUAGCAACUACUAUAGCGGAGAGAGAAAAAGAAAAAUUUCCAAAUCAACCAGUUCCUAAUCCUAAAGGAGUGCAUGAAGUUGGAUUAAUGAAAAUACAUCGUGGUAUUAUAGAGGAUGUGUUGAUACAAAUUGACAAAUUUUAUUAUCCUAUUGAUUUUAUUGUUAUCGAUACCCAGCAUGUACAGGAUCCUCAUAAACACACCUCAGCUAUUCUAGGUCGUCAUUUCUUAACUACAACUGAUGCUCAUAUUAGUUACAGGACUGGAAACAUGGAAUUGUCUUUUGGUAACAUGACCAUGGAAUUAAACAUUUUUAAUGUUCCCAAGCAAGCACAAGAAGAUGAUGAAGUUGUUGAAGUACAUAUGAUAGAAGCAUCAAUUGAUGACUCACUUAUUUCUAACCACUGUGACAAUCCAUUAACACCAUGCACAACUAACUCUAAUUUCUCUGUUGAUGUUGACAGUGGUAUUGAAGAAGUUAAUACUUUACUUGAUUCGACUCUUAUUCUAGAUCUAAUUAAGUGGAAAGAAAAGAUUGAGCCACUUCCUCCUAAAGAGAAAAUUGAACCAUUCAAGUUGGAGCUACUUCCUAAAGCAGGUCACAUUCUGACAUGAAAAAUGUGCUAAGAUUUAAAGUGCUUAAAUUGUUAGAUUUUUAUACUACUUCAGAUACCUCGCAGGUAAGCUUGGAACAGAAGAAAUCAAAGAAGUGCGAUAUUAAGGAGUUUCAUUACCAUCAUCCUUUUAUGGAUAAAAUGCUCAAGUGCUUAAUCAAUUAUGCUUUCUGGUAUUUUCUGUAUAAUUGCUUUGAUUUUCACCAAAUUUUUAUUGAUCCUGGUUAAUUCAUUGUUUACAUUAAGUAGUUAGUUAGUAGGAUUUUUUUUAUUUUGUUUUUUUUUAUUUUCUUAUUUAUAUUUCUUGUAACGUGUUAUUUUUAAUUGUCAUUUAGUUUUAAGCUUUCCCAGCCCAUCCAGGUGUGUUCUAUCCAAUUUUCUUUUUUAUUAUUUAUGUUUUUAUUUUUAUUUUUUUAUUUUAUUUUUCAUCUUUUUGCAUGCAUAUCUUUUGUUUUUGAAACAUUGAGGACAAUGUUCCGAAUAAGUUUGGGGGUGGGAAUAGUGUGUUCUUUGUUUGGUUGUUAUUAAAAAAAUAAAAUAAAAUAAAAAAAUUUCAAAAAUUCAAAAAUUCAAAAAAUGUUUUUUUGUUUUUAUGUGAAAAGCCAAUGAUAAAAACUUGAUUGAUAAUGAAUAUGGUUUUUAGAAAGGGUUGAAUAUUGUCUUAGUUUAUACUUGAUUCUUGUGAGUUCCUCUUGAUUGAGAUUCUUUACACAUCAUGAGCACUAAUAUCAGUUCUUUCAUGAUUUUCACUUGAAAUUUGAGAUUGACACAGCCUGAGUUGAGAAUUUUAGAUAGAGUAAAUGACUGUUUGUCUUGAUUCUUAUCUCCACAAUACAAAAUAGCAUACGCAGGUGCCAGAGUCAGAAAUAACCACCUAUAACUCUUAAGAGUGAAGCUAUCCUUGAGUAAUUUGGGCCUAUGUACCACAAGUAUGUAGAGGAUAAUCUACCAUGAGAAGAAGGCUACCUUAAGGGGUAGAGUGAAAGCUCCUAACUAUGGUUAAAAAGAAAAAAGAAAAAAAAAAUCAAGUGCAUGUGCUGAAAAAAAAAAUCAAAAGAAAAUGCACAUAAAAGCAUGUGAAAAAAAAAAUGGAGAUUAAGAUGAUAAGAUCUGUUUGACCUACUCUUUUCUUUGUUUGAGGCGAAGGCUGUUGAUAUUGAAGAUUUUGGGAAUGAAUUUGAUUGAAUUGAUUUCACACACAUACUACAAGAAUCGAAAGAGAGAUGGGAUUGAUUAUUGAAUUAAAGUUAGAACUUUGCCAAUAUUUGAAAUUUUCUUUGAGCUAUAUAAUUUUUGCAAUCUUUAAGGCUAUUUUUCAUGUUUUAUUUAAAGUUUUUUGUUCUUUUAAUUUAAUUUAAUUUUUUUAAAAUGAUGUUUGUGGGUAUCAUCACUGAAGCCCUCACGAGACUAUAACUCGUCCACUGAGGCCGCCUAGGGGUUUAAAGGUUUGUUGCAUACAAUAAAUGCAAUCGCAAUCACCUACGAAAGUGGUUUAGUUAGGAUUUACUUUUUGUUUUGUUAGUUUUAUUUUUGUUUUAAGUUUUAGUUUUGCUCGAGGACUAGCAAAAUCUAAGUUUGAGGGUAUUUAAUGAGCAUAAUUUAUAUACAUAUUUUACUGUUUAUUAUCUAAUUACUAGUUAUUUUUAUUUGUUAUUUUUUAAUUAAUUGAAUUAUUUUAUUGCAUAGGAAAUUAAUUGGAGAUUGGAAAUAAAAAGUGCAAAAAGAAUAACAAUUUGGGAGAAUAUUAAUUGAAGCCGUGACAGAGUUAAGAGCCAAGAGCAAUUUGCAUUGAAUUUCAAUUCUCCAAUUGAGUUGCACGUGCAUGGCAUUGCAAAAGUGGAAAGAAAUUUAAAUGGGGCCCGCACUUGACUUUCAAAAGUAGAAUUAAUGGCUUAUUGUUGCGUUAUUAUGGAAGCUUUGUUUUAUAAUUGGAAAAGGAUUUUAAUUAGUAGACAAAGAGGAUUCGGUGGCUAAGCAUUAUAAAAAGAGAGUUUUGGCUUUUGAAUGGGGGGGCCGCCAGAGGACAAAAACAAAGGUGCAGACGCAAGGUUGGAAGAGAGCAUUCGGCAGCAGCAGCAAUUCGCCUUCCAUGACUGAUUUUAUUUCUUGUGUUGCUCUCAAUUUAAGUAUGUCUAGUUAAUUUUUUUAUACUGAAGUUAAGGAUGAAACCCUAUUCAAUGAAAUAAUUAUUUUUUUAAUUCCCUAUAUAUGUUCUUUAAUAAUUAUAAUUUUUAUUUCACAUGAUUAAUUAGAUGUUAUUAAAAUUUUUUCAUCAAUUAUUAUUAAAAUCUUUUCAUUAAUUCUGUCAUACAUUAUUGAUUGUUAGGAUUAAUAUUUGAUUAAAUCUAUACUUGGAUUUAUAAAGUUUAUACAUGAUUAUCUUUGAUUCUAUGUCUUUUAUUAAAUUGUUUACAUGGAGUGCUUAGGAAAUUUUGACUCUUUGUUAUUCAAUAUGUUUACAUGAGCUUCUUAGAAGUCAUACUAUUAAGCAGAAAAAGAACCUACACAAAAUUAAUUUUAUUUGGGGUUAAUUGUUAUAUCUAUGAGAUGACAUAGAUUGAUUUCGAGUUGUCACUCUAAAAUUGGGGAUUAAUUAAUAAUUAGAUAAUUACUAGUUGAAUAGUGGUGGAUUCUAAAACCUUGGUAAUUUUCGUCUUGUUGAAAUUUCAUUUACUUUAAUUGUUUUCUUAGCUUAAUUAGUUUAAUUUCUCUUAAAACUCAAUUUGCUCAACUAGGUUAGAAUUAAUAUUAAUUUUAGAUUUAAAUUAGACUUUUCAAUUUAUAACAAUCCCUGUGGGAUCGACCUCGUUACCACUAUUCUAUCUCUAGAUUUGUGCGCUUGCGAGUAUAUUAAAAUUUUCACAACAGUCUGUGACAUAAUAAAAUUGGUUGAAUUAAAUAUCUCUUGGCCCACAUGAUUUAUUUUUAUUAUUUUUUAUUUUCAUUCAACCAAUGAAUUAAUACCGCAUCCAUUUGUACAAGAGUUUGUGGCUAUAUCAUCACUCUAAUUAAAUAAUAUUACAAAAUACUAUUUGCUUAAAGGCUUAGAUGGGGAUGAUGGAUGAGAAAUCUCACCCUCUAAAUACCAAUUUUUCUUCCUAUUAUUCAAAUUUAGGUGACCACAGGUCUAUAUUUACAAGCAGCCAAGCUACACCCAAGAGGCUAAUUAAUCUUUUCCUUAAACUCAACUUUUGAAAUUAGUUACCAAUUUCUACUUUCUUGAAUCAUUUUACUUGGUGUUUUAUCAUAUCUUACGAUGCAGUAUCGCCGCUAUAUCUUUUCCCAAAGUUUAAUUUAAUGGAGGAAAUCUGAGAGAUAGAUUCUUCAAAUCUAAUAUUUAUGACAUUAAGCUUUUAAAUUCAAUAUAAAAUCAAAAUUCGCAGUCACCUAUUCUCCACACAAAGCAAAGAAAAAUUUCUAGAGCAAUUUACUUGCUCCAUCUUUUCCCCAGAAUACACAAAAUUCUAUCAAAGAUUUACAAAAUAGACAUGGCAUAAGAACUUCUGUCAUUUGCUCUACCAAAUUUGACAUUUAUCACUAAAGAUUAAUGUGCCUUACAAGGAGCAAAAUCCAUCGAUCUCAAGAAACAUCCCAAUAUUGAGAGAAACAAUAAAUUUAUUUGAGUAAUCGUGCCAUCAUCGACUUAGCGAUAUACCAGAUUCACUUCCAUGGAAAGUCUGUCAAAUUUUGUAGUUGAUUCUCUUCGCUGUCAUCCAGGCCUUUGGAAAUGAAUCAAACGGUGGCUGGGAUUCCAAUGUUUUGACUACAAUGCUGCUCUACUGGGAGCUUGCAUUGUCAACUUUUUUAAUUAUAGCAUGUGUAUAUUUGACUUUAAGUUUUGUGUUUAGAGCAUAUAACAAUCCAUAGGUUGUGAGUCAGAUGUAUAUGUUGUUUGCUUGUGUCAAUACAUACUUAUUUUGAAUGAAAGAGUUGUUAAUUGUUAAUUAUAUUUCUUCUCUCUUGUUUUUUUUUUUUUGUCAUUUUUCCGAUUAAUUUCUUACUAUGUUAAAUGAAAAUAAGGUUUCUUUGAUAUUAAUGUGGAAGUAGGAAUUCUUGAAUAAUUUAUUUGUGAAAUGUUAAUUUUUCAAUUUAUUUUGUUACUUGUAAAGUUAGGAGGUGCGUAAAUGAUAAACUAAUUUUUUAGCCCUUUACCUAAUUAGAAUUUAAAUAAGCAACUUUUGAAUCCUUCACAUACACAUUUAUGUCCUUUUAUAUAAUUCAAAUUUCAGUAAAAGUGUCAAAAGUUUUUUUUUUUUUUGGGUUAAAUUUCACAUCCCAUCCUGUACAUAAACACCAAUUAGAUAAAUUUCUUUUCCAUAAGCCGCAUCUAGUUGACUACAUCACCGAGCCAUUGACCAUGCUAAGAUGUUGACCGGUCAACAAUUGACCAUUGACUUUGAGAGUCAACUUUCACAAAAAAAUUUAAUUUUUUGCUCUAAAUCUCUCCUAAAGUUUUUGAUGUUAUGGAUCUAUACGUGCAUUCAUAAUCUCCAAAUUCUCACUUAAUUUGUGAGUUAUGGAAUGUGUUGUUCCAUGAUCCACAAUUAAAGGGAUCAAAAUGGAGUAUCAAAAUGAUGGCUCUAUUAGGUGCACGUGAUGUAUAGGUGCACGUGAUGUAUGUGAAGUUGUAGAGAAAUGUUUUACUGUACUAGAAGAUGAAGUUACUUUAAUUGCGACACAAAAGAAGAAUUUGAAAGACUUGAAAAUGAAAGAGAAGAAAGAAAAAUAUUUCAUCUUUCAAACAUUAAAUAAAGAUGCUUUUGAACAGAUUUUUCAACGCUACCUCCUUAAAAAAAGUAUGGGAUAAGUUACAGACCUCUUACAAAGGAGAUGAAUAAGUUAAGAAAGUUCAUCUCCAAAUAUUAAAAAAAGAAUUUGAAUCUUUUCAUAUGAAGGUAUCUAAAUCUAUUUCGGAUUAUUUUACCCAAGUUGUGAUUGUUGCUAUGAAACGAUGAGCAACUUCAAGAAAGGUUGCAAGCCUACAAAAAAUAUAUGAAAGAAGAAGCAUGGGAUUGAAGAACAACUCCUCAAGAUGGAAAUCAAUUCGAAGAAGAGAGAAGAAAGCUCCGUCAACAGGAAAAACCAAUAUGUCCAAGUUAGAGGCUAAGGAUAAGGUAGAGGUUGUGGUCAAGGACUAGACAGGAAUUUCAACACCAAUAACUCUAGUUAUGAAAGAGGAGAAUGCUCAAUCAGAAUAUGAGGAAGAGGCAACCCAAGAUUGAGGUAUGACAAAUCCUAAGUAUAGUGCUACAAUUGCUAAAAGUUUGGCCAUUAUGCUUUUGAAUGUUAAGACUCCCAAUAAUAAAGUUGAGGAGAAGAACAAUUAUAUGGAAGAGAAGACUGAAGAGAAUAAAACAAUACUACUAGCAUACUAGGACAAUUAUAGAGGUCACAAGUGCCUAGUAUCUUGAUACUAGUGCGAGCAAUCAUAAAUAUGGAAGAAAAAAUGUGUUCAUGGAGCUAGAUGAAUCAUUAAAUAGCAAUGUAUCAUUCAGAGAUGAUUCCAAAGAAUAGUGAAAAGGAGAGAUAAAAGCCUUAAUUGUUUAAAAAAAAUGGAAGACAUCAAUUUAUUUAAAAUGUUUACUCUACGCCCAAUAUAAAAAGAAACAUCUUGAGCUUAGGUCAACUCUUACAAAAAGGCUAUAAUAUUCACAUGAAAGAUCAUAGUCCUUUUAUAAGAGAUGACAAAAGAAACUUAAUUAUGAAGGUGAAAAUGUCAAAAAAUAGAAUGUUCUCUUUGAAUAUUCAAAAAGAUGAUGUAAAGUGUUUAAAGACUUGUUACGAGGAUGCAUAUGACUUUGGCAUCUUCAAUUUCGGUAUCUCAAUUUUAGAGGAUUGGAGUUACUAUCUAAGAAGAAUAAUAGAAUAUGGUGAAAGUCUUACCAUGUAUUAAUAACCCUGAUCAACUUUGCGAAGGAUGCUUAGUAGAAAAAUAAUUUAAAGAAAGCUUUCAAAAAGAGUCAAACUUAAGGGCAAAAAGGGCGCUCGAGUUUAUUCACUCAAAUAUUUUUGUUCCAAUCAAGCCAAGCUCCCUUGGUAAAAAUAGACACUUCUUUCUCUUCAUAGAUGGUUUUCCAAGAAAAGCUUAGGUAUACUUUUGAGGUAAAAGUCAUAAGUUUUGAAACUUUCAAGAAGUUCAAAACUGUAAUGGAGAAAGAAAGUGGAUACCUAAUUAAAGCCAUAAGAUCUAUCGAGGAGGAGGAUUCACUUCUAAAGAAUUUCAAGGCUUUGUGAAGCAAAUGAAAUUCAACGUCCUUUGACUAUUCCACCACCCCCCAAUAAAGUGGUAUCCCAUAAAGAAAGAAUAGAACCAUUCUCAACAUAUGCAAGAAAUAUGAUGAAAAAUAAGAGACUGCCUAAAUAAUUAUGGGCUAAAGCUGUUACUUGUGCGGUCUACCUAUCUAACAGAUCUUCAACAAGUCUAUGAGACAAUACACCAUAAGAAGCAUAAAAUGGCAUAAGUCAAGCAUCUUCCACUUAAGAGUUUUUAGAAGCAUAGUUCAUGUACAUGUAUCAUACGAGCAAAGAACCAAAUUGGAUGACAAAAGCGAGAAGUUCAUCUUUAUCGACUAUGACAAUAAUUCCAAAGGAUACAAAUUGUAUAGUCCAAACAUAGGAAGAUCAUAAUUAGUGGAGAUGUAAUUUUUUAUUAAAAAAAAUGAGAAUGGGGUUUUAGCUCUCACGUAGAUGGUGUUAUCUUUUUUUUUUUUUUCUCUCUUCAAGAAAACGAACAGAUAAUAGAGGAGCAAGUAGGAGAACAAGAUCAAGAACCCGUUGUUUCACCUACCUCUCCAGUAUCAACCACUCAUGAAGAUCACCACCAUUAUUUUUGGAGGAAAGAGAUGUGACACACACAAGCAUAAACUAUGAUGAGGUGCUUGAUCUUGUUGCCCGAUUGGAAACUAUAAGACUAAUCAUUUCAUUAGCAGCCCAAAAGAAGUGAAAGAUUUUGCAAAUAGAUGUGAAGUCAAUUUUCUUGAAUGGUAGUAACGAGACAUGGCAUCUUUAAAACAAGUUACAGUCAAUUAGAGGGUAUGUGAUCUGAUUAUUGUCAGUAGUAGUAGCAAGAAUAUAAUUUCCAAGAUCAUGGUUGACGAGCUUCUCAUUAAUAAUAUUUAGUAUUUUCUCAAUUGAGACAUUUUUCUCCUUUGUGAGAGCCCUCUUCUUGAGUUUUUAAGAACGUACAGUAGAAUAACAUCUAGUAUCGUUUUCGCGUUGCAUCACCAUCUAUCAUCCUUAAUUCAGGUCCUUCUUCUCACUCAUCAUGAGUCAAUCUUAAUCUUUAGAAAUCACAAUAAACUAUAAUGGAAAUACAAAGCUCAAUAUGUAAACUAUUUUUUCAUAGACCAAAAUACAAACAUAUUUAUAUGUACUGUAAAAGUAUGAUAUGCAAUGCUCUUGGUAAAAAAGAAUUAUUCAAAACUUUGGGUUACUUUCAAACUUUCACACUUCCUUUCAAUGCAUGAUAUGCAAGUCCCUUUGAAAUUAGUCACUUGAAUCGUUUUACAUGAUAUUCUACCCAUAGCUUACAGGCGGAGCAUCAGCACCAGAUAUUUUCCAAAUUAAAUUGUAGGAAAUCUAAGAAGAUAUCACACUUUUAUUAAUUUAAAUUCAAGUUCACUGUCAUUCACUUUCAAAAACCAAAAGACCCUUCACUUUCAACUCUUUACUUGCUUCCUUUUUCUUCCAAUUUUUCUCUUUCUGAAUGGAUUUUCUACAAGUAAAAUUUUCUUUCUCUUCUCUAGAAUGCAAAAAAGUAUAGCGAAGUUUUAAAAAAUGGACAUGGCGGAAAAUUAUUGUCAUUUGCUUCAGCAAAUUUCACAUUUAUUAGUAAAGAUAAGUGCGCCUUCAGUAGAACAUAAAACCCAUUAAUGUCAAGAAUCCAAUAUUUGAGAGUAGCAAUAUAAUUUAUUUGAAAUAAAGGAUGACAUGGACAAACUUGAACCAAACUUAGCAUCAUAGCUUAUGUUCAUUUAUUAUUUAUCUUGUUUUGAAUAGAAAAGAGUUGUUUAUCAAUUAUAUUUCUUUUAUCUUGUUUCUAUGUAAUUUUUCCAAAUAUUUCUUAAGAUGUUAAAACAAAAUUAAAAUUUCCUAAGUUAUUAAUAGGAAAGUACGUAGGAGGACUCGAGUAAUUUCUUUGCGUACAUAUUUUUGCAUAUGCCAAAUUGCAGCAACUAGUGAUCGGUCAUUCUGUUGUGCGCGGAAUGCGGAAUCAAGAGCACCAAACAAUUACAGAAAAAUAAAGGACACAAGAAUUACGUGGUUCGGUAGUUAAACCUACAUCCACGAAGGCAAGAAAGAAUAAUUGUUUAUUUAACAAUUAAUAGAGUACAAAUAUUUGAUUAACGAAUCUCACUUCCCAGAAACCCAAAUAUACCCAAUACUCUCACACUCUGCAAGAAAGAUAAAUUCCCUAGACACACUUCUCUCACUUCUCUCAAAAGCUUAGAAAUUUAUAAGCUUAACAAUUUUGGGAUGAUUUUAAAUGAAUGAAAUCCUGAACUAUUUAUAGGAGAAAUGAAUUACUAUGCAAAGAAUAAAAUAAUUAAAAAUAUAAUUUUUAAUUAUUAUUAUUUUUCAAAUUCAUCCCCUUUGUCAAUUCUUUCUUUUCGGCUACAAAAUCAAUUUUGAUUUUGCUUCUCUACAAUUGUUGGUGCAACCAACAAUUUGUUGACUUCAACACAUUCUUGGUUUUUUUUUUUUUUUUUUUUCCACAAGCAAAGUAACAUGAAUAGACCUGGAGUAAACAAAAUGAUAGUUAGUUAGGGAGAGAUAAUGAACUUCACCCCUUGAAGAAUUAUAUAUUCAACUAAAGCCAAAACAAAAAGAGAAAUUGGUUUCACAUGGAUUCGUUGAUCAUUUUGCGCAAACUCAUUGAAAUUUAUCCAAUUUUAAUACUUCUUGUUACUUGUUGUGUAAGAGCAUGUAUAACGUAUUUAAUAUCUUUGGUGAUCAUUUUGGACAAACUCAUUAAUUAAUUUUAGUCAUUCUUGUUACUUGUUAAUUGUUAUAUAAGAACAUAUGUAAUAUAUUUGGUGUAGGUAAUGAAAAUUAUUAGAUAUAUGCUUUUAUUAUAUAUAAUAAGUAACAAGAAUUAUUAAAAUGAAAUAAAUUUCAAUAAAGAGAAAGGUUUAUAUAAGACAGCCCCCUAAUGUUUUGUCAUCUGACAGUGUAGUGUGUCCCAUAUUAAAUUAAUUAAAUAUAAUAGAUCUUGUUGCGAUCUUUUUGCGAAAAAAGAAUUCUCAAGAGCUCAUCAUAUAUAGUUCCUAAAAAAUUACUAUAUUUGAUAGAUAAGCGUGUCCUAAUUAAGAAAAGAUUUGUAGGAUCAAAUUAAUAAAUAGAGCCACGAUCCUCUUCGCAAUCUAUCGACCAGCUGCAAUCGAGCAGUUUAGAUUUUAAUCACAGCCAUGAUCUCUUCAAGGCUCCUAUGCUGCCUAACAGCGUUACUGAUUCUCCCCUCAUCAUCAAAUGCAGCUGAUCCCGAUCCUCUACAAGACAUCUGUAUCGCAGAUUUGGAUGCCAAAAUCUCUGUGAAUGGCUUCCCUUGCAAAUCUGAAACUGAAGUAACUUCCGAUGAUUUUUUCUUCGAUUUGUCCGAAGAAGGAAACUUGUCAAAUGCCUUCGGACGUGCAGUAACUGAAGGCAAUGUUCAUGAAUUUCCAGGGGUCAACACUCAAGGAAUUUCAACAAAUCGAGUUGACCUUGCUGUUGGUGGAAUCAACCCUCCUCAUUUACAUCCUCGCUCAAGCGAGUCAAGUAUUGUCAUUAGAGGAACAGUGCUCGUAGGAAUCAUAACAACUGACAAUGUGUUUUACUCAAAGGUUGUGACAGCCGGGAUGCUGUUUCUAAUUCCUAGAGGACUGGUUCACUUCCAGCUAAAUGUCGGAAAAGAAAAUGUUCUUUUCUUCCCUUCUUUCAACAGCCAAUUACCUGGCACUCAGUUCGUGCACUCAAGUCUGUUUAAUACAACACCGCCAAUUCCUAAUGAAGUGUUAACCAAAACUUUCCUGGUAGGCGAUGAGGUGAUUAAUGCCAUUAAAGCAGCCAUCACAUCAGCCCAGUUAGGACAUCGGCCCAAAUAGAUUAACGUUCACAAUAAUGCUUGGUCGGGGAAGUUAUUUACUUAAUUAUUUAUAUUGAUUUGAAUAAAAGGAUUGUUUUCUAAUAAGAAUAAUGAUUGGGUUAUAAAGUUUGUAUUCUAACUUGUGUGUCGCCUUGUUUGAUAAGAAUAAUGAUAGGCUUUAUCUUAUAGAGCCGUAUAAUGAUUAGUUACUUAGCCUUAUCCGUGAUUCUAUUUGUAUAUUUCCACAUCUAUUUGUAUUCCAACUUUGUAAGUGUAUCACUGAUCUUCUAUCUGUAUUCUUCUUUUUCAUUUCUUUGUAAUUUCAUCUAUCUUUAAAAGUUUAUGCCAACUUGAUAUUGCUGUAAUUUUUAAAAUAAUUAGUUAUGAAUAGAUUCAAUAAUUUAUUUUUGUAUCAGUCAGAUUCAAUACCAUGGCCCCUAAGCACCUAUUCAAGCCCAUUAAACAUACACUACUCAUAAUCAUCAUUAUUCUUAGAGCUUAAAGAGUAAUGAUAUUUGAACCAAAGGAUUCUACAUAAUGGCGACAAACAAUUGUAAAAUCACAUGGUGUUAUGAUGUUAAGCAAAUAAUUAACAUUGUUUUUCAAUUAAAACUAUAAAACCGUAUAAUUCUAGCAUUGAUUUUUUUUCUCAUUAUGUCACCAUUAGGGCUUUUAUUACUUUUAGAACUUAAAACUAUUCCAAAUUCACUAAAUAAUCAAUCUUUUUUUCUGCAUUAGCUUAUGAAACGAUGGACGAUGGACGAGAUUCAAUUGUUCCCAUUACAAAAGCUGCUCUGGUGGCAGCUGCAUUACCAGAUUUUGAGCUAAACUUCAAACUUAUGUACUAGAUGAUUUUAAUUUGAUGCAAUACAUAUUUUUACUUCUAAUUUAGUUGUAAGAUGUAAUUAGAUGUGAGUUGGGUUGUUGGGUUAAGUUGAAUAUCUAGGAGUGAUGUAAUUAGAUGUGAGUUGGGUUAAGUUGAAUAUCUAGGAGUGUGUGUGUGUGUGUGUAUGUGUUGUAUUUUGAAUUAUUUUCAAGUUUAUUGUUCUAAGGAAGACAUGGACAAAUUUAAACAAACCGUUAGCAUCAUCGCUUAUGUCCAUUUACUUAUUUCUCCUGUUUUGAAUAAAUUAAAAGAGUUAUUCACUUGUUUGUUAAUUAUAUUUCUCCUUUCUUAUUUCUGAGUCAUUUUUCUGAAUAAUUUCUUCAUAUGUUUAAAUAAAAUUAACAUUCCCUAAGAUACUAAUGGAAAAGAUGUCUUGGAUAAUUCGUUUGCGAAUACAUUUAUCCAUUAGAUACAUAUUACAAAUUGCGGCAAAUAGUUAUCUUUCUUUCUUUCUUUUUUAUUUUCUGCUGUACCGUACAUCCGCCUUGGCCGUACAGCAGUGUUUUUAUAACUUAAUUUGAAUUUUUAAAUAAUUUUGACUUAAUUAAAAAAGUUAAUUUUUUUUUGGGUUUUUAUGACUGGAGAAGUUUGAAUCAGCCAAUUGAUUUCUAAUAUUAAAAAUAUCUCUAAUUUAUUAUUUAUUUUUCAUGCUUAUCCUAAAACACACCCAUACAUGUUUAUCUACUAAUAAUCUCAUCUUUAUUUUUUCCAGCUGCUAUGAAAUCCCUCCCUACUUUACUUCUCUCAUCAAGUUCUUGAAUUUCUCAUUAUCGUUAAUAAAAGAUUUUAUUCUUAAAAUUUUUAUGUAAUUAUAUAAUCAGUUUUUAUUAAAAAAGAAAUUUAUAUGUUAUAAUUUCAAAAUAAUUAUAUAUAUAAAGCUUAGGAAAAGGAUACAAAACUCUCUAAUGUCUCAAAAAAGACUUUUAAACUCUAAAUUAUUAAUGGAUUCAAUUUUUUUAAAUAAUUUAAAGGUUAAUAUGAUACAUUCCAUAAUUAAUAAUGGGUGAUGAUAGUUGAUGAAGAAGAAGAAGAUGACAUUGAAUAAGAUGAGCAAUUAGGAAAAAGGAGAUAAUAAACUGAAUUUCAACAGUAAAAUUCCAACCAUUAUAAAUAAGGGUGUGUUUCUAAUUCUAUUAAUAAUUUAUGGGCAAAAUGGAUUAGUCAAUACAAUUACUUGUAUUUUAGAGGAAGAUAAUGGUAAUCAUAAGUUGAAAAUAAUUUUUCUUGUUAAAAUUAACAGAAUCCAUUAACAAAUUGGGGGUAAAUGUUUUUUUAAACGUUAGAGAGUUUUGUAUCCCUUUCUAUAAAGGUUUGGGGUGUAUCAGUCAUUUUCUCUAUUAUUUCCUUGACAUUCGAAUUUAAUAAGGAUACAAAUGUAAAAGUACACAUUUUUAGUUUUUAAGUUAAAAAAAAAACUUAAUACUUUUUCAAAGAUUGAAAAAAAAAUUAUUUAAAUUCAGACAUCCUAGUCUAUUAAAAUUUCAUAGUAGUUCAAGUCUAUUUAAAUUUCAAAUAAAAAAAUUCCAGCUAAAUCCGUUUGUUUUUUCAACAUAAUGAAAAUUUUUAGUUAUUAAGUCAUUAAGUCAUUAAGCCAACUUUUUAACUUUUUGCUAAGCAAAAAAGAUGCCAUUAAAAUAUAUCUUCCAAAAUAUCCCUAUCUAAUUAAUUAAUUUUCAUCCUUACCUAAAUAAAAUUUAAUAAUUAACAUUAUUACCCAUCUCUAUAACUUGUGAUAAUAUAGCGGUAGGUGACUAUUAUUUUUAUCCUUUUAUUUUCUUCAAAUUAGCAUAAUUAAUCUUCAUGAUUUUUUUGAAUAUUUUUUUAUAUAAAAAUAUUAUGAACUACAAUUAAAUUGAUUAACAUGUAUAAUGGAAAAGAUGUCUUGGAUAAUUCGUUUGCGAAUACAUUUAUCCAUUAGAUACAUAUUACAAAUUGCGGCAAAUAGUUAUCUUUCUUUCUUUCUUUUUUAUUUUUUUCAGAGCAACUCAACAUUAAUAGAACAACAUUGAACCAAAUAACGCUUAGGUAGGGAGACAUACCGGGCAUCACCACCACAAAUCCUUCCACCCCGUACCCUAAUACCAUCCCCAAGCCAUCAUAUGCUUCUGCAGUCAACCCUGUGUCCAUCGUUGACCCUAAUGUUGCCUCUAGGCUCUUUAAAUCCUUUGUUGAUGUUUGUUACAAUUUCAUCUUCGCCUUCUUUUUCUGUGAAGAUGGGCACCUUUCAUCGAGGCGAACCUGCUAUACAUUUUAAAGAAUUAGCAGUGCAGAUUAAUUAACUAGUUUCUUAAGAUAGUUGAAACAAGCAUAACCCUCGCAAUAUAUAUAUAUAUAUAGCCGUAUGUUCAUAAUCGAUCAUUCUAUUAAAAAAAUUUCAAUACUUCUAUUUUCUUUUUACUUCAUGGAGUCUUAUUACAGUAGAUACAAAUUAAUUUUCAAUUAGUGAAAUAAUUUUCAAUUAAUGGAAAAGAUGUCUUGGAUAAUUCGUUUGCGAAUACAUUUAUCCAUUAGAUACAUAUUACAAAUUGCGGCAAAUAGUUAUCUUUCUUUCUUUCUUUUUUAUUUUUUUCAGAGCAACUCAACAUUAAUAGAACAACAUUGAACCAAAUAACGCUUAGGUAGGGAGACAUACCGGGCAUCACCACCACAAAUCCUUCCACCCCGUACCCUAAUACCAUCCCCAAGCCAUCAUAUGCUUCUGCAGUCAACCCUGUGUCCAUCGUUGACCCUAAUGUUGCCUCUAGGCUCUUUAAAUCCUUUGUUGAUGUUUGUUACAAUUUCAUCUUCGCCUUCUUUUUCUGUGAAGAUGGGCACCUUUCAUCGAGGCGAACCUGCUAUACAUUUUAAAGAAUUAGCAGUGCAGAUUAAUUAACUAGUUUCUUAAGAUAGUUGAAACAAGCAUAACCCUCGCAAUAUAUAUAUAUAUAUAUAGCCGUAUGUUCAUAAUCGAUCAUUCUAUUAAAAAAAUUUCAAUACUUCUAUUUUCUUUUUACUUCAUGGAGUCUUAUUACAGUAGAUACAAAUUAAUUUUCAAUUAGUGAAAUAAAGUGGCGCAAGAGAUUUGAUGUUAGUACGGUCCCGCCACAGAUUGAAAAAUACUAAAGUUCAUUUUUUUAAUUAAAAAAAACAACAAUUUCAAUUGUGCUCAAGACUAAAAUAUUAAAUCGAAUCGAUUUGCAUAAAAUUAAUUAGGGUAAUUUAAUUCUAUUUAUGUUAAAAUUAUCCACUUCAUGAAAUUAAUUAUUAAUUUUUACACUGGUCGAAUCAUUUUGCAUGAUGUUCUACCAUAGGUUACGACGGACCGUGACCGCCAGAUCUUUUCCUAACUAAAGUGGAAAUUUAAUGAAGGAAAUCUACGAAUAUGAAAUUUCUAUGACAUUAAUUAAAGUUCAACUUCAAUAUAAAUUCAAGUUCAGAGAAGUUUGCUCUCCAAAACCAGAAACCAAAAACAAAACAAAAAAAUUCACAUAUAUCGAUAAAGCUAAAUGUGCACUUGCUUAGAGCAAAAAACCCAUUAAUCUCAAAAAAAUACUCCUUCAUUCAGAGAGACAAUAAUUUAUUUGAGUACCAGAAUUUCAAAUAUGGAUGUUGUAGGCUCUCCCCUCCCUCGUGUUUUGUUCAAUUUUUUUUUUUUUUUUGUAACAAUAAUUUUUUAUCUUUAAUCUUCAUCUUAAAGCCAUUAUGCUUGAUGACUCGUUCAUGUCAUUUUCUUCAGCCUUUACAAAGGUUGUUUCCCCGUUUGUUAGUUGCUGUUACUUGCCCAGCUGGAUUCCCGCCAAUACCAACAACCGUAUAUGCCUUUCUCACGUGCCAAGCAUGCGAAAUUUAAGUGAACCCAAAACGACAACAGGCUUGUGUCGUUUUGAUUAUAUUUGGUUUAUGAUAUCACGUGACAACACACAUGACUUUCGAACCACUUGUGGAUGACAUCCUCGAUAUUGUCGGUUGUCAGGCUUCAACACACUAGACAACAUGUACUGUCUUCGGAGUUCCGCAAAUACUAAACCAUUUUUUUUUUUGAAUGGGCAAAUACUAACUUAAUUAUGUGGCAUCCUUACGGAAAACUCUUUAGAAUUAUUGGAGAAUUUUAAUCCCGCCCAAGAUUCCAUAAAUAAAAAAUACCAAAUAAAUAAUAAGUAAAAUUAGACGGAGAAUAAAACUAGUCACACAACACAAGAAUUUACGUGGAAAUUUCUAUACUGAAGAAAAACUACGGCCACCAAGGAUGACGAGAGAAAAAUAUACUAUGUAAAAAAUUAUUACGAUCAUUCUAGUAUUUUUUCUCACACCAAAAACGCCAAUAACACUCAAUCUUUCAAUAGUUUUAUUGUUUCUCACACACAAGAAACUGUUUACUUGCAGAGAAUUAAUUGUUGUGUUAUAUAAAUAAGUGAACUCAACCUCCCUAUAUAUAGUGAUUAUUUAUUGUAGGAGAAAUAUUAUUUUUUUUAUACUAGUUAUAUUCCUCCUUAAAUAAGACAAGUCCCAAAGAAAAAAUUACUUAUUAUUUAAAUAGAAAUCCUACCAAAAAAAGGAAAAUAUCCUAAAAAAUCCUUAUUGAAAAAUAAGAUAUAUUUCCUGUUUGGUAACGGAUAAAAGGAGGAAAAAAGGGAGAGUGGGGGCAUGACUUUUAUCUCAUCCAUAACUUCCGAAAAGUGGGAGAGAACAAGGGGGGAAAGAGGGGAGUGGGGAGUUACCUAGGGGGGAUUUUAUUUAUUUUUUCUCUCUUCUCCGGGGGGUGUUUUUUGGGCUCUCUUCCUCUCAUGGAAAUUUCUUGCUUUUACACUAUACUUUACUUUCUGUAAAUUACUCGAAAAGCUUUGGGUUUGAAGGCAAUGCUUAUUAAGCCACAUGAGUGGUGGCACAAAUUUUUCCGAAAGGCCUAGAAACUGACUUGAGCGUCGGAGGCUUCACGCCGGAAAAACUUCCGGCGCCUCUGACCGUCUUCUAUGAUUUCCGGUAUUCACAGAUUAAUCGCCGGUGGUUGCAGGACAUCUAGACGAUUGACCAAUCGAUUCUCUACCAAAUAAAUCUAAAGUUGAUGCGGGAGUUUGGUAUCAAGUCGCUAACCGACUCAAUCGGAUUUCGACAUCAACAUUUGGCGCCGUCUGUGGGGAUCGAUACAAGAAGCCAAUUUGUUAUCUCUAUCAACUUUCAUCUAGCCAAAGCGAAGGCAAAAUAUUAUCAUGUGUGAAUUGAAGCAACCUGUCUUUUAUUUCUGAACUCACGUGAAAGAAGCAAAGCGAAUCGGUAAAAAACUAACCCAAUGUUGGCAUUUAGAAGCUUCAGAUCGGUAAAAUCUGUCACAGAUUCAUCUCCACUUGUAUUUCCAAUUAAAUUACUGCAAUUACUUUCAAUUUAUUUGUUUGUGUGCAUGAUAUAUUGCAUCAAAUGAUCAAUUGUGAUUUGGCUUUCAUGAGCAUGAGAAAUUGAUUAUAGAGGAUAGAUUUAAAAAAUACAUAUACUGAAUAUAUGAAAUCAUAUCACAAACUAGUGGCCACAUGCUUGUUGGUUUAUAGUCAAUUGCUGAUCAUGUGCUUACCAUUAAAGUCUUGCACGCAUACAAGUUUAGAUAUUAAGAUUUUAACCACUUUCCCAAUCGGAUUAUGCCACGGUUUCAGCAUGCAUUUUGAUGGGUUUAAUCAUUUCGAAUGAUAUUUAAUUACUAAUUGGAUGCAGAGAUGUGUCAGAUUGUAAUUUCAGAAACAGGUUUCAGAUGAUAUUUGUUAAAAGUGGUGAUACGAGAUCACGCACAGUAAGCGUUAGACAAAAUGAUUGAUAGAAUAAAAAAAAAAAUCGCAGCCUCAAAUUGUAAAGAGCAAGCUUAGGACUCUACAUAGGAACAAUCAAGAUGGUGAGAUUAAUUGGACUGGAAAACAAAGGCUGCAACUGAAAUUACAGGGAGUGACGCUCAAUAGAACAUUGCGCAAGAGCAAAGGACUAAAAUCCAAAAUAAUUCUAAGAAGGGAGCAAAGCAGAGUCAAGCUCGGGAUUUGUUUGAUGACGUACCAAUGAAAUAAUGCAGAGCACAAUCUCAGGUGCACUUGUUCUAAAACCUCAGUUUUAUAUUUAUCCUUUAAAUCCGCUACCUGACUUCAAAAAUCUGAUGGAUGGGGUUUUGACUUAUUAAGUCGUUAAUAAAAAAUAGUUAAGAUUGCAUAUUAUAGAAUAUAUAGCAUAGUCAUAUNNNNNNNNNNNNNNNNNNNNNNNNNNNNNNNNNNNNNNNNNNNNNNNNNNNNNNNNNNNNNNNNNNNNNNNNNNNNNNNNNNNNNNNNAAAGGCCCAAACAUAUAUAAAUAGCUAACCUUGGCCGUACAGCAGUGAGCUAUUUUCUGGACAAGUUAUACGUUAUAGGUCAGAAAUUAAAUUUUUGAUAGUUUAUUACAGCUGAUCAAUUUGCAGAGCAAAUCCAUAUUUAAGGAUUUAAAGAAAAAAACCUCAAAUAAGAGCACAUCGAAGGCACACAUUUAUAGGAAUCAGAACAGGUCAGAAGUUAUAUUUUGAUUUACAAGCAGUUUUUUCUAUGAAAAUUUAAUUGUUUCUCUAAAUUCUGCUAUAUGCGAUGAGGAUACCUUAUAUUCAUUAAAUUGAUUGCGCUCAUAUUAGGGCUGACGGUAUAACUUAGUUAACUUGAUUUCUUGAAAGUUACUCAAUAUGAGAAUAAUUUAAGAAAUGAGAGCUAGGCUAGCGUUGAGAAGCCAAUCAAAGUUUACUAAUAAGGCAUGCAAAGGCUCACCAAGUCUCAAAGUCUAUUUUAUGGCGAGACCAGAAGCCAAGUGUGCCAGGAUUUACUCGACCAAGCGAAGGCAAGCAGACCCUCAAGUAUUAUAAAAAUUCCUAAGGCAUGCAAAGGCUCACCAAGUCUCAAAGCCUGUUUUAUGGCGAGACUAGAAGCCAAGCGUGCCAGGAUCUGCUCGACCAAGCUAAAGUGAGCAGACCUUUAAGUGUUAUAAAAAUUUCUAAGGCAAGUAAAGGCUCCAAAGUCUCAAAACCUGCUCAAUGGCGAGAUAAAAAGUCAAGCUUGCUAGAAUUUGCCCGACCAUGUGAAGCCGAGCAAAAAAAAAAAAUUUACAACUUCUAUACCAGAAGACAAGUAAGAACAUUCUUAUUAAUAUGCCAACAGUUCGUAAAGUUAUUCAUCAUAACAGACAAUGUCCAAAAAAUAGGAAAAGGCAACUACAACACAAAACAUGUUUAAGAAGACGGCGGCUCAGUAAGCCGAGAAGCCUCAGUUGGCUGGUCCACCUCAGGUGCUGGGGGAGUAUCACCAGUUGCGUCCGGGGGGGCACUCGCCUCGCCAACAUCAACAGGGAUUGCACGAGGAGGAGAGUUUUCCUCCUCGACCAUAAUUGGCUCCACCACUUCGGCAUCCUCUUUCGCCGCCUCCUCAUCCAUGUGUUGAGCAACACCAGCUGCAAGGUCAUCCAUUUGCAGAUCAGGGUGCUACUUCCCAAGGACAACCAUGAUGCAACGAUAAGAAUGCCGAAGUCCUUGGUCGUAUUGGUUGUCAGCUUCAUUCUCCAAGUUCUCGUCCUAAGCCCGGUAGGAAUCGCGGAGAGAUUCGAGCUGAGCCUCGUACAUAACCUUCUGCCUUUGCAGAUCCUCCUUGACCUUGGUUAGCUCUUCCUCGAGAGUAAUAGCCUUUGCUUAAGCAAGAGAUUCUCACUCUAUCAGCUUCAGAUUCUCGAGAUUCAAGUCUCCUACUUUCUUCUCGGCAACGUCGGCUCUGGUCAUCGCCGAUUGAAUGUCCUCCUUCAUCUUCCAGUCAUAACGGCCAACCUUGACCUUAUAGUAAGUGGUCAUGCAGCUGAGAUGGAAAUCGCUAUACUGCAUGGCCCCCACCAGCUCACCCAGGGUGCAGCCAUCAAAGUCCUCCAGGUCCUUCUUACUUACAAGUUUAGAUAACUCGUUGAGAUAGGGGACCAAGUGUUCUGCUCGGUUGUCAGAUAAACGAGAUCUAGGCCUGACAGGAGGAGAAGAGGAAGCAGGAUCAGUGGCUGCUCCACUAGUUUCUCCGACUUUGGCAGGAGGAGGAGGUAGAGUCUUCAAGGGAGGAACCUGCUGCACAAUGUUCACCCGCUUCGCAGUAAGAGUGUUCUUGUUCUGGUCUCUCUUUGCAGUUUGAGGUCGAGAACGUUUCCAAUUCAGAGCCCCGAUCACAACAUCCUCCAUCUUAUGGCCGGGGGGCACCAAGCAAGAUUCAACCAGGUUAUAACGUGGUUAGCAGCUCCUAGUGUGAGCAAGAAUUGGCCAGCACAGCCUCGACCUGUUUGAGCUGGUCGGGAUUAAGCGGGAAGUGAACACCCCAAGAACCUGUAAAACGAACAGACAUUUGGUUAGAGACAAAUCAACAAAGUGAGAACAACUAUGGAGACAAGUCAUUUAAAAUGAGCAGGCAACCUGGAACCACGAAACGGGGUGGGACGCGAUAAUCUUUCCCAUCAAUCUGUGCAACUUGACCCCAGGGACCCCCUUAUAAAAAUUCCUAAGGCAUGCAAAGGCUCACUAAGUCUCAAAGCUUGUUUUAUAGUGAGACCAGAAGCCAAGCGUGCCAAGAUAUGCUCGACCAAGUAAAGGCGAGCAGACCCUUAAGUGUUAUAAAAAUUCCUAAGGCAUGCAAAGGCUCACUAGAAGCCAAGCAUGCCAAGAUCUGCUCGACCAAGCGAAGGCGAGCAGACUACAAAAGUUUCAGAAAUCUUCCAAGGCAUGCAAAGGCUCCAAAGUCUCAAAGUCUAUUUUAUGGCAGGACAGAAAGCGAAGCAUGCCAGGAUCUGUUUGACCAAGCGAAGGCGAGCAGACUACAAAAGUUCUAAAAAUCUCCUAAGGCAUGGAAAAGCUCCACAAGUCUCAAAGCCUCCUCGAUGGCGAGACAGGAAGCCAAGCUUGCCAGAAUCUGCUCGACCAUGUGAAGCCGAGCAAACAAUGAAAAUUUCAAAAAGUUUCUAAGGCAAGUAAAUGCUCCAAAGUCUCAAAGCCUGCUCGAUGGCGAGAUAAGAAGUCAAGCUUGCUAGAAUCUGCCCGACCAUGUGAAGCCAAGCAGAAAGAAAAAAAAAAGGUACUACAAGUAAAAGGCUUACAGUCUCCAAACCUCCUCGCAGUGAAACGAAGUCAAAGUUCUCUCUUGCCCGACUAAGAUUAUGCGAGCAAGAGUUAUAUGAGCGAAAAAUGUUCUAAAGCAGAUAAAUGACUAAGUCUUAAAACUUACUUGAAAUGAGAUAAAUACCUAAACUUAUGAAACCUGCUUUACAUGAUUAUGUGAGUAGGAAAAUGGUAUAUUUAAAGGCAUGUAAAAGUUUAAAACUUGAAACUUUUUUGUUAAGGGCAAGGUUAAUUUAAGCAAUCCCGAGCCGAUUUAUGGCAACCACCUCGAGUUCACUUUAAAAUUUAUAUAGUUUCCAGUCUUGAUUCGUUAAAGCUCUCAACACUAGAAACUGGGGGACUGGUGUUUGGUAACGGAUAAAAGGAGGAAAAAAGGGAGAGUGGGGGCAUGGCUUUUAUCUCAUCCAUAACUCGAUGUGUUGGUGAUUGGAUAUUGUAAAGGAUUUAUUAGAUAUUGUAUACGGAUUUGAUUCACCAUAUAUUUUGUGAUGCUAUUUGUUGGAAGUUUCAAGUGAUUGAAAUUUUUAGCGCAUCACACUAUUUGGUAUUUGAUAGUUUUUAUGAAUUUGAAUGUAAUUUUUAUUUCAAUUAAUUCAAGUUUUAAAUGUGGUUUUUGUUGUUUUUAUUUCAAAAUUCUGGAAUUUAAAUAAUAAUAAUUAAUAUUAUUAUAAUUUCAAAAUUAAAAAUAAUAAUUUUAUUCUUUUUUAAACUUUAAAUCUCAUGACAAAGAAUGUGAAUCAUUGAUAUAUGACAGCUUUUGAAGAAACCCAUCAAAUUCAAAAUAAUUUAAAUACCUGCUAAAAUUUCCAAUUAAUUCUCGAAAGUCUUUCAAAACGACGUCGCUUGGUUCGUGAUACAUGUGUGAUAAAUAUACAUUGUCAUGGGAACAUGUGAUAGAUAAAAUGUUGUCACAGAUUUGUGAGACGGGCUACAAUGACAGAUGGAAACUCUGUCAUAAGAGGGGUCGGAUGAUAGAUAUUCUCUGUCAUGGUAGCCCAUUUUUCUAGUAGUGUUCAAAUAGAAAAAUUAGUACGUUGUCAAUAUAAUUGUCUUAUAUAUGAUGCCAACAAUGAAACUAAACAAUCAUUCCCUUUAGCAUCCUUUUGGAAAAAUCUCUAUAACAAAUUGGAACAUUUUAAAAACUCAAAUCUUCAUAAAAAGUGGAGUGAGGAGUACCAUUAAUGAGUAAGUCCUGUGUUCGCACUUACAAAUACAAACACAAAGAUUAAAAUAAAUUUGAUCACUCACUAAUUGGAGUAUUUAUGUUAAACUUAUAGUUAUGUUUGGCCCUAAAAGUAUGCAAUAAAAUAACAUCAUUUUCAUAUACAAAAUUUUAUUUAUUCAUUGUUUAUUUUGACCGAACAUUAUUAGACUUAGUUUAUGAAGCAUGUAUUUUAUAUAUUGAUAAUUCUGCUGUACGGCCAAGGCGGAUGUACGGUACAGCAGGCCUAUCUAUCUUUUUUUGGUUUUUGUAUAUAUAUAACUCAUGAGAUUUAUAAUUUUUCAUUAUCAUGUUAACCCCUGGUCUGGACUGUCCUAAUAUUUAAACUUCUUUCCACCAUUUUCAAUUCUUAAAUUGACCAAUAUUUAUCUCAAUGUGUCCCUUUACUUGCCCAUUGAAUUUUGCAUCAAGGAUCUGAUGUGGUAGAAGAGAAGCUAACAAUUUAUGCGCUCGACAAUGUCUUUGCCUUUUGAAUUGAUUGAGAGAUCAUCAUUUCUUCACCCACUGGAAACUUUAGAUUAUGCUUUACGCUUUGGGCUUAUACUGGCAAGCCUACAAUCAUGGUAUUAAAGUUGGUAGAUUGAGGAGAUUCUGGUGAUUCCAGAAUUUUCUACAUUUUCUCUUUAUCUUUUGGAUUUUUAGAACUUUUUCCUUUCUUUUUAUUAGCUUGAUUUUGAUGGAUUUUAUUUAAUUAUAUAUGGAAGGUUAGAUGUUGUGCAUUAAUUAAAUUAUAGUCUUGAAAAAAUACUCUUUAAAAAAAUUCAUCUAGAAAUUUAGAAUUGAAAUCUGUCGAAGGCUAGACUAAAAGUUCUCUUCUCGUCUUUGGCAUUGCACUUGGUUUUAUAUUUCUCUUUACUAUGUACUCUGUUGCAAAAUAUUUUGUUUAUACUUAAUCUUUUAUAAUCCAGCAACUCUUAUGAAGACCUAGUCAACUGUCACUGCUACAUAAGCAUUCAGGUUAUGCUGCUUUAUCAUCAUUUUUAUUUUCUUCCAUUUUUCUCUUUUACAGCUUGUGAGCUUACUGCUUCAUUAUGUCAAUUUUCUGAAUGUGAUUUUUUAUUUUCUCUUGGGUUGUUUAUUCUCAUUUUCCCUUUAGUAUCAAAGCUGAUUAAAUCAAUUAGACACUGAUGAAUUUUAUUAUGAAUUUGAUUAAUUGUAAGUGGGCAAUAUAUUAAUAUGUAUUUUUUUGGCACUCAUUUUAUUGUAACCUAUGUUUCAGGUGAUGUUGGUGGCUUUCGGGAAUUUACUAAGAGUGUUUUUUUUAUGGAUUAAUUGUUUUUCUAGUGAUGUGUUGGUGAUUGGAUAUUGUAAAGGAUUUAUUAGAUAUUGUAUACGGAUUUGAUUCACCAUAUAUUUUGUGAUGCUAUUUGUUGGAAGUUUCAAGUGAUUGAAAUUUUUAGCGCAUCACACUAUUUGGUAUUUGAUAGUUUUUAUGAAUUUGAAUGUAAUUUUUAUUUCAAUUAAUUCAAGUUUUAAAUGUGGUUUUUGUUGUUUUUAUUUCAAAAUUCUGGAAUUUAAAUAAUAAUAAUUAAUAUUAUUAUAAUUUCAAAAUUAAAAAUAAUAAUUUUAUUCUUUUUUAAACUUUAAAUCUCAUGACAAAGAAUGUGAAUCAUUGAUAUAUGACAGCUUUUGAAGAAACCCAUCAAAUUCAAAAUAAUUUAAAUACCUGCUAAAAUUUCCAAUUAAUUCUCGAAAGUCUUUCAAAACGACGUCGCUUGGUUCGUGAUACAUGUGUGAUAAAUAUACAUUGUCAUGGGAACAUGUGAUAGAUAAAAUGUUGUCACAGAUUUGUGAGACGGGCUACAAUGACAGAUGGAAACUCUGUCAUAAGAGGGGUCGGAUGAUAGAUAUUCUCUGUCAUGGUAGCCCAUUUUUCUAGUAGUGUUCAAAUAGAAAAAUUAGUACGUUGUCAAUAUAAUUGUCUUAUAUAUGAUGCCAACAAUGAAACUAAACAAUCAUUCCCUUUAGCAUCCUUUUGGAAAAAUCUCUAUAACAAAUUGGAACAUUUUAAAAACUCAAAUCUUCAUAAAAAGUGGAGUGAGGAGUACCAUUAAUGAGUAAGUCCUGUGUUCGCACUUACAAAUACAAACACAAAGAUUAAAAUAAAUUUGAUCACUCACUAAUUGGAGUAUUUAUGUUAAACUUAUAGUUAUGUUUGGCCCUAAAAGUAUGCAAUAAAAUAACAUCAUUUUCAUAUACAAAAUUUUAUUUAUUCAUUGUUUAUUUUGACCGAACAUUAUUAGACUUAGUUUAUGAAGCAUGUAUUUUAUAUAUUGAUAAUUCUGCUGUACGGCCAAGGCGGAUGUACGGUACAGCAGGCCUAUCUAUCUUUUUUUGGUUUUUGUAUAUAUAUAACUCAUGAGAUUUAUAAUUUUUCAUUAUCAUGUUAACCCCUGGUCUGGACUGUCCUAAUAUUUAAACUUCUUUCCACCAUUUUCAAUUCUUAAAUUGACCAAUAUUUAUCUCAAUGUGUCCCUUUACUUGCCCAUUGAAUUUUGCAUCAAGGAUCUGAUGUGGUAGAAGAGAAGCUAACAAUUUAUGCGCUCGACAAUGUCUUUGCCUUUUGAAUUGAUUGAGAGAUCAUCAUUUCUUCACCCACUGGAAACUUUAGAUUAUGCUUUACGCUUUGGGCUUAUACUGGCAAGCCUACAAUCAUGGUAUUAAAGUUGGUAGAUUGAGGAGAUUCUGGUGAUUCCAGAAUUUUCUACAUUUUCUCUUUAUCUUUUGGAUUUUUAGAACUUUUUCCUUUCUUUUUAUUAGCUUGAUUUUGAUGGAUUUUAUUUAAUUAUAUAUGGAAGGUUAGAUGUUGUGCAUUAAUUAAAUUAUAGUCUUGAAAAAAUACUCUUUAAAAAAAUUCAUCUAGAAAUUUAGAAUUGAAAUCUGUCGAAGGCUAGACUAAAAGUUCUCUUCUCGUCUUUGGCAUUGCACUUGGUUUUAUAUUUCUCUUUACUAUGUACUCUGUUGCAAAAUAUUUUGUUUAUACUUAAUCUUUUAUAAUCCAGCAACUCUUAUGAAGACCUAGUCAACUGUCACUGCUACAUAAGCAUUCAGGUUAUGCUGCUUUAUCAUCAUUUUUAUUUUCUUCCAUUUUUCUCUUUUACAGCUUGUGAGCUUACUGCUUCAUUAUGUCAAUUUUCUGAAUGUGAUUUUUUAUUUUCUCUUGGGUUGUUUAUUCUCAUUUUCCCUUUAGUAUCAAAGCUGAUUAAAUCAAUUAGACACUGAUGAAUUUUAUUAUGAAUUUGAUUAAUUGUAAGUGGGCAAUAUAUUAAUAUGUAUUUUUUUGGCACUCAUUUUAUUGUAACCUAUGUUUCAGGUGAUGUUGGUGGCUUUCGGGAAUUUACUAAGAGUGUUUUUUUUAUGGAUUAAUUGUUUUUCUAGUGAUGUGUUGGUGAUUGGAUAUUGUAAAGGAUUUAUUAGAUAUUGUAUACGGAUUUGAUUCACCAUAUAUUUUGUGAUGCUAUUUGUUGGAAGUUUCAAGUGAUUGAAAUUUUUAGCGCAUCACACUAUUUGGUAUUUGAUAGUUUUUAUGAAUUUGAAUGUAAUUUUUAUUUCAAUUAAUUCAAGUUUUAAAUGUGGUUUUUGUUGUUUUUAUUUCAAAAUUCUGGAAUUUAAAUAAUAAUAAUUAAUAUUAUUAUAAUUUCAAAAUUAAAAAUAAUAAUUUUAUUCUUUUUUAAACUUUAAAUCUCAUGACAAAGAAUGUGAAUCAUUGAUAUAUGACAGCUUUUGAAGAAACCCAUCAAAUUCAAAAUAAUUUAAAUACCUGCUAAAAUUUCCAAUUAAUUCUCGAAAGUCUUUCAAAACGACGUCGCUUGGUUCGUGAUACAUGUGUGAUAAAUAUACAUUGUCAUGGGAACAUGUGAUAGAUAAAAUGUUGUCACAGAUUUGUGAGACGGGCUACAAUGACAGAUGGAAACUCUGUCAUAAGAGGGGUCGGAUGAUAGAUAUUCUCUGUCAUGGUAGCCCAUUUUUCUAGUAGUGUUCAAAUAGAAAAAUUAGUACGUUGUCAAUAUAAUUGUCUUAUAUAUGAUGCCAACAAUGAAACUAAACAAUCAUUCCCUUUAGCAUCCUUUUGGAAAAAUCUCUAUAACAAAUUGGAACAUUUUAAAAACUCAAAUCUUCAUAAAAAGUGGAGUGAGGAGUACCAUUAAUGAGUAAGUCCUGUGUUCGCACUUACAAAUACAAACACAAAGAUUAAAAUAAAUUUGAUCACUCACUAAUUGGAGUAUUUAUGUUAAACUUAUAGUUAUGUUUGGCCCUAAAAGUAUGCAAUAAAAUAACAUCAUUUUCAUAUACAAAAUUUUAUUUAUUCAUUGUUUAUUUUGACCGAACAUUAUUAGACUUAGUUUAUGAAGCAUGUAUUUUAUAUAUUGAUAAUUCUGCUGUACGGCCAAGGCGGAUGUACGGUACAGCAGGCCUAUCUAUCUUUUUUUGGUUUUUGUAUAUAUAUAACUCAUGAGAUUUAUAAUUUUUCAUUAUCAUGUUAACCCCUGGUCUGGACUGUCCUAAUAUUUAAACUUCUUUCCACCAUUUUCAAUUCUUAAAUUGACCAAUAUUUAUCUCAAUGUGUCCCUUUACUUGCCCAUUGAAUUUUGCAUCAAGGAUCUGAUGUGGUAGAAGAGAAGCUAACAAUUUAUGCGCUCGACAAUGUCUUUGCCUUUUGAAUUGAUUGAGAGAUCAUCAUUUCUUCACCCACUGGAAACUUUAGAUUAUGCUUUACGCUUUGGGCUUAUACUGGCAAGCCUACAAUCAUGGUAUUAAAGUUGGUAGAUUGAGGAGAUUCUGGUGAUUCCAGAAUUUUCUACAUUUUCUCUUUAUCUUUUGGAUUUUUAGAACUUUUUCCUUUCUUUUUAUUAGCUUGAUUUUGAUGGAUUUUAUUUAAUUAUAUAUGGAAGGUUAGAUGUUGUGCAUUAAUUAAAUUAUAGUCUUGAAAAAAUACUCUUUAAAAAAAUUCAUCUAGAAAUUUAGAAUUGAAAUCUGUCGAAGGCUAGACUAAAAGUUCUCUUCUCGUCUUUGGCAUUGCACUUGGUUUUAUAUUUCUCUUUACUAUGUACUCUGUUGCAAAAUAUUUUGUUUAUACUUAAUCUUUUAUAAUCCAGCAACUCUUAUGAAGACCUAGUCAACUGUCACUGCUACAUAAGCAUUCAGGUUAUGCUGCUUUAUCAUCAUUUUUAUUUUCUUCCAUUUUUCUCUUUUACAGCUUGUGAGCUUACUGCUUCAUUAUGUCAAUUUUCUGAAUGUGAUUUUUUAUUUUCUCUUGGGUUGUUUAUUCUCAUUUUCCCUUUAGUAUCAAAGCUGAUUAAAUCAAUUAGACACUGAUGAAUUUUAUUAUGAAUUUGAUUAAUUGUAAGUGGGCAAUAUAUUAAUAUGUAUUUUUUUGGCACUCAUUUUAUUGUAACCUAUGUUUCAGGUGAUGUUGGUGGCUUUCGGGAAUUUACUAAGAGUGUUUUUUUUAUGGAUUAAUUGUUUUUCUAGUGAUGUGUUGGUGAUUGGAUAUUGUAAAGGAUUUAUUAGAUAUUGUAUACGGAUUUGAUUCACCAUAUAUUUUGUGAUGCUAUUUGUUGGAAGUUUCAAGUGAUUGAAAUUUUUAGCGCAUCACACUAUUUGGUAUUUGAUAGUUUUUAUGAAUUUGAAUGUAAUUUUUAUUUCAAUUAAUUCAAGUUUUAAAUGUGGUUUUUGUUGUUUUUAUUUCAAAAUUCUGGAAUUUAAAUAAUAAUAAUUAAUAUUAUUAUAAUUUCAAAAUUAAAAAUAAUAAUUUUAUUCUUUUUUAAACUUUAAAUCUCAUGACAAAGAAUGUGAAUCAUUGAUAUAUGACAGCUUUUGAAGAAACCCAUCAAAUUCAAAAUAAUUUAAAUACCUGCUAAAAUUUCCAAUUAAUUCUCGAAAGUCUUUCAAAACGACGUCGCUUGGUUCGUGAUACAUGUGUGAUAAAUAUACAUUGUCAUGGGAACAUGUGAUAGAUAAAAUGUUGUCACAGAUUUGUGAGACGGGCUACAAUGACAGAUGGAAACUCUGUCAUAAGAGGGGUCGGAUGAUAGAUAUUCUCUGUCAUGGUAGCCCAUUUUUCUAGUAGUGUUCAAAUAGAAAAAUUAGUACGUUGUCAAUAUAAUUGUCUUAUAUAUGAUGCCAACAAUGAAACUAAACAAUCAUUCCCUUUAGCAUCCUUUUGGAAAAAUCUCUAUAACAAAUUGGAACAUUUUAAAAACUCAAAUCUUCAUAAAAAGUGGAGUGAGGAGUACCAUUAAUGAGUAAGUCCUGUGUUCGCACUUACAAAUACAAACACAAAGAUUAAAAUAAAUUUGAUCACUCACUAAUUGGAGUAUUUAUGUUAAACUUAUAGUUAUGUUUGGCCCUAAAAGUAUGCAAUAAAAUAACAUCAUUUUCAUAUACAAAAUUUUAUUUAUUCAUUGUUUAUUUUGACCGAACAUUAUUAGACUUAGUUUAUGAAGCAUGUAUUUUAUAUAUUGAUAAUUCUGCUGUACGGCCAAGGCGGAUGUACGGUACAGCAGGCCUAUCUAUCUUUUUUUGGUUUUUGUAUAUAUAUAACUCAUGAGAUUUAUAAUUUUUCAUUAUCAUGUUAACCCCUGGUCUGGACUGUCCUAAUAUUUAAACUUCUUUCCACCAUUUUCAAUUCUUAAAUUGACCAAUAUUUAUCUCAAUGUGUCCCUUUACUUGCCCAUUGAAUUUUGCAUCAAGGAUCUGAUGUGGUAGAAGAGAAGCUAACAAUUUAUGCGCUCGACAAUGUCUUUGCCUUUUGAAUUGAUUGAGAGAUCAUCAUUUCUUCACCCACUGGAAACUUUAGAUUAUGCUUUACGCUUUGGGCUUAUACUGGCAAGCCUACAAUCAUGGUAUUAAAGUUGGUAGAUUGAGGAGAUUCUGGUGAUUCCAGAAUUUUCUACAUUUUCUCUUUAUCUUUUGGAUUUUUAGAACUUUUUCCUUUCUUUUUAUUAGCUUGAUUUUGAUGGAUUUUAUUUAAUUAUAUAUGGAAGGUUAGAUGUUGUGCAUUAAUUAAAUUAUAGUCUUGAAAAAAUACUCUUUAAAAAAAUUCAUCUAGAAAUUUAGAAUUGAAAUCUGUCGAAGGCUAGACUAAAAGUUCUCUUCUCGUCUUUGGCAUUGCACUUGGUUUUAUAUUUCUCUUUACUAUGUACUCUGUUGCAAAAUAUUUUGUUUAUACUUAAUCUUUUAUAAUCCAGCAACUCUUAUGAAGACCUAGUCAACUGUCACUGCUACAUAAGCAUUCAGGUUAUGCUGCUUUAUCAUCAUUUUUAUUUUCUUCCAUUUUUCUCUUUUACAGCUUGUGAGCUUACUGCUUCAUUAUGUCAAUUUUCUGAAUGUGAUUUUUUAUUUUCUCUUGGGUUGUUUAUUCUCAUUUUCCCUUUAGUAUCAAAGCUGAUUAAAUCAAUUAGACACUGAUGAAUUUUAUUAUGAAUUUGAUUAAUUGUAAGUGGGCAAUAUAUUAAUAUGUAUUUUUUUGGCACUCAUUUUAUUGUAACCUAUGUUUCAGGUGAUGUUGGUGGCUUUCGGGAAUUUACUAAGAGUGUUUUUUUUAUGGAUUAAUUGUUUUUCUAGUGAUGUGUUGGUGAUUGGAUAUUGUAAAGGAUUUAUUAGAUAUUGUAUACGGAUUUGAUUCACCAUAUAUUUUGUGAUGCUAUUUGUUGGAAGUUUCAAGUGAUUGAAAUUUUUAGCGCAUCACACUAUUUGGUAUUUGAUAGUUUUUAUGAAUUUGAAUGUAAUUUUUAUUUCAAUUAAUUCAAGUUUUAAAUGUGGUUUUUGUUGUUUUUAUUUCAAAAUUCUGGAAUUUAAAUAAUAAUAAUUAAUAUUAUUAUAAUUUCAAAAUUAAAAAUAAUAAUUUUAUUCUUUUUUAAACUUUAAAUCUCAUGACAAAGAAUGUGAAUCAUUGAUAUAUGACAGCUUUUGAAGAAACCCAUCAAAUUCAAAAUAAUUUAAAUACCUGCUAAAAUUUCCAAUUAAUUCUCGAAAGUCUUUCAAAACGACGUCGCUUGGUUCGUGAUACAUGUGUGAUAAAUAUACAUUGUCAUGGGAACAUGUGAUAGAUAAAAUGUUGUCACAGAUUUGUGAGACGGGCUACAAUGACAGAUGGAAACUCUGUCAUAAGAGGGGUCGGAUGAUAGAUAUUCUCUGUCAUGGUAGCCCAUUUUUCUAGUAGUGUUCAAAUAGAAAAAUUAGUACGUUGUCAAUAUAAUUGUCUUAUAUAUGAUGCCAACAAUGAAACUAAACAAUCAUUCCCUUUAGCAUCCUUUUGGAAAAAUCUCUAUAACAAAUUGGAACAUUUUAAAAACUCAAAUCUUCAUAAAAAGUGGAGUGAGGAGUACCAUUAAUGAGUAAGUCCUGUGUUCGCACUUACAAAUACAAACACAAAGAUUAAAAUAAAUUUGAUCACUCACUAAUUGGAGUAUUUAUGUUAAACUUAUAGUUAUGUUUGGCCCUAAAAGUAUGCAAUAAAAUAACAUCAUUUUCAUAUACAAAAUUUUAUUUAUUCAUUGUUUAUUUUGACCGAACAUUAUUAGACUUAGUUUAUGAAGCAUGUAUUUUAUAUAUUGAUAAUUCUGCUGUACGGCCAAGGCGGAUGUACGGUACAGCAGGCCUAUCUAUCUUUUUUUGGUUUUUGUAUAUAUAUAACUCAUGAGAUUUAUAAUUUUUCAUUAUCAUGUUAACCCCUGGUCUGGACUGUCCUAAUAUUUAAACUUCUUUCCACCAUUUUCAAUUCUUAAAUUGACCAAUAUUUAUCUCAAUGUGUCCCUUUACUUGCCCAUUGAAUUUUGCAUCAAGGAUCUGAUGUGGUAGAAGAGAAGCUAACAAUUUAUGCGCUCGACAAUGUCUUUGCCUUUUGAAUUGAUUGAGAGAUCAUCAUUUCUUCACCCACUGGAAACUUUAGAUUAUGCUUUACGCUUUGGGCUUAUACUGGCAAGCCUACAAUCAUGGUAUUAAAGUUGGUAGAUUGAGGAGAUUCUGGUGAUUCCAGAAUUUUCUACAUUUUCUCUUUAUCUUUUGGAUUUUUAGAACUUUUUCCUUUCUUUUUAUUAGCUUGAUUUUGAUGGAUUUUAUUUAAUUAUAUAUGGAAGGUUAGAUGUUGUGCAUUAAUUAAAUUAUAGUCUUGAAAAAAUACUCUUUAAAAAAAUUCAUCUAGAAAUUUAGAAUUGAAAUCUGUCGAAGGCUAGACUAAAAGUUCUCUUCUCGUCUUUGGCAUUGCACUUGGUUUUAUAUUUCUCUUUACUAUGUACUCUGUUGCAAAAUAUUUUGUUUAUACUUAAUCUUUUAUAAUCCAGCAACUCUUAUGAAGACCUAGUCAACUGUCACUGCUACAUAAGCAUUCAGGUUAUGCUGCUUUAUCAUCAUUUUUAUUUUCUUCCAUUUUUCUCUUUUACAGCUUGUGAGCUUACUGCUUCAUUAUGUCAAUUUUCUGAAUGUGAUUUUUUAUUUUCUCUUGGGUUGUUUAUUCUCAUUUUCCCUUUAGUAUCAAAGCUGAUUAAAUCAAUUAGACACUGAUGAAUUUUAUUAUGAAUUUGAUUAAUUGUAAGUGGGCAAUAUAUUAAUAUGUAUUUUUUUGGCACUCAUUUUAUUGUAACCUAUGUUUCAGGUGAUGUUGGUGGCUUUCGGGAAUUUACUAAGAGUGUUUUUUUUAUGGAUUAAUUGUUUUUCUAGUGAUGUGUUGGUGAUUGGAUAUUGUAAAGGAUUUAUUAGAUAUUGUAUACGGAUUUGAUUCACCAUAUAUUUUGUGAUGCUAUUUGUUGGAAGUUUCAAGUGAUUGAAAUUUUUAGCGCAUCACACUAUUUGGUAUUUGAUAGUUUUUAUGAAUUUGAAUGUAAUUUUUAUUUCAAUUAAUUCAAGUUUUAAAUGUGGUUUUUGUUGUUUUUAUUUCAAAAUUCUGGAAUUUAAAUAAUAAUAAUUAAUAUUAUUAUAAUUUCAAAAUUAAAAAUAAUAAUUUUAUUCUUUUUUAAACUUUAAAUCUCAUGACAAAGAAUGUGAAUCAUUGAUAUAUGACAGCUUUUGAAGAAACCCAUCAAAUUCAAAAUAAUUUAAAUACCUGCUAAAAUUUCCAAUUAAUUCUCGAAAGUCUUUCAAAACGACGUCGCUUGGUUCGUGAUACAUGUGUGAUAAAUAUACAUUGUCAUGGGAACAUGUGAUAGAUAAAAUGUUGUCACAGAUUUGUGAGACGGGCUACAAUGACAGAUGGAAACUCUGUCAUAAGAGGGGUCGGAUGAUAGAUAUUCUCUGUCAUGGUAGCCCAUUUUUCUAGUAGUGUUCAAAUAGAAAAAUUAGUACGUUGUCAAUAUAAUUGUCUUAUAUAUGAUGCCAACAAUGAAACUAAACAAUCAUUCCCUUUAGCAUCCUUUUGGAAAAAUCUCUAUAACAAAUUGGAACAUUUUAAAAACUCAAAUCUUCAUAAAAAGUGGAGUGAGGAGUACCAUUAAUGAGUAAGUCCUGUGUUCGCACUUACAAAUACAAACACAAAGAUUAAAAUAAAUUUGAUCACUCACUAAUUGGAGUAUUUAUGUUAAACUUAUAGUUAUGUUUGGCCCUAAAAGUAUGCAAUAAAAUAACAUCAUUUUCAUAUACAAAAUUUUAUUUAUUCAUUGUUUAUUUUGACCGAACAUUAUUAGACUUAGUUUAUGAAGCAUGUAUUUUAUAUAUUGAUAAUUCUGCUGUACGGCCAAGGCGGAUGUACGGUACAGCAGGCCUAUCUAUCUUUUUUUGGUUUUUGUAUAUAUAUAACUCAUGAGAUUUAUAAUUUUUCAUUAUCAUGUUAACCCCUGGUCUGGACUGUCCUAAUAUUUAAACUUCUUUCCACCAUUUUCAAUUCUUAAAUUGACCAAUAUUUAUCUCAAUGUGUCCCUUUACUUGCCCAUUGAAUUUUGCAUCAAGGAUCUGAUGUGGUAGAAGAGAAGCUAACAAUUUAUGCGCUCGACAAUGUCUUUGCCUUUUGAAUUGAUUGAGAGAUCAUCAUUUCUUCACCCACUGGAAACUUUAGAUUAUGCUUUACGCUUUGGGCUUAUACUGGCAAGCCUACAAUCAUGGUAUUAAAGUUGGUAGAUUGAGGAGAUUCUGGUGAUUCCAGAAUUUUCUACAUUUUCUCUUUAUCUUUUGGAUUUUUAGAACUUUUUCCUUUCUUUUUAUUAGCUUGAUUUUGAUGGAUUUUAUUUAAUUAUAUAUGGAAGGUUAGAUGUUGUGCAUUAAUUAAAUUAUAGUCUUGAAAAAAUACUCUUUAAAAAAAUUCAUCUAGAAAUUUAGAAUUGAAAUCUGUCGAAGGCUAGACUAAAAGUUCUCUUCUCGUCUUUGGCAUUGCACUUGGUUUUAUAUUUCUCUUUACUAUGUACUCUGUUGCAAAAUAUUUUGUUUAUACUUAAUCUUUUAUAAUCCAGCAACUCUUAUGAAGACCUAGUCAACUGUCACUGCUACAUAAGCAUUCAGGUUAUGCUGCUUUAUCAUCAUUUUUAUUUUCUUCCAUUUUUCUCUUUUACAGCUUGUGAGCUUACUGCUUCAUUAUGUCAAUUUUCUGAAUGUGAUUUUUUAUUUUCUCUUGGGUUGUUUAUUCUCAUUUUCCCUUUAGUAUCAAAGCUGAUUAAAUCAAUUAGACACUGAUGAAUUUUAUUAUGAAUUUGAUUAAUUGUAAGUGGGCAAUAUAUUAAUAUGUAUUUUUUUGGCACUCAUUUUAUUGUAACCUAUGUUUCAGGUGAUGUUGGUGGCUUUCGGGAAUUUACUAAGAGUGUUUUUUUUAUGGAUUAAUUGUUUUUCUAGUGAUGUGUUGGUGAUUGGAUAUUGUAAAGGAUUUAUUAGAUAUUGUAUACGGAUUUGAUUCACCAUAUAUUUUGUGAUGCUAUUUGUUGGAAGUUUCAAGUGAUUGAAAUUUUUAGCGCAUCACACUAUUUGGUAUUUGAUAGUUUUUAUGAAUUUGAAUGUAAUUUUUAUUUCAAUUAAUUCAAGUUUUAAAUGUGGUUUUUGUUGUUUUUAUUUCAAAAUUCUGGAAUUUAAAUAAUAAUAAUUAAUAUUAUUAUAAUUUCAAAAUUAAAAAUAAUAAUUUUAUUCUUUUUUAAACUUUAAAUCUCAUGACAAAGAAUGUGAAUCAUUGAUAUAUGACAGCUUUUGAAGAAACCCAUCAAAUUCAAAAUAAUUUAAAUACCUGCUAAAAUUUCCAAUUAAUUCUCGAAAGUCUUUCAAAACGACGUCGCUUGGUUCGUGAUACAUGUGUGAUAAAUAUACAUUGUCAUGGGAACAUGUGAUAGAUAAAAUGUUGUCACAGAUUUGUGAGACGGGCUACAAUGACAGAUGGAAACUCUGUCAUAAGAGGGGUCGGAUGAUAGAUAUUCUCUGUCAUGGUAGCCCAUUUUUCUAGUAGUGUUCAAAUAGAAAAAUUAGUACGUUGUCAAUAUAAUUGUCUUAUAUAUGAUGCCAACAAUGAAACUAAACAAUCAUUCCCUUUAGCAUCCUUUUGGAAAAAUCUCUAUAACAAAUUGGAACAUUUUAAAAACUCAAAUCUUCAUAAAAAGUGGAGUGAGGAGUACCAUUAAUGAGUAAGUCCUGUGUUCGCACUUACAAAUACAAACACAAAGAUUAAAAUAAAUUUGAUCACUCACUAAUUGGAGUAUUUAUGUUAAACUUAUAGUUAUGUUUGGCCCUAAAAGUAUGCAAUAAAAUAACAUCAUUUUCAUAUACAAAAUUUUAUUUAUUCAUUGUUUAUUUUGACCGAACAUUAUUAGACUUAGUUUAUGAAGCAUGUAUUUUAUAUAUUGAUAAUUCUGCUGUACGGCCAAGGCGGAUGUACGGUACAGCAGGCCUAUCUAUCUUUUUUUGGUUUUUGUAUAUAUAUAACUCAUGAGAUUUAUAAUUUUUCAUUAUCAUGUUAACCCCUGGUCUGGACUGUCCUAAUAUUUAAACUUCUUUCCACCAUUUUCAAUUCUUAAAUUGACCAAUAUUUAUCUCAAUGUGUCCCUUUACUUGCCCAUUGAAUUUUGCAUCAAGGAUCUGAUGUGGUAGAAGAGAAGCUAACAAUUUAUGCGCUCGACAAUGUCUUUGCCUUUUGAAUUGAUUGAGAGAUCAUCAUUUCUUCACCCACUGGAAACUUUAGAUUAUGCUUUACGCUUUGGGCUUAUACUGGCAAGCCUACAAUCAUGGUAUUAAAGUUGGUAGAUUGAGGAGAUUCUGGUGAUUCCAGAAUUUUCUACAUUUUCUCUUUAUCUUUUGGAUUUUUAGAACUUUUUCCUUUCUUUUUAUUAGCUUGAUUUUGAUGGAUUUUAUUUAAUUAUAUAUGGAAGGUUAGAUGUUGUGCAUUAAUUAAAUUAUAGUCUUGAAAAAAUACUCUUUAAAAAAAUUCAUCUAGAAAUUUAGAAUUGAAAUCUGUCGAAGGCUAGACUAAAAGUUCUCUUCUCGUCUUUGGCAUUGCACUUGGUUUUAUAUUUCUCUUUACUAUGUACUCUGUUGCAAAAUAUUUUGUUUAUACUUAAUCUUUUAUAAUCCAGCAACUCUUAUGAAGACCUAGUCAACUGUCACUGCUACAUAAGCAUUCAGGUUAUGCUGCUUUAUCAUCAUUUUUAUUUUCUUCCAUUUUUCUCUUUUACAGCUUGUGAGCUUACUGCUUCAUUAUGUCAAUUUUCUGAAUGUGAUUUUUUAUUUUCUCUUGGGUUGUUUAUUCUCAUUUUCCCUUUAGUAUCAAAGCUGAUUAAAUCAAUUAGACACUGAUGAAUUUUAUUAUGAAUUUGAUUAAUUGUAAGUGGGCAAUAUAUUAAUAUGUAUUUUUUUGGCACUCAUUUUAUUGUAACCUAUGUUUCAGGUGAUGUUGGUGGCUUUCGGGAAUUUACUAAGAGUGUUUUUUUUAUGGAUUAAUUGUUUUUCUAGUGAUGUGUUGGUGAUUGGAUAUUGUAAAGGAUUUAUUAGAUAUUGUAUACGGAUUUGAUUCACCAUAUAUUUUGUGAUGCUAUUUGUUGGAAGUUUCAAGUGAUUGAAAUUUUUAGCGCAUCACACUAUUUGGUAUUUGAUAGUUUUUAUGAAUUUGAAUGUAAUUUUUAUUUCAAUUAAUUCAAGUUUUAAAUGUGGUUUUUGUUGUUUUUAUUUCAAAAUUCUGGAAUUUAAAUAAUAAUAAUUAAUAUUAUUAUAAUUUCAAAAUUAAAAAUAAUAAUUUUAUUCUUUUUUAAACUUUAAAUCUCAUGACAAAGAAUGUGAAUCAUUGAUAUAUGACAGCUUUUGAAGAAACCCAUCAAAUUCAAAAUAAUUUAAAUACCUGCUAAAAUUUCCAAUUAAUUCUCGAAAGUCUUUCAAAACGACGUCGCUUGGUUCGUGAUACAUGUGUGAUAAAUAUACAUUGUCAUGGGAACAUGUGAUAGAUAAAAUGUUGUCACAGAUUUGUGAGACGGGCUACAAUGACAGAUGGAAACUCUGUCAUAAGAGGGGUCGGAUGAUAGAUAUUCUCUGUCAUGGUAGCCCAUUUUUCUAGUAGUGUUCAAAUAGAAAAAUUAGUACGUUGUCAAUAUAAUUGUCUUAUAUAUGAUGCCAACAAUGAAACUAAACAAUCAUUCCCUUUAGCAUCCUUUUGGAAAAAUCUCUAUAACAAAUUGGAACAUUUUAAAAACUCAAAUCUUCAUAAAAAGUGGAGUGAGGAGUACCAUUAAUGAGUAAGUCCUGUGUUCGCACUUACAAAUACAAACACAAAGAUUAAAAUAAAUUUGAUCACUCACUAAUUGGAGUAUUUAUGUUAAACUUAUAGUUAUGUUUGGCCCUAAAAGUAUGCAAUAAAAUAACAUCAUUUUCAUAUACAAAAUUUUAUUUAUUCAUUGUUUAUUUUGACCGAACAUUAUUAGACUUAGUUUAUGAAGCAUGUAUUUUAUAUAUUGAUAAUUAAUUUCAUUUCAAUAUUGGAUGAUAUAAAUCACAAAUUUUUUAUGAAUAAAAAAUUGUACAUAGUCAUUAAUGAAUUGGACAUGUCAUUAUGUACGUAAUUUUAUACUUUUCCUAUCUCUACAAUGAGUGAUUUUUUCUUGAUCGCUAAAUUGGAGAUUUCAAGUAGAAAAGUUAAUUUGUUGUCAAUAUAAUAGUAAUACAUAUGAUGCCAACAAUGAAACAUAACAAUCAUUUCCUUUGUCAUCCUUAUAGAAAAAUCUCUAUAAUAAACUGGAACAUUUAAAAUCUUAAGUGUUUAUAAAAUAUGGAGUGAGGACCAUUAACGAAUAAGUCAUGUUCAUAUUUACAAAAACAAGCACAGAAGCACAAACACAAAAAUUGAAAUAAAUGUGAGAACAGAUAACUAUUUUUGAAAUAAUGCCCAUUACGAGCAUUACUGGUCUUUAUUGUUUGUAACCGCUACUUGAAACGCCUUUAGUGCUGCAACUAUUUGCUACUUUCUUGAAAUCCCAUCUUCGCACCAAACCAAUCUUCAAACCCGGCUAAUAAUUACUUCAUUUUAGAGCAAUUCGGAAGUCUUGUCACAAAUUUUCACCCCGAUAAGUCAGGGGUUUACUUGAUACAAAUAAAUAAACUAUUUCUUUCCGUAAGAAAUUGGUGUAAAAUCGAUUAUCCAGAUGUUAUUAUCCCAAUUUAUGAAUCUUAAUUUUCAUGAUGAGAAAUUAUGCCCCUAUUAACCAUACAAAAUAAAUUUUAAAAAUAAAAUAAAAUAAAAUAAAACCAUACAGAGUAUACAAAAAGAGAGCGGUUAAUAUUUAUUAUUAUUGUUGAAAUAAUUUAUUGAAAUUCACCUAGUGUCUGUUUAAUCUUUAUAUUUUAAAAAAUAACUCAAGACACCCUUACCGUUGAAUAUGUUACACUUAUAUCCUUACUUUUUCUUUUAAUUUAUAAUAAUAUUCUUACAACAUUAUUCUUGAGAAUAUUAAUAAAAAAUAAUUUAUUAUAUUAAACUUAAAAGUAACAUAAAAAUUAACACAAAUUUUUAUAUUAUUAUUUUACUUUUGUUAUUUCACGACUUUAUAUCGUAUUAGAAAAGUUUAAGUAACUAGUUUUGCUCCUUGUGGCUAGCUGUUAUUGGCAGCUGGAGCAUGUAAUCUUAAACCCAAUAACUUUAAGAGGAAAAUGUUAAUAAGUAUAAUUAUCACAAAGAAAUCAAAAAUAUAAAAAGUAUAAAAAUCAAAUAAUCUAAAAAUAAAAUUCCACUAUAAAAGAAAAACAAAACUAACAUUACACGAAGGAAAAUGGUCGUUAGUUUCCUGAAUACUUCAAUUAACUUCCUUAAGUUUGUUCCUGCUCCUUUAGUUUGCUGAGACAUACUGCAGUAAAUGAUGACUUUGAACGACUUGUCACUUUCUUCAGGAAAUUAAGGAAUUUGCCCAAAAUUGAAAAGUAAAGUCAUCUCUAACAAAGUUCGAAAAAGUUUCUCAAAACUCACUAACCUCGCUUCCAAUUCCUUCAUUGAUUCGCAUAUAUUCUCUGUUUUUCUUCUAUUAGUUUCUGUUAGGAAUUUUAGCAAACAUUUGAUAUGGAUAACACAAUUAAAAUAAUAGAACAAAGAAUUUCGAUUCCUAAUUUAACUGAAAAAAAAAAUCUGAAUUUCACUUAAUACAAUCACAACUAAAGUAAUCAAAAUUAAAUUAGCUGAGUUAAAAAAUGCAUGCCAUCUUCUCAUUGUUAUCAACCUGCAACUCAAUAUCGAAAAACACCGAACGUGACCCUCUGUUAGCCUUAUGCCUCUUGUCCCCUCCCUCUCCAUAGCCUAACAUCUUCCAUGUGCUUCCUAUUGGUUUUUUACCCAAUAAGUAAAAAAAGAAGGAAAAAAAAAGUUCAAAUAUUUAGCGCGAUUGAGAUUAGAACUGAUCAAGUUCUAUUCAUCUUCCUAGGACGAGAUGAAUGCUGCUCGUCCAGUCUUCCUUAGCAUUUUGCAGCUUCACACCAACAUUUUUUGACUUGGAUUUCUUGAACUGAUCAAGUUGCAGGAAAAUAAUAAUAAUAAUAAUAAAGAUUUGAAAUAGAGAGGCAAAGCUAAACGAGAAAAAGACUUGAGAACUUUAUUUAUUUAUUUAUUUUUGUAUUAGUUUGUUUAGGGUUUUAAUUCUGCUUCAUUUUUUUUUCUGUUAUAUAAAAACUUAGCAUGUUAAUAACUGAAUAUUUUAGAAGUGAGAAAACUAAAAUUAAAAAAAUGAAAAACGUAAAUUAAAUUUCCAGAGAAUUUUUUAAUUAAAUUUUAAAAAAGAAAAAAAUAAAAAAGAAGAACAGUUUCAGUUCUUUUGUAAAUAAUAAAAAAUCAAAAUUAAAUUUUAAUGAAAUAGAAGCUUUAACAAGUUAAAAAAUAUUUAUAAGUCAAGACAAAACUAUAUGCUAUAAUUUUUUAGUUUACUAACUAUAUCUAAUUAUCCAGAACAAUUUAUCAUGAAAGUUGAGGGGCACAGGUUCAAGUUCUACCGCUAUCUAAAAGUUGGUGUUAAGACUUUAGUUUUCCUCUUAUUAAUAGGUAAGGGGAAAUUAAGACUUUAAAUUAUCUCCUAUUAAUAGGCAAGCGUUAAAAGGAGAAUUUAAAAAAAAAAUCUGUGCAAAAAAGUGAAGUCUCUAAAUUAUUAAAAACUAGAGUAAAUAGGAGAAUUAAAAAAAAAAUCCUUAAAAAAAGUGAAGUCUCUAAAUUAUUGAAAACUAAAAGCGUUUGCGAGACUAAUACUUGUGUCUCAAAUUAUUGAACAAAUUUACACAAUUCUUUUAGCUACAAAAUAUUAAUGUCACUGACGACUACAUUUUGUUACACAUAUUUGUUGUUAUAAGAGAUGAUAAACUAUCCAAGAAUGUUAAAAUUUGCAGGAAUUUAUUAGUGCUAAAAAUACGAUGUCUCUGCAUAACGAAUGUCAUUAUGUUCACCAAAAGAAUAAGAAUCAAAUAGCAAAUAAAUGUGUUUUAAAAACAAAAUAACUUGGUCAAAAAGUACAGUAAUAACUAAAACAAAAUAUUCAAUUACUAUUUUUAAGAUUUUGUCGCUAUAGAAUUAUUUGUGACAAAAAAUUUGGGUGCCUAAUUUAGAGAAAGCCAAAAUAAUUUUGGAGACUAAUAUUUUUGUCAUAGCUUGUUUCACCAAAUUUAUACUCUUUUUUAGUUGAUAAUUUUUUGUCGCCUCUAAUUAUUUUUCAUCAUCACAUUUUUUUGUCACAACUGAUAAUUAAUUGUUUGGAGGAAUUGUUUUUCACUAUAUAUAUAUUAUGACCAAUGUAAUAUUUGUCACAAAAAGUUGAAUCAAUGACCAAUUAAUGCAUCCCAAAAUAAGAAUUAUUGGUUAGAAAAUAUAAUAUAAAUUAGAACUAGACUAAUAGUUUGAAAUUGUUGUAAAAAAAUCGUCUUAAAAAGUCAAAUUUCUUAUACUACACAUUGAUAUAUAUUGAUUAAUUUGUUAAUUAAUUUUUUAUUUAUAGAUAAAUUAAUUAAUGUUACGAAUAUCGUUGAAAGAGUAUUAUUAUAAAAAAAAAGAAAAAAAGGAUAAGAAUGUAACAUAUUUAACUGAAGAGGUGUUUUGAGAUAUUUUUUAAAAUAUAAAACUAAACAAACAUUUAACUCAUAAUAUAGGAAUUAAAUAAUCAUUUAUCUUUAUUUUGUAGAUAACUAGUUUUGCUGGAAACUCCCAUAUAUACAACAGAUUUGGAAACACAAUACGCCACUCACAGUCACUUGGAGAAAUUCUCAAAGAGUAAAUAUGGCAGUGAUACUCAAAAAUAUAUUCCGAAUCACUGCUUCCAAGUUGGUCACCAAUAAUAUCCAAAUCUUCACGAAAAGAAGUAUAAAAACUGCCACUUCUGAUGUUCAAAUCAUUUCCACCGAAGCAAUCAAACCUCAUCUCCAACACCAAAACAUCUCAGAACCUAUAAGCUUUCAUUGCCUGAUCAAUUGUGUUCUAAACUUUACGUGUCCCUUGUUUUCUUCUACUCGACCAAUUGCAAACAGCAAGAUCUCAGAAAAAAAUCCGAUUUGUUGAAGCAGUCUCUCGCAAAAUCAUUAACGCACUACUACCCUUUUGCUGGACGAUUGAUUGAUAGCUUUUCAGUCGACUGCAAUGACCAUGGGGCUGCAUUUACUGGGGCUGCAAUUGUUGGCUGUGAUAUAUCAAAGUUUCUUCAACCACCAGAUAUGGAGCUGCUACUACAAUUAAUCCCACCUAGUCCCCAGUUAUCGAAUUUAGAUAUUUCUGAAAGAGAACUUUUGGCAGUCCAAGUAAAUUUGUUCAGCGGCGGUGAAAUGGCAAUUGGUGUUUGUUUUUCGCAUGGAGUGGCCGAUGGUUCAGCAAUAUUUAACUUCAUGAAAACGUCGGGCGAAAUCACUCGUGGGGUGAUUAAUGAUAAUGAUAAUAUUUUCAAUAACAAUGUCGUUUUAGAUUGCACUUCUUUGUUUCCGCCGGUAAAUUUUCCGAAGCCGUAUCAAAUCGUCACAAGCCCACAAUCUUCAGGCAACAUUGUAUUCAAAAGAUUGUUGUUUGAUAGCAAGAAGAUAGCAGCUCUAAAGGAGAAGAUGAAUAAAGAGCUAAUGGGUAAUAAUUUUGAUGAUAGGUUACAAGCAACACGAUUCGGGGUUGCAUCAGCACUCAUUUGGGGUGCCUUCAUUGCUAUUGCUGGGGAAAGAAAGAGGGAAAUUCAUAACAAGUUGUAUUCUCAUGCUAUGUAUUAUACUAUGAAUGUGCGUAACAAGACGAAUCCACCGAUGAUUCCACGGUGCAGGGGUAACAUUUUUUGGUUUGCAAGGGCAGAAUGGUCACUAGCCGAGAAUGAUGCCAUAAAGGUAGCAAGUUUAGUAAGAGAAGUGAUCAAAGCAAAGAGAAUGGGAGGAGAAGUGAUGCAUAGUAAUGAGCACUUAGGUUUCAUAAAGGAUAUGGAAGAAACAUGGGAGGAUUCAAGGUCGUUUGUUUUAACUAGUGUGGUUGGAUUGCCUUGUUAUGAAGUUGAUUUUGGCUGGGGGAAGCCUGUUUGGUUCAGUGUCGGGCCCUUCUUAUUACUUGAUUUUGCAAUUUUAUCAAGCUCAAGCGAUGGUGAAGGAAUAGAAGCAUGGGUGGUAAUGUUUAAGGAGGACAUGGAUAAAUUUGAACAAGAACCUAGCAUCAAGGCUUAUGCUUCCUCUAACCCUAGCAUAUUUAUAGGGAAGUAGGAAGUUAAUUUUAUGUAUGUUGCUUUGAAUAAAAGAGUUUUUUUUCCUAAAUAGAGUAAUGAUGAUAUGCUUAUAAAGUUAAAAAUAUGUUUGUUUUACAAUAAUUAUAUCUUGUUAUUGUCAUAUGUCUCUUUAAAUAAAAUCAUGUUAUGAAUGCAUACUUUCUUUCUUUCGAUCAAUGAAACCCACCAACCAUUUUGAUGGUUAUUUUGGACAACGAGAAGGGGAGGAGGAAAAAAAAAUAAAAAUGAAUGUGAUGUAGUUAUUUUGGAUAAGCAUAGCUUCAUAUAGAUGAUUUCGAUAAAUAAAAAAUGUGAAUCAAUUCUGAAUUUGCCAAAUAAAAUGUAUGUGAUGUAGUUUUUUAUCAAGGCAACCAGCAUCUGUGACCAUUGUGUGUUAAAUCUUAAUGGGCACUGAGCCCAUUUGUGAAUAACCGUAAGAACCAUGCUAUUUCCCUCUCCCAGUCCUCACAUUGCCUCUGAAAAGGCAGUGGCUAUUCACCCAACGUUAUUUCUUAUUAAUAAUCCCCACUUUUAUUCCACUGCAAGCAAUUUAAGGAAUCAUAUCGUAUCCAAUUCCUUGCAGAAUUAAAAUUUUCUUUAUCUACUGAGUAUCCAAAUCCUUGAAGAACUAACUAUUUUCUUUCUUUGUACAACUUCUUUUAUCAGUUACAUUAAUUGGUUUAUUAGUUAAAAAAUAAUAAUAAUAAUCACGUGAUCUGCUAAUCUAUUUCCAGAAAAUAAUUCAUUUGUUUUCGAAAAAUAAAUUGAACAAGUACUUAAUAUCGUAAAGGGUGUUAUUGUUUUAAAGGGUAGUUACUGGCAAUCGCGCUCUACUGCCGAUAGCUGAAGACUAAUUAUAAUGUCAUAAUUGAAACCAAGAAAAGCCUUCAAGUCCGCACGAACGUCUAGGAAAGGAGGACACGCGUCCUUUUGUAGAGCAGCGACUGUAUCAGACACUCCCAAAGGCCCAAAGGCAACUGGAACUGAUCUAGCACAACUCAUGAUAAAAGUACAAAAUAUUGUAUAAUUUUUUUAUGGGGCAGGUUCAAUAAGGUUUGAGAAGACAAAAAUAUAAACACAAUUUUUUACAAUAAUUUUGAGUCAUUAGAUUAAACAAAAAAUGAAUGGUUACAAUUAAAUGACGUGAUUGUAUUAAUAUCAGUAAUAAUUUUUUUUCUCUCUUUUCUCAUUAAUACUCUAUUCUCUCUCAUCCUUCUACUGAAUUUGUUAUCUCUCUCCCCUAGUUCUCCACCUCCUACGAAGAAAAACCAAGAGCAAUUGCAAAUAAUUGAAUAACUUUUUCUUUCCAAAUGACAAAUCAUUUAUCCAGAGAGCUCCUUCAUGAAUGUGAAGCAUACGGAAAUCAUUCAAAUCUGAGUACAUUUAGCUAUAAGCAAGUUUCCUUAGUGCUACGAGAAUCCACCAUUAAUGCAUUUGUGACGGAGCAGGUGUAGCGGAAGUAGAAUUGAUAGGGUCGAUAAUAUUAGAUAUCGUUCUAAUAUUGUACAUCGAAGCGUGAUUAGUUCUUAUUUUAAUUAAAAAAAACUCAGUGAGAUUUUAAUAAUGCGUAAAGUGAGAUUAGAUGAUAUUCUAAUUCAAACAACUCUAUAAGAGAGUUUUUUUUUUUUUAUAGAUAAUCCCAAUAGAAAAAAGGGAUUUUAUUGAAUAAUUGAAGUUGAAGUUAUCAAAGCAAUAACAAGACCUCCCUAUUUAUAAUAGAGAAAGCCUACUUCUCUAAAUUAACUUAAAAAUGAAAACUAAAUCACAAUUAUAAUAGAAAUAAAAGAUUAAGAUACAUACCUUAAUUGAUUCUAAUUAUAGAAAAUCCUAAAAUAAUAAAAUUCUUGAAUCCUAAAAUAACAUGCUAUGUCAGUCUCACCCUCUUAAAAGAAAAUCGUCCUCAAGUUUGAAUACAAUCUGAGGAUGAAACUUGUAAUGUAAGACCAAAUCAUCUUGUAAUUUGAACCUAUAGUCUUUGUCAUCAAUCUUUGUCGAAACUUUGAAGGAUUUAUACUUCAUCAAUUUCCUUUGCUUAUACAUUCUUCGAGGCGAUGAAGACUUCAAGAGCGAACAAUGAUCAAAUAACUCUUAACCUUCCCUAUUUGUCGCUCAAUAUGCUUUCCAACAAAUUUUACCUUUCAAAUUAAAUCUUUGCAAACACAACCUUCUUGUCCAUAAUGUAAAUCCGUAGAACCAUUUCGAUCAUUGCAGUUUCUUCAACUUGAUUUUACUACACAACCUCGAUCGUAUUGUUAGGCUUAAUGCUCAAAUCAAGAGUAGGUUGUACUUCUUCUUUAAUAAUAUCUUCAUCUUAGAAAUUGUCUUUUCUUCCGGCAUCUCACACGAGUCUUCUUCCUUAACGACAGGUGGAAAUCAUUGGUACAUCUUUAGGCAUUCUCAUAGAGACACCAUUUUUUGAUUUAAUCUUUGGUUUCUUCAAUUCUUUAAUCACGUCAUUAAAGCUUCUUUUACACUGUGUCUCGAUUUGUGACUUGAUUUGUGUGCUAAAUAAAUUGCAUGUUAUAAAGUGUAGAUAGUGUAUGUAGGCAUCUUAUUUUGAAUUGAAAAGCUUAGCCCCCUAAAAGACCUUGUAAUUAUAUCCUCUUCAAGUUUAUAAUAAUAUUUGCAUCCAUAAAAUUAUUUAAACUCAUAAGCAUAAAAUCAGAUCGCAAAAUAUGCUUCAUAUGGUUCCAUGAUCAAAUUUUGCAUUUGCCUCGGUCAAGUCAAGAAUAUUACAAUUGUUCCCACCAUUCUGAAACACUAAAUCUCAAUUUACAAACAGUAAAUGAAAUUUGUUUUUCUUUAGGAGUACGCAAAACUACAAACCAAUGUUCAACCUUGUCCAACCAACCAAGAAAUUUCUCAGGACGAGUGUGUGCAAAUAAGUCCGACACAUGAUAAAUAGAAGGUAUGGACAAUAGUUUGCCAUUAAUUAUCAAGUUUCCAGACAAUUUCAAAACUCUAAAUAAUGCUCAACUCUUGCAUUUGGUGUCGUUGGCGGUUGGUUGCCAUGUUUUGGACGAGGGGCGUUGGAUCUAGAACAGACAAUAGCUCGGAGCAAGUUCAUGUCGGCUGUGACAAUCAACUUGUGUCAAUUUGAUCGAAAAAGUAACUUGAAGCAAUGGCGACUUAUAGUAAGUGUGGCUGUGAUUCAUGGCGGUUUAUAGCGGAGUUGGCUGUGAUUUGGCUGGUGGUGGUUGGUGAAAGAAAUUCUAUGAAGAGUAUAAUUCUUGUUCUGUAAUUUUAAUGAAUUUUACAGAGUUAUUUAUACAAAAUAAAGACAAAGUAACUGUUGAAAGGCUUAAUAAUAUUAAAGGAAAAUAAGUAACUUCCUAAACUAUUGCACAAUAUCUUUAUAAAAUAGGAAUGAAAUAUUCCUACAUGAUAUUGGCAUUCAAGUGUAAAAAUCGUGCUGGAGAUAUUCCUUGACAAAUAGCUUUGACGUGAGCAAGCUGUGUGGAGUGAUAAACCCUUUGUUGACUUGACCGUUGAUGACUUUCCUUUUGGUAAUCUUGGUCAGCUUGCUUAACAUCCCCCCUCAAGCUGGCAAGUGACAUUUGAUGAACGCCAAGCUUGUAUCUGAAAUCGCGGAACAUGGCUUUUGACAAAGCCUUAGUAAAAACGUCUGCAAUUUGUAACGAAUAAGGGACAAACCUCGUAACCAAGGCACCAUCAGCAACCUUUUCUCUAAUGAAGUGAUAAUCUAAUUCAAUAUGCUUCGAGCGAGCAUGAACUUCGUAACCAAGGCACCAUCAGCAACCUUUUCUCUAAUGAAGUGAUAAUCUAAUUCAAUAUGCUUCGAGCGAGCAUGAAAGACUGGGUUAAUAGUCAUAUACAAGGCACUUAAAUUAUCACUUAAAAUUUGUGGAGGUUGAGCAAGAGGAAUGCCAAUUUCUCGGUACAGGUAUGUGAUCCAUGUGAGUUCUGCUGCUGUAGAAGCAAGGGCUCGGUACUCAGCUUCAGCACUGGAUCUAGAGACAGUUGGCUGUCGUUUUGAAGACCAUGAGAUGCAAUUUGCACCCAUAUAGACACAAUAUCCCGUGGUACUUCUCCGAGUGUCUGGACAGCCUCCCCAAUCAGCAUCACAAAAGGCAGUAAUAUUAAGAGAGCUUUGUUGGAGAAAUCUGAUCCCAUAAUCCAAGCUCCCUUUUAAGUACCUGAGAAUACGUUUAACAGCACGUAAAUUAGCCUCAGUGGGUGUUUGAAAAUGUUGACAUACCUUAUUGACUGCGUGAACGAUGUCCGGCCUUGUUAGAGUGAGAUAUUGGAGCCCUCCAACUAAUCGUCUAUAUUCGGUUGCAUUGACGGGCUUGUGAUCAAUGGGGUUGGCUUGUUCUUUGAUGGCCAUAGGAGUUGACAAACUAGUGCUUUCUAGCAUCUUUGCUUUGGUCAGUAAGUCUUUGGUGUAUUUGGUUUGAGAAACAUAAAUACCUCCAGAGAAAUACCGAAUCUCAAGUCCUAAGAAGAAAUGGAGCUGUCCCAAAUCCUUUAAAGCAAACUCAAUGCUUAGUUGAUGAAUAAGUUGGUCAAUUAAAAAAGUAUUGUUGCCUGUCACCACUAUAUCAUCAACAUAAAUUAGCAUUAGGAUUAAUGAGUCAUUAUUAUGAAAUAUAAAUAAGGAAGAGUCGGCUUUACUGCAUAUGAAACCCAAUUGAAGUAAAUAAUGAGAAAGCCUAUCAAACCAAGCACGGGGUGCUUGUUUAAGACCAUACAAGGACUUGUUAAGCUUACACACAUAAUCAGGAUAUAAAGGAUUAGAGAAACCAGGAGGUUGUUCCAUAAAAAUAGUUUCUUUUAAAAAACCAUGUAAAAAAGCAUUUUUAACAUCAAGUUGUCUCAUGGUCCAAUUUAAUGUUACAGCAAGAGAAAAAAUUAACCGAAUUGUGGUAGGUUUAAUCACAGGACUAAAGGUUUCUUCGAAAUCCAAACCUGGAAUUUGUGUGUAUCCUUGUGCUACAAGACGCGCCUUGUAUUUGUCUAUGGACCCAUCUUCCUUAAACUUAGUUCGAUACACCCAUUUUGAUCCCACUAUGUUUGUAUUCACUGGCCUUGGUACCAAACUCCAUGUAUUAUUCUGAUGGAGAGCAUCAAGCUCUUCUAACAUAGCUGUGCGCCAAUGAGGUUGUCGAAUGGCGGUUUUGAAGUGUUUUGGCUCUAUUGUUGUAGUAAGAGCCAUUUUAUCAACCAACUCAGGGUGAUGACGCAACUUGUGUCUAGUUAUCAUUUGAUGAGUGUUGCUUGUUUCUGGCUCUUUUGGAAUACGAAGAUCUACAAAUAUAUCAAUGCCUUUAGUUGACUGAGGAGUAUUAGUUUCUAACUCCAAAUGAGUGCUGCCAGUUCCUAUAUUGUUCUCUGACUCUUGCUCAAUUAAAGUGAUAUCAAAUUCUUCAAAUGAUGCUGAGCUAGGGCUUAAGCUGGCUUGAUUAUCUGUAGAGGCUGAAUCGGUGUGGAUGACUAUAUCAUGAAUUUCACGUGGGACUUGUUGGCUUGUGUCCAAGUCAUGCAUGUUUGAGUUCAUUGUGUUUUGAAGACCUAUAGAGUUUGGAUUUGCAUGAGCAACUUGUUGUUGGUUUACGUGAAACUCAUGCUGGGCUUGCUGAAAUGGGGAGCUAUUUUCNNNNNNNNNNNNNNNNNNNNNNNNNNNNNNNNNNNNNNNNNNNNNNNNNNNNNNNNNNNNNNNNNNNNNNNNNNNNNNNNNNNNNNNNNNNNNNNNNNNNNNNNNNNNNNNNNNNNNNNNNNNNNNNNNNNNNNNNNNNNNNNNNNNNNNNNNNNNNNNNNNNNNNNNNNNNNNNNNNNNNNNNNNNNNNNNNNNNNNNNNNNNNNNNNNNNNNNNNNNNNNNNNNNNNNNNNNNNNNNNNNNNNNNNNNNNNNNNNNNNNNNNNNNNNNNNNNNNNNNNNNNNNNNNNNNNNNNNNNNNNNNNNNNNNNNNNNNNNNNNNNNNNNNNNNNNNNNNNNNNNNNNNNNNNNNNNNNNNNNNNNNNNNNNNNNNNNNNNNNNNNNNNNNNNNNNNNNNNNNNNNNNNNNNNNNNNNNNNNNNNNNNNNNNNNNNNNNNNNNNNNNNNNNNNNNNNNNNNNNNNNNNNNNNNNNNNNNNNNNNNNNNNNNNNNNNNNNNNNNNNNNNNNNNNNNNNNNNNNNNNNNNNNNNNNNNNNNNNNNNNNNNNNNNNNNNNNNNNNNNNNNNNNNNNNNNNNNNNNNNNNNNNNNNNNNNNNNNNNNNNNNNNNNNNNNNNNNNNNNNNNNNNNNNNNNNNNNNNNNNNNNNNNNNNNNNNNNNNNNNNNNNNNNNNNNNNNNNNNNNNNNNNNNNNNNNNNNNNNNNNNNNNNNNNNNNNNNNNNNNNNNNNNNNNNNNNNNNNNNNNNNNNNNNNNNNNNNNNNNNNNNNNNNNNNNNNNNNNNNNNNNNNNNNNNNNNNNNNNNNNNNNNNNNNNNNNNNNNNNNNNNNNNNNNNNNNNNNNNNNNNNNNNNNNNNNNNNNNNNNNNNNNNNNNNNNNNNNNNNNNNNNNNNNNNNNNNNNNNNNNNNNNNNNNNNNNNNNNNNNNNNNNNNNNNNNNNNNNNNNNNNNNNNNNNNNNNNNNNNNNNNNNNNNNNNNNNNNNNNNNNNNNNNNNNNNNNNNNNNNNNNNNNNNNNNNNNNNNNNNNNNNNNNNNNNNNNNNNNNNNNNNNNNNNNNNNNNNNNNNNNNNNNNNNNNNNNNNNNNNNNNNNNNNNNNNNNNNNNNNNNNNNNNNNNNNNNNNNNNNNNNNNNNNNNNNNNNNNNNNNNNNNNNNNNNNNNNNNNNNNNNNNNNNNNNNNNNNNNNNNNNNNNNNNNNNNNNNNNNNNNNNNNNNNNNNNNNNNNNNNNNNNNNNNNNNNNNNNNNNNNNNNNNNNNNNNNNNNNNNNNNNNNNNNNNNNNNNNNNNNNNNNNNNNNNNNNNNNNNNNNNNNNNNNNNNNNNNNNNNNNNNNNNNNNNNNNNNNNNNNNNNNNNNNNNNNNNNNNNNNNNNNNNNNNNNNNNNNNNNNNNNNNNNNNNNNNNNNNNNNNNNNNNNNNNNNNNNNNNNNNNNNNNNNNNNNNNNNNNNNNNNNNNNNNNNNNNNNNNNNNNNNNNNNNNNNNNNUGUAAUCAAAAUUUAUACCAAAAAGUUUGUAAAAGGGAGUCUUCAUAUUUAAAGUGGACGAAGGUAGCUUAUUAAUAACAUAAACAGCAGUAGAAAAAGCAUCAACCCAAUAUUGUAAUGGCAUAUUUGCAUGAAAGAGCAUUGUCAAACCUGUUUCUAUAAUAUGUCGGUGUUUCCUUUCGGCAACACUAUUUUGUUCAGGAGUUGCAGGACAUGACAAUUGAUGUUGUAUUCCACAUUGACUGAGAUGACUUUGAAAUUCAUUUGAUAUGAAUUCACCUCCUCCAUCACUUUGAAAUAAUUUUAUCCUCUUGUCGAAUCGAUUUUCAACCUGUUUCUGAAACUUGAUAAAAACAUCAAAUAAAUCUGAUUUAUUUUUCAAAGGGUAUAGCCAUGUAUAACGUGUGCAGUCAUCAACAAAGAUAGCAUAAUAUCUAAAACUUUGAACAGAAGAAAUAGGAGCAGGACCCCACAAGUCGCAGUGAAUUUUAUGUAAAGGAACGCUGGAAAUUUUAUUGGAAAAAUUAAAAGGAAGUUUGCAGUUCUUUCCCAUUUGACAACUGGAACAUACAUAAUCUUUCGUAAUCCAAUUUGAAACAUCAAUAAGUUUGUUUUUAUUCAAAAACUUAAUGGACUUGAUUUGGGGGUGUCCCAUUCUUUGAUGCCAUAUGUUGUAAGGUGCUUUCCUGCCUUCAGAUAAGUAUAGGGCUGCAUGAUGUCCUUCAUCUAAAGCAUAAAGCCCUUUUGUCUUAGUUCCCUUUGCCAAGAUGUUUCCCUGAUAAUCCUUAACAACAAACUUGUUAGAUGAAAACUCAAUAAUGCAUGAAUUAUCAUGUGUGAGCUGCUCUACCGAAAGUAAAUUAUUUUUCAAGCCUGGAACCACAAGCACAUUUUUUAAAUAUAGUUUACUAAUGCCAGUGUCUAUGGAGGUGUUUCCUAUAUGUGAAAUAUUAAGACAAUCGCCAUUUCCAACAACAAUGGCAUCAUUCCCUUCAUAAGGUUUAAGUUCAGAAAUUUUACCUGGAUCAUUGACCAUAUGGGUAGUUGCUCCUGAGUCAGCAUAUCCGUCAACAUUCAAUGGCUGUAUGUUUCGGUAAAUGACAAAUUUGACAUAUGACAGUUUCUUCAUUGACUUCCUCAGCUUGUUGUUUGGAUUGAUUCUGAAUUUUCUGCCAAGGCUGUCCAGAAUUAUUUUGCCGAGGUUGCUGCCACUGUUGUCCCGAAUUUCCUUGCCAUGAUUGUUGCCCUUGUUGACUUGGAUUAUUGUUUGAUUUUUGCCAUGACUGACUUGCAUUAUUAUUCCAACUUUUUCCACCAUUGUAGUUGAUUUUUUGACCACUUGAAUCAGCCAAAUUUUGUCCUCCUGCUGCUGUAAAACCACGACCUUUUGAGUUAAAGAAACCUCCAUUUCCACGACCUUUUCCCUUGCCUCGUUGGCUAAAAAAGGCUUGAGCCAGAUUGAUUGUAUUCUUCUUUUCUUCUUCAAAAUUAAUAAGAGUUUGUUCAUGAUUUUCGAGGGCCAUGACAAACUGCUUAAAUGAGGGAUAAGGUGGUUUUGAAAGUUGAGCAAGUUUGAAGUCUUGAUACCUGUAGCCAAGACCUCUUGCAAGACCAAAGACUUUAUCUAAGUCAUUCACUGGUUUAUUUAUUGCAGCCAAACAAUCACAAAUAUGCUUGUAUUUGCGCACAUACUCUUCAACUGAUAGAGAUCCCUUUUUAAACCGAGAGAAUUACUAUAUUUACACAAUUAACCUUGGCUAGAAUUAAUUGUGCAGAUUGGAUGAUAACUAGAGAAUAGAAAUGAAGAAAAGGAAGCACACAACACCGAGAAGAGUAAUAAUUAAUGCUGCCAUUGACGAAAUGUUUUAUAUUACUCUUCUUUCUUGGUAUUUAUUUAUUUACAAUUUUUAAUGUAAAUGUACAGUUGUUGGGCUAAUAUCUUAUUUACUUUUGAACGUAUUAGAUGCCUUUUUUUUUUCUUGGUUCAUAAUAAUUUUGUAGAAAUUCCUCAAGUUUGCCUAAAUGUUUACAGAGUUAUUUAUACAAAAUAAAGACAAAGUAGCCGUUGAAAGGCUUAAUAAUAUUAAAGGAAAAUAAGUAACUUCCUAAACUAUUGCACAAUAUCUUUAUAAAAUAGGAAUGAAAUAUUCCUACAUGAUAUUGGCAUUCAAGUGUAAAAAUCGUGCUGGAGAUAUUCCUUGACAAAUAGCUUUGACGUGAGCAAGCUGUGUGGAGUGAUAAACCCUUUGUUGACUUGACCGUUGAUGACUUUCCUUUUGGUAAUCUUGGUCAGCUUGCUUAACAGUUGGUGAGUAUAAUGGUGGUCAUAUAAAUCCUUUUUCAUUUUUUUUUAAUUGUUGUAUGGAGAAAAAGAGAGAAAAGCAAAAAUUGGGCUGUCGACUACAUAACUCGCUGGGAUAUAUGUACGUUAAGGAAAAUUCUAUGAUACCGUGAUCAAAAUUACAUAUCAAUACUGUGAUAAAUAUAAAUUUUGUAAAUUACAAAUAACACUAUUAAAUGAAAUAUAGAAUAAGUAAAUUAAUAUAAGAGUUGGUGUUUUAAAACUACAAACAAAAAAACUUAUAAAAAUAAUAUAAAACUUAUAAAUCAACAUUAAACUUUGACCUAUAAAAUAGCUAAUCUAAUUUAUUUAAGUAAAAAAAAAAUCACUCAUCAAUUGAAAACAAAAAUUUACAUUGGAAACAAUUAGAAUAAGUUUUAUUAAAUUGGUUUAACUAUAAAUUCUAUAUCUCAUGUUAGGAAAUUUAUAAUUUUUUUUUCAUUUUCUAUCACAAUAUAUGUUUAUUAUAUAACUUAAUUAGUAAAAUUAUUUUUUUUAUGAGGAUCAAGCCAAAAAAAAAUAAAAUAAUUUUUUUAAAAAUUUAAAUUUGAGAAUAAGUUUUAUCUUAAUAAAAUUUCACAUGCAUCAUCACAUGUAUUAGAUAAAUCCAAAAUUAUCAUUAUUUAAUUUAGAAAUAAAGACAAUAAAUAUAUAAGGUAAUCGUUUUUAUAUUGAGUUUUUAUUUUACAUUUGCAAGUUUUUAUUUUUUAUUAACUUUUAUAUUAUUUGUUUGUUUUAUAUUUCAUUUACAAGUCUUCUAUUUCAUUUACAUAAUUUAUAUAUUAUUUGGCACUUAAUUUUGGUUUAUAGGAUUUACGUUAUAUCUAUAAGUUUAUAUUCAUUUGUUUACCAAUAAUACAUCAUUCUACCAUUCAUAUAUUAAUUAACUUAUUUUACCUUCUAUUUACAAGUCCCUUUUUUUUUACUUAAUUCAUGUUUUAUUUUACACUUAAUAUUAAUUUAUAAGUUUUAUGUUAUAUUAAUAAGUUUUGUUUUAUUUAUCAAUAAUAUAUCAAUUUACAACUCCUUUAUUAAUUUAUUUAUUUUACCUUUCAUUUACUAGUUUUAUGUUCCAUUUGCACGAUUUAUAUUUUAUUUUGCACUUAAUAUUGAUUUAUAAGUUUUAUGUUACAUGUAAAAAAAAAAAUAUUUAUCAGCAAUACACAAAUUUACCACUCCUAGUUAAUUUAUUUGUUAUACCUUCUGUUUACAAGAGUUAUGUUCUAUUUACAUAAUUUAUGUUUUGUCUUGUACUUAAUGUUGAUUUACAAGCUCUAUGUUAAAUUUGCAUAUCUAUGUUUCAUUUAAACAAUUUAUGUUUAACUACAAUAUUGAUGUUUUGAUUUUAAUCACAACAUUAUAGAAAGACCCAUAAGCUAAGUUAACUCUAUUGAUCUCCUAUCAAAUAUCGUAAAUGACAUCAGAAGUCAAGUUUAGCUCCUAUGGUAACGAGUGUGAGUAGUGAGUCUAAGGAUGGAAAAUAUCCUGCCAUAUCUAAGAUAUUAUUUAUCCAAGUGUAAAUUCAUAAUUAUCCAUGAUGGAUUCAUCCAUAUCCAUGUCUAGUUCAGAUACUCUAUAUGGAUAUAGAUUUUAUCCAUAUAGAUAUGGAUAUCCAUGGAUGUCCAUGGACAUUAAAUUUAAAUUUUUAAAUUUGAGAAUUGUGUAACAUAUUAAUAUGGUAAAAACUAAUUAACAAUGUAUUACAUCAAGAAAUACUUCUCAUUUUUUUUAUAUUUCCUAAAAUCAUUAAUUUUAAAAUUUAAUCAAAAUUAUUUUGUUUAAAAACACAAUUCUAAAAUAAAAUUACAAGCAUUAAUGUUUUGGCCGGUUGCGCUAUGGUGGGCAAUAAUAAUGGUGGUCAACUAGUGACAAAUCUCAUACCAUUUGUUGAAAAUGUACUGAGGAUCUGGUUGGUUAAUAAGAAAAUAGAGGAAAAUGAGGAAGGAUGAAGAAAAGCUUGAGCUAAAAACUAAUUCAUUACUUCAGAACUUGAUUUCUAUAUUCUUUCUAAUGACUAAUAUAUAUACUCGAUUACAUGCUAGAAUCUAUUAUAAGAUUCAUCUAGAAACUUCACACACCACACACGGCUAGCAAACAUAGAUAACUAAUUGACCACGUCAGCAUAACUAAAGUUUACUAAGCUAUUGAUUGACUACAAUGCUUAUAGUGCUCUGCAAUAUAUCAAGACUCUAUAUCACCAUCAUCAUUACUAAACUCUCUAACAUCCCCCUUCAAGCUAAAUAAGUCUAGAAGAAUAUUUAGCUUGCACCUCAGAUAAUGAAAUUGGCCAUAAUUAAGAGCUUUGGUAAGAAUUUUAGCCGUUUGAUCAUUACUGGGAACAAAGUGAAUGCUAAACUGCUUGGCUGCAACUUUUUCCUGUACAAAAUGAAUAUCAAGUUCAACAUGCCUUUUUUUUUUUUAUGAUACACUGGAUUGUUGGCCAAGGCAAUGGCACCUUAGUUGUCACACCAAAAUAAUAGGCAUAUUGGACAGCUUAAAAUGCAACUCUAAUAACAAAGCUUGUAUCCACAUGAUUUCUGUAGUGGCGAAGGCUAAAGCUCGAUAUUUUGAUUCAGUACUUGAUCUAGAAACAACAUGUUAUUUUUUGGAUAUCCAUGUCACUAGAUUGUAACCAAGAAACAAAGCAUAGACAACAACUGAUUUUCUGCCAUAUCACAGGUCCAGUCAACAUCUGUAAAACACUAAAGAUCCAUAGUACCAUGCUGAUAAAAUUCCAAUCCAAAAUGAAUGGUGCCUUUGAGAUACCUUAGCAAUCUCUUGCAAGCUUGCCAAUGUUCUUCAGAUGUAUUAGAAAGGAAUUGACUCAAUUUAUUCACAGGAAAUGCAAUCUCAGGUCGAUGAAGAGUAAUAUACUGUAAUGCCCCAACAAUGCUUUUAUAUUGUGAAGCAUUAUUAAUAGCAGACCCUGAAUUCUUUGUAAGAUGAUGAGAAAGAGUCAUAGAAGUGAAGCAAGGACUACAGUUAGCCAUCUUAUGCUUCGCUAACAAGUAUGCAAUGUACUUGGCUUGUGACAAAUGUAGACUUUGAGUUGUUUUAGAAACCUGAAUCCCCAGAAAGUAAUUUAAAUCCCCUAAGCCUGUAAGAGCAAAUGUAUGUUGCAUGUUGGAGAUAACUUGAAGUACUAAGGAAGAAUUUGAGCCAGUGAUUAGUAUAUCAUCAACAUAUACCAGAACUAACAAAAUAUCAAAACCAUGUCGUUUAUAAAACAAUGAAAAAUAUGAUCUGCAAUUAAGAAAAUGCCACUGGUUUACCAUAGAAUAUUUAAGUCUCUCAAAUCAAGCUCUUGGAGCUUAUUUGAUACCAUAAAGAGCUUUAGUAAGCUUACAAACAUGAUGUGGCUUGGCUGGAUCAAUAAAACCUUCUGGCUGAGUCAUAUACACUUCUUUUUUAAGAAAACCAUUUAAAAAAGCAUUAUGUAGAUCAAUUUGUCUAAUCAUCCAUUUUUGUAUGCCAGCUAUGCUAAGAACAAUUCUAAUUGUUGAAGCUUUCACAACAGGACUGAAUGUCUCAUUAUAAUCUACCCCUUGAGUUUAAGAAAAAUCCUUUGGCUACAAGUCUAGCCUUUAUAUCUAGAGACACUGCCAUCUGAAUUAUAUUUAAUCUUGAAUACUCAUUUGAUGCCUAUAAUCUUGAUAGGGGAAGAGGGUUGAACUAAUAUCUAGGUCUGAUUUGCUUGUAAGGAGUUAAAAAAACUAAUGUCUAGGUCUGAUUUGCUUGUGAGAAGUUAAAUUCUUCUUGCAUAGUCUUAUACCACUUUGGAUCUGCUAACACUGAACUACAGAAGUGGGUUAUGAUAGAGUAGUAAGUAGAGCUGCUAUAUAGGAUUUUUGUUUAAAAAUCCCAGCCUUAGACCUGGUAAUCAUGUGAUAACUAGAAGGUUGAGUUCAAGGAAAAAUAUGUGGUGGUGAGGGAAUAAGUAAGGACUCAUUAAAGUCAGUUUGAGAAAGUGGUAAAGGUAAAGACUCAGUCUGAUCAUUUAAUGGAGAUUAAUGAAAAGAAUGAGAAAAUUGUGAAUCAAGCAAAAUAGUAUAAGAAAUAGAAGGAGUUACCUGAGAAGUGGAAGGAACUUGUGAACUAUUUGUUGAGGAGGGCGUUAAGAAGACUCGUAUUAGUGGAGUUAAAACAGCAGUUGUGGAUUGCGAAACUAAGCUGGUUGAAUCAAAAGAACUAUGAUAAACUAAAGAAAAAUCAACCCCUUGCUAGUAACGAAAAGAAGUCUCUUCAAAGACAACAUGAUUAGACACAUAAAUUCUUCCUGAAGAGUGUAAGAAUUGGUAUCCUUUAUGAUGAGGACUCUAUCCAAUGAAAAUACAUCUUCUUAUUCUAAAUUCCAGCUUAUGUCUGUUAUAUGGUCUCAAAUAAAGAAAACAAAAGCAACCAAACACUCUUAACAAACUAUAAUAAGGUUUUUAAUGAAAGAGCUUGAAAUAAGGUGAUUCGUUUUGAAGAACAUGUGUUAGCAGCCUAUUAAUAAGAUACAUUGUUGUGUGGAAUGCAUUCCACCAAAAAGUGAGAGGAAGUUUAACUUGAGCUAGUAAAGUGAGUCCAAUAUCAACUAUAUGUCUAUGUUUCUUUUCAACUCUACCAUUUUGGUGAUAAAUGUGAGGGUAUGGAUGUCUGAAAUGUAUCCCAGAAGAUAAGAGCAGAGAAGAAAAAGAUAUGAACUCUCAUGAAAGUCUUAAAGGUUGUAAAUACCCUCAAGGCAUCUGAUUUAGCUGUUAAGGGAAAAAUCCAAGUAAACCUGUUGUAAUCAUCUAAAGUAGACAAAUAAUAGAAAUAACCUUGAGUGGAUGCAGUAGAAGAUGGCCCCCAAACAUCAGCAUACAAAAGCUAUAAAAGUUUAGUUGUUUUUAUGUUGAAAGAGUUAAAAUAUUGAAGAUGACUUUUUCCAUACUGACAUGUAUCACAAAAGCUAAGUAUUGAGAUUUUAUUUAUAUCAGCAAAUUGAUUACAAGAUUUCAAAACACAUUUAAGUGUAUGAACAGCUGGAUGUCCUAGCCUUUUGUGAAGCAAAUCUACAUUAUUGGAACUAGAAGACACUGUGAAAGCAGCAGGAGUACAACACUAAUUGUUUAUUUUGAAAUGAUCAUAAGAAAAACAAACAGACAUAGCAGGACCAAACAGACAAGCAAAACGAGACAUUGGUUUGUUUUGAGCUAAGUAAGAAAAGAAGGCUGAAUUUAAACUUUGAGAUGAGGAAGAUAGGCUGACUUUAUUAGAUGCUGCUUAAACUUAAUACAAGCCUUUGUGAGCCACCCCUUUAACUAGAGUAAUCCAUGUGUUCCUGGCCUUGAUAUACUAAACAUUAUCAACAAAUUCAACAAGAACAUUGUUAUCAAUUAAUAAUUUAGACACACUAAGCAAAUUUUUAGUUAUGUGAGGAACAUGAAGAACAUGAUGCAGUACUAGAUGUUCAUGAGUAUAAGUAUCAAACAAAACAGAUCUAGUGUGUGUGAUUUGUAGGCCUUUGUCAUCACCAAAAAGCAAUCUCCUAAACCAAUAUAACCAUGAGAGUUAAGUAAUAUACCUGAGUUGUUGGUGCCAUAAGCUGAGGCACCACUGUCUAUAUACCAGAAAUGAUCUUCUAUAACUUCAGGUGAAGGAAGAUUAAGAGCAGAAGGGUUAGCAAACCUUGCUGAAAUGUCAGAAACACCAUUCUGGCAAUUAAAAGCUGCUAGUGGAGAGAUUGAAGAACUAGCUCCAGGAUGAGAAAACAUAGAAGUAGAUCCAUAAAGGAUUUAAAUCUGGAUAUACCAAAUUUCCUUGAAAAUCAUAACCUCUUGUGCCAAACUGUCCAUUAAAACCUCUACCAAAUCCAAUAAAGGAUCUAAGCACAAAACCUCUGCUAUAGCCAUAAGUUGGCCUAUAAUUUCCUCUACCUCCUCUACCAUAGAAUGUUUUAGGCACAAAAGCUGGAUUAAACAUGCUUUUGCAUUUAUGUGCUCUAUGUCCUGGCAUAAAACAAAUCUGACAGACUAUUGAUUCAAAAUUACUUUCACUGUUAUUAGGUUGUCCUGGAUUUGUCACAUCUCUAUUAAAACCUUUUUGAUUACCAAAAUUAUUCUUAUAUUAACCUUGAUUUUCUUGAGCAAAAUUUACAGUCAGAUUAUGUACAACAUCAGAAUUAAGCUUGCUUCUUUUUUUUUUCUGUUCAAUCCUCAUCUCAUGACUCAAUAAUAAAUCAUACAAGUCAUCUAAAUUCAUACUUUCACCUCUAGCUAACAAGCUCGUAACAAGUGAAUCAUACUCCUAAGAUUCUAAUCCUAUCAUUAUGUAUAUAACUAGAUCCAUAAGCUCAACAAGUUUCCCAUCGAGAGUAUCAGCUAACCUUUUCAUUUUAGCAAAAUAUGCACUCAAAGUCAUUGAACCUUUUUUAGCAAUUUAUAAUUGCAUUUUAAUUGGCAUAAUUCGAGCUUGAGUUUGAGAAACGAACAUAUAAGUUAAUGAAUCGCACAACUCUUGUGAUAAAGCACAGCGAAUGACUGAAGAUAAAAGACUCUCUUGAAUUGAGGACAUCAUCCAACUGAGUAAUAUCUGAUAUGUUCUGAUCCAUGUUGAGAAUGCAAGAUUAUCAAUUCUUGAUCCAGAUCCAUCAUUUGAUCAGCCAGUUGCACCUGUAUUUUGAUAGAGAUAUUGAUCUGGACAUUUGUUUUCUCUAGGAUAAAACCUUAUGUUAAGACUUUUAAGCCUAAAUCACAACAAGACUCACGAAUCUUGAUGAGUAGAAACACCAAGAACACAAACGAAUCAAGAAAGCCAGAACAAAGAAGCUAUACCAGAAACAAAACAAAGACACAGACCAACAAAUUUAGAAGGAAAAUUUACUCAUUAUUAUUGAUCAAGAACUAACCCAAUCACAAGUGAUUUACAGAAGAUUAUGCACAGAUCACAAUGGAACAGAUUCUAUGCAAAAUGAUGAACAAAUGAAGACGAUAUUAGCACUAUAUCAGGCACCACUCGUUAGCCUCUGUUUUAUAUCAGUGUGUUGGGUUCGUUAUAACAGAUUAUAACGAAUCCAUGCCACGUCAGCAGAAAGUAUCAAAUAGACCCCAUCAACUGAAGUCAAUCUGCACAACAGCUCUCUACCUUUCCAGUUUCUUCAUUUAGGUCCACAUACACAUAUCUUCACACCUUCUAGUCCAUUGCCUUUGAUUGAUGUGAGAACUUGAGUUCUCCAGACAAUGAAAUUAUUUGAUCAAAUUUUAUUGGUGUGACGAAGUUAUAGGAGUUCAUAUUUUGAUUUUGAUUAUUAGAAAGCUCUGAUACCAUGUUGAAAAUGUAUUGAGGAUAUGUUUGGUUAAUAAGAAAAUAUAGGAAAAUGAAUAAGGAUGAAGAAAAGCUUGAGCUAAAAACUAAUUCAUUACUUCAGAACUUGAUUUCUAUAUUUUUUCUAAUGACUAAUAUAUAUACUCGAUUACAUGCUAGAAUCUAUUAUAAGAUUCAUCUAGAAACUUAUCACACUACACACGGCUAACAAAGAUAGAAUCUUAUAACUAACUGACUACGUCAACAUAACUAAAGUUUACAAAGAUACUGACUGACUACAAUGAUUAUCAUGCUCUGCAAUACAUCAAGACUCUAUAUCACCAUCAUCAUUACUAAACUCUCUAACAUUGAACUCAAAAUUUUUUAUCCAUGCAAUGAUAUAGAUUUCAUCAUCAAAUACUAAAUGUGGCGGCUCGAAUGCCACCGAAAAUGGUGGCGGCAACUUGACUCCACCUUCUAAGCAAUUCAAUGAAGUGCAGCACCGCCUAAAUCAACAUCAUUGACGUUCGAAGUGUUUGAUCGACAUUACGGUAUCCAGCACCAUAUGGUCGUUUGAUGCCGGUGUUAUGUAUCCACCACAAUUUUUUGUGGCACUUGUGCCAUCAGUAUUUUGUUUUGACUAACAAGUUUAUGAGUUUAGAAGUAAUAACUGAUUUUGAUAUCUUUUCGAUCAUCCGCCAAACUUCUUCUUCUCUCAGGGGUAAAAAAUUUUGCACAUUGCUAACUAGAUGAAUGGCCAUAUUUUUCUUGUCUUUCUUCAAUACUCAUUGUAGGGUGAAAGUGCCAUUUUGCCAAAUCUUUAAGCAAUUGUAAGAUAGCUUCUAUUGUGCUAGUAGGGUGUGGCCUAGUACAAAAUUGAAGGUCAUGGGUUCUUAAUAUCUCUUUAUCCAUUGUUGCUAAGGUAACUGUUAAAGUCAUGGCUGGCACCGCCCAUUUAAAUGAGCGGUGCCAUGCCAUUCAACAUGGCCCGCCAUUCUUGGUGGUGCCGUGUUGACUUAUUAAAAAAAAACCAAAAUUUUAGCUAUAUAAAGAGGGCUUCCCACCCUCAUUUUGGCAUCCCAUUGAGAGAGAAGCAAUUCAACAUUUUAGAGAGAGAGUUUAGAGAGCUUGAAACUAUAAGCUCUUGUUAUAGUGAUUUGAGAGAUUAGGUGUAUUGGGUAAUGAGAUAAAAUACCACAAUACUUGUAACUCCUUUUCACUAAUAAAAUAUUUUCCUUCUGUCUUCGCCCGUGGACGUAGGCUAAAAGCCUAAUCAUGUAAUUUCUAGUGUUAUUUGUAUGAUUUUGUGUCUCAUUAUUUCUAAAUUUCACUUUAGUUGUGUGUCUGUUUCACCCAUCAAUUUCCCAACAAUAACCACUAGGGUUGGACAAAACCAAGAUGAAUAAGAGGGCCAUAUUUUUUAGAUAGUUACCAAAAUGACACGAGACUUUGAGAAAUAAAACUGGUGUAAGUUGAUGAUAAAGGGGAGCCCUAACGAAAUUGAAAACAACUUUUAGUUUUUUUUUAAAAACGAAUUGUUAACAAUCUACAGAUAUAUAUACUCUCUGAAACCUAAUGGGAUUCUAGAUACAUGUAGUAAAACACUAAAACUCUAGAUACAGGUACGUAAAAUCUACUUUUUUCUUUUGAUGUUUUUACCCUAGAUACAUGAGUUCGAAAAAUAGUUGACGUAGCGAUCGUACUAGUGAACGUUGAAAAAAUGAGCAGAAAAUGAUAAAAUUAGACAUAAAGGAGUUUUAUCGUUUUUCGUUUAUAUAAUUACAUUUAUUCGUUUAUAGGUUGGGAGAACGACUUUCGAGUUACUAAUAAAGGUCUUUGUCAUGUGACUUACCAAGCAAAUAACUUAUUAAAAUGGCAAUUAUUGAUCACUUAAUUUAACUAGUCGAGCUUCGUGGUGAUGCAGGAAGCUGGUCGUCAAGCUGAUCUCAUAGGCUGAGUACAAUCGAAGAAAAUGAAUAAUAUUAUUAGAGGUUAUUUCUGUACGUGUAUAUAUAUUUUUGUCAUUAGAGAGAACAAUAGAUGAAAUAUAUAUAUAUAUAUAUAAGCUUAGAAUAUUAUUCACAUAGACAUCAUUAUUCGUUACACAUAACUAAGAAAACAAAGCCUUGUCCAUCCAAGGAGGUGCCUUAACUAAUUUACAUACUCAUGGUCCUUAGCCAGAAGGAAAAGAUAAUUCUUCUUAUGCACCGCAAUUCCGGGCAGAACGUCAAAGUCCAAGUCUUGGUUCUUCAUUCCAGGCGGCAUUUCCCAAUCAAAUUUGUAAAGAAGAUUGGCAAGUGCAAGUUCCACAUUUGCAGUUCCCAAAUGCAUUCCAGGACAGAUUCUUCUGCCGGCACCAAAUGGUAUAAGCUCAAAGUUUUGCCCUUUAAAGUCAAUAGAACGAUCAAUAAAUCUCUCAGGAUUAAAUUCCUCAGGAUUUUCCCAAGCUUCGGGAUCUCUUCCUAUCGCCCAUGCAUUUACGUAAACGAGUGUUUUAGCUGGAAUUUCAUACCCGUCUAUUGUGCACUUUUCGAUUGUUUCUUUGGGGACUAGUAAGGGAACUGGCGGUUGCAAUCUCAUAGUCUCUUUCACUACAGCUUUUUGAUAAUGUAGUUCUUGAACAUCAUCUUCAUCUACAAAGCUUUUUUUGCCGCCAACCAAAGAUCUAAUUUCUUCUUGAACCUUUUUCAUUACUCUAGGAUGCUUCAUUAGGUAGGUCAUGACCCAAACCAGAGUCGCAGCGCUCGUAUCUGUUCCAGCAACGAAUAUGUUCUGCAAAGCAAACAACAUAUAUAUUUGUGUGUGUGUAUAAAUAUGUAUAUGUAUAUAUAUAAAUUAUUUAAAGCAACAAAAUUAUAUUAGAUUAGUUAUACAGGUAACUAUUUAUAAUAGACUUUUUGUUAAUUACGUACCAUGAGCACUGCUUUGAUGUGAUCCAAAGUUAGGUCAACUUUGAAUCCAUGAUCUUUUCGAAUUUGAAGUAAAACAUCAACUAAAUCCUCCUGCCGCACCUUUGCUUUUGUUCUUUUUGGAUCUAAAUGCUCGUCGAUGAGUUCUUGAUAGAAUCUAUCAGAUUCUUGGAAGUUAUUUUCCAGGCGACGAAUCAUUCCUGUGAGUUUAUCAAUCCAGCCCAUAAAAGGAAAAUAAUCCGUAACGAAAAAGCCUAUAGACAAGGCUUGAAUUUCAUUAAGCAGUGUAUGGAAUCUGCUUCUUUCAGUUAUUGUUUCACUUUCAUCACCAGACCUCUUGCCAAAACCAAGUCUACAAAUGAUAUUGCAAGAAAGAGACAUCAUUAUCUCACUUAAGUUGACUUGUUUAGAAGCAGCAGCUGAUUUUGAUAUGGAUUCAAUCAUUCUUGAAACUUCAUCUUCUCUAAUAGGUCGAAAAUUUUGUGCUCUAUUAGAGUUAAAGAGAUGAAUGACACAUAUUUUUCUAAUCUCUCUCCAAUACUCACCAUAGGGUGAAAAUACCACGUCCAAGCCAUUAUAAGAUAGCUUUUGUGUCGCUACCAGAGCUGGCCUACUAGAGAAUUGAAGAUCAUGGCUUUUUAAAGUCUCUUUAGCCAUUUUUGCUGAGGAAACAACUAGGGUUGGCACAAAACCCAGACGCAAUGACAUGAGAGGGCCAUAUUUUUUAGAUAGUUCCCAAAAUGACACAUGAGGCUUCGAGACGUCAAACUGGUGUAAGUUACCUAUAAAGGGAAGACCCUGGGGGCCUGGUGGUAAUUUAAUCUUUUUCUGAUGAUAAGUGUUUACGGAAAACAAGAAGAGGCAGAUUGGGAGAGAAAGAAGGAUGAUGAUGACAAGUAAAUCCAUUAUUGCUUAUGCUCCCUACUGCAAUGACUGAACCUCGAUCUAUAAAUAAGGAAACAAAAUGCAGUUUAGUAACAUCAUUAGAGGACUCUCUUUGUAUUUUGUGCUCUUGUCAAGUCCUUAUCUUGUGAUUUUGCUUAAGGAAACAGAUUUGACAACUUUCAUAAAAGUCAACAAUGAUAAAAAUUUCCAUAAUGAAAUUUCGUUUUCAGCAGAUCAUGUAUACCAAUUCUUGCGAGUUUUGUAGAACGAAACUUAUCAGAAUCCUAGGUGUGAUAACGUUGGUAAAAAGUCAGCAACAAUCAAAAUUUCAAUAAUAAAAUUUCUUUUUUAGCUAUUUACCAAUUCUUGUGAGUUCUACAAAACGAAAAAGAUUCGAUAACUUUGAUUAUAAGUCAACAAGAAUUGAUUAAAUGGCUCUACAAAAGAGGUUUAGAUACAUAUCCCGAGAAAAAAAUCUAUGAAAUAGAUAAUUUUAUUGAAAAAACGUUGAUUAGAUUAUUGAGAUUACAACCCUACUUAUGUUAGACUAUAAUCAAUCCUAACCACCUCCCCCUCUCCCCCCCCAACACCACAAACAAAAAAAUCCAAUUAAUUAAAAAAAUAGGUAAUUUAAUUCUUUUUACAAUUUUUUUUUGGACAUACAUGAGUUUCCACGAAAAUUAAUAUAUUCUCUUUUUAUUUCCAUUUUAUUUUUAGGGUUAAAUUGGUAAUUUAUUUUUUUAAUUAAUUUCAAAAAAAGAAAUAUUACUAUAAGAGGGUAAUAUUGUAAAAGCCAAUAAAAAGAAACAAAAAGUAAUGAUGGUGGAAAUGUCCCGAUGUAUUUUUAAAAAUACAUAGACUAAACAAGCACUAACGUCAAAAUAUAAGGAUUAAAGCAGUUUUUACCCUAUAAAAUUAUAUAUAUUUUUAUAAUACUAGAUAGAGAACAAAAAUAAUUGUUUCCCAAUCUCAUCUUGAUCUCAAAUGAAAACUAGUGGUAAAAAGUCACUAUCUUCUACAAUAGUGUCUUUUUUUAAAUUAAAAAAAAAAAGGUAAACCUGGUGAGUACAAGGGAAGCUUUAUUUAUUAAAAAGGUUAGGGGGAUAUAAUAAGCCUUAAUCAUUAUGCAGUGCAUAAUGCUAAUAAAAAAAAUGCGCUAGAGCAUUACAAUAAAAUCAAAGAAAUGCGUGAUAAAGCCAACACACAAAGCUUACAAGAAUUAAUGAAACCUAUAAACAGGGAGACUAUUAUUUUAUAAUACUGCCAUGUCAUAUGGCACAUUAUCCUUUUAUUAGAUCACUAAGGUCAUCCUAUAAAAAUAAUGAUUAAUUUAUUGAGGAAACAGAAACUUCAAGAUUGAUAAAAGAUAGAAAAAUACAAGUUUUUGAAUGUUUGAAAUUUUAUAGACAAAAGUCUCAAUAAAAAAACUAAGAUUUUAUGGUCCUUCUAUACUAAUUCUAAAUAACUUGAAUUUUACAAAAAUUAUUAAAUAAACUUGGAUAUUAUUAUAUAAUAAAAUUCUACUAACAGAAAUAAGGAAACAAAAUAAAUAGUACUCAAAUCCAACUCUUGAGAUAGCAAGCUUCUUCCUUGAGAUCUUAUCAAUUUUUUGACUAAAUUCAUAACUAAGCUAGCUUUCGGAUAUGAAUAGAAGAGUUAGGCUCAUCAAAAGCAAGAUAAUGACAAAGAUUUUUACAAUUUUUCUUUCAUCAAUUUCUUUAAAUUUCAUGAAUGUUUCGUGGUACUAAUGAUGUAAAAGUUCUUCUUAUCCUACUACCACAAUGAAAGCUGUGUUCCAAGUUUUUCAAACUACACCUAUAAUAAAUAAAAUUAAAGAGUCAAGUCAAGGCUUGGGUCACGUAAUCAAGUAAUUUUUAAAUGGUUACGUAAAUUGGUAAUAACUGAUAAACAAUUUUUUUUUUAACUGCCGAUAUUUGUUAUUUACGCAAAUAUAUAUGUUUUGCGCGGCUGAUUUAGGAACCCCUGCAAAGUGGUGGCAAGGAAUCAAUAAUCUAAGUUUCAAAUUUCCGCAGCAAAACACAUUUUCUUUUUUUUUUAAUUGAUUAUAAAUAUAAUCAAUAAUCUACAGAAUACAAGAACGAAACUUCUUCUCUCUCUCUACAACUCUCUUUCUCUACUCGAUGACCUCUGUUAAUUAGUCAUGAUGAUAUUUACAAACACAAGCAUAGAAAAACAACACAAAAAUCAAAGUAAAUGUAGGCACACAAUAAUUGGAGUAUUUGUUUUAAACUUAUUGUCAUGUUUUUCCCUAAAAGAUACAAUAAAGUAACAUUUUUUUAAUAUAAAAUUUAUUUAUUUAUCGUUUAUUUUAAGCAUCCAUUAAAUGACCUAAUAUAUAAAGUAUAUAAUUUAUAUAUUGAGCAUAUAAUGUCAAUAUUAGAAUAUAUAAAUGAUAAUUUUUUUAUGAAUUAAAGAUUGUUCACAGUAAUUAUUAAAAUAGAUAUUUCGUUGUGUAAUUCUAUAUCUUUUCUAUUUUUUUUUAUGAUGAUUUUAUCUUGAUCGCGGAAGUAGAGAUUCCAAGUUAAUUCAAUGCCAAUAUAAUGGUUAUAUAAAUGAUUCCAACAAUGAGACCUAACGAUCAUUUCCUUUGACAUCCUUAUGAAAAAAACCUCUAUUCCAAUCUGAAAUAUUUAAAAGCUAAAGUUUUCAUAAAAUGUACAGUGAGGACCAUUAUCUAAUAAAUCAUGUUCAUACAUACAAAUACAAGCAGAGAAAAACAAAAUAAAUAAAUAAAUGUGAGCACACAAUAGUUGAAGUAUUUAUUUUAAACUUAUUGUUAUGUUAGUCCCUAAAGGCAUGCAAUAAAGUAACAUUUUUUCAAUAUAAUAAAAUUUAUUUAUUCAUUGUUUAUUUUAAACAUACAUUAUAAAUGUGGACCAUUAACGAAUAAGUCAUGUUCAUGCUUACACAAGCAUGGAAAUAAAUAAAUGUGAGCACACAAUAAUUGGAGUAUUUAUUUUAAAUUUAUUGUUGUGUUGUCCCUAAAAGCAUGCAAUAAAAUAAUAUUUUUUAUUAUAAUAAUAUUUAUUUAUUCAUUAUUUAUUUUGAACAAACAUUAUUAGACCUAAUUUAUAAAGUAUGUAAUUUAUUUAUUGAGCAUAUAUUGUCAAUCUUGUAAGAUAUAAAUCACAAGUUCUUUAUGAAUAAAACAUUGUUCACAUGUCAUUAAUGAAAUGGACAUUUCAUCAUUUACGUAAUUUUGUAUCUUUUCUAUUUCUCUAGUGCCUAAUUUAUCUUGCUCACUGAAGUGAAGAUUUAAAGUAGAAAAGUUAGUUUGUUGUCAAUAUAAUGGUCAUAUAUAUGAUGCCAACAAUGAAACUUAACAAUCAUUCCCUUUAGCAUCCUUAUAGAAAACCUCAAUAAUAAACUGAAAGAUCUAGAAACUCAAGUGUUCAUAAAAUAUGGAGUGAGGACCAUUAACGAAUAAGUCGUGUUCACACUUACCAACUCAAGCAUAGAAGCACAAGCACAAAUAUUGAAAUAAAUGUGAGCACAGAUUAGAGAUCUAUGAGGACUUCUCUUUAAUAUCUGUAACCGCUGCUUGAAAUCGCUUUAGCGCUGCAACUAUUUGCUACUUUCUUGAAAUCCCAUCUUCAGUGGCACAUCAAUCUUCAAACCCGACUAAUCAUUGCAUCAUUUCAAACCAACUUAUGUAACCAAGAAGAGGAAGAUCAAUUCAAACCCGCUAACUAAUAUUAUGUUUGUGUCGAAUUGACAGGUCUUGUCACAAAUUUUCACCCGACAAGCUAGGGGCCUAUUUGAUAUAAGUAAAUAAAAUCUUUCUUUCCACAAGAAAUUGGGGUAAAAUCGAUUAUCCCGAUGUUAUUACCCCAAUUUAUAAAUCUUGAUUUUCAUAUUAAACCAUUCAAAGUACAUUUAAAAAAUAAAAUAAAGUAAAAUAAAACCAUACAUAGUACAAAAAGGAGGGAGAGUUUAUUGUUUAUUAUUAUUUUUGAAAUAAUUUAUUGAAGCCCACCUGCUUCUUUCUUUGUCAAGGAUUAGUUUAUUAUUUUGGGAUAAAUACUCAUGUAAUCCAUAUAUUUUGAGCUAAGUAUAUACAAAAAAUGUUUUAAGACAUCUUUACUGUUAAAUAUAUUUCACUUAUAUCUUUACUCUCUUUUAUUUUACAAUAAUAUCCUUAGAACAGUGUUAUUGGGGAUAUUAAUGAAAAUAAAAAAGUAAUUUAUCAAAUUAACCUUAAAUGUAAAAUAAGAAUUUGCAUAAAUUUUAUAAUUAUUAUUUUACUUUUAGAAUUAAUUUGGUAAAGUAAUUUUUUAUAAAAUAAUUAUGAAUAAGAUUGUUAUAAGGAUAUCAUACAUUACUUUUAAGUUGGCUAAUAUUAAGUUAUUUUUAAAUAAUUAUUAGUAAGUUUAUUGCACAAGUAUAAAAAAUACUAUUUCUUUGAUCACUACAAGGAAAAUGAAAUUUUAUAAUAAAACUUUUAGUUACUAAAGAUAAAAAAUUAUUCUCCUUAUAUUCUUUACGAUGCAAAAAUAAAUAUCAUAUGUCAAUCCCAAAAGUACGUCAAUUAGGUUCUAGCGACCAAAAUUAUUUUCAUCAUGUAAAUUGUAUAUUUUUGUGAUUUAACUGUUACCCCAAAUUUAAGUUAAAUGCAUCAUAAAUUGUAUUGAAAUUUGUCAAUUUAGAGGUUUAAAAAUGUCAUCAGUGACUCUAUAUCUUUGUCGUUGAAGUUUACGUAUUGCAACAAUAUAUUAUUGUCUCUAGUUAUUGUAAUUUGUGACAAUCUUUAUAGAUACAUUUCGUAAUUAAUUUAGUCUCAAGUUUGUUUUAAAACCAACGUAUUUUUUUAUUUCGCAACUAAUUACAUUGUAUUGAAAAAGUUUAGGUGACUAAUCUCUCUCAUCAUUAAAAGAAAGCAUUUACGAUUACAAUAUUUAGUCAUAUAAAUUAAAAUCUUAUGACAAAAAAAAUUGUAUCAAAAAAAUGUUAUUCUAUGACUAUUUAUUUGCUGCAAAGUAUUAGAGUAAUAUAAUCUCAUAUGAAUUUAUUUAUUAUUUCACGAUUUUUUAUAUCGUACUAAAAAAGUUCAAGUAAAUAGUUUUGCUCCUUGUGACAAGCCGUUAUUCGCAGCUGGAGCAUGUAGUCAUAAAUCCAACAAUUAAUGACAAAAGAACUUCAAGUGAAAAAUGUUAUUAACAUAAGUAUAAUUCAUCACAAAGAAAUCAAAAAUAUAAAAAGUAUAAAAAUCAAUAAUCUAAAAAUAACAUUCCAUUAUAAAAGAAAAACAAAACUAACAUUACACGGAGGAAAAUCGUUGCUGGUGUCAUGAACGCUUCAACUUCGUUAAGUUUGUUCUUGUUCCUUAGUUUGCUGAGACAUACUGCAGUAAAUGAUGACUUCGAACACUUGUCAUUUGCUUCACAAAAUUAAAGAAUUUUCCCAGAAUUGAAAAGUAAAAUCAUCUCUAACAAAGUUUGAAAAAUUUCUCCAAACUCACUAACUUGGCUUCAAUUUCCUUCACCGAUUAUAUUCUUUGUUUUUCUUCUAUUAGUUUCUCUUAGGUAUUUUAUCAACCAAUUGAUCUGCAUAAAAAUAUUAAAAGAAUGGAACAUAGAAUUUCGAUUCCUAAUUUCGCCAAACACCCAAAAAAAAAAAAAUCUGAAUUUCACUUAAUCUAAUCACAACUCUUAAUCUAAUCACAACUAAAGUAAUCAAAAUUAAAUUAACUGAGUUGAAAAUGCAUACCAUCUUCUCAUUGUUAUCAACCUGCACUUGGUGCAGGUCUGUUAAUCUCUAUAUACACAUAAGCCACUCACAGUCACUUGGUGAAUUUCUCAAAAAGCAAAUAUGGCAGUGAUACUCAAAGACAUUUUCCGAAUAACUGCUUCCAAAUUGGUGACCAAUAAGAUCCAAAUCUUCACAAAAAGAAGUAUCAAAACUGCUACUUCUGAUGUUCAAAUCAUUUCCAUCGAAGCAAUCAAAGCUUCAUCUCCUACACCGAAACAACUCAGAGCCUAUAAACUUUCAUUGCCUGCUCAAUUGUGUUCUAAACUUUACAUGCCCAUUGUUUCCUUCUACUCAGCCAAUUGCAAACACCAAGAUUUCCGGAAAAAUUCCGAUUUGUUGAAGCAAUCUCUCGCAAAAACGUUAACCCAUUGAUAGCUUUUUAGUCGACUGUAAUGAUCAUGGGGCUGCAUUUAUUGAAGCUAAUGUUGGCUGUCAUAUAUCAAAGUUUCUUCAACCGCCAGAUAGGGAGCUGCUACAACAAUUAAUCCCACCUUGUCCCCAAUUAUCGAAUUUAGAGAUUUCUGAAAGAGCACUUUUGGCUGUCCAAGUAAACUUGCUCAGCAGUGGUGAAAUGGCAAUUGGUGUUUUUUUCCGAGUGGAGUGGCCGAUGGUUCAGCAAUCUUCGACUUGAUGAAAACGUGGGGUGCUCGUGGGGUGAUUAAUGAUAAUGAUAAUAUUUGCAAUAACAAUUUAGUUUUAGAUUGCACCUUUGUUUCCACCGGUAAAGUUUUCGCAGCAGUAUCAAAUCCCAAGCCCACAAUCUUCCCGCAAUAUUGUGUUCGAAAGAUUAUUGUUUGAUGGCAAGAAGAUAGCACAUCUAAAGGAGAAGGUGAAUAAAGAAUUAGUGGGUAAUAAUUUUGAUGACGGGUUACAAGCAACGGGUUUCGGGGUUGUUUCAGCACUUACUUGGGGUGCCUUCAUUGCUGUAGCUCGUGAAAGAAAGAGGGAAAUUGAUAAGAAGUUGUAUUAUUAUGCAGUGUAUUAUACUAUGAAUUUGCGUAACAAGAUGAAUCCACCAAUAUUUAGUACAAGAAGUGGUAAAACCAAAGAGAAGGGGAAGAGAUGUGAUGAAUAGUAUUGAGUAUUUAGGUUUCAUUAAGGAUUUGUAUGAAGCAUGGGAAGAUUCAAGGUCAUUUCCUUUAAUAGUGUGGUUGGAUUGCCUUAUUAUGAAGUUGAUUUUGGUUGGGGGAAGCCUGUUUGGUUUAGUCUCGGGCCCUUAUCGUUUCCUGAUCUUGCUAUUUUGACAAACUCAAGUGACGGUGAAGGAAUAGAAUCAUAGGCGGUAAUGUCUAAGGAGGACACGGACAAAUUUGAACCAGAAACUAGCAUCAUGGCUUAUGCUUCCCCUAACCCCAGCAUAUUUAUAAGGAAAUAGGCAGCUAAUUGUCUUUCUCUUGCUUUGAAUAAAAAGAAUUGUCUUCUAAUUAGAAUAAUAAUAUGCUUACAAAAUUGAGAUUAUUGUACAAUGACUGUAUCUUAUUAUUAUCAUACUUCUUUUUAAAUAAAAUCAUGUUAUGUAUGCACACUUUUGAUCAAUGAAAAACCAACAGUCAUAUGAUAUACGGGGAAGACUGGAGGAGGAGAAGAAAAGGUGAAAAAAAAAAUGUACAUAAUGCCUUUUGUUUUUAAUCAUAUGUUUUGGUACCAAGGCACAACUAUUGUAUCAUAUUUUGCCAUCAAAUUUUAUUAAAAAAUCCACGUAAAUAGUUGUGUUGGACAAGUAUAUAUAUAUAUAAAAUGUAAGUUAAUUCUGAAUAUGCGAUAUAAAAUGUAUGUGAUGUCGUGUUGUCCGUGUUGCCAAUUAGAGGAAGUUUCAGCGGCCCAGGGAGGGACUUAUUAGGGUUUGGAGAUUUGAAUACAAUUUUGAAGAAGAAGAUCAGACGGAGACAAAAGGAUAGGAUGAAAAGAAAUUGGAGCUCCAUCUUGAAGAGGAGAAAUUGGGCCAUCGACUUCAAAACUUACUGUGAUAUAUGUAAGCUAAAUUGAUUUUAUUGAUCUCUUAUCACGUCUAUGGUAUUGACACACAUAAUAGAAUUUUACGCAUACAGAAUAUCUAAAGUUCUAAACUUUUCAAAAGGCAUUCAAAUGUACAAAUAAGAGAGUGAACUAACUAUAAUUUAAUAAAUAGCCUUUUCUUACUAUUAUAGGCUUUGACUAUACUAAACCCCCGAAAUUUAGUUUAAAAUCUUAUAAUGAUUUAAUAAUAAAAAGAAAAAUGAGUAUACAUUGUUGGGACCAUCUAAGGUCAUGCACGAGACCUUAUUACCAGACAUGAUCUAUUUAUCCAUCAUUUUCCAUUCUGAUUGGCUUUUGAAAAGUCCAAGAGUUUCAUAAUAUUAUCUUUCAAUUUUAGUUUAAAAGGUCCAAGAGUUUCAUAUCAUAAUCUUUCAAGUUUUAAUUUGAAAUCUACCGAUUAUGCUAUCAAAAUAAGUCAACUAAAAAAGUGCCAACAUUUUGAUGGCAUGUUCAAAUCGAACUAUUCUGGUUGAAAGUUUGAUGGUUCAAGCAGCACUCUCAUUGCGUUGUGCAUAUUAAAAAAUUUCUAAGGGAGAAAGAUAAUUAGAUAUGUUUCUCACAUGUACUACUUGGAUCCUAUUAUUUAAUUAUUCAUUACCGUCCUAAUGUUAUAACUGAGGAAAGAGGAUAGCAACACCCUCUUAGAUUGAAGAAAUGGUCACCGAGACCCUCUUCUUUUCAUAAAUGAUUAUGCAGAUCCAUUUUUAAGAUAUAUGCACUAUUUAGAAAUUGUCAUUCAAACCUUUUUUAGACACACAAACUCUUUUCUUUUUUUAUUUUCCUUUUUGGGUCUCUUUUUUUUUUUUUUUUCCUUUUUGGGUUUAAAAUAACCACGGAUUCGCAUAGAAUCUUAAGGUUUGUCAAGAAAGAAAAUUUGUGUGUCCCAAAAGUUAUCUAUGUAACCAUUUCUAAAAAUAUAAGAGUUUAUGUGACUAUUAGACCAAACUAUGAGAGUGUUGAUAUCCUUCUUCCAAAAUUUAAUAAACAAGAAAAAUAAGAUUUUUUAUUCUUUUUGUAUUAUAACCUUAUUGUCACUCAAAUAUAUAAUAUUCAUGGUAUUGAAUUUUAUGUCAUUUUUAUACUGACCUUAGUGUCACUAAAAUAUAAUAUGUAAGUCGAUGAUAUUGCUAUUGAUAUACAGAAGUUAACUAGCAUUGACUUUAAUUUAGUCGUCCCUAGUUUCAAGAGGAUGGCUUUGUCCAUGUUAACAACUCAUAUAUUUUAAGUGAGAGUUUUCAAAUUAAAAAGUUCAAAAGUUGCAUAUGUAAUUAAAAAACACUAGAGUUAUUUAAAAAAUAAUAUAAUAAAGGGUUCCAAACUUAAAAUCAUACAUGAUGAUAAGUUAUUCGCAAUUAAAUCUGCAUAUACAAUCUUUGUCUUUAGACCAACAAGAGUUUAGUCUAUUAGUACAUAGCGUUGUUAGAUAGAAUAAGGCUAUUGCUUGAGAGACUGAAGUGACAAGCAUUGACUUAAAUUCUAGUAAUAAAUCCUAACUAUGUACGUAGCAUUACUCAUAAUUAUGAAUUUCUUUAGUUUAUGUAUUUCAUCAAUUGAUUAUUCCGGGCAAACAAAUUAGUUUAAAAUACUUUAAUUCCUCUUACAAUAGUGAACAUAGUGUGCUUGAUUUUAUCUUUUUACAGCCAAUGCCAUAAAUGGAAUUCUCACUAAAAAAGGUUAGGUACAGAAAGAAGAUAAGCAUUUAAAAUUUAGAUUUUGAAAUAUCUGAAUAUUAGAUAUCAAAAUUAAUUAUCAUUAAUGGCAAUAUAUUAUUAAGCUGUAAUCCGAUGCAAACAACACCAUCUUAUUUUCUAUGAGCCAUGGGACAGAGCAAUGAACUUUGGCCAAAUGAACCAAUCACAUUAUUCCCAAUGAACAAUGUAAAUUAAUUAAAUAAUGUUAUAAAAUGCUAUUUACUUAUAGGUUUUGAAGGAAUGAGAAACCUCACCCUCUAAAUACCGAUCCUUCUUUUGUUAUUACUUGAACUUUUGUGACUGUCAAUGCAAAAUGUAUUAAAAACCGAUCCAGCUAUGCGUAAGAGGCUAAUUAGUCGUAUUCUUAAACUUACCUUGCGAAAUUUAUUUACUCAUUUUUAUUUUACUUGAAUCAAUUUGUAUGGUGUUCUACCAUACCUUCCGACGGAGCAUCGCCGCCAUAUCUUUUUCUCAAAUUUAAUUUAAUGGAGAAAAUCUGAGAAAUGGAAUCUUCAAAUCACAUAUUUAUGAUAUUACACUUUGAAAUUCAAUAUAAAAUCAAAUUCGUUGUCACCUAUUCUCUUCAGAAAGCAAAGAAAAAAUGCUCUUUACUUGCUCCAACUUUUCUCUAGAGUACUCGAAAUUCUAGCAAAAGAUUUACAAAAUAGAUAUGGUAUUACAACUGCUGUCGUUUGCUCUGCCAAAUUUUACAUUUAUCAGUAAGGAUAAGUGUGCAUUACUUAGAGCAAAAAAUACAUUGAUGUUUAAAAAACAUUCCAACGUUGAGAGAAGCAAUCAUUUAUUUGAGUACUCAUAAUACCAUCAACGGAUCAGCGAUUUACCAGACUUACAAGCUACAACCCAUGCUGUGGAAUCCCUCUAUGGGGUUGAUGCUUGGUUUCUUCUACCACGUUUCCUUUCAUGUAGUGACUUUUGUUUAAGCCUAUAGCUCACUACUGAAGUUUUGUAGGGCAAUGGUGCUCGAAUGCUGAAUGAUUCUCUUCAAUGAUGACCAUGCCCUUGGAAACGAUGGGUGGUUGAUGAGACUCCAAUGUUUUGAUUACAAAAGCUGCUCUAAUGGAAGCUUGCAUUGUCAUUUUACUUUUAAGUUGUGAGUUGAGUACUUGGCAGUAGUAUCAACAAGUACUUGUUUUGAAUAAAAGAGUUGUUAAUUGGUUAAUUAUAAUUCUUUUCUCUUGUUUAUCUGUGAUUUUUUUCUUUUAUAAAUUUUGCUCACCUUCUAACUUUUAAAUAAAAUAAAUUAAUUAAUUAACAUUUCACAAACAAAUUAUUCAAGAAUUCCCACUUUCGCAUAAUAUCAAGGGAACUUUAUUUUUUUUCCAAAAAAGGGAACUUUAUUUUUAAUUAACAUAGUAAGAAAUUGAUUUUUUAAAUCCUCUAUCUCACUAGAAUUUAUUCAUGACUGGUCAUUCAAAGAAAAUACUAAAAGAAAAAUAUAAUGACAAAAACAAAAAGAGUUAAUUGGUUAUUUAUUAAAUUGAGACCAAGCCCUUUCUGAAUAGUUAAUUUUGGAUCACUCCCCUCAUAAAUUGAUUAUCUUCAAAUCACCUCAUUUCUUUUGAAAAUCUCAAUUUAUUCUCCUUUUUAUGGUUAAAAAAAAAGGAUCAUCAAUUUAACCCCCUAUUUUUCUUUAUCUUUUGAACAAAAAUAGGAGUAACUUGAGGUUUUGAAAGUAAAUGAGUGAUUUGAAAUAAUUAAUUCACGAGGGGAAUAAUACAAAAUUUAUCCCCUGUGCGAAUGGAUUUAUGUUCGGGGUGGUGAUAUUUCCACCCCACAAAUUUUAUAAACUCAUCCCAUUUUCAAAAAAUUAUUACAGUAAGUUUACAUUAUUUUUAAAAAAAUCAAAUUAAGAAUAAAUUUAAAAAAAUUAAUUAAUUAAAUCCAUACUCAUUUUUUUAGACUAUUUUUCUAUUAUAUUUUAUCAAUAAAGUUAGUUGAUCAUAAAUUAAUAUAGCUAUUUUACCUCAUUGUGAAGGUACCAAAAUAUCUAAAAGUUUACUUCCAAUAAUUUCUUAUACAAUUUUUUUUUUAUAUUUUAAUGAUGUAAUAGUAAUUUAUCUAAUAUUUAUUUAUUUUUUAAAGAUUGUGGUUUUUUAUUAUAUUUGAUAAUAAGGCUGCUUUAACACAAAUUAAUAUGAUUAUUUUUAAAAAUGACAAAUGAAGGCAUAGGCCAGGCUUUUCCUAGCCCAGGCCCAGUCUUGCGUCCAUGUUAUUAAUAAGGGAGCCCCUAUAUUACAAUUAAUGUAACAUACACACUCAAUAACAACCACACAAAUAAUGGACCCACACAAUUUGUGUGGUUGUUGUUGAGUGUGUAUGUUACAUUAAUUGUAACAUAACAUUUGCCUAUUAAUAAUAAGUCCAAACCCUUUAAAAACUAUGAGUAGUUUGGUGGACCGGACUUGAGCCGGGCCUGGCUUCCACAAAUUUUUUAAAAAUAAAUUUUUAAUACAAAAAUGCAAAAACGUCUCAACUAAACAAAAGAUGAAUACACUUCAGCCCUUUUCGAGGUUGAUUUCAUUAGAUUCUUUAAUAACCGUCAUAAAAUGCAAAAGUUUGAUAUCUAUGGACCAAUGUUCGCCGUUCUUUGCCAAAAGAGCAGCCUGAAAAACUCGAUAAUCUACACUGAGUGGGUUCGAGCGGUUGGAGCUGAUUCGCACGGCUUCAAGUGGCUGGGUUCACGUCGAACUGGUGCUGGGUUCAAUGUUGGCUGCUGCUGCUGCUGCAGUGGCUUCGUGAAUCGUGGCGUUGUGCUGGCCGGGUUCGUUGGUGGCUGCUGCUAUGGUGACUUCGCGAGGCUGCUCGGUUCGCGAAUCGCUACUUCGCUGCUGCUGGUGUUGUUCGUGGCUGCUGGAUCCGGUGAUGAUUGGUCGUGUGGGUGCUGCUGCCGUGCUAGUUUUGAUCGGUUGGGUGAUGGCUGCUUGAGAGAUGUGUAGGAAGUGCACACUGCACAACAUUUAAUUUUCGAGAUGUUUCUUUUUUCUUUUUCUUUUUUUCUUUCUUUUGAGAAGAAAUGCAAAUUAUGAAGAAAUUUGUGCUUUUGGCGGCGAGUAUAGAGUUGCAAAUUCAGUAUUCCGAUUAGACAAAUCUCCAUCAAUCUAAAACUCAGACGAUGAUGGCUGCAAUUGUUGCGCGGCUCGUGGGCGUCAGGGAGUGAGGAUGCUUUUGAUUUUGUUAUUUUGUGUUUUCUUUUAUUUUUUUUUUCCAUUUAAAUUUAUAUAUUUUCUGCAAAGGCCCUAAACCAGGCCCAACAUUUAUGGGCUACAUUUUUUGGAGCCCAUAUCUGUGACUUUGUCAUGCGGGCUGAGCUUAAAGUCUGCGGGCUUGGGCUGGGUCAGUCCGGAUUUUUUUGUUAACCUUAAUUAUUUCACCCUUGUAAGAUAAAAGUAUCAAAACAUUUAAACAUUUACUUUAAUUAUUUUGAUAUAGUUUUUUUUAUAUGGAAUGAUGUAUAAUAAUAAUUUAUUAGUAUGAUUAUUAAUAUUUCACUAAAUUAACAAGAUACAAUAAGGACACGUGGAUUAUUGAAAAUGAUUAAAUUAUAUAUUAAAUAUGUUAAAUUAUAAAAUAUAAAACUAAAGUAAUUUGGUUAUUUUAUAUUAUAAGGGCACAAUAGUCAAAUUAUACUUAUUUUAAAGCAACCGUGAAUAGUUAAUGAUUGUUAAAAGACUAGGUCUGGAAAAAAAAAGUAUUAUAAGACUGAUUUAAUUGAUUAAUUUUUCAAACUUAUUAUCAAUUUGUAAUUCUAUAAAAUAAUGUGAAUUUAUUUUAGUUAUUUUAUGGAGGUGAGGUGGAUUUAUAAAAAUGGUGGGGUGGAAAUAUCCACAUCCUUAUAUUUGCAUAUUUUUACUCUUUUUUCCCUUAUUUCACAUCCCACUCGAUGCAUAAACACCAAUUAAAUCCUCUACGGGAUUGAUUUGACCUCUUGUUUUCAGUGCAAUAGCCAAACCAACUCUGCUUAUUCCCUAAAAGAUACAAAAGUUACUUUCUCACUAAUUGUUAUUGUUAUGAUAUUAAAAUAAAAAUAAUUAAUAAUAUAUAAGGCAAGACAAAUGAUGAUUUGCUUUUUGAAAGAAUUCACUUUGUGGGGUGGAAAAUUUUUUUUUUAAUUGUGUUUAUAUUUCAUCCCAAGUUCUGAUGGGUUUUGUCGCUAUGUUUUAGUUUUUCCUUUAGUGAAAUAAAGGAAAAACUAAAGUCUGAUUAUGUUCAUGCCAUAAAUUUGAUUAGUACAAAUGUUACAAACUUCCUCAAAUUCUCUCAAAAUGCAGACAUGGAUUUUUAGACUCAAAAUUGUGAAAAGUAUGUAGAAGUUGAAUGACACUAGGUUUGAAAUUAAAACAUGAUGGAUUAGGAGAAAAAAAUUAUGCAUGAUGUUGCUUCUAUUCUAGUAAGAUUCAUGAAAUCUCUAAGUGUCCUAGGUUGAUCAUGAAUAUUUUGUAGUGCUUGGUUAUCCCCUUGCACUGAAAAGUUAUCAACUUCGUUGUCUAUCAUGUCUAAGGGUAGUGAAGGUGAUCUUCUAAUUAAUCUGUCACCAUUAGUACGAGACCAACAUCUCAUACAAUGCUAAUGAUGUGUGAGUGUGUGUCAAAUUAAGUGAAGACAAUGAUGUACAAUCAAAUGAGUAAUGCAUGAAAUAUGAAAUAAAAAUUGCACAAAAUUAAAAAAUGUAAACAAACUAAAAAUUAAAUAAGCAACAAUAAGAAUCUACAAAAAUAAAAAUAAAAAAUAAAAUGAAAAUUAUUAAAAUAACUCAACAAGCGAUAUUGCAAAACUAAGAAUUUAAAUUAAUUAACUAAACAUAAAAUAAUAACACAUCCACAAAAUAACAAUGUAGGCGGUAUUAUAAAAUCAGUCAUUAAAAAAAUAAAAUUUUUUAAAAAAAGAAAUUAUAACGAGAAAUAGAAGGAUACACUUACCUCAAGAUGUAAAAUUGACUUUUAAAAAUUAUCAACCAAUUAAGCAAUCAAUUUAAAUUUAAUCCUUAAUUAUAUGUUUCAAAGUGGAAAAUCCAAGUCCAUUUAGUCCACAAUCUCUAAAAAGUUCAAGUUCAUUUAGCCCACAAUGUAAUAUACGCACUUGGACUUUCUUAAUAAAGUGCCGAUUUUUAUUUUCCUCUUCUCUAUUAAUUUUUAAUUUCGUCACUAUAGUUUAAUUGGGAUAAAUUGAGCUCGAUUACACGCGUCGAUGGCCGGAUUUUAUUUUUAUCACGGGUCCGAAUUGAGCUUAAUUUGUAUUAAGCUUAAAAAAAAAAAAGGGGGCAGAAAACCCAGUAACCCGCGGAUUAACCCGACGAUUUCUCCCAACUCCAGCCACUUUACCGGCCGUGCUUGGUACCGAUCUGAAGCUUGGAAGCAGACCGUCGUAUCCCUGCUGUUAUCGUCGCCGGAAACUGGCCAGAACGCCGGUGAUCGAGCUCGAAAAGUCGCGGCUUCGACCCGUUUUCGUUGCCGUUGAUCCCGCCGGAGUUGUGACGCGCCACCACUUGGAACUGGUUCCUCACAUCCCCAGCAACAUUUCCCGACCAGCAACGACCGCCGGGGACGCCCGGAACUCGCCGAAUGAUCUCCGAAAAUUUGCGGAACUUUGGAACUUCGAUCCGCCGCCGGUAGCGCGGCCACCACCGUUGGAUUCACCGAGGUCGGAACUAGCAGACCUAAGUUCCCCAUCGUCGUUGACUGAAGUCCGGUCACCGUUGACCGGCGAGGGGCAAUUCGGUAAAUUCAUGGACUUUUGGGGGUGAUUGUGUAAUUUUAUGUAAAUAAUGGACAUUUUGGUAAUGUUGGUUGAGGGCAGUGAAGUAAUUUGUGAUUUUAAGGGUAAUUCGGUGAUUUAACUCGUUAAGGACAUUUCGGUAAUUUUACGAACCGAGGGUAAUUUCGUAAUUUCGGACAAUGUGAUUAAUUUAUGUAAUCUGAAUUGAGGACAAUAUGGGUAUUAACGAAUAUGAGGAUAAUUUGGUAAAAUCAUGAAGUUUGAGGAUAAGUUGGUAAAAUAUUGAUGUUGGGGGUAUUUUGGCAAUUUUGGCCUAUAGGGGCAUUUUGGUAAUUUUAUACAUGCGGGACUAGUUUAUCGUUAAUAGAUAUUUGUUUCGAGAUUUAUUAUAUUAAUUGGUUUUUACGGAGAAUAAUUAUGGUGUUUUCCGUGAUUAGGAGGAUCCGCAUCCGCGAACGAGAAUCUACCCGCGGACGUUGUUGAUACUGAGUCUAGACAUCAUCACUGUGAGUGGAAUAUACAAAACCUAUUUUCAUAGUAUAUGCUGAUUUUCUUAUAUAGUACAGUAUGUUUGAGAAAUAAAUGUUUAAUGCGUUGAUUUAAUGAUUUUCCAGCGAAUUGACUUUUAUUUAUGUGUUGAUAUUUAUUAUGAUUGAGAAUGAGUUCGAUUUAUGAUUUUAUUAGCGUUUUUGAGUAAAAGCAUGAUAUUAGAAUUGAGCAGACUUGAGAUAUGUUGAAUAGAAAGAAAAUGAGAUUUCAGAUGGGAUCAUAUGUUUACUAUUAGUUUUGAAAUCAUUAGACAGUACCUUUCCCUCCAGAUACAGAGAUACAGAUAAAAAGAGAUACAGAUAAGAGAUACAGAUAAGAUGAGAUAGAGGCCUUUGGGGCCCGUCGGGACACACAUAGAGGCUUUGGGCCGUGUUUUCGGGCGCUUUUGCCUUUUGGGGGCUUAUGCAUGCACAGUACAGAUAUAUGAGAUAAGAGAUAUGAGAUAUGAGAUGAGAACGUCCCCAUCUAUCCGUUGUGGCUCCGGGGCAUGACGUUACCCAGAUAGUGCGUCAUUGCCUGGCCGUUGAAGCCUGGAUAUGAUCAGAUUAUUCCCUGGGUACUUGUUUGAUGACAGUUUUUAGUAUUCAGUAUUUAAUAUGAGUAUGGUGAUUUCAUCGAUUUUAUGCAGAUUUAUUAUUGCAGUUAUUCAAUUUGAAUUAAAUGAGUUUAUGAUAUUUUGAGAAAUUGAUUUGAGAAUUGAUUUACGAAAUUGAAAUUGAUUUAAGAAAAGAUUUGAGAAAGAUUAAAUGAUUUUGAAUAAUUUAUUAAAGUAUCAGCACCUACUAUCCACUCACUGAGCUCACAGAGUUUUAUACUCACCCCUCUUUUAUUAUAUUUUUUCCCCCCACAGGAGAUUUACAGGUACAUCAGUCAACCCAGUAGUGAACGUUAGUUUGAUAUUGUGGUCACGUGAUGGUGCUAGAAGUCGUGGAUUUUAUUAUUAUAUUCGAAAUUUGUGUUAUUAUUUUAUGUUAUUAAGGAUAAUCGUUGUAUUUUAAUAUUCGGAUGAUUUUGGUGAUAUUUGAUAAGUUGAUUUGAGAAGUUGGUUAUGGAGGAUGUUUGGUUAUUAAAUUAUUUCGGGAGUGUUAUUUUGUCAUUUGCAGGGUUGGAUAUGUUUUAUUUAUAAGGGAGACUCUGCCGAAAUUUUUUUAUAGAUUUGUUAUUAAUUCGAUUUUACGAGUUUAGAUAGACUCGCCCUGGGGGAGGUUGCGGGGCGGGUCGUUUCACACAAUGUUCAAAAGUCCAAAGAGUAAGUCACAAUUCAUACAUCCAAAUUCCAAUUUCAUAUAGGGACUGAUUUGUAAGAAAUUUUAGGCCAAAAUAAAAUUUUCAUAAGCUUUAUGGUAGUAUACUAAUUUCAAGAGAAAGAAGGGAGCUAAUUGAAAUUUUUUAAAAAGGGAAAAACACUAGAAUUAAGCAAAGGAAUGAUAAAAAGAUAAAUAAAGAGCAAAACUAAUAAAUGAGAAUAGAAAAUAAAAAAUAAUAAAAAUGAAAUUGAUACCAAAUUUAGAAAAUUCUAUAAUAACGAAGUAAAAAACUUAACAUGAUUCAAAAGUGUUGAUUACUCCAAAGUAUAAGGGUGUCCAAUUAUAAUAUAACCCGUUGAGUCGGAAGUCGAACCGCAGGAAAUUUAUAAAUCUAGUAAUCAAUUAUUAAAUAAAAAUUAAUUGCAUAAAAAGAAAUUAAUAGAGACUAAUCUAGAAAAUACAAAGGUUACAAGAUCCACUCUCGGUUUUUAAAUUAUGGUCAAAAUACUCUCUCAUAUUUAUAUUUUGCAUUUUUUUAGCUAGUUAAUUACUAUGCUGUUUAAUUCUUAAUUGGUCAUCUGUAUGGAUAAAUAUGAGAUUAAGUACCUAAUGUGUCAAAAAUAUAUCGGAGUGUCAAUAUUAUGUCUUAAUUCAAUAUAGAUCCAAGAGAAUUUAGAUUUAUAAAUUAACAUGAUAUAAAAAUAACUAAUGAAGAAAACAAAUACGAAUUAUAAUCAUAUAACAAAAUAAAAUAAACUUUAACUAGUGUGGUUGGAGCCUGUUUGGUUUAGUGUUGGACCCAUGUCAUCACGUAAAUUCGCUAUUUUAUCAAGCACAAGUGAUGGUAAAGGAAUAGAAGCAUUGGUGGUAAUCUUUAGGGAGGAUAUGGACAAAUUUGAACAAGACCGUAGCAUCAUGGCUCAUGCUUCAUCUAACCCUAGCAUACUUGUAAAAUAGUGGUAAGGAGUCAGCUUCCGGCCUAGCAUAAAAAUUCGAGAUUAUAGUCCAAGAGAAGUUCACAAUGCUGUAAACCGUCUUUUUCAUUAUUUUACAACAUUGUAAUUAAACUCGUCACGUAAAAUUUUCAUAAUAGCAAGAGACUUUAUUUAUUUUAAUUAUCUUUAUAAACUUGAUGUCGAAUGCUACUGCAUGUAGCUAAUUGAAUGGUUGUAUAAUAAAUAUCAUUUAUCUCUAUUAUAAUCUCUAACAAUUAUUGGUCUUUCGAGGUUAAUUAGCUAGGGUUAGAACAAGUGAAAAGAAAUGCUAAAUGAAAUAAAUUUGAGUUGGACAAACAUAUAUACGAGUCAUUCGUGUGACAUAUGGAUCCCAAUUUUCUUCUUACUUAUUCUUUCCCUGUCUCCUGAUUUUUUUUUUUAACAAGCUCUAUUUGUACAAAUAUCUGAACGGUCUAAGAUCAAUAACAGUUACACACAAAUAUCUAAAACUAAACUUAUUGGCCUCCACACACUUCUAGCUUUACUCUUUCAAAAACAGUAGACACUACGCAACCAUGUACGUGCUAUAUAUAUCUUCAAUGGGCUCUGAGAAAUCAGCCGUUUCAUUCACUUCUUAGAGAAAUCUGCCAAAGGGGAUAAAGAAUCAAGAUUAACAACGCAUAAAAUAAAUCACACACCAUGCAACAGAGAUACAAUAAUUUAUAUCCGCUACAAGAAAUCUGCAUUAUGACAGCAUGUGAAAAGUGCUGCAAACGUUGUUAUGAAGAAUGCUGUAAAAAGACGCAAUACUUCUGAAGCAUUUCUUUUACUGCAGAAUCCAUAAUAUUGCACCAGCUAUGGAAGACGGCAACUACCUGAACAAUGCGAAAAUAAUGAUAUUGAAUCCAAGCACGGAUAUUAUCAGAUUAAUCAAACUUAAAAUUCAUCUGUAGAAUGUCAACAUUGAAACACUAUUUCCCUUCUUUUUAUGGAUCAUUCAGCAGUCUCACUGCAAAAUCAACAAACAUUAUCAGAACAUAAACAAUUUCAUGCCCGUUCAAAUACUAGGAACAAUAUUAAUAUUCAAUACUAGCCGAAUGUUGCCUUUAAUAUUAUGAAUUAACAAAAUUAUUGAUCAUUACAUUCGUCAUCAAAUCCAGGCUUUAGGAUGGCUUACAGACCAUCGGUAAUUGCAUCUAUCUUUUUCCUAUGAGAUGGAAAAUAGUACAAUAAUUAAAAUUACUGUGCAAAAUUAACGUUAAUAGUGAAUAAAGCUGCUCACAGAUAUGGGGAAAGCUGUAAAUAACUACAGAACCAUGUUGUGUAACACAUCCACAUUCUAUCAAAACAAAACUGCUCUCAAUUGACAAAUUGAUAAAAUCAAAAGGUAAAGAGCUUGGGUGAUUUAAGCUAUUGACUAACAGGCGUUCUUAAUCGGAGAUGAGUUACAACUCAUCUUUCUGUAAUUAGAAAUUUAGGAGAUUAGAGAAAAGUAAUGAGGAAAAACAAUAUUGUGAAAUGGGUGGAACAUGUUGAGAUAAUUUUGGGUAAUAAUUAAUAAAGCUCAAAAUAGAAAAUAAGCAACAAAAUGUUUUUUAUUAUUAUUUUAAUAUUUUAUUGUUUUGGCUCCUCUAAAGUUUUUUCAUUACGACAAAAUUUUCUUUUAAGAAGAAAGAAUGGAAGAAUUUCUAAAAAGACGGUAUAUAGGUUCAAUGAUACUUUUGAAAGUCAAAAUUGAAGUCAGGCACUUAAAAUUGUAGAUUUUGAAAUAUCUGAAGAUUAGAUAUCAAAAUUCAUUAUAGUUAAAUUUGAUUGAUAUACAUCUUCCAUUAACAUAUAGCAUGGCACGCUGGGAUCCGGAGAAAUAUGCACAAACUAGUCUAAUAUCUUUCACUUGCUAAGCAAAAUUACAAAACCAUUUUCAAUGGCCAUAAAAUACAGCUAAUAUUAUUUGGCUCACACAUUCAUCUUAUACAUUUCACAUAAUAAAUUAAAAUGCAAGUAAAAUAUCAUCAGAGUUGAUGAUCGUUAUCAGGCGAGACAGGAGUGGCAAGUAAGCACAAAUCAUUUUUCCUUGAGACAAUGGCUCCAAAAGCCUCACUCAUGUCAAGAUCCUGCGAUGCAAUUCCACCAGGGAGUUCCCAUUCAAAAUUAUAGAGAAGCUGAGCGAGAGGCAGCUCAAUGUUAGCUAGACCAAAUGCUAUGCCUGGACACAUCCUCCGUCCUGCCCCGAAUGGAAUAAAUUCAAAGUCAUUUCCCUUGAAAUCGAUCGAAUUGUUGCCUCCGUUACCAUUAAAUCUCUCAGGUACAAAAUUCUCAGCUUCAUUCCAGUACUUAAAAUCUCUUCCAAUAGCCCAUGCAUUUACUACAACUCUGGUCUUUACAGGAAUUUCAUAGCCUUUUAUCUCGCAUGCCUCCCUGGUCUGUCGUGGAACUAAGAGUGGAUUUGGUGGGUGCAAUCUUAGAGUUUCUUUGAUGAUCAUUUUCAAGUAAUUUAGUUCCUGAAUAUCUGCCUCCGAAAUAUUUUUAUUUCCCUUGAGUGCUUCUCUUACUUCAGCCUGUGCCUUCUUCAUCACUCCAGGGUUUCUCAUCAACUCUGACAUUACCCAUACUGUCGUUGUGGCAGCAGAUUCUGUUCCCCCAGAAAAUAUGUUCUAGAAAUUAAAAAUAUUGGAUGUUAAAUAAUUUUGUUUAAUAAAUUAAAACCUAAAAUGAAAAGUUAUAGGAAAAAUGACAGAUGAUUUGACAAAACGGUAAUAGAAACCCUUAAUUUUUUAACGGCAAUCACAUGUGAACUCCUUCUUUAGCAAUUAUGCAUAAAUGGAAUACAAUUACGUAACUAGUGCGUAGUCAAAUGGUAUAUUGUUAUUAAAGGGGUUUAUGUUACCAUUUUAAAAAUAAAGGACAUCUCUAACUAUUUUUUUUUUGUUUUUUAUAAAAUGGUAGAAUAGUAGGAAAAAUCUAAAUUGAACUUUUAAACCCUACUCUCAGGAUUUGAACUCGGCAAUUAGUUAAAGAAAACUACUUGAACACCACUUAGUUAAAGCCCUGGAGGCAUAAAUAGUGAUUCAAUUAAGAAAAAAUGAAGUCAUUUAUUUAUAUGCUGAUUUUUAUUUAAGAAAACAAACUUAUAUAUACUAACCCAAAUAAUAGAUUUGAUGUUUUUGGUAGUAAUAGGAAACCCCAAACUGCUGGUCUCUUGAAGCCUUAAGAGCACAUCAACUAAAUUUUCUUCUCCAGAAGCAGAAGCAGUAGCAGUAAUUUUCUCCAAUUUCAUGCUCUCCCUACGCUGGUUGAUUAGAUUAUCUAGGAUCUUGUCUGCUUUACCAUGAAGCUUCAAUAUCUUAGCUUCCAUCCCGCUAAAAAAAUGAAUAAAUUUUAGCGAAGGAAACACUUCUACCAAAGAAAAACCUCCAGCCAGUUUGCAUAUUUCUUUGUCUAGUGAUACAAACUCAUCUUGUUGCUCAAAUCUGCUCCCGAAUGCAGCCCUGAAAGUCACUGUGCUUGUGAACGAAACCAUCAUUUUAGAGAGAUUAAUUGGUUGAGAAUUUGAAGUUGCAGACGCGGAGCGAAUGGAUUCAAUUAGAUUCAAUGUCUCAUCUUCACGAAUAUGAGCAAAUGACUUGACUCUUUUGUUACUUAGCAGCUCCAAAGCGCACAGUUUUCUCAUCUGCCUCCAAUAAUCACCAAUAGGUGCUGACACAAUAGGCAUGCCAGUUUUCUCGUACAAAACCUUGAAGGCUAGAAAUUCUGGCCUAUCCGCGAAGGCCAGAUCAUGUGUCUUCAUAACCUCUUUGGCUAACUCCGCAGAAGAGAUUACAACCAUCGAUAUUUCUCCCAAUUGAAGUUUAAUUAUAGGCCCAUGUUUUCUAGCUAUUUCUUUGAGAACAUGGUGUGGCUGCGAGCCUAUCAUGUUGUGCAAGUUGCCGAUAAGAGGAAGUUUCAGUGGCCCAGGGAGGGAUUUCGUAUUAGGGUUUUGGGAUUGGAAUACUAGUUUGAAGAAGAAGAUUAGACAGAUGACAGAAAAGGAUAGACUGAAAAGAAACUGGAGCUCCAUCGCGUGGAGAAAAAGAGAAAAAGAGAAAAAGAGAGGAGAAAUUAUCUUUCUAGGAUGUAUGUAAGCUAAAUUUUCUUGAUCUCUUCUUAUCAAAUAUCGUAUUCAAACUCAAAAAUUGAAGUUUAUGUAUUGGAAAAUGACAUCUAAACUCCCAAAAUUUGCCCAAAUAUAGAAACAAGAGACGGUUAAUUGCUAUGAUUUCAAAAAUAAACAUAUAGAUCCCUGUUCAUCUUUUCACUAUAACUCCUUUUCUUAUAGCUACAUGUCGAAAAUGAUAGAAGAGUUGAAAUUGGGCCAUGGACUAUAAAACUUGCCGGAAUAUAUAUAAGCUAAAUUAAUUUUAUUGAUCUCGUAUUGUAUUUGACAUUAGACGGCGACGUCAAGUUUCAAUGGUAAAAAGUGGUCACUCAAAGACUCAUGUUUUAGGUUCGAGCCUCACUAAUGUGUGUGAGUUAAUUAAAUAAAAAAAUAUAAAUUGUAAAAAUGAAAGUUGAUGCACCGCGAAAAAGACAUCUAAACUCCCUAUAAGAUUUACUCAAAUAUACAAAUAAAAUAUACAAAUUGUACUUGACACAUAAAAUGAAAGUUGAUGCACCGCGAAAAAAAAAUCUAAACUCUCUAUAAAAUUUACUCAAUUAUACAAAUAAGAAAUACUAUUUUAAAGACAACUAUUUUUUUUUACUAUUAUACGCUUUUAUUAUACAAACCCCUGAAAUUGAUUUUAAAAUUUCAUAAAAAUUUAACGUACAUAUAAUUAAAUUUUAUAGUAAUUUUAUUUACUAUAAAAAUCUAAAGUCAGUCUUUGGCGAACAAAUCCUAAUAUUGAAUAAAAUUAUUUAUUUAGGGAUACUUUUGGAUUGUUGCUGCUUAUGAAAUAAUCCACUUCUGCAGUGCUGAUGAGAUAACAAAUAAGAUAAAAAGAAGUUAAAUAUUUGUUCAACUAAAUUACUGAGAGUGUUAUGAAUUUCAAAAAUAGAUUAUCUGUCCCACUCCCACAAGUUUAAUAGAGUUUUUCAGUCCCACCUUGACUCAUUGAAAAUUGAUACACUUUGUUAAUUACAAUGGUUCAAUGCAUACGCAUGUGAAAACAACAUGAUCAUUUGACUUCCACAGAAACAUACAAAGGAAGCUUCCGUUUGAUUGAAAUGAAUCAACGAUUAUUUUAUCCGAAUUUUAUGAUAACAAAUAUACAGUAAUAAUUGAUGGUUAAUGAUAAAGGAAAAUGAGUAUACACUGUUGGGAUCAUCUAAAGACACGCACAAGACUUUUUUACCAGAAAUGAUCGAUCUGUCCUUCAUUUUCCCUUCUGAUUAAUUUUUCAAAAGUCCAAGAGUUUCAUAUUAUAAUCUUCCAAUUUUAAUUUGAAAUUUAUCAAUUAAGCUAUUAAAAUAAGUCAAUUAAAAAAGUCCCAACCUUUUGAAGGGACGUUCAAAUCAAACAUUUAUGGUUGAAUUAAGUUUAAUGGUUCAAGUAACAUUUUUUUUUUCUCUCUUAGAGGCUUGGUUGAAUGGUUUUCAAAUAACUUUAUUUAGAGAACUUCUAUAAAACAUUAGAAAUAAUACAAAUAAUUAAUGUAUGUAUGAAACGUGUAGUUGAAUUUUAUAUAACCACCAAUUGCGUUCUGGUUCUUCAAACUAAAUACACAUAUGUCAUAAUAUUAUUUAUUUGUUGUUUGGCUAAUAUGAUACCUCGGAAUAUUCUAGAAUUUCUCAUUUAUUUGACUGGUCACCUGAAAGAGACAAGGGGAUAAAAAUUCAUUUGGACUUUACUCAUCCCUAAACUUUAUUUAAAAAAUAAAAGUCCAGUUGUUCAAGCAGCAAUUUCACUGUGUUGUAUAUUAGAAAAUUUCAAAGGGAGAAAGAUAAAUAUUUAUGUUUCUCACGUUUGCACUUAGGUCCCUAAUUUUUUUAAUUCUCGGUACAACCCCAAUGUUAGAAAAUGUAAUAAUUAAAAAAAAAGUUUUUUUUUAAUUCUUUUUCUAUUAUAACAUUGUUGUCAAUCAAAUAUAUAAUUUGCAUGCUAUUGAGUUAUUGGUCUUUUUCUAUUAUAACCUUAGUGGCACUGAAGACGAUGAUGUUGCUUGAAAUAUAUAGAAGUUAACGAGUAUUGACUUUAAUUGAUUUAUUUCUAGUUGUAAGUUGAUGGUUUUGUCCAUGUUAACAACUCAUAUAUUUUAAAUGAGAAUUUUCAAAUUAAAAAAGUACAUAAGUUUCGUAUAUAUAAUUAAAAAAUAAUAGGGUUAUAUUCAUAGUAUGAUGAUAAAUUAUUUGAAUUAUAAAUAUAUGUUGUCUUUUUUUUUUCUUUUUUGACAAGUAAAUGGAUUUUCUUAAGACUUAAAGACCAAGAGUUUACUAUUGUAGUAUGGUAGGCAUUAUGGUAGUAAUAAUUUGAGGGGGAAAUUUUAUUAGAUAGAGUAAGCCUAUUGCUUGAUAGACUAAAGUAACAAGCAUUGGCCUUAAUUCUGGUCAUUGUUCAUAUUUCCUAACUACAUUUGUAGCAUUACUUAUAAUUAGUUUAAGCUUAUUUAUUAUUAUUGAAUAAAAUUAACUAGUAUAUUUAGUGCAAGCACCAAUAAUUUGUUGUUAUUUUCUUUUUUGAAUGACAUUAUACUCUACUGCUAUUUACAAUUAGAAUCCUAUUAAAAUCUUGUCAACCAACUCUAUGAUGGUAGAGCUUAGCUAUAUGGUCCCAAACUCAUUGGAUCUACUUUUAAAUUUUUUGAAGAAAAUCAACCUACUACGUAAAUGAGAGGACUCCAACCCUCAACCUCAAGAGUGAAGUAAGGUGAUUCCCACUUGUCAACCAUAAGAUAAUUUACAAAUUUAUCAGUGCGUAGUACUUCUCAUACAAGAUUUCUUGCUUUAUUAGUUUACGGAAGAUACAUUAAAAAUGCUUUUCUUCUGAAUAAGUUUUGGUGCCGUUUGCAUAUUUUGUUGGCAGUUAUCGUAAAAGCUCUAAUCUCGACCGUCGAGUUCCAUAUUUCGUAUACUCACUUCAAAACUAAUAAAUUCUGUAAACAAGUCACCAUAGAGUAAUUGUCAUGCCGCUAGCAUUGUCCUGCAAAUUUCCAAUAAUAGCAUCAUAACCCGUAAGCGUGAUUUCAAAGAAUAUUUACAACGUCUUAAAGACUUAAACUAGCAAAACAAAAAGCGCUUGAUGAUUCCUGCAAACAUCAAUCGAACGAGAAUUUGUUUUUAAAUAAAGAGAAUCAAAUAAGACUUAGGAAGAGAGAAAUAGGUGGCAUUAGAUGUUUUGUUUGAAUUCUAAAUAGAACUAAAUGUCUGAAUUCUGAAUUGAACUAAAUGUCUAAAUUUGAAUGAUAUGUUUGUUUUCUUAUCUGAAUUGCUAAAAAUAAAUAUUAAACUGUUUAUUUUUUCAACUUAAAAAAUUUAAAAACUAGUAUUUUUACAUUUAUGUCCUUACAAAUUAUAAUGUAAAGAUAAUACAUUAUCAAUAUAUAAAUUAUGCUUAAUUUAUAGAACCUUUUAUAUUCUAAAAUAGUAUAUGUUAAUUAAUUUUAUCACGGUUUAUGAUCUUUUCAUAUGAAAAAUAUUUAUAAAAAAUUAUGAAGAUAAAUAAAGCUAAUUUGAAGAAAAUAAAAGGAUAAAUAAUAAUAGUCAACUACUAUAUUAUCACAAGUUAAAUUUUAUUUAGAUAAUGAUAAAAAUUAAUUAAUUAGAUAGGUAUUUUUUGAGAAUAUCUUUCAGUGAGAUCAUUUAGAGUUUUAAGAUUAAGAAAACAACUAAAAAAAAUAUUUUAAUAAUUUAAUGACUUAACGACUGAAAAUUUUCAUUAAGUUAAAAUACAAAUAGACUUAAUGGAUUAACUGACUGUACGUCAAUUAUAUCAUUAAGUCAAAAAGCAACCCCCAUAAUUAGCAUUGCUUCUUGAAGAAUUAUACAACGAAGAAUAUAAGACAAAAUGGACAUGAAAAGGGGACCAAAUUAGUAGAUUUUGGACACAUCACGCAUGGAAGCUAUUGAUGAAAAUAAUCAGACAAUGAUAGCAACAAAAUUAUAAAUCAAAAUAAUUGAUUAUUAUCUCUAUCUUUUUAAAUCAUUAUAAAUAUUGAUUAAUUAUCAUCAACAUUGAUUGACUCAAUCUUAAAAUAUGAAUCAAAUUACCAAGUAUCAUAUCAACUGUAUAAUUUUUAGUUUUAUUUUUUAAAAAUUAUAUAAAUUCAUAUUAUAAUCCAGUACUUAAUAGAACUUUUACUCAGUUUUUAAGGAUAUAUUUACAUCUGUCAUAUUUUGCAAUUAAUGGUUAUUGUUUGGGGUCUAGCUACUAUCCAACCGUGAUUUGGUACUCCAUUUUUUGUCUUUUUGUGAUCCAACCAUUAGAUUCAACCCAAGAGUUGCAAAAGCUAUUGUAAGGAUUUAAUUACUUGGUCAUUAAUGUUGCGGCCCCUCAUUUUUCUAAAAAUUAUAAGGAAAGGUUAGUUUUCAAAAUUUUUUCACAUAAGUCCAUUAAAAGGUUUUAUUAUCUUUAAAAGGAUCAAUGGCAACUUAGUAAAUAAACAUAAUUAAUUAUUAAAAAUAUAGAUGGAUUAUUUUAAGUUGCUAUAAUACUCUCCACAUCCAUUUACUUAAAAUACAAAUUGGAUUACAAUAUUGUUCUCUUGUGUUUAGUUUAAUGCAUGAUUGGACAAAGUUUUAUAUAAGUUUUGACAAUAUUAAAAUUAAAAAUAAAUAAAUAUUAAAUAAGUACUUGAACGGUAAUUUAAGUUUUAUUAUAGAGUUUAUAAAUGCUAUUUUCAAAAUAAUAGAUUUCUAUAUGCAACUUUGAAAUUAUGUAAAAUUACUCAUACCUCAUCACAUAUAUGGAGCUGAGAUAAUAUUUAGAAAAAUAUAAUCUCAAUUAUUUACUUAACAUGAAAAUGAAUAAAUUGUAUAAUAUUUAUUCUAUUACAUAAAAUUAAAGUUGUGAAGAAUGAAACUUAAAUUUAAAAUUGUAAAAUGAAUAAUAACUUAAAUUAAUGGAUUAUGAGAGAAUUAUCUUUCAAAAAUAAUUUUAAGAUUAAUUAGCUUUUAAGGCUUCUAACGUAAUCUUUUUUAUCUCGUGUUGUUAACAUAAAAUAAAAAUUUUGCUGUAAAAAAUUAUCCUAAACAUCUCUUUAAGGUGAAAAUAUCAUUAUCACAUGAUAAUUUAGUAGGUCCAAGCUGUGUUAUUCUUAGUUUACUUAUUUAUGCUAAACACCAUAUUAUGAUUAAAUUUUAGUAAAAUAAAUCCAUCCCACCAUCUUUAACUUCAUUGAGCAGGUUUUAAUUGUCUAUAUCUUAUUAUAGAAAGUAAGACAGCUCCUUUCUUAUUAUAUUGGUAAAGAAGAAAAGAUAAACACAAUAGAUGUUUUUUAAGAGAAUGCAAGCAUUAUUUUUAUGAGGUUUUGUUGUUUAAGAAAUUAAUCUAAUUUAUGUGAUUAAAAAAUCUCUUUAUUCUUUUAUAUUUUAGAAGAAUUAUAUGUUUGAAAAUGAAUAAAUUAAGAUCUAAAGGAGGAUGAAUUGAUUGAGAAGGAGAUAGAGAUAAUAAUUUUUUUAAAGAAUUUUAAAAUUAUUAUAUUUUAAUUAGGGCUUAUUAUAUAAAAUUAUUGAAACUUAUAAUUUUUAUUAUUUAUAAAAAAUAGCAGCUACUGAUGAAGAAAAUGUCGAAUUAAUUUUUUUGAAUUUUAAAAUUAUUAUAUUUUAAUUGGAGUUUACUGUGUAAGAUUUUUAAACUUAUAAUUUUUACUAUUUAUAAAAACAAUAAGACUGUUAAAGAAAAUGUCAAAAUUGAGUGUAUGGUACAAUUGAGGCAACAUAGGUUUGUCCGUUUGGUUUGUUUCGUUUUUUAACUUUUUAGUUUGUUACCUUUGCCAAAAACGCCUCGUUUUGGAAUGAAUCUUUGACUCCAAAAAGGCAAAAGAUCCUGCUUUUCUUUCAGAAGAGACCGCGUGUUUGCUUUCUGCCUCGGCUCUUCCUUCUUCAUCUUACGCACUUGACUUCCAUCAUCAUCAUCAUAUCAAUUGAAGAAAUUUCAACAAUCGAAAAAUUCAGUUUGAUUUUUUUUUCAGGUUUUGUUAUUAAUUAAUAUUCUGUUUAUUAAUACUGUAAAUUCUGUCUCUAUGUUUAUGGAAAUCAAUCGGAGUGAAUUUCAUUAGUUUAUGCAUUUCAUCAACGGAUUACUCCAGACAAAUAAUUUGAUUUUGUAGUAAUGGACAUGGUGUGUUGUUUUUAUCUCUUUAGAGCUAAUGCCAUGUCAUAAAUAGAAUUCUCACAAAAAAAAUCAGGUGUAGAUUGAAGAUAGGCAUUUAAAAUUUAGAUUUUGAAAUAUCUGAAUAUUAGAUAUCAAAAAUUAAUUAUCAUUAAUGGCAUAUAUUAUUAAGCAGUAACCUAUGCAAAACAACAUCAUCUUAUUUGUUAUGAGCCAUGGGAUAGAGUAAUGAAUUUGGCCGAAUGGACCAAUCACAUUACUCCGAGAUGAGCAAUAUAGUAAUUAAAUUAAUAUUAUAAAAUACUAUUUGCUUAAAGGAAUUUAGAUGGGGGUGAGAAAUCUCACCUCUAAAUACCAACCUUUCUUCCUAUUAUUAUUUUAAUCAAACGAUGGAUGGUAGCUGAGAUUUUGAUACAACUUUGCAUGUGACACGUCGUUCGCAACGUGCUGUCAAGAGGAACCCAUGCAAGAGGUCACGUUUGCAUACAAGCAUGCAACGGCCACUUAGCCAAAGAUGAAGCCGCGUUUGCAUGCAUGCAUGGAGUCACGUUUGCAUGCAAGCAUGCAAUGCCGACUUAGCUAAGUUCUUGUUCCAUUAUGGCCAAGCAAUCGGGAGUGAUAAUAACCACGUGCAGGAACGUCUCAUGGUUUAUGUUGUUUUUUUCUUUCCUUCAUGGACCAUUAAUUUCGGCAAUAGUUACUAAGUUGGGUGAAUGAUUUGUAUUUAUAUUCUUUGAAAUAAAUUAAAGAAAUAUAUCAAAUAUUUUCAAUGAAUUUUCAGUAUGGUUUUUUUUCAUCCUAAGAGAAUAUUUUUGCUAUCCUUUGCUAUCGUUAACGAACCUUUAACUGGGACCUAUCAGAUUCCAAUGUUUCGACUGCAAAAACUGCUCUAAUUGAAGCUUGCAUUGUCAAAUUUUUUAAUUAUAGAAGAUAUAUCUUUGACUUUUAAGUUUUAUUCUUAGCCAGUGUCAACAUAUACUUGCUUUGAAUAAAAGAGCUGUUAAUUUUUUUAAUUAUAUUUCUUCUCUCUUGUUUUUUUGGGAUUUUUCCGAUUAAUUUCUUACUAUGUUAAAAGAAAUAACGUUUCUAAGAUAUUAAUAUGGAACAGGAAUUCCUGAAUAAUUUCUCUGUGAAACGCUAAUUUUUCUAUUUAUUUUAUUACUUAUAAAGUGAGGAGAUGAGUAAAGCAUAAAUUGAUUUUUUUGGUCCUCUACCUAAUCAAAAUUGAAUAUAAAAAAUCUUUGAAGCCUCUACGUAUAUAUUUAUGUCCUUGUAUGCAUAUAUAAUUCAAAUUUCAACAAAAGUAUCAAAAGUUAUUUUUACGGUUUUUUUGUUUAAUUUCACAUCCCAUCCUAUACAUAAAUAAUAAUUAAAUAAUUUGCUUUUCCAAGGUUGGUGCGAGGGGAAAAUGAUCCUCUUCCUGUGACCUUUGUUCUCACUAUAAGGGGGCAAACCAACCCGACUUAUCCCCUGAAAGAUACAAAGUUAUUUUUUGCUAAUUAAUAUUCUUGUGACAUUAAAAUAAAAAAUAACUAAUACAUUUAUGGACUAAUCUUAAAUAUUAUGUUACUUUCAUAGAAUAUAUAAGUGUUGUGCAAAUUUUAAUAAACUAAAUAUAUAUGCGCAGCUUUGGGGUUCAUUGAAUUCGCCAAUGGAUUUUAUUUUAUUUUAUUCAUUAAUUUCCCUUCUUUCCAUAUACUAAAUAUAUGCUCUUAUAUAAUAAGUAACAAGAAUUAUUAAAAUUUGAUAUAUCUCAAUCUGAUCUUUUUGUUACCGCCAUAUUCAGACUUCAACGCAAGGGGGAGAAUUUUUUUAUUAUUGUCUAUUAUUGAAAUUAUUUAUUUUGGAGCCCCGUCAUUCCCGAUAAUAUUAUGUAUUAUCCAUAUUUCUAAUCACCUUCUUUUGUUGAUUUCUAUCUUUUUAGCCAAUUUGUUUUUAUUUUCUUUACUAUCUUGGAGUUUCAAUCUUAUCGCGAGUAAUUAUGCAAGAAACUUCGCUUGUUUGUUAAACAUUUGGAAUCUGAAAUUUUAUUAAUUUCGGGCCUUUUUCAAGUUUUGCUUUUUUUUUUUUGUAAAUUAUGUUUGAUUUUUAGAAAUUUACAUCAGAAUAGAAAAAAUAUAACUUUGUUGACUUUUAUCUAAAUGAAAAAAGGCGUGAAUAAGAAAUAAAUAUUAUAUUCCAAAAAUAUUUCUAAAAAUAUACUUAUUUGCUGAAUUAUAAGAUUUUUUCUAAUUUACAAGGAAAGAAAUGUCAAAUAAUCAUGUUUAAUAUGUUUUUUAUUUAUAAAAACAAGCAAAAUGUCACUUAUAUUCAAAUAUUAAAAAUAAAAAAUAAAUACGUCAUUUAGAUAUUUGUAUUCAUGCUCAUUCAAAUUUCAAAAAAAAAAUUAAAUUCAUUUAAAUCUAAUAAAAAAACCUAUCUUAUAAUAAAUAUGAUGGAUUAGGCAGCACACACAGUAUGCCACUCAACACUCACUUUGGUGAAUAAUUUCUCAAAGCCAGCAAAAGAUGGUAGUGAUUCUCAAAAACAUUUUGCGACCAACUGCUUCCAAAUUAGUCACUAAUAAUGUCCAAAUCAUCACAAAAAGAAGUAUCAAAAGUGUCGCUUUUGAUGUUCAAAUCAUUUCCGCCGAAAGAGUCAAAUCUUCAUUUCCAACGGAAAAACAUCUUCGAACCUAUAAACUUUCAUUGAUUGAUCAAAUUUAUUCUGAUGUUUACAUUUCCCUAGUUUUCUUCUACUCGGCCAAUUGUAACCACCAAGAUUUCAGGAAAAAAAACCUGAUUUGUUGAAGCAAUCUCUCCCAAAAAUCAUUAACCCACUAUUACCGUUUUGCUGGAAGAUUGAUUGAUAGUUUUUCAGUCGAUUGUAAUGACCAAAGGGCUGCAUUUAUUGAAGCUAAUGUUGGCUGUGUGUUGAAAAGUAAGCUUGUUGGGCACCGAAUUCGGUGCCUACCAAAGCUAAAUUUUCAAGUACAUAAUUUAUCCAAUUCAUCAAUUGGACAAGUUUUUUCAAUGCCUCAAUUUGGCUGGCUGGUGCAAAAUGAUCUCUAUAAAUAGAGAAGCAUUUUGCACUUGUUAGCGUCCCACAUUUUUUAAAACAAUUUUAAGUGAAGUAAUUUGAGAGAUUUGAGAGAGCUUUUACUUGAGUAUUUUAGUAAAAAUACAAUUGGUUGUUUUGUCGUUUUGGUUUUUUGAGUUUUUGGGUUUUGAGAGUUUUUCUUACUUUUGUAAAUUCUCAUUUAUUAGUGAAAUUAUCUUCAAGUCUUUGUCUAUAGACAUAGACGUUUAUGCCAAACCAUGUAAAUUAUUGUGUCUUAUUUUCUUUGCAUUUAUUUAUCACUACAAUUAUAUUUAUCCACAAUUCGCGACCACCAUAAUAUUAGUAACUACUCAACCCGCGCUUCUGUAACAAUUGAUAUCAGAGCAGAUGGUCCCUACUUGGGGUAAAUGACAUUGUUCACAUCUACAAUAUUGUUCAUGUAUAUGGUAUUGCUCAUGAAUACGGUGGACCUAACAGUCCGUACUUGGGAGUAUCAGAAGCCUACAAUGUAGUUGUGUGGAUAAAUGCAUGUCUGAGAAAGUUUUGUCAACAAGACAAUAAGAGUCUAAAGAGUAUGGAUUUCAAGUGGGACCGUUGAGACCCUCCAUUCUCCUGAGAACUUUCUUGGUGCAUUAUCUAUAUAAAUAGACACGUAGACAUUGUUCGUUCAAGUUAGGUAAUUAAAAAAAAGGGAUGGUAGAGGCAUCAUCUUCAUCUUUCUCAACAAAGACUACUGUGACUUCAAAUUUCGACCGUACUAAUAAUUUUGGUAUGUGGUAAUGUGAGGUGUUGGAUGUCUUAUAUCAAUAAGAGUUGUGUUAACAUGAAUAUGUUAAUAAUAUUGAUUUUGAUGAUAACAAACUUUAAAUGGUUUUUUAUAAAAUGUUGGAGCUAUUUCUUAAAUAAACGAAAGCCUUAUAAUCAUUCCAAUUAUAUUCAUAAAAGAUGGACUUUCAAAUUAGAAAAUGAUUCUCUGCAAAAUUUGGUUUAAAAUGUGAUUCUGAAAAUAAACGGUGAACCGUUUUAUUUUAAACGGUUAACCGAUUAAAACCAGAGAGCAACAUAUUGCCUAAGCUCUAACCGAUUAAGCAAAACGGAAAACGCAAAAAGUUGGGAAGGCUACUAGAAUUUAACGGUGAACCGUUUAUUUAAACGGUUAAUCGAUAAAAUCCAAAAUUGAAGAUUGUACUCAUCUGGCACCGAUUAACAAAACCGGAUAAGGCUAAUUUAUUUUGCAGGUUACUGGAAACAAACGGCGAACCGUUUAUUAAAAACGGUUAACCGAUAAUUUCCAGAGAGGUCAUUUCAUGAAAAUCCUUAACCAUUUAAUGUAAACGGAUAACUGAUGUUCAUCUUGCAGGUCUCUGGAAUUUAACGGCGAAAGGUUAACCCUAAACGGCAAACCGUUUAUUUAAAAAUUAGACCAACGGUAACAUUGACCAGAUGAAACGGUUAACCGUUAAUGCCUAACAGCGAACCGUUUUCGAGCAGACAGUCUAUAAUGGCUAGUUUUUUAGCUCCAGUUAUAAAUAAGCUCAUUCAAAAUCAAACAAGAUUGAUCACAACAUAACCAUUGAGCUUAUAUUCGAGAAUACAAUCUUCAUAGAGCUUUAAAACACAUUCUUGCUUCAUCUAUUCACACAUUGAGCAUUGAUUUGUAAUCUUAAAUAUUGUGUGAGAGAAAUUUUUUUUUUAAUCUUUUACUUUGAGUGAUUGUAAGUGUUGGGAUACACUUGGGUUAAGAGAUUGGGGAUAAUCUCUUGUUGUAAAGGUUCAUUGAUACCUUCGAAGUCAAGUGUAAGCAUUUGUAGCCUUGGAGGCUUGCUUAGUGAAAUCCUCAAGCCCAGAAAGCUUGGAGGCGUGGACGUAGGCGAGGUAGGCCGAACCACGUAAAAAUCUCCAUGUUUGAAUCUCUCUUCCCUUAUCUUUUUAUAUUGUAAUUGAUUUAAUUGUUAUUCCAUUAAAUUCAUUUUAGAUUUGCUUGAUAAUUUGUUUUAGAAUCAAAUAAUUUUUAGAAUCCAAAUUCACCCCCCUCUUGAGUUGCACACUUGUAUUUCAAGUUGGACCUCACUUUUGAAGAAAAACUUGACAAGAUAGAUGACAAGAAGUGGAUAAAGAUCAAUAGACAGGCAUAUGGCACUUCUCGCCUAUAUCUGGCUAAAGAUUAGAAAUACUCUAUUAUGAGGGGGAUAUCAGCAAAGAAAUUAUGGCAUAUGCUGGAAGAAAGGAACAUGAAGAAAAGCCUUGAAAAUAGGCUUUAAAUGAAGAAAAAACUCUAUUAAUUCACGUAUGCACCUGACAUGUUGAUAAAUGACCAUGUAAACUCAUUCAACAAGAUAUUGAUGGAUUUGCUAAAUUUGGAUGAGAAAUUUAAAGACAAAGAAAAGUCAUUGCUGCUGUUAAAUUCCAUUUCUAAUGAAUAUGAUCAUCUCACCACCAUCACUUUGCUUCAUGGGAAGAACAGUGUCACAAUAGAUAUUGUAUACAGUGCGUUGUAUAACUAUGAGACCAAAAAAAAGACAAAAAAGAUCACAACGAUACAGUUGUAGAGGCAUUGACAGCAAGAGAUCGUUCACAAAGUCGCAAACCUUCUAAAAGAAUAUAUGGCACGAAUUGGCAAAUGAUUCAACAAUUUCUAACUUCCUGAAAUUGUGAACUGAGAUCAAUCUGGGAUAAAUGAAAAUAUUGGCAAUAACGUCGUUUUACAUUGCACCUUUUUGUUUCCAUCGCACAGUUCAUUAAAGGAUCAGCAUAUAAAGCUACAAUUAACAUCUAACGUAGUGUUCAAAAGGUUGUUUUUCUGAUGGCAAGAAAAUAGCAGUUCUAAAAGAGAAGGUGAAAAAACAAAUAAUGACAGGCCGUUUUGAUCAUGAGUUACAAGCGUCACAAUUCAUGGUAUUUUCAUCACUCAUUUAGGGUGCUUUCAUCACUAUUGCUCGAGAAAAAAAAACAGCAAUUAAUAGCAAGUUGUACUCUCAUGCAGUGUAUUAAACUAUGAAUUUGCGAAGCAAACUGAAUCUACCAAUGAUUCCAUAAUGCAUAGGUAACAUUUUUCGGUUUGUAAAGGCAAAAUGGUCAAUAGCCGAGGAUGAUGACACAAAGUUAACAAGCUUAGUGAAAAAGUGAUCAAAGCAAAGAGAAAGGUAAGCAAUAUGAUGAAUAAUAUUGAAUACUUAGGUUUCAUGAAGGAUACAAAUAAAGCAUUGGAAGAUUCAAGGUCAUUUACUUUGACUAGUGUGGUUGCAUUGCUUUAUUAAGAAGCUGAUGUUGGUUGUGGGAAGCCUGUUUGGUUUAGUCUGUGGUUGAUGUCAUUACCUAACGCUGCCUUUUAUCAUACACAAUUGAUGGUGGAGUAGAAGCACGAAUGGUAUUAUAUGAGGAAGACAUGGACAAAUUUGGAAAAAAAAAAAACCUAGUAUCAUGGCUCAUGCUUUCUCUAAUCUAGCAUACUUAAAGGCUAAUUAAUCUUAUCCUUGAGUUCAUCUUGUGAAAUUAGGUUACUAAUUUCUAUUUUACUUGAAUUGUUUUAUAUGGUAUUCUAUUAUACAUUGUGAUAACGCAUCACCGUCAUAUCUUUCCUAAAGUUUAAUUUUACUGAAGGAAAAUCGAGAAAUGGAUUGUUCAAAUCAAAUAUUCAUUACUAGAGAUGGCCAAUGGGUCGAGCCAGUCAUCAAAGGAAGGCCCAUGUAUGCUCGUGCUCAUGUCAUGUUAUGUCGACUAUGUGUUUCGUACCAUCCCGUGUCGUACCUAAUUCAUUUUGCUUAGGCCUAGCCUGGCACACGUGUUGUGCCAUAGGCCAUAUCAUGUUGUGCCUAAGAAAAAAAAAACCUAAUGGAUUUUUUCCUUUUUUUAAUUUUUUAAGUAAAACUGGGCGAAAGAAUUGAGGCUUAGGAAAAACCAAACCGAACCAAUGGUUAUGUUUGGGUUCGGACCGAUUUUAAUUUUUAUAAAUAUCUGAAUAUCCAAUUUAUAAGAAAAAAACUGAAAUAUUGGUUCAAAUUUUGGUUCAUUCAGCUGAACUGGAUAACUGUAAUGUUUUUGUAAUUUUUCCAAAUCGUGAAAUGUGUGAAAUGUUAAUUGGCUAUGUAAAAUGAUUACAAUAGACAUGCCCACACAUGACUAUUAUUUUUAUUUGUAUUUACAACUUUAAGUUUAUUUAAAUGGAUCAUUGGAGUCUAGAUUUGUAUUCUUAAAUCUUAAUAUUUCAUAUUUUGUUAGUAGUAGUUAGUUAGACUGUAAUGAUAAGUGUGUUUUGAAUAUUUUGUAUUUAUUGUUAGUAUUCGUAAUGAAACUAUGAAGAACUGAUUACUGAGAAAAUUACUCCAUUAAUGAGGCCCAACGGACUAAGAAUUUAGAAAUUCAAAAUAGGCCCAAUAGGCCUAGGAUAAAAAAAACCAAACCCUGACCAAAUGAAUCGAUUCAUAUUCGAUUCUUUAUUGUAUUCGAUUUUUAAUCCGUUCUUUUUAUAAAAUAACCAAUUUUAAUAAGUUAUGCUCAAUCUCAAUCUGAGUCGAACUGUGCCCACCCCUAUUUUUAAGUGCGCAUGCCAAGUUGUCGAUGUACUUUUUUCAAGCCUAUAUACUUUUUUUGGGUCCAUGUACCUUUAUUCAAAUUUAAUAUAAUCGAAAAUUCAAAACUCAACUCCAUUUUCAAUAAUAAUAAACUAAUAAUAAUAAGAUAAUAUAAUAUUAAUUACUAAAUUUGACCUUAUGGUAUUAUAAUUCUUUUUUAAUACUUAACAACAACUAUAAUAAUAAAAUUUUCUUGAGUUAACUUAAAUGUUAACUUAGACUUAUAUAGAGUCAUACAUCAUAUUUCACAAUAAUAUUAAUACAUAUUUAUAAAAUCAUGAUAUUUAUAAUUUUAUUUAUUAAAAUCAUGAUAUCAAUUAUUUAUUUAAUAAAUUAUAAACACAAAUCAAUUAUAGUAUUUUUUUAAACUAAGAAUUAAAUGAAUUUAAAUGAUUCAAUUUUAAUUUAUUAGUAAAAUCAUAAAAUUUUAAAUUUACUUUCACUAAAAAGUGAAACGUGCUUAUUGUGGGCUUUUCACUUUAUUUAGAAUUAAGCCGACUUUCCUUCUAUGUACAAUUUUCUUUAUUAAUUAAAUUAAAUUAGUUGGAUUAAUAAUUAAAAAAUAAUCAUGUGAACCUAUUAAUUAAAAAAUCAUACAAUCGCUAUAUCGAUAGCGAUACAGAUACUUGUACAAACUUUUUAUUAGAGCUGACAAAAUUUGUCACGACUCGAUUAUCCGACACGAACACAACACAAAUAAAUGGGUAUGGGUCAUCAAAUUUAACACGAUUAUUAAAUGGGUUGGGUCCGGGUCAACGCAAUUUUUUUCUAUGUCGGGUUAGGGUUAAAGUUCUUGAUCUAUUUACCCAAUCAAUGACCCGACUAUAUUUUUUAUUUUAAAAUAAUUUGUAAGUUCUUGUUAUCAAAACUCAAAUAUUAGAGAUGAUUCUCUCUUUUAUUUUUAUUUUUAUUUUUUGAAAAGAUGAAUAUAAACACAAUAUUUUAUUUAUAAAAUUUUAUAUACAUUUAGAGCUUCAAUCAUGUAAUUAUGUAAAUGUGUAAAAUAUUGUUAGACAUGUAUGUAUGUGAGUAGUUUUCUAGUCCAAGAUCAUUAAGUGUGGGAAACAUUCGGGAAAAUUUUAAAACCGCGGGGUUUUAAAGGUUUAAAACUUAAAGCGCUUAAACCGCACGAUUUAUACAUUUUCCUGGACGUUCCCGCACUUUAAUAUUCCGGACUGGAACAUAUAUAUAUAUAUAUAUAUAUAGUAGUUUUCCAAUUAGGGAUCCCAAAUUUUAAUAAAGUCAGAGAUUAGCUAAAAGAUAAAAAAAUUUAGAUUUUAAUACACUACAUGACAAAAUACAAUGUAUUAGACUCUAUAUAUAUUUUUUCUUUUAGUUAAUCCCUGGCUUUAUUAAAGUCAGUGAUCCUUGAUUGGAAAACUAUUAUACAUAUAUAUAACUUUAAUAGUGUAAAUGUGUAAUAUUUUGGUAGAUAUUUAUAUUUUAUAAUAUCGAUAAAUUAUGUAUGUACGACAGUGUGUAAAUAUUUGAUAUAAAUUUUGUUUAAUAUAUAGAUAUUAAGCGGGUUAUUGGGUAAUCCGAUUAUUUUCCCGUGUUGGGUUUAGGUCUCAAUAUUUUGACAAGAUUAUUAAAUGGGUCGGAUUUAGAUCGAUCUAAAUUUGACACGACACGAAGUUGAUACGACACGAACACAACCCGAUAACCCGUUUUACCAGCUCUACUUUUUAUGUACGAAUAAACUAAUAUGGUAAUAAACAAUUAAGUGGAUAAUAAUAUAAAAUUGAUUUAUUAAAUGAAGUCGAUCCGUAUGAAUAUUAUCCAACAAUAAUAUAUCCCAUAUCUUUACCCACAAAUGUACAGAAUAGUCAGACUAGGAGCAGCGACCACACGCUGGUAGAUCGUGCCAGGCUAUAAAAUCUCAUCAGCUUCUCUACAUUAUAUGUAAAAAAUAAAAAUAAAAAUAAAAAAAAGAAGAGAGGGGGGAGAGAGAGAGAGAGAGAGAGAGAGAGAAUUGAUCCUUUGGUUGCAUAUAAUAUAUUUAGCAUUAAUCUGACACAACGGUACACAGUCGGCCUUCCUUAUAAUGUUAAUUUACAUUGUUUUUUGUUGACGUUAUUUCACCCGCAAGCUAUUUACGUUUGUCGUAUGUAUAUAUGACACGGAUUUCACAGACAAGAAGCCACUCACUUUUUGAUUUUCUGAAAGCACAAAGAUGUCAAUGAUUAUGAGAAGCAUUUUCCAAAAUAAACCAAUUUCCAAAACUGUCAUCAAUUUCCAAAUCAUCACCUCAAGAAGAAGACUCAAAACCGUCAGCUGCGCCAUGGACGAUGUUCAAAUCAUUUCCACCGAAGCUAUCAAGCCUUCGUCUCCAACUCCAAAACAUCUUAGAACCUAUGAACUUUCUAUGCUUGAUCAAAUGUUUUCUAAUUUAUACAUGCCCUUUGUUUUCUUCUACUCAGCCAAUAAGCACCAAGAUUUCAGGAAAAAUUCUGAUUUUCUGAAGCAAUCUCUGGCAAAAACAUUAACGCACUACUACCCGUUAGCUGGAAGAUUCGUUGAUAGCUUUUCAGUUGAAUGUAAUGAUCAUGGAGUUACGUUUAUUGAAGCUCAAGUUGGCUGUGAUAUGUCAAAGUUUCUUCAACCACCGAAUAUGGGUGUGAUGCAACAAUUAAUCCCACCAAGCCCACAAUCAUUGAGAUUAGAGGCUUCUGAAAGAGCGCUUUUGGCUGUUCAAGUAAAUUAUUUCAGUACCGGUGACGUGGCAAUUGGUAUCUGUAUAUGGCAUGGAUUGGCAGAUGGUUCAGCAAUCUCCAACUUCAUGAAAUUGUGGGCUGAGAUCAAUCGUGGAGUAAAUGAAAAUAUUUGCAAUAACGUCGUUUUAGAUUGCACCUCUUUGUUUCCUCCGCACAGUUCACUGAAGGAUCAGCACAUAAAGCCACAGUUAACAUCUAAAGUUGUGUUCAAAAGAUUGUUUUUUGAUGGCAAGAAGAUAGUGGCUCUAAAAGAGAAGGUGAACAAAGAAAUAAUGGUGGGCAGUUUUGAUCAUGAGUUACAAGCAUCGCGUUUCAUGGUUGUUUCAUCACUCAUUUGGGGUGCUUUCAUCGCUGUGGCUCAAGAAAGAAAGAGGGCAAUUAAUAACAAGUUGUACUCUCAUGCAAUGUAUUAUACUAUGAAUUUGCGGAGCAAGAUGAAUCCACCAAUGAUUCCACAGUGCAUGGGUAACAUUUUUCGGUUUGUAAGGGCAGAAUGGCCACUAGUCGGGGAUGAUGACAUAGAGGCAACAAGCUUAGUGAAAAAAGUGAUCAAAGCAAAGAGAAAUGUAAGCAAUGUGAUGAAUAAUAUUGAGUAUUUAGGUUUCAUGAAGGAUAUGAAUGAAGCAUGGGAAGACUCAAGAUCAUUAACUUUAACUAGUGUGGUUGGAUUGCGUUAUUAUGAAGCUGAUUUUGGUUGGGGGAAGCCUGUUUGGCUUAGUAUCGGGUCGGUGUCAUUACCUAAUGCUGCUCUUUUAUCAGAUACAAGUGAUGGUAAAGGAGUAGAAGCAUGGGUGGUAUUAUACGAGGAAGACAUGGACAAAUUUGAAAAAAAUCCUAGCAUCAUGGCUCAUGCUUCCUCUAAUCCUAGCAUACUUAUAGCAAAGUAGCAAAGUGACGAUAUUUAUCUUGUUUUGAAUUUAAAAGAGUGGUUAGUUAAUUGUAUUAUUUUCUCUUUGUUUCUUUAUGAUUUUAAUCUAUCUAUAUAUCUAUAUAAAGCUGGAAUUUGAGGAGGUGAUGUGGCAUCACCAUUUCUUAUCUUUGUAUAUUCUCUAUUAUCUAAUAAAUAGAGAAAUUUUCUUUUAGAUUUGACUUUUCAUCUUCUCAUAAUUAAUUUUAUUGUUAUUACACAAUAACAAUUAUGUAAAGAUUUUAAUGAGGCACAUUCUUUGUAAUGAACAUCCAAGGAGGAGUGUUAUGAAUUUAUUAAAAUAAAUGUAGAUAUUCAUAACAUAUAUCUCUUAGUCUCCCCACUAUUUCCCAUUAGCAACAUUUAGCUUUCCUAUAACUCACACUAUCUCACAAGGAAUUAUGAUCCAUAAUUUUUCAUUAAUUUCAUGGAGUGAUUAUGUAACUAUAAAAUAAGAGCUCAUCUUUUUGUUUUGCACACACACAAUUGGAAUGAAUAAAAUCACUCUAUAAUAUAUUCUCUCAUUUUAUUCUUUAUCUUGCGUUGCUUCUUUAUUUGUAUUGCUGGCUAAUAGCUUUUUUUUAUUUUUUAUAAGGCUGCCUCAUCUUUAAAAAAAAUCAAUUCAUAUUUUUUAUUAGUUUCAUCAAGUGUAAAGUAAAAAAAAAGAAUAAUACUAAAUUAUUUUUUCAAAGCCGCAUGAAACGCGGUUCUAUUUUUUAGUUAUGUUAUAAUGUUCACUCAAAUGCUACUGCAUGUAACUAGCUAAAUGGUUAUAUAAGCCUCCAAGUGAUGAUGAAUAAGGGACAUCAUUUAUCUUCAAUAUGAAUUUAGAUCUAUUGCUAAAUUUUUAAUAAAAUUAAGAUUUAAUUACAUAUUAUUUCUUAUUCAAUUUCUUAUUCAAUGAUUACCAAUCAUUGAAUCCAAAUCCUUUGUAUAUAAUCUCUAACAAUUGUGCUGUUUCAAGGUUAAUUAAAGUUUACAAUUUAUUAAGUGAUCAUGAAUACUGAUAUUUACGUACGAGAAUUUUUCAGUAUGGCGAUAAAAUCAAGGUUGACAGCGGUUACCAUCAUGAAAAAAUAUAUUAAAAUCAUAUGAAAUUUCGAUAGUUAAAAAUAAUUAAAAAAAAACGCUAAGAUCAUAUAAUUUUAUCACUGUUUUUGACACUCUUCUGAUACACUCUGGAUAAAUAUUUUUUCAUUGAUCAAUAAGAUCACCUAGCUACUAAUAUCUAUAAAAACAAUCAAACCGUUAUUUGCGUCCUCACACUUCUUAUUGUACUCUUCUUACACAAAAAGUCUGAAUGCAUGGGUUUUCAGCCUAUUUAUGAACAACAAUCAACCCAUUUCCCUCUCCCCUGUGCCUUUAAAAAGACAAUUGCUAUUUAUCCCCUCCUUCUGUCUCAUGAAUCCCCACUUUCAUUCACUUGUUAGAGAAAUUUGUAAAUGGGUAUAGAAAAAUAUCAAGAGGACGCAUAAAAUAAGUCACAUACCAUACAACAGAGAGAUACAACAAUUUAAAUGAUUUAUCUUGAAUUGGGCUGCAUAUUGAUAAUUAAUAAAUUAAUUUGAAAUUCUCUUAAAUAAAUAACAAAUAAAUAUAAUAAAUUACAAAUUGUUCUUUGUUAUUUUAAUUGACUUCACUAUAAUUUUUUUAAAAAGAAAUUACGAAGAAUUACAUAUUGAAGACCACAGGUCCAACUAUAUUAUUUGGAAGUUAAAAUUGAAGUUAAGAAGCAUUGCUCUUGCUAGCAAUGGCACAAUUCAUCAAGGGACUUUCUGUUCCAAUGAUUUUAUUUGAAAGUUGAAAUUGAAGCAAGCAUCUAAAAUUUUGAUUUUGAAAGCUCUAAAGAUUAGAAAUUAAGUUUCAUAAUCAUUAAUCUUUAAUAAUAUUGUCCUUUUCAAAAGAGCUCAAAAUUUUAUUUCAAAUUUCAUCUCAAAUAAUGUGGUAUAUAAUGUGUCAUUCAUUAAGUGAUUGAUGAUUUUUUUCUAAAAUCUAAGUGGACGAAUAGAUUAGUCACAUUAUCCUUAAAUGAUCAAUAUAGAUUAAUGAAAUAAUAUUAUAAAAAACUAUUUGCUUAAAGGUUGGGACGGGGAUAAGAAAUCACGCCUCACCCUCUAAAUACCAACCUUUGAAAGCUCUAAAGAUUAGAUAUUAAGUUUCAUAAUCAUUAAUCUUUAAUGAUAUUGUCCUUUUCAAAAGAGCUCAAAAUUUUAUUUCAAAUUUCAUCUCAAAUAAUGUGGUAUAUAAUGUGUCAUUCAUUAAGUGGUUGAUGAUUUUUUUUCUAAAAUCUAAGUGGACGAAUAGAUCAGUCACAUUAUCCUUAAAUGAUUAAUAUAGAUUAAUUAAAUAAUAUUAUAAAAAACUAUUUGCUUAAAGGUUGGGACGGGGAUAAGAAAUCACGUCUCACCCUCUAAAUACCAACCUUUCUCCCUAUUAUUAUUCGAAUUCUGGUGAUCACAUAUGCAAACCGUACUCACAACCAACCUAGCUAUGUCCGAUAGACUAAUUAAUCUUAUCCUUAAGCUCACCAUAUGAAAUUAGUUACGAAUUUCUAUUUAACUUGAAUUGUUUUAUAUGGUAUUCUAGCAUUCCUUACGACGGAGCAUCCCUACCAUAUCUUUUACUAAAAUUUAAAUUUAAUGGAGAAAAUUUGAGAAAUGAAUUCUUCAAAUAAAAAAUUUAUAACAUUAAACUUUUAAAUCCAAUAUAAAAACAAAUUCGUAGUCACAUAUUCUCCUCACAAAGCAAUGAAAAAAUUCUUGAGCUCUUUACUUGCUCCAUCUUUUCUCUAGAGUACACAAAAUUCUAGCAAAAAUUUACAAAAUAGUCAUGGUAUUAGAACUAUUAUCAUUUGCUCUACCAAAUUUCACUACAGAUAAGUGUGCCUUACUUGGAGCAAAAAUUGCAUUGAUCUCAAAAAAAAAAAAAACAAAAAAAAACAUUUCAAUGUUGCGAGAAGCAAUAAAUUUAUUAGAGAAAUCGUGCCAUUAUCGAAUUAGCGAUAUACCAGAUUUCACUUCCAUGGAAAGUCUAGAAAAUUUUUUAGUUGCCUGGUGCUCAUAUGCUAAUUGAUUCUCUUCACUGUCGUCCAGGCCAUUGGAAACGAAUCAAACGAUGGAUGGUGGGUGAAAUUCCAAUGUUUUGACUAAAAAAGCUGCUCUAAUGGAAGCUUGAAUUGUCGAACUUUUUUAAUAUAUUUGACUUCUAAGUUGUUUGCUGAGUACUUAGGAGUAUAAAUAACAAUCCAUUGGUUUUGAGUGAGAUGAAUAUAUUUUUUUGCUAGCAUCAACAUGUGCUUGUUUUGAAUGAAAGAGUUGUUAAUUCGUUAAUUAUAUUUCUUCUCUCUUGUUUCUUUUCCUGAUUUUUCCGAUUGAUUUCUUACAAUGUUAAACAAAAAUAACGUUUCUAUUAUAUUAAUAUGGACGUAGGACUUCUUAAAUAAUUUCUUUGUGAAACGUUAAUUUUUUUAAUUUAGUUUAUUACUUAUAAAGUUAGGAGUGAAUAAAGUAUAAAUUAAUUUUUUUCUCUCUACCUAACUCUGAAUUUGAAUAUAAAAAAUUUAUCCUCUCAUAUUUCAGCAAAAGUAUCAAAAGUUAAUUUUAUGACUUUUUUUGUUUAAUUUCACAUCUUAUCAUAUAUAUAAACACUAACUAAAUAAUUUUCUUUUCCAGGGUCGGGUUUGAAGGGAAAUUGAUCAUGUGACCUACUUUUUUUACUACAAGUGGCAAAACAACUCGACUUAUCCCCUAAGAGAUACGAGAGUUAUUUUCGUUGGUUAAUAUUCUUAUGACAUUAAAAAAAAUAACUAGUAUAUUUAUGGACAAAUCUUAAAUAUUUGUGUUACUUUACUAGAAUUUUAAGUGUUGUGAAAAUUUUAGUAAACAAGAUAUAUAUAUAUAUAUAUAUAUAUAUAUAUAUAUAAGGGAAUGGUUUUUUUAAUUAAUGUAAUAAUUUUUUACUUUAAAAAGUGAUAUUUUUUUUGUCUAAUCUAAUUAAAUAUGAGUAAUGAUAUAGUUAUAAAUUCUUAUAUAAAUUUAUUUUAUACAAAUUGAUGUGGCGUUAAUUCAUUGGUUUAAUUAAAUAUCUAUUGACCCAUAUGAUUUAUUUAUAUUAUUUUAUAUUUUUAUUCAAUCAAUGAAUUAAUACCAUAUUAAUUUAUAUAAGAUAAAUUUAUACAAAAAUUUAUGAUUAUAUCAUUACUCAUUAAAUAUUAUAAUAUUAACGGUGAAUUAACAUAGUAGAAAAGUAUUUAUCUAUUAAAUAAGGCAUACCACACAAGUGAAAUGAAAAUACCAUAAGCCAUAGGGGAGGUGAGCGAUAAAUUUCCGUUUCUUCUAGAAAGAAUAAAAAGACAAUGCAAGAAAAUUUACCCGAGCAGGGAGAUACGGUGAUUAUUUCAAUGUUAACAAAAUAAGGGAAGUCAAAAUUUUUAGCAGUUGAAAGUUUUGUAUAUGGUUUUUUAUUUUUAUUUUUCUUUAUGUUUUAAAGAUUAUUUCAGAGUUUAAAAAAAAAAAAAAAAGUAAUUAAUACGAAUCUAAAAGUUGUCGUUUUAUAAAUUUUUUAAAGAAAGUGUGCAGCGCGUUUUUUCAUGUUUUAUUAGUAGCUUUUUCCGCGAGAAUGUCAACCGAACACGUUUUUCCCAUCAAUAUUCCCCUAAAAAAGAAACGGCCCUCCAUUUUCCUGGAAAAAAACCAACACAAUUUUCCAGCCGUCCAAAGGGUUAGCGAGACUUGAAACGCACGGUUUCCACUCUCCCCCAAUUUUAUUCAAUCAUGACCUGAACAUCAAUACGUUAUUGAAAAGUAAUUAUCAUAAACUCAUCCUUUUAUUAAUGGAGUUUGAAUCUUAAAGACUUUUGAUAGAUUAUGCAAAAUGGAAAGAAAACGAAGUGGCGGACGAAUCAAAAUACUGAAAAUUGAUGAGGUAUGUAAUUUGAAUGCAUAUUAUGGGGCAUAAUAAUAAGGGUCAAACAAAGAACCAAAUCACCUUUAGUUUAUGGUAGUCAUGGUACGUCAAGAUCGAAAGCAACAUGAUAUAGGCAUCUUUAAUUAACAAAUAAAAUAUGACUAAAGUCGUCGUGGAGGUCUCUUGUUGGGUUAUUGCUAAGCAAAUCCGCAUGCAGAAGGUGCUGGGCCUGCUUAUUAAUUAAAUGAAAGGCGGAUUUAUCUCCCUGUUCAACAUGUUCUCGAGCUCUCAUUUGUCCUUGACUUCAUAAUCGCUUUAAACAAAGUAGAUGAUAAAAAGCUUAUUUCAUUUAUUCCGCAUUAAUACGCACCGUUUGAUCGGUCUAAAGCAUAGAAAGGUUGAUAAAAAAGAUGCCGAUUGGGUUACAUUAAACACGGUCAUUCCUAAACCAAUCCAAUGGAAGGAUGUCAAUCUUCCAGAGGAAUGGAUCCUUGAAGGAGCCGCUCCACCAGCGAUUCCGAAACAACUUGAGCCCAAUACAGAGUUGCAAAAUGUGACUCAGUAUACUCAGUAUUCCGAUGGUAAAGUGAAACUAUCAUUCAGGAGAUCUACCUCAUCUAGAUUUUUUGAUAAAGCGUCGUGCUCAAGCAUUCCUUCAUUAGAAAGGAAAUUUACAAAAAUACCCUCUGUUAUAAAUCUCCAUUUUCAGUCCAUAAAAAGUCAACCUAGGUUUUCUACUUCAGAUAUACCUAGUACCUCCAUUCGAUCAGUUGAUUACACCACUAGUGUUCCUCAUCCGAUUUACACUAGUAAUCAACAUGUACAAAGUCAGGAAGAGAAGGAACAUUCUCCUCCAACUUCCCCUACGUUUUCUGCUGUUACAGAAAAUGUCAUUAAUGUCAUUGAAAAAGAAUUUGAAUUAGAUAAAACUUUUCUGCAUAAUGAUUUUUAUUCUGAUUUAAACAAAGAAAAAAGACUUUGGUUUUUCAAACACUUUUUAAACCAAAGAAAAGAAAUCCAACAAACUUACUAUGAAUUUGUGAAUUUUCAUAAAAUUCAUAUAUUGUUUUUUGAUUGGUUUGAGAUAUAUUCUUCUGAUAACAACAUCUCUUAUCCUUUUAAAGAGUCAAACCCUAUUACUAUUAGGAAGAAAAUCCCUAAAUGGAAACUUCUUGAUAGUGAUAGAACUAUAGAGUCUGAACACCCACCUCUUCGGAGUGUAACCGUUGAUCACGGUGAACCUCCUGUCCAAAUUCGAGCUUCGCAUUACAAAAUUCCAAAAACAAAUGAUUCUGAGGCAAAUUUAAGUAGUAUUAUCCAACAGAAUAAUUUCUGUAAUACUAACUUAAAUACAAUCGGAAAGCAGUUGACUAGGAUAGAAAACCAAAUCCAGAAGUCAACUAUUACUGUUCCAUCAAUUUCUCCUAUUCCAACAAAAUCGGAUUCUGACAAAAAGCUUAAGGAACCUAUUUUCAAACCCCUUCAGGUUUCGAAAACUAGCCAAAAGCUUGUUCAAGAGUCAAAAUCAGAUUUUGCUAAAGCCAUUAGAGAACAAUUAGAUAGGAUAGAAGCUGCUUCUUCCUCAUCUAGCAAAGUUCAGAUAGCCCCUGAUACUCCUCAAUCUAGCAAGAUUGGAGUAUUAGAACAAGACCAAAUGUCUAUAGCCUCUUCUGAUAUAGAAGCCUUCAAAGAAGAACCUUCUACUCCUAAAGCCAACAAAAUUCAUUGGGAAUUAGCCCUUCCCACUGUCAAGACUCCACCGGAUCUAGCAAUAGAUAAUAGACCAAGUGCAUUAAAUCAAUCCCGAUAUAAUGCAUCUUCAGUCUAUGAGUGGAAUAUUGACAGUAUGUCUGAAUACAAUAUCCUAGGAUAUUGUAAUGGCGAAUGUUCUAAACCUCGCAAGAAACAUUACAAAUCUAAACAUUUUAGAAAACCCAUUCGUAAUUUUAGAGAACUUCCUUAUAAGAAACCUUCGAGGCCUUAUAAGAAACCCAAAUUCUCUAAAAGAAAAGAGUUUAGAGCCAAACCAAAGACCCCUUUCAAUUACAAAGAAGCUAUAUGCCAUAAAUGUGGNNNNNNNNNNNNNNNNNNNNNNNNNNNNNNNNNNNNNNNNNNNNNNNNNNNNNNNNNNNNNNNNNNNNNNNNNNNNNNNNNNNNNNNNNNNNNNNNNNNNNNNNNNNNNNNNNNNNNNNNNNNNNNNNNNNNNNNNNNNNNNNNNNNNNNNNNNNNNNNNNNNNNNNNNNNNNNNNNNNNNNNNNNNNNNNNNNNNNNNNNNNNNNNNNNNNNNNNNNNNNNNNNNNNNNNNNNNNNNNNNNNNNNNNNNNNNNNNNNNNNNNNNNNNNNNNNNNNNNNNNNNNNNNNNNNNNNNNNNNNNNNNNNNNNNNNNNNNNNNNNNNNNNNNNNNNNNNNNNNNNNNNNNNNNNNNNNNNNNNNNNNNNNNNNNNNNNNNNNNNNNNNNNNNNNNNNNNNNNNNNNNNNNNNNNNNNNNNNNNNNNNNNNNNNNNNNNNNNNNNNNNNNNNNNNNNNNNNNNNNNNNNNNNNNNNNNNNNNNNNNNNNNNNNNNNNNNNNNNNNNNNNNNNNNNNNNNNNNNNNNNNNNNNNNNNNNNNNNNNNNNNNNNNNNNNNNNNNNNNNNNNNNNNNNNNNNNNNNNNNNNNNNNNNNNNNNNNNNNNNNNNNNNNNNNNNNNNNNNNNNNNNNNNNNNNNNNNNNNNNNNNNNNNNNNNNNNNNNNNNNNNNNNNNNNNNNNNNNNNNNNNNNNNNNNNNNNNNNNNNNNNNNNNNNNNNNNNNNNNNNNNNNNNNNNNNNNNNNNNNNNNNNNNNNNNNNNNNNNNNNNNNNNNNNNNNNNNNNNNNNNNNNNNNNNNNNNNNNNNNNNNNNNNNNNNNNNNNNNNNNNNNNNNNNNNNNNNNNNNNNNNNNNNNNNNNNNNNNNNNNNNNNNNNNNNNNNNNNNNNNNNNNNNNNNNNNNNNNNNNNNNNNNNNNNNNNNNNNNNNNNNNNNNNNNNNNNNNNNNNNNNNNNNNNNNNNNNNNNNNNNUGUUUCUUCGAUUUCUCCUAUUCCACCAAAAUUGGAUUCUGACAAAAAGCUUAAGGAACCUAUUUUCAAACCCUUUCAGGUUUCGAAAACUAGCCAAAAGCUUGUUCAAGAGUCAAAAUCAGAUUUUGCUAAAGCCAUUAGAGAACAAUUAGAUAGGAUAGAAGCUGCUUCUUCCUCAUCUAGCAAAGUUCAGAUAGCCCCUGAUACUCCUCAAUCUAGCAAGAUUGGAGUAUUAGAACAAGACCAAAUGUCUAUAGCCUCUUCUGAUAUAGAAGCCUUCAAAGAAGAACCUUCUACUCCUAAAGCCAACAAAAUUUAUUGGGAAUUAGCCCUUCCCACUGUCAAGACUCCACCGGAUCUAGCAAUAGAUAAUAGACCAAGUGCAUUAAAUCAAUCCCGAUAUAAUGCAUCUUCAGUCUAUGAGUGAAAUAUUGACGGCAUGUCCGAAUACAAUAUCCUAGGAUUGUUGCAACAAAUAACAAUGGCAGCCAAUGCCUAUAAAACCCAAGCAGAAACUUCUGAUCGUGCUAUAUCAGAAAUCCUCAUUGCCGGUUUUACUGGUCAAUUAAAAGGUUGGUGGGAUCAUCUUCUCACUAAUCAGCAACAAUUAGACAUUCUAAAUUCAAUUCAAGUCGAUGAAAAUGGAGUCCCUAUUCUUGAUGAGUUCAACAAUCCAAUUCAGGAUGCUGUUGCUACUCUAAUUUUAACCAUUUCCCUCCAUUUCAUUGGUGACCCUUCACACCUUCGUGAUAAAAACGCUGAGUUACUACAUAACUUAAGAUGUAGGAAACUUAGUGAAUUUCAAAGUUACAAAACCUCAUUCUUUACCAGACUAUUUCUAAGGGAUGAUGCAAAUCAUAUAACUUGGAAAGAAAAAUUUCUUGCUGGAUUACCUACCCUUCUAGGUGAAAAGGUAAGAAAUUCCAUUAAAGCCCUUUAUGAUAACCGUAUUCCUUAUGAUGAGCUCACCUAUGGUGAACUCGUCAGUUUUGUCAAUAAAGAAGGAUUAAAGAUUUGUCAAGAUUUGAAAUUACAGAAACGACUUAAGUGGGAGCUUAAGAAGUCUAAACAAGAAUUAGGCGGUUUCUGUAAACAAUUCAAUUAUGACCCCUUUAAAACUUCUUAUCCCAAAGAUUGUAAUGGAGAGUGUUCUACUAAACCUCGCAGGAAACAUUACAAAUCAAAAACUUUUAGGAAACCCUUUCGUAAUUUUAGAGAACCUCCUUAUAAGAAACCUUCGAGGCCUUAUAAGAAACCCAAAUUCUCUAAAAGAAAAGAGUUUAGAGCCAAACCAAAGACCCCUUUCAAUUACAAAGAAGCUAUAUGUCAUAAAUGUGGCAUGAAAGGUCAUACUGCAAAUUAUUGCAGGAUGAACAAAAAGCUUCAUGAACUUGACCUCGCUGAAGAGAUCCUUUCCAAAUUAGCCCCCCUUCUUGUCGAAUCUUCUAAUUCCGAAUCUUCCAUGUCGGGAGACAGUGAUCCAUAUCAAGUUGAUGAGCUUUUUGACUCAGAUGACUCUGUAUCUAGCAGUAGUGAGUUUGAAUCUGAUUCAUAUUUAAAGAAAAUCAAUGUUUUGACUAAAGACCAAGAAACUUUUCUUGAACUUGUAAAGCAUAUUUCUGAUCCAAAUCUUCAAAAAGAAUAUCUUGAUAAACUUUUGAAAACUUUAGAUUUUAAUAAAGCCGAGACUUCUAAAGUCCCAAUUGUUAAAAAGAAUUCUUAUGAUCUUACUCAAAUUUUGGAUAAAAAGAAAACAAAGAAAACGGUUCCUAAUAUCCAAGAUCUUUAGAAAGAGAUAAAAGAAAUCAAAUGUGAAAUUAGAGAUUUAAAAGAAAAACAAAAAAGUGAUUCUGAUACUAUCCAACUUCUUUUACAAAAACAAUUGCAGGAUAAUUCAGACAAUGAAUCUAGUCCUGAUGAUGGUGAUGAUAUUAAAGUAGAAAAUAUUGAGUCUGUACCCAAUGAUUUUCUAUUUGUUUUAAAGCAAAUCACCACAAGAAAGUAUUUGAUUAAAGUCACUUUAAUCUUUUCUGAUGAUUUUGCAAUGGACGCCAUUGCCCUUUUUGAUACUGGCGCCGAUUUAAAUUGCAUUAGAGAAGACAUCGUCCCCAAAAGAUUUCAUGAAAAAACAAAAGAAAGACUUUCUGCCGCUAAUAAUUCAAAACUGAAUGUCAGUUCCAAGGUUGAAGCCUCAAUCCAUAAUAAUGGUUUUGAUUUUAAAACUUCUUUUGUCCUCACAAAUGAUAUUCAUCAUGCCAUCAUUUUGGGAACUCCUUUUAUAAAUCUUAUAACUCCAUAUACUAUCAAUUAUGAUAGUAUAUCCUUCAAAUAAAAAAAUAAGAAACUUGUUUUCCCUUUUAUUGAAAAACCUAAAACAAGGAAUUUGAAUAUUGUUAAAGCCUGUUCUGUUUAUCAAAACAGAAUAAAUAACCUACUUAAAUCAAAACAGUGUGAUAUAAUGUUUUUACAAAAAGAUUUAAACUUACAAAGAAUUGAAAGCCAAUUACAAAGUGAUUUCAUUAAAAGAAAGAUUUCUGAUUUCAAAACUCUCAUUGAAAAAGAAAUUUGUGCUGAUCUACCUUCUGGUUUUUGGGACAGAAAACAACACAUGGUAGAUCUACCUUAUGAAACUUCUUUUAAUGAAAGACAGAUCCCCACUAAAGCACGUCCAAUCCAGAUGAACAUGGAAUUGGAACAACAUUGCAAAAAUGAAAUCAAAGAUUUAGAGUCAAAAGGACUUAUUGUUAAGUCAAGGUCCCCAUGGUCUUGUGCCGCUUUUUAUGUUAAUAAAAAUUCUGAAAUUGAAAGAGGCACUCCUAAAUUAGUUAUAAACUACAAACCUCUUAAUAACGCUCUAAAAUGGAUUAGGUAUCCAAUACCUAAUAAAAAGGAUUUACUCCAAAAACUAUGUAAUGGGGUGACUGUUGAUUACCGAAUUAGCACUGGUUGUUAUGAUAAGUGCUGCAGCACUGGGCAGAACAAAUCUGCAUCCGCAACUAUCGCAUGUUGGAAAUCUCAUACCUUUAAAUCUACUAACAAUGACCAGUUGCUCAUAAAUUUAAUGUAUGGCUUUAUGAUCUUUAAUCUCUCUACCCUACAAGGUGAACACCUAUGUCUAGGAUAUCACAAAUCUUAAUUUCAAGCAUUGCCCUUAUGAGAUUUAAGAUAACCUAAUCCAGAAAACUUAAUUUAAGAACAAGUAAUACUCUAAUAAUGUCCGCUAAGACAUGCCCUUUUGCUGCUCUAUCUUAACUGAAACUAUUAAAUGGGUGGUCAACCGAAAUAAUAAUUAUAUCAUAAAAACUAUUAGAGUAUAAUGCUACAGAAUUAUCAUAACAUCAUAUAAGAACAGUCAAGAACCUAUUGGAUUAUUUGUCACUCAACUACAAGUAAAUUCAGUUUAUAUUCUGAAUGGGAAAAAUAAACAUAAUGAUCGCAGAAUACAUCCAAUCAAUUAAAGGAAGAAAGAUAAUAUGAGUUGAGCACGAUGAAAGUCUAAGGAUCCUCCUCGGUGCUUCAAUGAUGCCGAAUAGCCCUCCUUAAUCUGGAUCUUAUUCUUGCCUUUUUAAUUGUUUUUGAAUGUUAAUUCCACCGCCGCUUCUAUGUGGUGCAUGCCCCCUUUAUAUAUUUGCAAAUUAGGUUUUCCAAACCAGUGCCUAUGCGCGUGCCUGUGUUUUAAUUAGGAAACAUGCAGAUUGUAAUUUAAUUACUGACUCGCGCCUAUAUUUUCUCCUGCGUUUCUCCCAGAUUACUGCAGCAUUGGUUGCUCUAACAUCUGCAACAGCACUUGUGUCAUUUCCGAUUAUGCUUUCCUUCUUUUGUGAUCAUCUUCUUUCCAUAUUUAAUUAAUGCUUUAUCAAAUAUUUUAUUAGAUUCUUUAAACAAGCCUAGCAACAAACAUACAUCUAAAGGCUCAAAAAUAUCACUAGAUCUGGAUAUCAGAAAUAGCGAUCUGAUUGGAAGGAGGGAGAAAAAAAGAAUACAACUGAGGAUUGAGAUCUGGUCUCGUUGCCUCAGAGGAACGUAACAGUUGUAAGGCAGAUAUGAUACAGAUCAGUCUGCAAGUGAUGCUUUAAAAUAAAUUGCGAAAAUUUAAACAUACAUUGAAAGCUUUAAAUUACAAAUGCUUUAAAUAGAAUUGAAAAAUAAAUUGCUUACAUUAAUUGCUUUUUCGAAAUGCUUUACAAAGGUUGAUUUGUAUAGAGAAGAAAGGGAAAAUUACAAGACCAGGAAAAAUUUCCUUGAGCUAUCUUAAUCCAGAUUUCCCGAGAGAGAGAGAGAGAGAGAAAGAGAGAGAAGAAGAGAAUUGGAGAAUGGAAAAAUUCUGAGGAGUCUCAGUCUUCCUCUAGAAUAUAUACAAAAAUUUUUUAAACUGUAGACUGUAGCGGAGCUGUAGCAUAUAGUAAUCUUUGGAACUCUCCACUGUAGACUGUAGCGGAGCUGUAGCGAACAGUAAUCUUUAGAAUUCUUCACUGUAGACUGUAGCGGUGCUGUAGCAUACAGUAAUCUUUGUAACAAAGUUUAAAAUACAAGUAUAAUACGGGUGAAGAGACAUGUGCGCUCUCACUUGUGUCCAGGGGACCACCCGAAGAUACAUACAUAAACUCAAAAAUACAAUUAAUUACAAUGGAAAUGUGAGCCCCAGUGAUUACAGAAGAAGAAUAUUUCAAAGUUAUGGAGCAGCUCAUCACCUCUCGAUCAAAGUCUUCAGUCGCAGACUCCUCUGACGAUGAUGAUGAAGAGCCAUUUAUUUCACUUGGAGACGACAAUGAAUAUGAUUGUUUCGGAAUUUUCUCUCCAAUAAAGCAUUGUAAAUAAUUAUUGUUUCUAAAAAAAAAGAGUAAAUAUUCAUUUUGUAAUUUUCACAUUUCCAUUGUAAUUAAUUGUAUUUUUAAGUUUAUGUAUGUAUCUUCGGGUGGUCCCCUGGACACAAGUGAGAGCGCACAUGUCUCUUCACCCGUAUUAUACUUGUAUUUUAAACUUUGUUACAAAGAUUACUGUAUGCUACAGCACCGCUACAGUCUACAGUGAAGAAUUCUAAAGAUUACUGUUCGCUACAGCUCCGCUACAGUCUACAGUGGAGAGUUCCAAAGAUUACUAUAUGCUACAGCUCCGCUACAGUCUACAGUUUAAAAAAUUUUUGUAUAUAUUCUAGAGGAAGACUGAGACUCCUCAGAAUUUUUCCAUUCUCCAAUUCUCUUCUUCUCUCUCUUUCUCUCUCUCUCUCUCUCUCGGGAAAUCUGGAUUAAGAUAGCUCAAGGAAAUUUUUCCUGGUCUUGUAAUUUUCCCUUUCUUCUCUAUACAAAUCAACCUUUGUAAAGCAUUUCGAAAAAGCAAUUAAUGUAAGCAAUUUAUUUUUCAAUUCUAUUUAAAGCAUUUGUAAUUUAAAGCUUUCAAUGUAUGUUUAAAUUUUCGCAAUUUAUUUUAAAGCAUCACUUGCAGACUGAUCUGUAUCAUAUCUGCCUUACAACUGUUACGUUCCUCUGAGGCAACGAGACCAGAUCUCAAUCCUCAGUUGUAUUCUUUUUUUCUCCCUCCUUCCAAUCAGAUCGCUAUUUCUGAUAUCCAGAUCUAGUGAUAUUUUUGAGCCUUUAGAUGUAUGUUUGUUGCUAGGCUUGUUUAAAGAAUCUAAUAAAAUAUUUGAUAAAGCAUUAAUUAAAUAUGGAAAGAAGAUGAUCACAAAAGAAGGAAAGCAUAAUCGGAAAUGACACAAGUGCUGUUGCAGAUGUUAGAGCAACCAAUGCUGCAGUAAUCUGGGAGAAACGCAGGAGAAAAUAUAGGCGCGAGUCAGUAAUUAAAUUACAAUCUGCAUGUUUCCUAAUUAAAACACAGGCACGCGCAUAGGCACUGGUUUGGAAAACCUAAUUUGCAAAUAUAUAAAGGGGGCAUGCACCACAUAGAAGCGGCGGUGGAAUUAACAUUCAAAAACAAUUAAAAAGGCAAGAAUAAGAUCCAGAUUAAGGAGGGCUAUUCGGCAUCAUUGAAGCACCGAGGAGGAUCCUUAGACUUUCAUCGUGCUCAACUCAUAUUAUCUUUCUUCCUUUAAUUGAUUGGAUGUAUUCUGCGAUCAUUAUGUUUAUUUUUCCCAUUCAGAAUAUAAACUGAAUUUACUUGUAGUUGAGUGACAAAUAAUCCAAUAGGUUCUUGACUGUUCUUAUAUGAUGUUAUGAUAAUUCUGUAGCAUUAUACUCUAAUAGUUUUUAUGAUAUAAUUAUUAUUUCGGUUGACCACUGCUGUACGGCCAAGGCGGAUGUACGGUACAGCAGGCUGGAUUGACAAUUUCUAGUUCUAAAGUUUCUUUAUUUCAAACAAAAGUCAGAUUCCUUGGUCAUCAUAUUUCUAAAGGAACAAUCACUCCAAUCGAGAGAUCUCUUUUGUUUGCUGAUAAAAUUCUUAACAAAACUCAAUUACAAAGAUUUCUUGGGAGUUUAAAUUAUGUUCUUGAUUUCUGUCCUAACAUUAAUAGGAUGUCUAAACCCUUGCAUGAUAGAUUAAAGAAAAAACCUGUUCCUUGGACAGAUGAACAUACCAAGGUUGUAAAGCUUAUAAAGAAUUCUGUGAAAAGCAUCCCAUGUUUAUAUCUUGCUAAUCCUACAUUACCUAAAAUUGUUGAAACUGAUGAUUCUGAUUUAGGUUAUGGAGGCAUAUUAAAGCAAAAAGAAAAUGAUAAAGAACAGAUAGUACAAUAUGUUUCUGCACAUUAGAAUGAUUGCCAGAAAAAUUAUUCUACUAUAAAAAAAGAAAUUCUUUCCAUUGUUUUAUGUGUUACAAAAUUUCAAAGUGAUUUACUAAAUCAAAAAUUUCUACUUAGAAUUGAUUGCAAAGCUGCAAAACAUGUUUUGGAAAAAGAUGUUCAAAAUAUUGCAUCAAAACAGAUUUUUGCACGAUGGCAAGCCAUUUUAAGUGUUUUUGAUUUUGAUAUUGAAUAUAUUAAAGGUGAUACAAAUUAUAUUCUUGAUUUUCUAACUCGGGAAUUUCUUCAAAACAGAUAAUGCCGCCAAAGAAGAAAGACAAAGGUAAAGCUGUUCUUAAAGAUUCUGAAUCUAGAGCAACCUCUAAAGAACCCCAAGCUACCCCUUCUAAAGACAAAUUACUUUCCUCAGCCAUGCCUAUUAAAUCUUGGAUAGAAAUGGUUGAAGAACAUGGUGCCCAUUACAAAACCACUUCUUCUAAUGACCAAGUAAAACAAUGGAUGAGUUCCAUUACAAAGUCCCCUGAGCUUAUGCUCGCCUUACAAAACCUUUCCCAAAGCCAGAUUUUCUCAAAAGAAGAAAAAGAAAACCCUAUCUCCAAAGAAAUCUCAAAACCCUCUUCUCAAAAUGUGAGUGAACAGUUUAAAGAUCUUUGUAUAAAAACCGAGAGGAAGACUCAGACUCCUCAGGUUUUUCAUUUCUAAGUUUAGAACUUCUCUCUCUUCUUCUCUCCCUUCUCUCUAGAAUUCUCUCUCUCUCUCUCUCUGGGAAUAGGAAUCUGGAAUCCGAAGACAAAAAGAAAUUUCUCCUGUCUUCAGAUUAAUUUCCCAUUAUUUCUCUUUCUUCUCUACAAAGAAAACCAACUAAUGUAAGCAUUUCAUUCCAGUUUUAUUAAAGCAAUUUUUAGCAAUUUCAAAGUUUUUCCCUAAGGGUUGGUUUUUUAAACCAUGGGAUUUAACAAAACCUCAAUCCUACUAUCAAAGCAUUUUAGAAAUCACUGAUUCAGUUAAGUUCAAAUAUUUCUUUCUCAGUGAAUCACAUUCAGAACCAGCCUAUUCCACGGCUACUAUUUUAAAAGUUUUGAGCCCAAACCAAUGGGGUGACCUACUCCAUAAUUUUUAAACUUUUCCUUUAAAUUUCCAAACACGUUUACCUCAUUGUCGGACUUAUUCCUACUGGGAUUACCAACAAGCCUGGUAUAACACCUUUUUUUUAUCCAAAAUCCCAAAAAAUCCCAUUCUUGGUUAUUUUUCUUCAACCCAAAAAUAACCGUCCAAAGCCUUCCAAACUGGUUCCAUCAUUGGUGGAAUACUUUUGGCCCAAUACCACAAAUUUUAACCCCAAAUGCCACCCAUUGUUUAAACCUCUUCAAAGCCCAUUAUACUCCUUCUGAAUCCGAGAAAAGGUUUCCCCCAUUUCUCUGUUUCUGUACAAAUUUCUUCCUUCCAUGGGUAUGGAUGUGGAACCUUAGGCUUCAUACCCAAGAUUCCCAACUCAUCCUUCAAAGAACCUUUAAAGUAAAAUGGUGGUCCAAAUUUGACGAACAGUCAAAAUUGACUGAAAAUUUGGUCCGAGAUUGGCUCUCUGCCAAAGGCCUUCUUCAACCCACCAUAACACAUUCUAAAGCCCAACAAACCUUUUUGACCCAAAAGUCCAAAGCCCAAUCCCUAUUGGCAAGUGCCAAAACAGAAGAAGAAUACUUCAAAGCCAUGGAACAGCUCCUCGCCUCCCAGUCAAAGUCAUCAGUAGCUGACACCUCUGAAGACGAAGAAGAAGAUGAAGAUGAAGAGCCCUUUAUUUCUCUUGGAGAUGAUAAUGAAGAUGAAUGUUUCAGAAUUUUCUCUCCAGUAAAGCAUUGUAAAUAAUUAUUUGAUUAUUUACUUUAAAAAAAAUUAUUGUUCUGUUUCUUCGGGUGGUCCUCUGGACACAAGUGAGAGCGCACAUGUCUCUUUACCCGUAUCGUAUUUCAAUUUUUGUACAAAGAAUCUACUAUUCAGAGUUACGAUCCAGAUGUUACUGUGCACUUAAAGCUCCGCUACAGUGAACAGUACAGAUUUCCAGAGUUUACUGUGCACUUAAAAUCCCGCUACAGUGAAUAGUUUAAAGAUCUUUGUAUAAAAUCCGAGAGGAAGACUCAGACUCCUCAGGUUUUUCAUUUCUAAGUCUGGAACUUCUCUCUCUUCUUCUCUCCCUUCUCUCUAGAAUCCUCUCUCUCUCUCCCUCUCUCUCUCUCUCUCUGGGAAUAGGAAUCUGGAAUCCGAAGACAAAAAGAAAUUUCUCCUGUCUUCAGAUUAAUUUCCCAUUAUUUCCCUUUCUUCUCUACAAAGAAAACCAACCGAUGUAAGCAUUUCAUUCCAGUUUUAUUAAAGCAUUUGUAAUUUUAUUUAAAGGAAUUUAAUUUCCGCACUUUAAAUUUCAGCAAUUUAAAUUUCUGCAAUUUAAUUUUAUGUAACAUUUAAAUUUCCGCAAUUUACAUUUAAAGCAUUUAAAUUUCAGUCUUGUAUGUGUUGCUAGGCUUGCUAAAGAAUUUAAUAAAGAUUUGGUAAAUUGUUUAAAAUCUGACAACCGCGUUUAAAGAACUUAAUUAUUAUUUGGUAAAGCAAAAUUAAGUUGGUAUAUCGGCUGGAAACCCGAACGUGUGGGCUAUUGAUUUGUUCUAAGUUAGAUCUGGGUCCAAAGGCAGAUUCCCUUCUGCAUCGAUCUGGUUUAACAACGCCACGUACUAAUUUAAUAAAUAUAAAACCUGACCAACCGCGAUCCAAAGCAAAUCUACUUAAUCUAAAAUUGGUAACUGAAUUUAAAAUUUGAACAAACGCGAUCCAAUUUGUUCUAUCUAAAGCAAUCAAUAAAGAAUUAUUUCGAAAACACAUCCAUCCUUCGAUCCUAUUUCCUUCUAAGGACUUUGAUAAAUUAAUGCAACUGGGAUGUUUUUCCAGUUGCAUUAAUUCGGGUUUACAAUGCUUUACUGGAGAGAAAAUUCUGAAACAGUCAACGCCACGUACUAAUCAAAUAAUUAUUUACAACGCUUUACUGGAGAGAAACAAGAAACAUGAUAUUCAUCAUGUUCAUAUAUAUAUAUGAACAGCAAAAGUAUCAAAAGUAAAAAAAAUUUGCCUACGGAUUUUCUUAACUUUCUUUAUUAAUUUCCCUUCUUUCCAUAUAUGUUCUUAUGUAACAAAUAACAAGAAUUAUUAUAAUUUGAUAUAUGUUAAUCAAAUCUUUUGUAGCAACUCUCCCUAAAUUCCAGAGGGAAUUCGAGGGGGGUCUCUAGAUGCAAUUUACAACUAAAGCAUGGUAGAAGCGUUAAAACUAAUAAACUUAAAAAUAUUUCUAGAAUAUAUAAACCUUCGAUCCUUAAAUAGUGGAAAAUGUAAAAUUUGCCAAACUAUCUAUCAUCCUCAAUGUAGAUUUUCUCCUCACUUAACAUUAAUCAAUUUUGAUCAUGGAAAUUACAAUAAACUUUAAUGAGUACAAGAAUUAGUAAAGAAAGCAAUUUUUCAUCUACCAGAAUACACACACUUAUGUAUAAUACAAAUACACACUUAUAUAUAAUACAAAUACACGAUAUGCAAUGCUCUUUGAAAAACAUCAUAAAAGAAGUUCUUCAAAACCUAGGGUCACUUUCAAAACCUUUCCUUUCAAAUCACUUACUUAAACUAUCUUUAUUCAAUUACCAUUUAUUAUGACUCUCACUUAACAUUCAUACUUUCACAUAAUACUUAUUUUGGGCUUUACACAAGCAUCCUUCACCCACUUAUCUCUUAAAAUAAAAUAUGGAGUGCUUACUGAUAACUCUAGGAAAUGAGAGUUAUUACAUUUAUUUUAGACUUGAAGAAAGGCCAUUUAGAAAGCAAAUAAUGUAUUUUGAUUACAUUUUGGUGAACUUUUGCAUAAACAUUCAUUUUAAUUGAGUCUUAACAAGUUUUGCUUGAAUAAUAGUAAUUUGUGCUAAAAACAAGUUUUAAUUUGUAGGUUUUAAAUUCAUAAAAGGAUGCGGAGACAUUAGAUGAGAAAGAGAAGGAAAGAAGAUGAUCACAAAAGAAGGAAAGCACAAUUGGAAAUGACACAAGUGCUAUUGCGGAUGUUAGAGCAACCAAUGCUGUAACAAUCUAGGAGAAACGCGGGAGAAAAUAUAGGCGCGGGUCAGCAAUUAAAUUACAAUCUGCAUGUUUCCUAAUUAAAACACAGGCACGCGCAUGGGCGUUGGUUUGGAAAACCUAAUUUGCAAAUAUAUAAAGGAGGCAUGAACCACAUAAAAGCGGCGGUGGAAUUAACAUUCAAAAACAAUUAAAAAGGCAAGAAGAAGAUCGAGAUUAAGGAGGGCUAUUCGGCAUCAUUGAAGCACCGAGGAGGAUCCUUAGACUUUCAUCGUGCUCAACUCAUAUUAUCUUUCUUCCUUUGAUUGAUUGGAUGUAUUCUGCGAUCAGUAUAUUUAUGUUUAUUUUUCUCAUUCAGAAUAUAAACUGAAUUUACUUGUAGUUGAGUGACAAAUAAUCCAAUGGGUUCUUGACUAUUCUUAUAUGAUGUUAUGAUAAUGCUGUAGCAUUAUACUCUAAUAAUUUUUUAUGAUAUAAUUGUUAUUUCGGUUGACCACCCAUUUAAUAGUUUCAGUUAGUAUAGAGCAGCAAAAGGGCAUGUCUCAGCGGACAUUAUUAGAGUAUUACUUGUUCUUAAAUUGAGUUUGCUGGAUUAGGUUAUCUUAAAUCUCAUAAGGGCAGUGCUUGAAAUUAAGAUUUGUGAUAUCUUAGACAUAGGUGUUCACCUUGUAGGGUAGAGGGAUUAAAGAUCAUAAAGCCAUACAUUAAAUUUAUGAGCAACUGGUCAUUGUUAGUAGAUUUAAAGGUAUGAGAUUUCCAACAUGCGAUAGUUGCGGAUGCAGAUUUGUUCUACCCAGUGCUGCAGCACUUAUCAUAACAACCAGUGCUAAUUCGGUAAUCAACAGUCACCCCAUUAGGAGAAUUUGAUCAUUCAACUACUAUAUUAUUAAUUGAACCUUGGACACAUUUAAUUAAGUUUAUUUUAUUUCGAUAUUGCUUUAAUUCCCAUCUCUCACAAUUAUUAUUUACGAUAGAAUUAUUUGGCAAUUGUUUGUUUCGGUCUUUAGUUGACGUGCAUUAUUGUGAUUGCUUUAACAUUUUGAGUAACAUCAAUCCUUGUGGAGACGAUCUUGAAUACUCAUCACUUUAUUACUUAUUGUGUAUACUUGCACAUUGGCAUUGAUAAUAAUUGAUUAUACAAAUCAACCAACAAGUUUUUGGCGCCGUUGCCGGGGAUUGAUUGUUUAUUUUUGGAGUGUGAAGUAAAUUGCGAUAGCACCAAACUUAACUCAAUUCAUUCUAUUGAUUGGCAGAUCAGUACGUACAUGCACAAAAAUAAAUCUGAGGUAUUCCAAUUCGAUCCUGAGAUUGAAAGGACUAUCAAGAGAUUGCGAAGAGAACAAAGAAAUUCAAAGACUGCUUCAGGCAUGAAUAACUUGCAAGAUGAGGGAAAUUUGAACCCUCACGGACCUUUACAACCAGCAAACAUUCAAGAAGAGCGGAAUAAAUAUGCUAACGGGAGACAACCAGGAAAUAACAAUAUUAUUUACAUGGCAGAUGACAGGGACCGAGCUAUACGAGAUUAUGCUGUGCUAACUCCUCAAGUUGUCCAUCUUGGCAUCAUCAGACCUGAAGUAGAUGCUGUCAACUUUGAAUUAAAACCAGUGAUGUUUUAAAUGUUGCAAACAGUUGGGCAAUUCAAUGGACUGCCAAAUGAAGAUCCUCAUCUCCAUCUUAAAUUGUGCUUGCAAGUGAUUUUAGAGAGAAUUGCCAAUAAUAACUAUCAGUGGCCUUCAGCUAGGCAACCAGUAGCAAGAGGAUCAGCAGGGGUACAUAGCAUUGAUGCAAUUACAGCCUUAUCAGCUCAAGUAACUUCAUUGACUAACAUAGUAUCAACUUUGAAUUAAAACCAGUGAUGUUUUAAAUGUUGCAAACAGUUGGGCAAUUCAAUGGACUGCCAAAUGAGUAAAAGCCAUGACAGCUGCUCCAGUAACAGUAAAGCAAGUUACUGAACUUUCUUAUGUCUAUUGUGGUGAAGAUCAUGAUUUUGAUAAUUGCCCUGGAAAUCCAGCCUCAGUAAUUAUGUGGGUAACUUCAAUCGACAACCUCAGAACAACCCAUAUUCAAAUACUUACAACCCAGGCUGGAAACAACACCCAAAUUUCUCAUUGAGCAAUCAGAAUUGAAAUCCUCCAACAUUGAAUGGGCUAAGUAGAAACACACAACCACAACCACCUGGUUUUCAUCAACAAAGUCAAGGGCAAAAGCAUAUCAGUCAGGAUCCAAUCACUUCAUUGGAAGUAUUAAUCAAGGAGUACAUUGUAAAGAAUGAAGCAAUUGUGCAGAGUCAAGUUGUGUCCUUGAGAAACCUUGAGAACCAAAUGGGACAAUUAGCUACAGCAAUGAGCAGCAGAACUCAAGGAAGCUUACCUAGCAACACAGAAGAUCAUAGGAGAGAGAGAGCAAAGAACACUGUAAAGUGAUUAGUCUGAGAUCUAGAAAGCAUGUUGAUAUCCCAGUUGAGGUGACAAAAAAUGGGAUGGAAGGCAUUUCAGCUCAAAAACCAACUCAAAAGGGAAGCAUGUUACAGCAGACUCCCCAUCAAGACACUGAUGCAAGAGACCUAGCUAUAGCAACUGCAAAAGAAAAUCAACCAGAUCUUGCUGAAAAAGAAGUUACAACACCAGUAGCCACAACCUGCACCAACUUAAACAAACAGAGUUUGGUACCUCCUGAAUCUAACCAGCAGUUUAGAUAUCCACCAUUCUUCCCUCAAAGGUUCCAGAAACAAAAACAAGACAAGCAGUUCAGCAAAUUCCUGGAAGUGUUGAAGCAACUGCACAUAAACAUACCUUUUGUGGAAGCUUUGGAGCAAAUGCCAAAUUAUGUAAAAUUUUUAAAAGAUAUCUUGGCACGAAAAAGAAGGCUGGGAGCUGGGAGAGUUUGAAACUGUUGUUCUAACAUAGGAAAACAGCCAUAUGCUUCAGAGUAAAAUUUCCACAAAAUUGAAAGAUCCAGGGAGUUUUACAAUGCCCUGCUUUAUAGGGAAUAGGUAUGCUGGCAGAGCACUUUAUAAUUUGGGAGCUAGUAUCAACUUGAUGCCAUUAUCUGUAUUUAAGCAGCUUUGAGUAGGGGAGUGCAGACCAACAACUGUCACUCUGCAAUUAGCUGACAGAUCUCAUGCAUAUCCUGAAGGAAAAAUAGAGGAUGUACUGGUGAAGGUUGACAAAUUCAUUUUUCGAGUGGAUUUCAUUGUGCUGGACUUUAAAGCUGACAAAGAGGCACCCAUUAUACUUGGCAGACCUUUUCUGGCAACUGAAAAGACUUUGAUAGAUGUCCAGAAAGGAGAGCUGACCAUGAGAGUGAAUUAUCAGCAAGUCACAUUCAAUGUACUAGAGGCUAUGAGAAACCCUAAUGAAAUAGAAGAUUGUAAUUUCCUAAGUGUAGUGGAUCUUGUUGUAGCAAACAGAUUGGACAGAUGCUACAGUAAUAUACUUAACAAAGUAACCACCUUUGAGGAGGUUGAAGAGGAAGAUGUUGCAGCAAUUCAAACAUAUUGGAUGGACAAACAACAAUCUAAUGGGUACAAUAGGGUUAUUUAACACCUGAAUCUUUCAGACAGGGAAGUAAAAAUAACUUUAUCAUUUAUUGAAUCACCCCCUGGUUUUGAAUUAAAAUUGUUACCUUCACAUUUAAAGUAUGCUUAUCUUGGUCAAAACAACCCACUCCCUGUAAUCAUUUCUUCUACUUUGGAUGUAGGUCAAGAACAAAGCCUAGUAGAUUUGCUGGGAAAAUACAGAAGAGCAAUUGGAUGGACCAUGACAGAUAUAAAGGGUAUCAACCCAUCAAUAUAUAUGCAUAAGAUCCUUUUAGAAGACUGUUCCAGCAAUUCGGUGGAGCACCAGAGAAAGCUGAAUCCUAUUAUGAAAGAAGUGGUGAAGAAGGAAAUCAUCAAAUCGUUAGAUGCUAGAAUCAUAUACCCAAUAUCAGACAGUUCAUGGGUAAGCCCAGUUCAGUAUGUUCCAAAGAAAGGAGGGAUAAUAGUAAUGGCUAAUGAGAAGAAUGAUCUUAUUCCUACAAGGACAGUGACUGGAUGGAGAGUGUGUAUGGAUUACAGGAAGCUCAACAAAGCAACAAGGAAAGACCAUUUCCCACUUCCAUUCAUAGAUCAGAUGCUGGACAGACUUGCUAGAAAAUAAUACUACUGUUUCUUAGAUGGGUAUUCAGGCUACAACCAGAUUGCUAUAACACCAGAGGAUUAAGAGAAGACUACAUUUACUUAUCCUUACGGAACAUUUGCCUUCAUAAGAAUGUCAUUUGGGCUAUGCAAUGCUCCAGCAACUUUUCAAGGAUGCAUGAUGUCUAUAUUUUCUAACAUGGUAGAGCAGACCUUGAAAAUUUUCAUGAAUGAUUUUUCAGUUUUUGGAGAGACAUAUGGUAAUUGUUUACACAACUUGGAAGAAGUUCUUAAAAGAUGUGAGAUGACCAACUUAGUACUUAAUUGGGAGAAGUGCCAUUUCAUGGUACAAGAAGGAAUAAUGCUGGGUCACAAGAUAUCCAAGGAUGGUAUUGAGGUAGAUAAAGCCAAGAUAGAGGUAAUAGAUAAACUACCACCCCCAACCUCAGUAAAGGGUAUUAGGAGUUUUCUAGGUCAUGUUGGAUUCUACAGAAGAUUCAUCAAGGAUUUUUCUAGAGUAGCCAAGCCUCUAUGUUCAUUGCUGGAGCAUGAUAAACCAUUUCACUUUGACAAAGAAUGCCUUCAAGCAUUUAGAGAAUUAAAGAAAGCCUUGAUCACUGCUCCAGUAGUUAUAUCUCCAAAUUGGAAUUUACUAUUUGAAUUGAUGUGUGAUGCUAGUAAUCAUUCUGUGGGAGCAGUAUUAUGGCAAAGAAAGGAUAAGGUUUUUCAUUCCAUAUAUUAUGCAAGCAAAACUCUUACUCCAACUCAGAUUAAUUACACCACUACAAAGAAGGAGUUGCUGGUAGUAGUUUUUGCUUUUGACAAAUUCAUAGCUUACCUGGUAGGUACUAAAGUAACUGUUUACACAGACCAUGCAGCCAUCAAAUAUUUAAUUUCAAAGAAGGAUGCCAACCCAAGACUAAUCAGAUGGAUCUUAUUGCUUCAAGAAUUUGAUCUGAAAAUUACAGAUAGAAAGGGGACUGAGAAUCAAGUGGCAGACCACUUGUCACGGUUGGAAGCAGACACUAGUACAUUGACAAGGAAGGGCAUCACUGAAACGUUUCCUGAUGAAUAGCUGUUAGCAGUACAGCAAGCAUAGAUGUUGUAGUAGUCAGAAUCUCCAUGGUAUGCAGACUUUGCUAAUUAUCUGGUAAGUGGGUUACUACCACUUGAGCUGAAGUUUCAAGAGAAAAAGAAAUUUCUUCAUAAUGUUAGAAGCUACCAGUGGGAUGACCCAUAUUUAUAUAAGUUAUGCUCAGAUCAAGUAAUAAGACGAUGUGUUGCAGUAGAAGAAAUACCUCAUAUACUGCAAUCAAGUCAUGCUGCAGCAUAUGGAGGACAUUUUGGUGGUCACAGAACAGCUGCCAAAGUUAUGCAAUCAGGUUAUUAUUGGCCCACUAUUUUUAAAGAUGCUUAUGAAUUUGUUAAAUGUUGUGAUAGGUGUCAAAUGACAGGGGACAUAACCAGCAGACAUGAGAUACCAUUGACCAACAUACUGGAAGUAGAAGUUUUUGAUGUUUGGGGAAUAAAUUUCAUGGGACCUUUUCCCCCAUCCUUUGGAAACUUAUAUAUCCUUGUUGCUGUAGACUAUGUCUCCAAGUGGGUGGAAGCUACAGCAUUACCUACCAAUGAUGCUAAAACCGUGGUAACUUUUCUUCAAAAAAAUGUUUUUCUCCAGGUUUGGUACUCCUAGAGCAAUUAUUAGUGAUGAAAGCGCACAUUUUUGCAACAAAAUCUUUACUGUAGCAAUGAUGAAAUAUGGAGUCAGACACAAGAUAGCAACAACAUAUCACCCACAAUCUAAUGGUCAGGCUGAAGUGUCCAACAGAGAGAUUAAAAAGAUCUUAGAAAAAGUGGUGAACCCAACAAGGAAGGACUGGUCUUUACAUUUGCAUGACUCUUUAUGGGCCUACAGAACAGUAUACAAAACCCCAUUCAGCAUGUCUCCUUACCGAAUUGUUUAUGGCAAGGCUUGUCAUUUGCCCCUAGAGCUAGAGCAUAAAGCACACUGGGCACUGAAGAAAAUAAAUUGGGACAUGCAUGCUGCAGCAGAACAAAGGAAACUUCAACUUUGUGAGCUUGAUGAAUUAUGGCUGUUUUCAUAUGAAAAUGAAAAAAUUUAUAAAGAGAGAACAAAACAUUGGCAUGACAAGCAUAUUCAACACAGGAAGUUCAUCCCUAGUCAAUUAGUGUUGCUCCACAAUACAAGACUAAGGUUGUUUCCGGGAAAGCUCAAGUCACGAUGGUCUGGCCCGUUUAAGCUAUUGAAAUCUUACCCUCAUGGAGCUGUUGAUCUUUUAGAUCAACAAAUGGGUCACGAAUUCAAGGUUAAUGGGCACAGGGUUAAGCAUUACAUGCACCCAGCAGCAGAAGGGUCAAAGGAGGUGUUAUCCCUUCAAGAACCCCACUAUUGAGCAAAGACAGAAGGUCAGACUGAAGGACCUUAAAUCAAGCGCUUCAUGGGAGGCAGCCCAUUGAGGAAGCAGCCACAUCAAACCAAUUUCGAUAUCCUUUGGUUUUAUGGACAUCCAUUCCUCUUUACCAUUUUAUUUAAUCUUGUUUUGCCAUGUUAACCAUUUAUUUUUAUCCUUUUACAUUAUUGCAUUCCUUCUUUUCGAUUUACUUUAAUCUACCUUAUCUUAAUAAUUUUAGACUUAAUUUUAGUUUGAAAUAAAUGUGACAAUUGAAUUUCAUAUUGACAAGUGCAAGUAGCUGGUGGCAACCACGUGUCAGACGCUUUGGUAUGGAUUUUGUACCCGUUGUUGGAAUGAGCAAAUGGGGGCUGUAGCAACAAAUUUUCCCGUUACAGUAAAUUAAAGGCUGGAGCCUUCACUUACCGUUGGAGAUGAAAUCGUGACAGAUGGACGCUCGAAUAUGGAUAGAAAUUGCGGAAACAAAUCUUCGAAAUCACAGCUUUAAUUUCAAUGACCGAUAAUUUUGGGAUAUGCAUAUUUAAUUCAAAUAUUUUAUUCCCUCAAUUAUCUCUAAUUACUGUAGUUAUCUUCAAAUUACAGUCAACUAUAAAAAAGAGUCAUUUUGCUUAAUGUCCAAGCCAUUAUUCCCCAUCUCCUUCGCAAGUCCAACUCUCCUAAUUCUUUAACAUUUCUUCUAUUUUGGCUCUCAGGAAUAGUAGCCUAACUUUGUUACUGCUACAGCAAUGCCGCGAUAUAAGAAAACAGCGAGCCGCCUCAAAGAUCUAUCACAAUUCCAGAGUUACCAUGCCGAAGAAAAAUACAAAGAAUUCAUAGAGCCACGCAGGAUUCUGGAAGAAAAAGGGUUUCAAUUUCCAGACCAACUCACUGGAAUUGUGAAAACAACUCAUGAUGCUGCAGCAAAGCGAGGAUGGCUAGAGUUUUACAAACACCCUCGCAAUCCUGUACUGCCAGUGGUAAAAGAAUUUUAUGCCAAUUUUGUAAGCUCUGAUCAGUACAAUAUCUAGGUAAGAAAUACACUUGUUCUAUUGGACUCUCGUGUUAUCAAUGUUUUUUAUAACUUACCUGUUGAGAUUACUUGUGAGUAUGCUAAAUUGCGUGAUAAGUUAACCCCGAAAAAGUGGACCACCAUUUUCACAACUCUUACCAUCGAAGGGGCAUCAUGGGUUAACGAGGAAGGGCGUGUAGUUAACAGGAUAGAGUUGAAACCUAUUGCUAAGGUGUGGGUGAAAUUUUUGAAAUUUAGACUUAUGCCCACCACUCACACUACUACGGUUUCACAAGAAAGAUUGGUUUUGCUAUACGUCCUUGUUAGAGGGCUCCCUAUAGAUGUAGGUAGCAUCAUUACCAAAGAAAUCCGAGAAUGUGCAGCCAAAACUCAUCGAACUGCUGUUUUACUAUUUCCUUCACUUGUCACCAGUAUUUGUGUAGUUUCAGGUGUUCGUUUUGAAGCCAGCGCUGAUCAUGUCAAGAAUGAGGGUGCCUUUACGGCACGAAAAAUUGAAAGAGUUGCUGGCGAGAGUGCUGGAACAACCACUGAACCAGCUGCUGUAACAGGAGCACGACGAACUCUUAGUUUAGAACAGACCAUCCAAGCACUCAGCACCAGUAUCAAUCAAUGUAUGGAAGCUCAGCAGAGGGAAAAUGGUCGGUUUUGGAGCUAUCUACAGCACCUGGAUGGACAACUACACAAAUUUGCUGAGUACAUGAAACACAAUCAUUGGAACUUCCCUACUUCCCUGCUCCAGCAAUACAAUUUUGACACUAGCACCACAGGUGCUCCAGCAGAAACCAAUGAAGAAGCCAAUGCUUCAGAUGAACCAGCAGAGCAAGCUGCAACUGAACCACCAACAAACGUUGACUCAGAAGAUGCUGAACUAUCUGACCCACCUGAGGAUGAAGGUGAUAAAUUUGAGACAUAUAGCUCACCCUCAGAGGCAGAGGAUAAUUCAGAACAUGAACGUGAGGAAACACCCAUCCCCACCCAGUCCAAAACUAGGAAGCAGCACAUUAUUCAAGAAGAGGAGAAGGAAGACCUUGACGUGGAACCUCCUAUUCCAGUCUUUGUAAGCAAAGGAAAGGCCAAGGGUAAAGCAAAAAUGGCAACACCUCUAGCCUCUGACGAUGAAAUGGAACAAGUUGAUGUUGAGUUAGCUGCUGCAACAGCUAGAGCCAUGCCUACAUCUGAGCCAGCCAAGCAACUACUUGAGGUAAUAGUUGCCAUCACAGCCGAGGGCCAGGCAGCUGACGCAUUGACUCAAAAGACUCCACAGCCAAGUCCUAGCCAGCCUAUCCGCACCAGUCCAAGACAACCCAGCAAACGAAAAGGCAAUACAUCUGCGGGUACCACAACUCUUCUCACCAGCCCUGCAGCGAAAAAGACAAAGACAUUGCCAGCUACCUUCCCAGAGGCUUCACCAAAGGAUAAGUUGCUUAGUGCAUCCAAGAAGCGCUGAUAACAUCACAUCAUGGGCUGUAGUCCCCACCACAGGGGAGUACUUUUCUCUCACUAGUUUCCUUCUUGUUCAAAAAAAAAAAGAGUUGUUUGUCCAUUUGUGUGUUUGUAUUUUGUUUGUUUGUGAGGACACAUCAUCUCUCAAGUUUGGGGGGGUUGUUUCCGAAUGCAUGUGUUUUAUGUUUGUGUUUAUGUUUGUGUUGUGUGAAGCUCUAUCAUCUGUUAUUUGUGUAUGGAUUUGAAAACCUAAUGAAGAUAAAUUGAGUGCUAUUAAGUAUUUAUGAGAAUGCCAAGUAGAGAUAGUUUUAGAUAGAAGUGAAAUUAUGUCCCAACACUUAGCCCGUGAUUGAGUUGUAUGAGACUGCUAGAGCAAAACCAAAAGAAUAGAAAAUGUCUUAAGAUUUGAAGGAAGAAGCAUGUUGAUUGACUGUGAUAUUUAUGAAAUAAAACUCUGCUCCAAUGGCUUAAGUUGCUGAGUAACCAGAUCUGAGUAUGCACCCCAUAUGCAGAAAUGUGUAAAAAAGUAGCGACAUGUGCGCUCUCACUUGUGUCCAGGGGACCACCCGAAGAUACAUACAUAAACUCAAAAAUACAAUUAAUUACAAUGGAAAUGUGAGCCCCAGUGAUUACAGAAGAAGAAUAUUUCAAAGUUAUGGAGCAGCUCAUCACCUCUCGAUCAAAGUCUUCAGUCGCAGACUCCUCUGACGAUGAUGAUGAAGAGCCAUUUAUUUCACUUGGAGACGACAAUGAAUAUGAUUGUUUCGGAAUUUUCUCUCCAAUAAAGCAUUGUAAAUAAUUAUUGUUUCUAAAAAAAAAGAGUAAAUAUUCAUUUUGUAAUUUUCACAUUUCCAUUGUAAUUAAUUGUAUUUUUAAGUUUAUGUAUGUAUCUUCGGGUGGUCCCCUGGACACAAGUGAGAGCGCACAUGUCUCUUCACCCGUAUUAUACUUGUAUUUUAAACUUUGUUACAAAGAUUACUGUAUGCUACAGCACCGCUACAGUCUACAGUGAAGAAUUCUAAAGAUUACUGUUCGCUACAGCUCCGCUACAGUCUACAGUGGAGAGUUCCAAAGAUUACUAUAUGCUACAGCUCCGCUACAGUCUACAGUUUAAAAAAUUUUUGUAUAUAUUCUAGAGGAAGACUGAGACUCCUCAGAAUUUUUCCAUUCUCCAAUUCUCUUCUUCUCUCUCUUUCUCUCUCUCUCUCUCUCUCGGGAAAUCUGGAUUAAGAUAGCUCAAGGAAAUUUUUCCUGGUCUUGUAAUUUUCCCUUUCUUCUCUAUACAAAUCAACCUUUGUAAAGCAUUUCGAAAAAGCAAUUAAUGUAAGCAAUUUAUUUUUCAAUUCUAUUUAAAGCAUUUGUAAUUUAAAGCUUUCAAUGUAUGUUUAAAUUUUCGCAAUUUAUUUUAAAGCAUCACUUGCAGACUGAUCUGUAUCAUAUCUGCCUUACAACUGUUACGUUCCUCUGAGGCAACGAGACCAGAUCUCAAUCCUCAGUUGUAUUCUUUUUUUCUCCCUCCUUCCAAUCAGAUCGCUAUUUCUGAUAUCCAGAUCUAGUGAUAUUUUUGAGCCUUUAGAUGUAUGUUUGUUGCUAGGCUUGUUUAAAGAAUCUAAUAAAAUAUUUGAUAAAGCAUUAAUUAAAUAUGGAAAGAAGAUGAUCACAAAAGAAGGAAAGCAUAAUCGGAAAUGACACAAGUGCUGUUGCAGAUGUUAGAGCAACCAAUGCUGCAGUAAUCUGGGAGAAACGCAGGAGAAAAUAUAGGCGCGAGUCAGUAAUUAAAUUACAAUCUGCAUGUUUCCUAAUUAAAACACAGGCACGCGCAUAGGCACUGGUUUGGAAAACCUAAUUUGCAAAUAUAUAAAGGGGGCAUGCACCACAUAGAAGCGGCGGUGGAAUUAACAUUCAAAAACAAUUAAAAAGGCAAGAAUAAGAUCCAGAUUAAGGAGGGCUAUUCGGCAUCAUUGAAGCACCGAGGAGGAUCCUUAGACUUUCAUCGUGCUCAACUCAUAUUAUCUUUCUUCCUUUAAUUGAUUGGAUGUAUUCUGCGAUCAUUAUGUUUAUUUUUCCCAUUCAGAAUAUAAACUGAAUUUACUUGUAGUUGAGUGACAAAUAAUCCAAUAGGUUCUUGACUGUUCUUAUAUGAUGUUAUGAUAAUUCUGUAGCAUUAUACUCUAAUAGUUUUUAUGAUAUAAUUAUUAUUUCGGUUGACCACCCAUUUAAUAGUUUCAGUUAAGAUAGAGCAGCAAAAGUGCAUGUCUUAGCGGACAUUAUUAGAGUAUUACUUGUUCUUAAAUUAAGUUUUCUGGAUUAGGUUAUCUUAAAUCUCAUAAGGGCAAUGCUUGAAAUUAAAAUUUGUGAUAUCCUAGACAUAGGUGCUCACCUUGUAGGGUAGAGGGAUUAAAGAUCAUAAAGCCAUACAUUAAAUUUAUGAGCAACUGGUCAUUGUUAGUAGAUUUAAAGGUAUGAGAUUUCCAACAUGCGAUAGUUGCGGAUGCAGAUUUGUUCUGCCCAGUGCUGCAGCACUUAUCAUAACAACCAGUGCUAAUUCGGUAAUCAACAGUCACCCCAUUAGGAGAAUUUGAUCAUUCAACUACUAUAUUCUCAAUUGAAUCUUGGACACAUUUAAUUAAGUCUAUUUUAUUUCGAUAUUGCUUUAAUUCCCAUCUCUCACAAUUAUUAUUUACGAUAGAAUUAUUUGGCAAUUGUUUGUUUCGGUCUUUAGUUGACGUGCAUUAUUGUGAUUGCUUUAACAUUUUGAGUAACAUCAAUCCUUGUGGAGACGAUCUUGAACACUCAUCACUUUAUUACUUGUUGUGUAUACUUGCACAUUGGCAUUGAUAAUAAUUGAUUAUACAAAUCAACCAACACUUACUACAAGAAUAGUGAAUUCAAGCACCUAAGGAAAAAAGAAAAUUUACUUACUUUCUUUAAAAUCAGCUUGCUAAAACUCACUUUCUCAUUUCAAUAGAAAACGAAAUGUAUAUGCCAAUACACCUUCUCACACACACACGUAUGCAAGCAUGCACACAUAGGCACAUGCAUGCACGAACGCAUAGAUACGCACACAUGCACGUACAUUCGUGCACAUCCACACGCACGCACGUACGCACACUCAAACACAGACAUAUAUACACACAGAUAGACACACGCGUGCUCGUACAUGCACGCAAGUAUGCACACGCACACACACACGUUUGCAUGCACACACCCAUGCGCACCCAAACACUGGAAGACACACAAACAAACACACACGUUCGCGCGCACAUGCACUAUAACAUAUGUGAGAAAAAACAGUGAGGUGGUUAAAACGUAAAUAAAAAUAAAAGAAGAAGUUGGAAAUAGGGGAACACAUACACACCUAUCAAAGAGUGAGAAAAGCUAUAAACUGACCCAAAACCUGACAUGACCCGCGAACGUCACCUGGUCGAAUCUCAUGAUUUCAACCAGCUAAGCUUGGUACUAAUCUAAAGCUUGAAGAUCAGUCAUCGUAUUCCAGCCAUCACAGUCGCUGAUUAACGACCAGAACGCCGAUGUUUUAGCUCGAUAAGCAGCGGUAAAACCACCCCUUCUCGCCGUUGAUUUCGUCAGUUUGGGGUGACCUCACCGGCUAGGUUUUGUUCCCUGACUCCCUUUUUAUUUUCCAACCAUCCACAGCCACCAAAAGUCGUUGAUUUACGGUGUUCAGCCGUUGGAGUUACACGACUGUUGAGCUAGAUUCUGGGGCCGUCGCCAUGCAUGGGAGCUCACCGCCGGUUCUAUUGAACUCAGCUCAGCCAGAAAUGUUUAAACCAAGUUUCCCAGUCACCGUGUAGAGAUUUCAGAGUAUUUUAAUUUCUGACCCUGUAGAGAUUUUAGUAAUUUCUGAAAUUCAGGAUUGGUUGUAAUUACGGUAAUUCAAUAACUUUUUAUUUCGGUGUAUUUUAAUGAUGUAUGGAUUAAACGAUAUUUUAAUAAUUUUAUCGACGCGGGAGUGGUAUAUUAUGGACAAAUGUUCGUUUCGAGUUUAUUGCAUAAAUUUAGUCUUAAUUCCAAUUUACGAAAAUUAAUUAUGUCGUUUCCUUGAUUUAGGAGGAUCCGCGAGCGAGAACUAAUUCGUGAACGUGGGCGAUAACUGAGUAUGAACAUCGUCAUUAUGAGUGGAAUAUACAAAACCUUUUUUUUUUAUAGUGUAUUAUGAUUUUAAAAUAUGGUAAAGGACGUUUACGAGAUAAGUUUUAAAGGCUCCGAUUUAAUGAUUGUUCUAUAAAUGGAUUUUAUCUACGUAUUGGUAUUUAUUAUUAAAGAUAUGUAUGAUCAUUGAUUUUAUUACCGAUUUUGAAUACAUGCAUGAUAAUAUUUUAAAGAAAAGGAAUUGGAUUUAAAGUAUGUUAAAUGAAAAGGAAAUGAGAUUUUAUAUAGAGGCUUUGGGCCGUGUGUUUGGGCGCUUUUGCCUUUUAGGGCAUAUGCAUGUGAUAUGGUGAUAACAGUAAUACAGAUACAGAUGAUACAUAUGGGAUAUAAGCCUUUGGGGCCCAUCUGAGUACACACAGAGGCUUUGGGCCGUGUGCUUGGGCACUUUUGUCCUUUGGCGACUAGAUUAUGCAUGCGCAGAUAUGAUGAGAUAUAAGAUGACACUUCCCUGUCUAUCCAUGUAGUUUCGGGGCAUGACAGUACCUAGGUAGUACAUCAUUGCCCGUUCGUUGAGGUCCAAAUACGACGAGAUUAUUCCUCUGGGUACUUGUUUAGUGAUGAUUUCAGAAUUAUCUAUUUUGCAUGAUAUUGUGAUAUGAUUUUCCAUGGUUAUUACGUACGAUAUUAUAUAUGCUCUUCAAGGUUAGUAAUCUGAUUUAAACGUUAAACAAUUUAUUGGUUGGUUCUCGCAUACUGUAUGAUGAAAUCAUGUUUCGAAAUGAUGUGAUUAUUUCUUUUAAAGUAAAAAUGUUUUUUCAAAAAUUAUUAUCCACUCACUAAGCUCAUUGAUUUUUAUACUCAUCUUGUUUUAUUAUAUUCCCCCAUCUCAACGGGAAGUUGCAGGUACACUAAAUCGACCCAGCAAGUGUAGAUAUAUUUUGAAUCUCAGCCAUGUGAUGGAGUUAGAAGAUAUAUAUGAUUUUUGUUAGGAUAUCUUUAUCAUCUCUUGUUUUUUUUUUGGAUUGUAUAAUUUUGUUGUAUUAUUCUUUUGGGAUUAAAAAUAAACGAAUAUAUGUUAAUAUUAGUUAUAAUAUAAUCUUUUGAUACCUUAGAGAUAUCCUGGGUAAAAAUUUAGUAUUUUGGUUGAGAAUGAUAAUCGUUGGAGUUGGUUGUAUAUUGAAUUAUUUUGGAAGUGCUCUUUUUGCAUAAUUGCAUAUUGAGAGUGUUAUAUUUAUAAAGAAGACUUUGUCGAAUUUUCAGUAGAAUUCUUACUAAUUAGAUUAUUAUCUAUCCAGUUUUGAUGAGAUUAGAUAGACUCGCUCUGGGACUUCGGGGCGGGUUGUUUCAGCUAGUAUCAGAGCAUGAUUUUAGAUUCUGUAGACUUUACUGUGUUAGUAAGAAUAACUUUCAUUGUUAUUAAAGUAAGAAUUGAUAUUUUGUAGGCACCAUUAUGCUUCGUCAUAGCAGUAGACAUGGUCAUGGCCAUGGUCAUACUAGGUUAGCAACUGGGUUGACUUUUGGUAAUGUACCUAUAAGGGAAAGUGAACCCAUGAAUCAGGGGGUAGUUGAAUCAUUUGCACAUGAAAUGGUGCAACAGGCACUAGAGAAUGUUCUGAAUAUUGACCAAUCAUUUGAUUGGCUAGCUCAAAUCAUGACUACAGUCGUGUAGAAUCAGACUCAAGCACAUGCAGGUAACGCAAACACUAUUGAACGUGUGAGGAGUUUAGGGGCGAGGAGCUUUAAUGGUUCUGGAGAACCACCGGAGGCUAAGUUAUGGUUUGUUAAGUUAGAGCGUAUUUUUGACGUGAUAAAGUGUUCAGAGCAUGACAAGCAAUCCUUUGCCAUUUUCUUGCUUGAGGAUAGAGCUUACCAUUGGUGUCAGAUAAUAGAGAGACAAAAGUAGGGGGAUGCUGCGAUUACUUGAGCCAUAUUCCGUAAGGACUUCUACGAUCAUUAUUUCCCAACUGUGUAUCAGGAUAUUAAGCGGAGUGAAUUCCUUUGGUUGGUUUAAGGAUCCAUUAUAGUUGAGAAGUAUGAGAAGAAACUUUUGGACUUCUCCAGAUUUGCUGCAUCUGUAAUCGGUGAUGAGAGAGAGAUAUACAAACGGUUUGAGGAGUGUCUUCGAUUUAAAAUUUACACCACAGUGACUGAAUCACGAUACACUGCGUUUGAAGAGGUAGUUGAGGUAUUCAGGAGAGUAGAACAUAGUAUUUCAAAAGGAUGGAGAGUUUAAGCACUAAAGCAGAAGCAUGUCAAAGCUGGGUAGAGGGUGGCUCUAUUAGCAAGCUGCCUAAAAAAAGGGGUAUUCCUACGAUUUACUCUGAUAUCAUGCGAAGGAGUCAGGGUACAGGCUUCGGGGGAGACCCAAGACAGGUUGUCAGUUAUAGCUCAGUGCAGCCAUCAGUAGGGAGUAAUACCAAAAAUCAAGGACAAUACGACCGUUGUGGUGGAAGACAUCGUGGUGAUCGUCCUAAGAGUACCCAACAUACUUUUUGCUCUUCAUGUGGCAGGAACUAUUAGGGCUAGCGUCUCGCUAGAGAAAAAGUUUGUUAUCUAUGUGGUCAGCCUAGACACAUUAGAAGAUUCUGCCAUACCUUGUCUCAGGGUGACAGUUCUGUAGGAGGAACAGCCCCACGGUAUCGACCUCACUCUAGCCAGACUCGUUGUCAGAGAGGAGUAUAGACGAGAGGUACUACGUCUACUUUUAGGAGUCAAAUAACUGCUCUAUGUCAGAGAGGUCAGCCUAGUCAACUUCAUACUCAGGCUCGAGCUUUUACUUUGACACAACAUGAGGCAAGUGUUGCACCAGAAGUUAUUAUGGGUAUAUAAUCUAUCCUUAGCUGUGAGGCCCAUAUUCUUAUUGAUCUUGAAUCCAUGCCUUUAUUUAUUUCCCAUACUUUUGCUAUGCAUUUAGAGCAAGAGCCUAAACCACCAAAUUGUGGCUUAGUUUUUCGCACACUUACUGAAGAGUCAUUACUUGCUGAGAGUGUAUAUUAGGAUUGUAUGAUUAGAAUGGGUAAGCAUGAAUUUGAGGCGAAUUCAAUCUCUUUAGACACUCAUGACUUCGAUGCUAUUUUGUUCAUAGAUUGGCUUGAAUUUCAUUAUGCUACGGUGGAUUAUUUCAAACAGGAAGUUAGGUUUAAAAAGCCAGGGAAAGCUGAGGUGAAAUUCUAUGAGAGCGCAUAGUUCUACCCUCAUGUGUCAUAUCUGCCAUUAGUGCAAAACAAUUGCUAAGAAAAUGGUGCUCCGCUUAUUUAGCUCAUGUGAUAAACACAAAAGUUCGAGAAUUGAGAUUAGAGGAUAUUGUCGUAGUUAAAGAAUUUCCAGAUGUAAUUCUAAAUUAAUUUCCUGUGAUGCCACCUAACAGGGAGGUUGAGUUUUCUAUUGAUUUAGUCCCUGGAGCAUCUCCUAUAUUUAUGGCACCGUACAGGAUGGCUCCAGUAGAAUUGAAGAAAUUGAAGGUUCAACUACAAGAGUUGGUGGAUAAAGGGUUUAUUAAACCUAGUGUGUCCUCGUGGGGAGCUCUAGUCUUGUUUGUUAAGUAAAAGGAUGGGAGUUUAGGACUCUUCAUCGACUACAGACAGUUGAGUAAAGUUACAGUGCGUAAUAAGUAUCCAUUUCCAUGCAUCGAUGACUUGUCUGAUCAACUCCAGGGGCCGAAAGUAUUUUCUAUGAUCGAUUUGUGCUCGGGGUAUCAUCAUCUUAGAAUUAAAGAGGCCAAUGUUCCUAAAAUAGCAUUUAGAAGCCAUUAUAGACACUAUGAAUUCUUAGUGAUGCCAUUCGAGUUGAUAAAUGCUCCAUAAGCAUUUAUGGAUCUCAUGAUAGGGUAUUUCGCUCGUAUCUAGAUCGGGUUGUAAUUGUAUUCAUUAAUGAUAUCUUGGUGUAUUCUCGAAGCAAGGAGGAGUAUGUAGAGCAUUUGCAGAUUUUUUUGCAAACUUUAAGGCAAAAACAGUUGUAUGUUAAGUCCAGCAAGUGCGAGUUCUGGUUAGACAGAGUAGGAUUUAUGGGCCAUGUGAUAUUAGCUGAAGGCAUUUAUGUUGAAUCUCAAAAGAUUGAAGCAGUUGUGAAAUAAAUGGGAGUGGCCUAAAAAUGUCACAGAGGUUAGAAGUUGCUCGGGGUUGGUUGGCUAUUAUCGUAGAUUUGUGGAGGGAUUCUCUAAGAUUGCUUCUCUGCUGACACGGUCUGGAUUAUUACCUAAGAUAUCUCCAAAAUAUCAAAGAUUAUAUUAUAAAUGCUAUUAACAUACAUUAGUUUAUUCUUAAUCCCAAAAGAAUAAUAUAACAAAAUUAAACAAUCCCAAAAGAAUGAAAUGAUUAAGAUGUCCUAACAAAAAUUAUCUACAUCUUCUAACACCAUCAUAUAGCCAAGACUCAAAAUAUAUUUACAGUCACUGGUCGAUCUGUUGUACCUGAUAUUAAGGAUCUUAAAGAAGAAAUUAUGGAAGAAGCUCACUGUUCAGCUUAGACAAUGCAUCUUGGUAGUAUAAAGAUGUAUUGCGCCUUGAGAGAUCAUUACUGGUGGCAGGACAUAAAGAGAGAGAUAGCAGAAUUUGUUUCUCAAUGUUUAGUCUGUCAGCAUAUUAAGGCUGAAAACCAAAGGCUUGCAGGGUAUUCUCAGCCACUUCAUAUUCCUGAGUGAAAAUGGGAGCACAUCACGAUGGAUCUGGUAGUAGGACUUCCACAUACGCAGAAGGAACAUGAUAAUGUUUGGGCAGUUGUUGAUCGACUUAAAAAAUCUAAUCACUUUUUACCAUUUAAAACCACUUAUUUGAUGGACAAGUUGAGGAGUAUUUAUGUGGCUGAGAUAGUUCGACUUCACGAAGUACCUUUGUCCAUAGUCUCAGAUAGAUAUUCCCGAUUCACUUCUAAGCUCUGGACUAGCUUACAAAAUGCUUUAGGCACCAAGUUGAACUUCAUUAGAGCUUUUCAUCUACAGACUGAUGGUCAGUCAAAACUUAUUAUUUAAACCCUGGAGGAUAUGUUGCGAGCUUAUGUUAUGGAGUUUAAAGGUAAUUGGGAUAAUUAUUUACCUCUGAUGGAGUUUGCUAACAACAGCAGCUAUCAAACUGGUAUGGGGAUGGCACCAUAUGAGGCCUUGUAUGGUCAAAAAUGCAGAACUUUAGUAUGUUGGGAUAAGGUUGGUGAGCGGAGGUUAUUUGGUCCAAAAUUAUUUUAGGAUAGUAAUGAGAAAAUAUAAUUAAUUCGGGAUAGAAUAAAGGUGGCCCAAAAAAGACAGAAGAGUUAUGCAAACAAGCGUAGACGGGAACUUGAAUUCGAAAUUAGUGACAGAGUUUUCAUACAGAUAUCUUCUUGGAAAGGGGUACUUCAAUUUGGGAAGUGGGGGAAGCUAGGCCCACACUACAUUGGGCCAUAUGAGAUCAUAGAGCGCAUUGGUUCGUUACCUUAUCAAUUAGCUCUACCGCCCGAGUUAUCUAUAAUAUGUUUUAUGUUUCAAUGCUCCGGAAAUACAUAUAUGACCCAAGCCAUGUGUUAUCGAAGCAACCUAUUCACUUGAAAGAAGACUUGACUUACGAGGAGGGCCUAAUGGAGAUACUGGAAGGAAAACACCAAGUUCUAUUUUCUAAGACCAUUCCUCUAGUAAAAGUACUGUGGAGGAACCACACAAAGGAAGAGGCUACCUGGGAAAGCGAGGACUUAAUGCAAGCUUAGUAUCAUUAUCUUUUCUUAUCAGGUACGUAAAUUUCAAGUACGAAAUUUUUAUAAGUGGGGAGGAUUGUAACAUCUGUUGAAAAAAAAUGAGGUGGUGAAAAGGUAAAUAAAGAUAAAAGAAUAAGCUUGAAAUAAGGGAACACAUACACACAUGUGAGAGAGUGAGAAAAACUGUAAACUGACCCAAAACCCAACCCCACCCUUAAAAGUGACUCGGUCGAAUCUCACGAUUUCGAUCAACCCACCGGCCAAACUUGGUACCAAUCUGAAGCUUAAAGACCGGUCGUCGUAUCCCAGCCAUCACAGUUGUCGAUUAACAGCCAAAACACCGGCAUUUUAGCUCAAUAAGCGACGGUAAAACCCACCCCUUCUCGUCGCCGAUUCUGCUAGUUUGAGGUGACACCACCGCCUGGGUUUUGUUCCCUACAACUCCCUUUUGAUUAUUAGACCAUCCACAACCAACGAAAGCCGUCGAUUUACCAUGGUUCAGCCGUUGGAGUUACAUGGUUGUCGAACUAGAUUUCGGCACCGUCGUCACACAUGGGAGCUCACCACUACUAUUGACCCCGUAAAGCUUUUAGUAAUUUCUGAAAUUGAGGAUUGGUUGUAAUUACGGUAAUUCAAUAAUUUUUUUAUUUCAGUGUAUUUUAAUGAUGUACGGAUUAAAGGGUAUUUUAAUAAUUUUAUUGACAUGGGAGUUGUAUAUUAUGGACAAAUGUUCGUUUCGAGUUUAUUGCAUAAAUUUAGUCCUAAUUCUAAUUUACGAAAAUUAAUUAUGUUGUUUCCUUGAUUUAGGAGGAUUCGCGAGCGAGAACCAAUCCGCGAAUGUGGGAGAUAACUGAGUAUGAACAUCUUCAUUAUGAGUGGAAUAUACAAAACCUAUUUUUUAUAGUUUAUUAUGAUUUAAAAAAAUUUUAAAGGCUCCGAUUUAAUGAUUUUUCUAUAAAUGGAUUUUAUUUGCGUAUUGGUAUUUAUUAUUAAAGAUGUGUAUGAUUAAUGAUUUUAUUACCGAUUUUGAAUACAUGCAUGAUAAUAUUUUAAAGAAAAGGAAUUAGAUUUAAAGUAUGUUCAAUGAAAAGGAAAUGAGAUUUCAGAUGUGAUUAUAUGUUUAUGUGUAUGUGUAUAAAAGGUUGUUUACCAAAUCAUUGGACAGUACCAUUCUCCGAUUACAGUGAUACAGAUAUGAUGAGGCAUUUGGGGCCUGUGUGAACACACAUAGAUGCUUCAGGCCAUGUGUUUGAGCGCUUCUACCUUUUGGGGGCAUAUGCAUGUGAUAUGAUGAUAACAGUAAUACAGAUACAGAUGAUACAGAUGAAAUACAGGCCUUUGGGGCCCGUCUGAGUAGACACAGAGGCUUUGGGUCGUGUGAUUGGGCGCUUUUGUCUUUUGGAGACUAGAUUAUGCAUGCAGAGAUAUGAUGAGAUAUAAGAUGACACUUCCAUGUCUAUCCGUGUAGCUCCAGGGCGUGACGAUACCUAGAUAGUACGUCAUUGCCCGUAAGUUGAGGUCCGGACACGAUAAGAUUAUUCCACUGGGUGCUUGUUUAGUGAUAAUUUUAGAUUUUUGUAUUUUACAUGAUAUUAUGAUAUAAUUUUCCAUGGUUAUUACGUACGAUAUUAUAUAUGCUCUUCAAGGUUAAUACUAUGAUUUAAAUGUUAAAUGAUUUAGUAGUGGUUUCUCGCAUAUGGUUUGAUGAAAUCGUGUUUGGAAAUGACGUUAUUAUUUCUUUUAAGGUAAAAAUGUAUUUUCAAAAAUUAUUAUCCACUCAUUGAGUUUUAUACUCAUCUCGUUUUAUUAUAUUCUGUGAUGGUGUUAAAAGAUAUUUUUUUUAAGAUAUCCUAUUUUUUUGGGAUUGUAUAAUUUUCUUAUAUUAGUCUUUUGGGAUUAAGAAUAAACUAAUAUAUGUUAAUAUUAGUUACAAUAUAAUCUUUUCAUACCCUAGAGAUAUCUUGGUAAAAAUUCAGUAUUUUGGUUGAGAAUGAUAAUCAUUGGAGUUGGUUGUAUAUUGAAUUAUUUUAGGAGAGCUUGUUUUGCAUAGUUACAGAUUGAGAGUGUUAUAUUUAUAAAGGAGAAUUUGCCGAAUUUUAGGUAGAAUUCUUACUAAUUGGAUUAUUAUCUAUUUAGUUUUAAUGCGAUUAAAUAGACUCGCCCUGAGGGUUUUGGGCGGGUCGUUUCACGCACACACGCAAGCGCGUGCACACACACACCCGCGAGGGAAAUGAUCAUAUGAUUUUCACAAUAAGGGGGCAAACCAAUUCGACUUUUUCCGUCAGAAAUACAAAACUUACUUCUUGCUAAUUAAUAUUCUGGUGACAUAAAAAUAAAAUAGUAACUAGCAUAUUUAUGGACAAAUCUAAAAUAUUUAUGUUACUUUCAUAAAAUAUUUUAAGUGUUGUACAAAUUUUAAUAAACAAGAUAUAGAUGCACAGCUUUCUGGUUCACAGAAUUUGCCAGUGGACUUUAUUUUAUUUUAUUCAUUAGUUUCCCUUCUUUCUAUAUAUUAAAUAUAUGUCCUUAUAUAACAAGUAACAAGAAUUAUUAGAAUUUGAUAUAUCUCAAUCUGAUGUAUUGACCCGGAGAGUGAGAAUUUUUUUAAUAUUGUCUAUUAUUGAAAUCACCUCCAUUUGUUGACUUUGUAUAUUUUCUAAGGGAUUCGCUUUGAUUUUCUUUAUUAUUUUGGAGAUCCGAUAUUUUCAGAAGCAAUUAUGCAAGACACUUAUAAUAAAUAUGAUGAAUUUGGCUACACACUAAAUGCCACUCAACACUCACUAAAGCCAGUAAAAGAUGGCAGUGACCCUCAAAAAAAAUUUCCCAAUAAUUGCUUCCAAAUUAAUCACCAAUGAUCUCCAGAUAUUCACAAAAAGAAGUAUCAGAAGUGCCACGUCUGAUGUUCAGAUCAUUUCCACCGAAAGAGUCAAACCUUCACUUCCAACCCGAAAACAUCUUAGAACCUAUAAACUUUCAUUGAUUGAUCAAUUAAGUACUGAUUUUUACAUUCCCCUAGUCUUCUUCUACUCGGCCAGUUGCAAGAACCAAGAUUUCAGAAAAAAAUCCGAUUUACUGAAGCAAUCUCUCGCAAAAACAUUAACCCACUACUACCCUUUUGCUGGAAGAUUGAUUGAUGGCUUUUCGGUCGACUGUAAUGAUCGUGGGGCUGCAUUUAUUGAAGCUAAUGUUGGCUGUGAUAUAUCAAAGUUUCUUCAACCACCAGAUAUGGAGCUGCUACAACAAUUAAUCCCACCUAGUCCCCAAUUAUCGAAUUUAGAGAUUUCUGAAAGAGAACUUUUGGCUGUCCAAGUAAACCUGUUCAACAGCGGUGAAAUGGCAAUUGGUGUUUGUUUUUCUCAUGGAGUGGCCGACGGUUCGGCAUUCUUUAACUUCAUGAAAACCUGGGGUGAAAUCGCUCGUGGGGUGAUUAAUGAUAAUGAUAAUAUUUGCAAUAACAAUAUCGUUUUAGAUUGCACCUCUCUGUUUCCGCCCGUAAAGUUCCCACAACAGUAUCAGAUCCGAAGCCCACAAUCUUCACGCAAGAUUGUGUUCAAAAGAUUGUUGUUCAAUGGAAAGAAGAUAGCAACUCUAAAGGAGAAGGUGAAUAAAGAAUUAAUGGCUGAUAACAAUUCUGACGAUGACGUGUUACAAGCAACUCGUUUCAGGGUUGUUUCAGCACUCAUUUGGGGUGCCUCCAUCGCUAUAGCGCGGGAAAGAAAGAGGACAAUUGAUAAUAAGUUGAACUCUCAUUCAAUGUAUUAUCCUAUGAAUUUGCGUAACAAGGUGAAUCCACCAAUGUUUCCACGGUGCAUGGGUAACAUUGCUCGGCUUGUAAGGGCAGAAUGGUCACUAGCCCAGGAUGAUGCCAUAGAGAUAACAAGUUUAGUAAGAGAAGUGGUAAAAGCCAAGAGAAUGGGAAGAGAUGUGAUGAAUAAUGAUGAGUAUUUAGGUUUCAUUAAGGAUAUGUAUGAAGUACCGGAAGAUUCGAGGUCAUUUCUUUUGACUAGUACGGUUGGAUUGCCUUGUUAUGAAGUUGAUUUUGGUUGGGGGAAGCCUGUUUGGUUUAGUUUCGGGCCCAUAUUGUUUCCUGAUUUUGCUAUUUUAUCAAGCACAAGUGACGGUGAAGGAAUAGAAGCAUUGGUGGUAAUGUCUAAGGAGGACAUGGACAAAUUUGAACAAGAAAUUAGCAUCAUGGCUUAUGCUUCCCCUAACCCUAGCAUAUUUUUAAGGAAGUAAGGAGUUAAUUUUAUUUCUCUUGCUUUGAAUAAAAAGAAUUGUCUUCUAGUUAGAAUAGUAAUAUGCUUACAAAGUUGAGAUUAUUGUACAAUAACUGUAUCUCAUUAUUAUCAUACUUCUCUUUAAAUAAAAUCAUGUUAUGUAUGCAUACUUCGAUCAGCGAAAACUGGAAGAGGACAAAAAAAAGGUGAAAAAAAAAUGUACGUAAUGCUUUCCUUUUUUUCCUUUUAUCAUAUUUUCUGAUUGCAAAGGCAGAAUUAUUGUAUCAUAUUUGGCAUCAAAUUUUAUUAAAGGAUCCUCGUAAGUAGUUAUAUUGGAUAUAUAUAUAUAUAUAUAUAACUCUGAAUAUGCGACAUAAAAUGUCUGUGAUGUCAUGUUGUGAAUGUUGCCAAUAAGAAGAAGUUUCAGUGGCGCAGGGAAGGAUUUCUUAUUAGGGUUUGGAGAUUUGAAUACAAUUUUGAGGAGACAAAAGAAUAGGAUGAAAAGAAAUUGGAGCUCCAUCUAGAAGAGGAGAAAUUGGGCCAUCGACUUCAAAACUCAGGAUGAUGCCAUAGAGAUAACAAGUUUAGUAAGAGAAGUGGUAAAAGCCAAGAGAAUGGGAAGAGAUGUGAUGAAUAAUGAUGAGUAUUUAGGUUUCAUUAAGGAUAUGUAUGAAGUACCGGAAGAUUCGAGGUCAUUUCUUUUGACUAGUACGGUUGGAUUGCCUUGUUAUGAAGUUGAUUUUGGUUGGGGGAAGCCUGUUUGGUUUAGUUUCGGGCCCAUAUUGUUUCCUGAUUUUGCUAUUUUAUCAAGCACAAGUGACGGUGAAGGAAUAGAAGCAUUGGUGGUAAUGUCUAAGGAGGACAUGGACAAAUUUGAACAAGAAAUUAGCAUCAUGGCUUAUGCUUCCCCUAACCCUAGCAUAUUUUUAAGGAAGUAAGGAGUUAAUUUUAUUUCUCUUGCUUUGAAUAAAAAGAAUUGUCUUCUAGUUAGAAUAGUAAUAUGCUUACAAAGUUGAGAUUAUUGUACAAUAACUGUAUCUCAUUAUUAUCAUACUUCUCUUUAAAUAAAAUCAUGUUAUGUAUGCAUACUUCGAUCAGCGAAAACUGGAAGAGGACAAAAAAAAGGUGAAAAAAAAAUGUACGUAAUGCUUUCCUUUUUUUCCUUUUAUCAUAUUUUCUGAUUGCAAAGGCAGAAUUAUUGUAUCAUAUUUGGCAUCAAAUUUUAUUAAAGGAUCCUCGUAAGUAGUUAUAUUGGAUAUAUAUAUAUAUAUAUAUAACUCUGAAUAUGCGACAUAAAAUGUCUGUGAUGUCAUGUUGUGAAUGUUGCCAAUAAGAAGAAGUUUCAGUGGCGCAGGGAAGGAUUUCUUAUUAGGGUUUGGAGAUUUGAAUACAAUUUUGAGGAGACAAAAGAAUAGGAUGAAAAGAAAUUGGAGCUCCAUCUAGAAGAGGAGAAAUUGGGCCAUCGACUUCAAAACUCACUGUGAUAUAUGUAAGCUAAAUUAAUUUUAUGGAUCUCUUAUCAAGUAUGGUAUGGACACACUCAAUAUAAUUUUAUGCGUACGGAAUAUCUAAAGUUCUAAACUCUCAAAAUUCAUUCAAAUGUACAAAUAAGAGAGUGGACUGACUGUGAUUUGGUAAAUAGUCUUUUUUUUACUAUUAUAGGCUUUGAUUAUACUAACCCCCGAAAAUUUGGCUUAAAAUCAUAUAAUAAUUUAAUAUUAUAUAUAAUCAUUCUCAGGUGUGGACGCCCGCAUCUUUUUUAAUGCGGACACACUUUUAAACCGUGCGGUUUAAAAGAGUUAGUUAUUAAAUGAACUAUAAAACCGCAUGAUUUUAAAGAAUUAAAAACUAACUCUCUUAAACCAUGUCGUUUUAAAAUGUAUCCGCAUAAAAAAUAAAUAAGGACGUCUGCACUAGAGAAUGACUAUAUAUAUAUUCGUAAAAAAUUUAUUUAUUAUAGAAAUCUAAAGUCAGCCAUUGCCGAACAAAUCGUUGUAUUGAAUCAAAUCUUCAUGAUAGAUUAAUAAUAUCAAAAUAUAUUUUUUUAGAAAUAAAAAUAAUUUUCAAAAAAAUUAUUUAUAAUAUUUAUUUAGGGAUAGAUUCGGAUUGCUGCUUAUGAAAUAAUUCACUUUUGCUGGUAUUGAUGAGAAAAUCAACUGGACAAAUGCAAAGUUUAAGUGUUUGAUAAAAUAAACUACUGAAGUAUUGUAUGUUUGAAGAACAAAGUGCAUAUGUUUAAUAAUUAUUAUAAACACAUGAUGUCGUCCCUCCAGUUUAAUAGAGUUUUUAAAUCCCACCUACUUCUUGAAAAGUGGUACAUUUUAUAAUUACAAUGGAUAUAGGCAUACGCCUAUGAAAACAAAUAUGAUAACAAAUAUACAGCAAUAAGGAAGUACCUUCAUAAUUAAGCUUCCGUUUGAUUGAAAGGAUGUUGUGAAGCUUGAUUAGUUAAUUCUGUUAUUUCUGUUAUGUGAUGAAGUGGCAUGCUGAGUCAGCUUUUGUGUGGGGCCAGAGUUAGUUAAUUUGUUACUGCUAACAGCUGGACAACAGAGCUAUAUAUGCAGAGCUCAGAGCUGAUCAACUAGAGAGAAAAAGUCACGAUUUUGAGAGACCUAGGGUGAGAGAUAGAAAAUUCUCUGUAGGAGAGAUUUAAUCUCUGUCAUCAAUACUCUCAUUGUAAACACUUGGUUAAAUAAAAGCUUCAAGCCCAGAGGGGUUUCUUUGGUCGUGGAUGUAGGUACUUAGGUACUGAACCACGUUAUAUUGUGUGUGCAUUGUUUCUGGUUCAUCUUCCUUUUACUGUUCUUUGGUUAUUUCUUGUGUUUGAGCUGGUUAGUUUUCUUGAGUAAAGAUUGUUGAUCUUGAAUCGAUUGGGUUCUAUAGCUUAGGUUAUUUGAUUGAUUAGAGUGGUUCUUGAGGAAUUCCACAACAGAUGUCACCGUUAUUUUAUCUGAUUCUAUGAUAACAAAACAUAUAGUAACAAUUGAUGGUUAAUAAUAAAAAGAAAAACGAGUUUACAUUGUUGGGAUCAUCUAAGGUCAUGCACAAGAUCUUAUUACCAGAAAUGAUCGAUUUGUCCACCAUUUUCCAUUCUGAUUGGCUUUUGAGAAGUCCAGGGGUUUCAUAAUAUUAUCUUUCAAUUUUAGUUUAAAAAGUCCAAGUGUUUCAUAUGAUAAUCUUUCAAUUUUAAUUUGAAAUUUACCAAUUAAGCUAUCAAAAUAAGUCAAUUAAAAAAGUGCCAACAUUUUGAAGGUAUGUUCAAAUCGAUUAAAAUGUUUUAUUAUCUUUAAAAGGUUAGUUUUCAAAAAUUUUGCACAUAAGUCCAUUAAAAUGUUUUAUUAUCUUUAAAAGGAUCAAUGGUAACUUAGUAAAUAAACAUAAUUAAGUAUUAAAAAUAUAGAUAGAUUAUUUUAACUUGCUCCACAUCCAUUUACUUAAAAUACCAAUUGGAUUACAAUAUUGUUUUCUUGUGUUUAGUUUAAUGCAGGAUUGGACAAAGUUUAUAUAAAUUUUGACAAUAUCAAAAUGAAAAAUAAAUAAAUAUUAAAUAAGUACUUGAAUGGUAAUUUAAGUUUUAUUAUAGAGUUUAUAAAUGCUAUUUUCAAAAUAAUAGAUUUCUAUAUGCAACUUUUAAAUUAUGUAAAAUUACUCAUACCUCAUCACAUAUAUGGAGGUGAGAUAAUAUUUAGAAAAAUAUAAUCUCAAUUAUUUACUUAACAUGAAAAGAAAUAAAUUGUAUAAUAUUUAUUCUAUUACUUAAAUUUAAAGUUGUAAAGAAUGAAACUUAAAUUUAAAAUUGUAAAGAAUUAAUAAUAACUUAAAUUAAUGGAUUAUGGGAGAAUUAUCUUUCAAAAAAAAAUUUAAGAUUAACUAGCUUUUAAGGCUUCUAACGUAAUCUUUUUUAUCUCGAGUUGUUAACAUAAAAUAAAAAUUUUACUGUAAAAAAAUUAUCCUAGACGUCUCUUUAAGGUAAAAAUAUCAUUAUCACAUGAUAAUUUGGUAGGUCCAAACUGUGUUAUUCUUAAUUUACUUAUUUAUGCUAAACACUAUAAAUUGAUUUUUUUGGUCCUCUACCUAAUCAAAAUUGAAUAUAAAACAUUUUGAAGCCUCUACGUAUAUAUUUAUUUCCUUGUAGGCAUGUACAAUUCAAAUUUCAACAAAAGUAUCAAAAGUUAUUUUUACGGUUUUUUUGUUUAAUUUCACAUCCCAUCCUAUACAUAAAUAUCAAUUAAAUAAUUUUCUUUUCCAAGGUUGGUGCGAGGGGAAAAUGAUCUUGUUCCUAUGACCUUUGCUCUCACUAUAAGGGGGCAAACCAACCCGACUUAUCCCCUGAAAGAUACAAAAGUUAUUUUUUGCUAAUUAAUAUUCUUGUGACGUUAAAAUAAAAAAUAACUAGUAUAUUUAUGGACUAAUCUUAAAUAUUAUGUUACUUUCAUAGAAUAUAUAAGUGUUGAGCAAAUUUUAAUAAACUAAAUAUAUAUGCGCAGCUUUGGGAUUCAUCGAAUUCGCCAACGGAUUUUAUUUUAUUUUAUUCAUUGAUUUCCCUUCUUUCCAUAUACUAAAUAUAUGCUCUUAUAUAAUAAGUAACAAGAAUUAUUAAAUUUGAUAUAUCUCAAUCUGAUCUUUUUGCUACCGGCAUAUUCAGACUUAAUUUUAUUAUUAUUGUCUAUUAUUGAAAUUAUUUAUUUUGGAGCCUGUCAUUCCUGAUAAUAUUAUGUAUUAUCCAUAUUUCUAAUCACCUUCUUUUUUAAUUUCUAUCUUUUUAGUCAAUUUAUUUUGAUUUUCUUUAUUAUCUUGGAGUUCCAUUCUUAUUGCGAGUAAUUAUAUAAUUAUGCAAGAAACUUCGCUUGUUUGUUAAACAUUUGGAAUAUGAAGUUUUAUUAAUUUCAGGUUUUUUUUAAGUUUUGCUUUUUUGUUUUUUUGUAAAUUAUGUUUGAUUUUUAAGAAAUUUGCAUCCGAAUAGAAAAAAAAUAACUUUUGUGACUUUUAUUUAAAUGAAAAAAGGCAUGAAUAAAAAAUAAAUAUUAUAUUCUUAAAAUAUCUCUAAAAAUAUACUUAUUUGCUGAAUUUUAAGAUUUUUUCUAAUUUAUAAGGAAAUAAAUGUCAAAUAACCAUGUUUAAUAUGUUUUUUAUAAGGAAAUAAAUGUCAAAAUGCCACUUAUAUUCAGAUAUAAAAAAAUAAAAAAACAAAUACGUCAUUUUUUUUCUCUUUUUUAAACCAAUACAAAUCAACGUGAUUAAUGUCGAAUGUAUGGAAUUCCAUGAGUAUCCAAAUGAAGAAUGCUUGAUAAACUAGUUGGAAGAUCACUAGGAUUGAAAAAUCGUUGACAAGUCUAAUGGGUACAAGCCCAAUUGGCCAUAAAGUCGGCAGCAAAUGUAGCUUCUCGAAGAACAUGCCCGAUACUAAUGGAUGACCUAGAAGCCAAUGCUCGAACACACCCAAUGAUGUAAGUAAAAUCUCAUCGCACAAAACUACUUGAAAUGGCCCAAGAAACUACAAUGGCUGAAUCAGAUUCUACCUCAAGAUCAGAAAAGCCAAACUAAGCAGCAAGAUCUAAACCUUCUAACAAAGCCAUUAAUUCAGCAAAAAGAAUAGAUUGGUGCCCCAAAAAGGAACCAAAAGCAGCUAAUGUCACACCUUGAUGAUCUCGUAAAACACCACCAGUAGCAGCCAUGCCUAGGUUUCCCUUAGAACAACCAUCCACACUCAACUUCACCACCCCCGGUGGCGGUUUCAUCCAAGAGACCAAUUGAGGUGGUCUACAGGGAGGCAUGAUAAUCCUCAAUCCCUCCCCAAUAUGAGUGUCCAAAAUGCCUCUCAAUUGAGAUGUCUUAAAACCAAAUACAUCACUGACUAGUCUAAUAUCCAGAAGCACUCUAAAAAUAAUAGUGUUCACAUUAAAGGCAACUGAAUCUUACCUGAGAGUGUUUCGAGCCUUUCAAACAUGCCAUAGAAUGAAACAUGGAAGAAUGACUCGAAUAUGUUUAGAAGAACAGCAACACCGUUGCCAGUGACUAAGCAAAGCAUGGGGAGACAAAAAAGGGAGAUACGGACGACCAAUCAUUGAGUAAAAUCGCCGCCAAACCUGUUGAACCUCUGGGCAAUUCAAAAAUAAGUGUCUGACAAUCCCAACAUCUCGAUUACAAAGAUACCGAGAAACCAUAUGAAAACCCCUAGAGCACUAAGCAUCAUCCGUGGCCAAGAAACCAUUCAAUAAACGCCACAAGAAAAAAGAAACCUGCGAAGGAAUAUGUCGUUGCCAAAUUAAAGAAAAAACCUCAUUCUGGCUACGGGACCCAUGUACAAAUUCCCAACUACUCCUUAGACAAAAAUUCUCAUCCCUAGAUAUGGCACAACAGAGUAUAUCUGGCCCAGUACCAGAAAUAGGUACUAACACAAUUUGUUCAACAACUGAUGAUGACAGUACUAAUAAAAGCUUCUUCUUAUCCCAAUCCACACCACACCAAAAAGAAGAUAUAGGGGCCAUAGAAGCUGCUGGAGGAUUAAAAUGAAAGAGAGGUGUAAAUUCAAGCCAGUAAUCAUACCAGAAACUACUAUCACCUGAUCUAACCAACCAACGAAUAUGAACCUCAGCAAAUAUGCCAUUUAAAUAUUUGCAUUCCGACUUAUUCAAAUUUUUUUAAAAAAUAAAUUCAUUUAAAUUUUUUUAAAAAAAAACCUACCUUAUAAUAAAUAUGAUAGAUUAGGCACCACACACAGUAGGCCACUCAACACUCACUUUGGUGAAAAUUUUCUCAAAGCCAGCAAGAGAUGGUAGUGGUUCUCAAAAACAUUUUCCGACCAACUGCUCCCAAAUUGGUCACCAAUAAUGUCCAAAUCAUAAAAAAAAAAAAAGUAUCAAAAGUGUCGCUUCUAAUGUUCAAAUCAUUUCCACCGAAAGAGUCAAAUCUUCAUUUCCAACGGAAAAACAUCUUAGAACCUAUAAACUUUCAUUGAUUGAUCAAAUUUAUUCUGAUGUUUACAUCUCCCUAGUUUUCUUGGCCAAUUGUAACCACCAAGAUUUUAGGGAAAAAAAAAUCCGAUUUGUUGAAGCAAUCUCUCCCAAAAUCAUUAACCCACUAUUAUCGUUUUGUUGGAAAAUUGAUUGAUAGCUUUUCAGUCGAUUGUAAUGACCAAAGGGCUGCAUUUAUUGAAACUAAUGUUGACUGUGUGUUAAAAAGUCAGCUUGUUGGGCACCGAAUUCGGUGCCUACCGAAGAUGAAUUUUCAAGGACAUAAUUUAGACAAUUUCAUCAAUUGGCCAGGUUUUUUCAACGCCUCAAUUUGGCUGGCUGGUGUAAAAUGAUCUCUAUAAAUAUAGAAGCAUUUUGCACUUGUUAGCGUCCCAUAUUUUUUAAAGCAAUUGUAAGUGAAGUAAUUUCAGAGAUUUGAGAAAGUUUUUACUUGAGUAUUUUAUUGAAAAUACAAUUGGCUGUUUUUUCGUUUUGGGUUUUUGGAUUUUAAGAGUUUUUCUCGCUUUUAUAAAUUCUCAUUUAUUAGUGAAAUUAUCUUCCAAUUUUUGUCUAUAGACAUAGACUUUAUGCAUAACCAUGUAAAUUAUUGUGUCCUAUUUUCUUUACAUUUAUUUAUCACUACAAUUAUAUUUAUCCACAAGUCGCGACUACCAUACUCAACCUAUGCUUCUGUAACAAUUGAUAUGAGAGCAUAUGGUCUAUACUUUGGUUAAACGACAUUGUUUACAUAUACAAUAUUGUUCACGUAUAUGGUAUUGUUCACGAAUACAGUGGAGCCAACAGUCUGUACUUGAAGUAUCAAGAGCCUACAAUGUAGUUAUGUGGUUAAAUGGGUGUCUGAGAAAUUUCAAGUGGGACCGUCGAGACCCUCCAUUCUCCUGAGAACUUUCCUGGUACAUUAUCUAUAUAAAUAGACACGUAGAUAUUAUUCAUUCGGGUUAGGUAAUUAAAAAAAAAGGGAUGGCAGAGGCAUCAUCUUCAUAUUUCUCAACAAAGACUAUUGUGACGAAUGCAAAAUUUGAAGUGGAAAAAUUAGAUGGUACUAAUAAUUUUGGCAUGUGGCAAUGUGAGGUGUUAGAUGUCUUAUAUCAGCAAGAGUUGGACCUCAUUCUUGAAGAAAAACCUGACAAGAUAAAUGACAAGAAGUGGAUAAAGAUCAAUAGAUAGGCAACUGGCACUUCUCGCCUAUGUCUGGCUAAAGAUUAGAAAUACUCUAUUAUGUGGCAAAUAUCAGCAAAGAAAUUAUGGCAUAUGCUGGAAGAAAGGUACAUGAAGAAAAGCCUUGAAAAUAGGCUUUAAAUGAAGAAAAAAACUCUAUCGAUUCACGUAUGCACCUGACAUGUUGAUAAAUGACCAUGUAAACUCAUUUAAUAGGAUAUUAAUGGAUUUGCUAAAUCUGGAUGAGAAAUUUAAAGAUAAAGAAAAGUCAUUGUUGCUAUUAAAUUCCUUUCCUAAUGAAUAUGAUCAUCUCACCACCACUUUGCUUCAUGGGAAGAACAAUGUCACAAUCAAUGUUGUAUGCAGUGCGUUGCAUAACUAUGAGACAAAAAAAAAGACAGAAAAGAUCACAAUGAUACAGCUAUAAAGGCAUUGACAACAAGAGGUCGUUCACAAAGUCGCAAACCUUCUAAAAGAAAGUUUUUGCAUGUUCAAGCAAAUUAGUUCAACAUUAGCGACAUGACAAUUGGUAUUUGUAUAUGGCACGGAUUGGCAAAUGAUUCAACAAUUUCUAUCAUCAUGAAAUUGUGAACUAAGAUCAAUCUGGGAUAAAUAAAAAUAUUUGCAAUAACGUCGUUUUACAUUGCAUCUUUUUGUUUCCAUCGCAUAAUUCAUUAAAGGAUCAGCAUAUAAAGCCACAAUUAACAUCUAAAGUAGUGAUCAAAAGGUUGUUUUCUGAUGGCAAGAACAUAGCAGUUCUAAAAGAGAAGAUGAAAAAAGAAAUAAUGACAGGCUAUUUUGAUAAUGAGUUACAAGCGUCACAUUUCAUGGUUGUUUUAUCACUCAUUUAGGGUGCUUUCAUUACUAUUGCUCGAGAAAGAAAAACAGCAAUUAAUAGCAAGGCUCAUAGCUAAGGGUUACACCCAAACCUAUGGGAUAGAUUACACUGAUACGUUUACACCGGUAGCAAAAAUUAAUAUUAUUCGUAUCUUAUUAUCAUUAGCAGCCAACUUAGAUUGGCCAGUACAACAGUUCGAUGUAAAGAAUGCUUUCCUCCAUGGAGACCUAUCUGAAGAAAUUUAUAUGGAUCUGCCACCAGGAUGCAGUGGACCAGAGCGACUCAAUCAAAAACUAUGCCAAUUGAAGAAAUCAUUGUACGGAUUGAAGCAAUCCCCAAGAGCAUGGUUCAUGAAAUUCACAAAGGCCAUGGUUCUUUUUGGGUAUAACCAAAGCAAUUCAGAUCAUAUCUUGUUCAUUAAAAAACGACAAAGUAAAAUCACUGCCCUUAUUGUCUAUGUGGAUGAUAUGGUAGUUACACACAACGACGAGGAAGAAAGAAAGGCUCUUCAGAAGUAUUUGUCAAGAGAGUUUGAGAUGAAGGAUUUAGGAGCCUUAAAAUACUUUCUUGGAAUUGAGGUUUCUCGAUCUAAGGAAGGAAUCUUCCUGUCUCAAAGGAAAUAUGCCUUAGAUCUGUUGUACGAAACGGGAAUGACAGUUUGUCAGCCUAUUAACACCCCAAUAGAAGAAAGACUGAAGUUUUGUAUUACCUCAUACCAAGUUCCAGUUGACAAAGGAAGAUAUCAAAGGUUAAUUGGAAGAUUGAUGUACUUGUCCCACACAAGGCCAGAUCUUGCUUAUGCAUUGAGUGUGGUAAGUCAGUUUAUGCAUAAUCCCAGAGAACAACAUAUGAAAGCAGUAAUGCGGAUUCUGAGGUACCUAAAGUCAAAUCCAGGAAAAGGAAUCAUAUUUUCCAAAAAUGAAGAUUAUAGCAAUAUAGAACUUUAUACUAAUGCAGAUUGGGUCGGGUCAGCUAGUGAUAGACGCUCUACCUCAGGAUAUUUUACCUUCGUAGGCGACAACUUUGUCACGUGGAGAAGCAAGAAACAACAUGUCGUUGCCCGUUCGAGCACUAAAGCCGAAUAUCGAGGCAUGGCCCUUGGGGUAUGUGAAGGGCUAUGGAUAGGCUUUAUCUUAAAAGAUUUGGGCUAUCCAUCACAACAACCAAUACAAUUAUACUGUGACAACAAAGCUGCCCGAGAUAUUGCUCAUAACCCAGUUCAACACGAUCGAACAAAAUAUGUCGAGGUAGAUAGAUUUUUCAUCAAGGAGAAAUUAGAUGAAAAACUCUUAGAACUGCCGAAAAUUUGAUCAGAAGAUCAACUUGCAGAUAUUUUAACGAAGGCCAUUUCAAGCAGAGCAUUUACAAAAUUCCUAGACAAGCUAGGUAUACAAGACAUCUAUGCACUAGCUUGACGGGGAGUGUUGAGAAUGUCAAAUAAAACGGCAUUGAAGGAAGUUUUCAAAGGCAUAAUCCGCACUUGUCAAAGGCAAGAUCCGCACUUGUCAAAGACACGAUCCGCGCCGAACGGAUCAACACAUUUUCUUCCGUAAUCACUUAUGUAAUCUUUGAAAAAAAUGUAGCCUCUGCAUCUAUAAAUAACGCUUAGUGUAUAAUGUUUUAUUAAAAAAAUGAAAACGAAGUUUCUUCAAAUGCAACAAUUAAUCCCACCAAGCCCACAAUCAUUGAGAUUAGAGGCUUUUGAAAGAGCGCUUUUGGCUGUUCAAGUAAAUUAUUUCAGUACCGGCGACGUGGCAAUUGGUAUUUGUAUAUGGCAUGGAUUGGCAGAUGGUUCAGCAAUCUCCAACUUCAUGAAAUUGUGGGCUGAGAUCAAUCGUGGAGUAAAUGAAAAUAUUUGCAAUAACGUCGUUUUAGAUUGCAGCUCUUUUUUUCCUCCGCACAGUUCACUAAAGGAUCAGCACAUAAAGCCACAGUUAACAUCUAAAGUUGUGUUCAAAAGCUUGUUUUUUGAUGGCAAGAAGAUAGUGGCUCUAAAAGAGAAGGUGAACAAAGAAAUAAUGGUGGGCAGUUUUGAUCAUGAGUUACAAGCAUCGCGUUUCAUGGUUGUUUCAUCACUCAUUUGGGGUGCUUUCAUCGCUGUGCCUCGAGAAAGAAAGAGGGCAAUUAAUAACAAGUUGUAUUCUCAUGCAAUGUAUUAUACUAUGAAUUUGCGGAGCAAGAUGAAUCCACCAAUGAUUCCACAGUGCAUGGGUGACAUUUUUCGGUUUGUAAGGGCAGAAUGGUCACUAGCCGAGGAUGAUGACAUAGAGGCAACAAGCUAAAGCUUAGUGAAAAACGUGAUCAAAGCAAAGAGAAAUGUAAGCAAUGUGAUGAAUAAUAUUGAGUACUUAGGAUUCAUGAAGGAUAUGAAUGAAGCAUGGGAAGACUCAAGAUCAUGAACUUUAACUAGUGUGGUUGGAUUGCGUUAUUAUGAAGCUGAUUUUGGUGGGGGAAAGCCUGUUUGGCUUAGUAUCGGGUCGAUGUCGUUACCUAAUUCUGCUCUUUUAUCAGAUACAAGUGAUGGUGAAGGAGUAGAAGCAUCGGUGAUUUAUACGAGGAAGACAUGGACAAAUUUGAAAAAAAAGGCUAGCAUCAUGGCUCAUGCUUCCUCUAAUCCAAGCAUACUUAUAGCAAAGUGGCAAAGUGACGAUAUUUAUCUUGUUUUGAAUUUAAAAGAGUGGUUAGUUAAUUGUAUUAAUUUCUCUUUGUUUCUUUAUGAUUUUAAUUAUCUUAUAAUCUUCACUCAAAUGCUACUGCAUGUAACUAGCUAAAUGGUUAUAUAAGCCACGAAGUGAUGAUGAAUAAGGGAUAUCAUUUAUCUUCAAUAUGAAUUUAGAUCUAGUGCUAAAUGUUUUAUAAAAUUAAGAUUUAAUUACAUAUUAUUUCUUAGUCAAUUUCUUAUUCAAUGAUUACCACUCAUUGAAUCCAAAUCCUUUGUAUAUAAUCUCUAACAAUUGUGUUGUUUCAUGGUUAAUUAAAGUUUACAAUUUAUUAAGUGAUCAUGAAUACUGAUAUUUAUGUACGAGAAUUUUUCAGUAUGGCGACAAAAUCAACGUUGACAGCGGUUACCAUCAUGAAAAAAUAUGUUAAAAUCAUAUGAAUUUUCGAUAGUUAAAAAUAAUUAAAAAAAUACGUUAAGACCAUAUAAUUUUAUCACUGUUUUUGACACCAUUCUAAAACACUCUGGAUAUAUUUUUUCAUUGAUCAAUAAGAUCACCUACCUACUAAUAUCUAUAAAAACAAUCAAACCGUUAUUUGCUUCCUCACACUUCUUAUUGUACUCUUCUUACGCAAAAAGUCUGAAUGCAUUGGUUUUGAGCCAUUUCCCUCUCCCCUGUGCCUUUAAAAAGAUAAUUUCUAUUUAUCCCCUGCCUUCUGUCUCAUGAAUCCCCACUUUCAUUCACUUGUUAGAGAAAUUUGCAAAUGGGUAUAGAAAAAUAUCAAGAGGGAGCAUAAAAUAAAUCACAUACCAUACAACAUAGAGAUACAACAAUUUAAUGUGAUUUAUCUUGAAUUGGGCUGCAUACUGAUAAUUAAUAAAUUAAUUUGAAAUUCUCUUAAAUAAAUAACAAAUAAUAUAAUAAAUUACAAAAUGUUCUUUAUUAUUUUAAUUGACUCCACUAAAUAUUUUCAUUAUCAAACAAUUUUUAAAAAAGAAAUUACGAAGAAUUACAUCUUGAAGACCUCAGGUCCAACUAUAUUAUUUGGAAGUUAAAAUUGAAGUUAAGAAGCAUUACUCUUGCUAGCAAUGGCACCAUUCAUGGAGGGAGUUUCUGUUCCAAUGACUUUAUUUGAAAGUUGAAAUUGAAGCCAAGCAUCUAAAAUUUUGAUUUUGAAAUCUCUGAAGACUAGAUAACAAGUUUCAUAAUCAUUAAUCUUUAAUCAUAUUGUCCUUUUUAGAAGAGUCCAAAAUUUUAUUUCAAAUUUCAUCUCAAAUAAUAUGGUAUAUAAUGUGUUAUUUAUUAAGUGGUUGAUUAUUUUUUAUAAAAUCUAAGUGGCUAAAUAGACCAAUCACAUUAUCCCCAAACGAGCAACAUAGAUUAAUUAAAUAAUAUUAUAAACUAUUAUUUACUUAAAGGCUUGGAAGGGGAUAAGAAAUCAUGUUUCACCCUCUAAAUACCAACCUUUCUCCCUAUUAUUAUUCAAAAUCCGGCGAUGACGGAUACAAACCGUAUUCACAACCAACCUAACUAUGUCCAAUAGACUAAUUAAUCUUAUCCUUAAGCUGACCCUGUGAAAUUAGUUACUAAUUUCUAUUUAACUUGAAUUGUUUUAUAUGAUAUUCUAUCAUACCUUUCGACGAAGCAUCCCCGCCAUAUCUUUUACUAAAGUUUAAAUUUAAUGGAGAAAAAAUGAGAAAUGGAUUCUUCAAAUCAAAUAUUUAUGACAUUGAACUUUUAAAUCCAAUAUAAAAACAAAUUCGUAAUCACCUAUUCUCCUCACAAGGCAGAGAAAAAAUUCAUGAGCUCUUGACUUGCUCCAUCUUUUCUCUAGAGUACAUAAAAUUCUAGCAAAGAUUUACAAAAUAGACAUGGUAAGAACUAUUGUCAUUUGCUCUACCAAAUUUCACUACAGAUAAAUGUGCCUUACUUGGAGCAAAAAUUCCAUUGAUCUCAACAAAAAUUUCCAAUGUUGCGAGAAGCAAUAAAUUUAUUUGAGAAAUCAUGCCAUUACCGAAUUAGCGAUGUAGCAGAUUUCACUUCCAUGGAAAGUCUAGCAAAUUUUUUUGUUGCCUGGUGCUCAAAUGCUAAUCGAUUCUCUUCACUGUCGUCCAGGCCAUUGGAAACGAAUCAAACGAUGGAUGGUGGGUGAGAUUGAUUCUCUUCACUACAAAAGCUGCUCUAAUGGAAACUUGAAUUGUCAAACAUUUUUAAUAAUAGCAGAUAUAUAUUUGACUUCUAAGUUGUGUGUUAAGUAUUUAGGAGUAUCUAUAACAAUCCAUUGGUUUUGAGUGAGAUGAAUAUAUUUUUUGUGCUAGUAUCAACAUGUACUUGUUUUGAAUAAAAGAGCUGUUAAUUUGUUAAUUAUAUUUCUUCUCUCUUGUUUCUUUUCUUGAUUUUUCCGAUUGAUUCUUAGAAUGUUAAAUAAAAAUAACAUUUCUAUUAUAUUAAUAUGGACGUAGGAAUUCUUAAAUAAUUUCUUUGUGAAACAUUAAUUUUUUUAAUUUAGUUUAUUACUUAUAAAGUUAGGCGUAAAUAAAGUAUAAAUUGAUUUUUUAGCCCUCUACCUAACUCAGAAUUUGAAUAUAAGAAAUUUCUCUCCUUGUAUAUAAUUCCAAUUUUAGCAAAAGUAUCAAAAGUCAAUUUUAUGACUUUUUUGUUUAAUUGAAAAAUUAUCCAUCGUCCACCUGUUUUUUCUAACUUUUUCAAAAAUACACAAUUCUUUUUUUUUUUACUGGAAUCCACCUGAAGUUACAUUUCUUUUCACUUUUCCACUUCUGUUUGGAGACCGUGAAGAAAAUUAAUGGAAUAUUGUGUAAAUAACUUUUUACCCUCAAAUGCAAAAAAUAAAUUAUCCACCGACCACCUGUUUUUUUCAUAUUUUUUCAAAAAUAUACAAUUCUUUAUUUAUUUAUUUAUUUUUGCUGAACUUCACUUGAAGUUAUAUUGUUUUACACCUUUCCACCACUGUGUCAUUGUGAAAUGACAAUUUUACCCUUAUGAUGUCAGCAAAGUUCUACCGGUGUUAUAACGAGAGUAGACCGAUGAAAAAAAUGUUAAUUUCAGGUGGAGUGCUACAAAAAAAAAAUUGUGUAUUUUUGAAAAAUGGUGAAAAACAGGUGGACGAUGGAUAAUUUCUCUUAUUUUUAAUUUCACAUCUUAUCAUAUAUAUAAACACUAAUUAAAUAACUUCAUUUUCCAGGGUUGGGUUUGAAGGGAAAUUGAUCAUGUGACCUCCUUGUUUUACUACAAGUGGCAAAACAACUCGACUUAUCCCCUAAGAGAUAUGAGAGUUAUUUUCAUUGAUUAAGAUUCUUAUGACAUUAAAAAAAAAUAACUAGUAUAUUUAUGGACAAGUCUUAAAUAUUUGUUUUACUUUACUAGAAUUUUAAGUGUUGUGAAAAUUUUAGUAAACAAGAUAUAUACAUGAACAGCAAAAGUAUCAAAAGUAAACAAAAUUUACCUAUGGAUUUUCUUCACUUUCUUUAUUAAUUACCCAUCUUUCCAUAUAUGUUCUUAUGUAACAAGUAACAAGAAUUAUUAUAAUUUGAUAUAUCUUAAUAGAUCUUUGUAACGACUCUCCCUGAAUUCCAGAGAGAAUCCGAGGGGGGUUCUCGAGAUGCAAUUUACAACUAAAGCAUGGCAGAAGCAUUCAAACUAAUAAACUUUAAAAUAUUUCUACAAUAUAUAAAAUUUUGUUCUUAAAUAGUGGAAAAAUGUAAAAUUUGCCAAACUAUUUAUCAUCCUUAAUUUAGAUUUUCUCCUCACUUAACAUGAAUCAAUCUUGAUCUAUGGAAAUUACAAUAAACUUUAAUGAGUACAAGAAUUAGUAAAGAAAGCAAUUUUUCAUAUACCAGAGUACAUACACACUUAUAUGUCAUACAAAUGCACGAUAUGCAAUGCUCUUUGAAAAACAUCGUAAAAGAAGUUCUUCAAAACUUGGGGUCACUUUCAAAACAUUUCCUUUCAAAUCACUUACUUGAACUAUCUUCAUUCAAUUACCACUUAUUAUAACUCUCACUUAACAUUCAUAGUUUCACAUAAUACUUAUUUUGGGCUUUACACAAGCAUCAUUCACCCACUUAUCUCUUAAAAUAAUAUAUAGAGUGCAUACUAAGAGAGUGGUGAAUUCAAACACCCAAGGAAAAAAGAAAAUUUACCUACUUUCUUUGAAAUCAGCGUGCUAAAACUCACUUUCGCAUUUUAAUAGAAAAUGAAAUGUAUAUGCCAAUACACCUUCUCACACACAUGCACGCACGCACUCAUGCACAAAUACGCACACAUGCAUGUACGCCCGUGCACACGCACACACACAUACGUACGCACACUCAAACACCGACACAUACACACACAAAUAGGCAUACGUGUGCAAAAACGCAUGCAAGUGUGCACGCGCGCACACCGAGAGACACACAAACAAACACACACGUCUAAGUGCACAUGCACUGUAACAUAUGUGAGAAAAAAAAGUGAGGCAGUUAAAAGGUAAAUAAAAAUAAAAGAAGAAUCGGAAACAAGGGAACACAUACACACGUGUGAGAGAGUGAGAAAAGCUGCAAACUGAGCUAAAACUAGACUCGACCUCGCGAACAUGACCCAACCGAAUCUCAUAAUUUCGACCACCCCACCAGCUAAGCUUAGUACCAAUCUGAAGCUUGAAGACCGGUCGUCGUAUCCCAGCCAUCAUCGUCGCCGAUUAAAGACCAUAACGCCGGCGUUUUAGCUCAAUAAGCGGCGGUAAAACCCACCCCUUCUCACCAUUGAUUUCACUUGUUUGGGGUGACACCACCGGUUGGGUUUUGUUCCCACAACUCCCUUUUGAUUUUUCCACUAUCCACAGCCACCGAAAGCCGUCGAUUUAUCAUGGAUCAGGCGUUGAAGUUACACGACUGUCGAGCUAGAUUCCAGCAUUGUCGCCACACAUGGGAGCUCAUCGCUGAUACCAUUGACUCAGCUCAACUAGAAAUAUCUAACCCAAGCUUUCCAAUCACCUUUGCUUGAAUUUCGGUCACCGUUGCCAGCGAGGGUAAUACGAUAAUUUCACAAUUUGAGGGCAAUUUGUAAUUUCUGACCAUGUAGAGAUUUUAGUAAUUUUUGAAAUUAAGGAUUGGUUGUAAUUAUGAUUCCAAGGGUAAUUCGAUGAUUUUCAAUUCCAGAUUAUUCUAAUGAUGUAUGGAUUCGAUGGUAUUUUAAUAAUUUUAUCGACACGAGAGUUGUAUAUUAUGGACAAAUGUUCAUUUCGAGUUUAUUGCAUAAAUUUAGUCCUAAUUUUGAUUUAUGGAAAUUAAUUAUGUCGUUUCAUUGAUUUAGGAGGAUCUGCGAGCAAGAACCAAUCUACGGACGUGGGCAAUAACCGAGUCUAAACAUCAUCACUGUAAGUGGAAUAUACAAAACCUAUAUUCUUUAUAAUUUAUUAUGAUUUUAAAAUAUGGUAAAGCAAGUUUAUGAGAUAAGUUUUAAAGGUUCUGAUUUAAUCAUUUUUUAAAAAAUGGAUUUUACCUAUGUAUUGGUGUUUAUUAUUAAAGAUGUGUAUGACUAAUAAUUUUAUUGCCGAUUUUGAAUAUAUGCACGAUAAUAUUUUAAAGAAAAGGAAUUAGAUUUAAAGUAUGUUAAAUGAAAAGAAAAUGAGAUUUCAGAUGUGAUUAUAUGUUUAUAUAUAUGUGUAUAAAAGGUUGUUUACCAAAUCAUUGGACAAUACCCUUCUUUGGUUACAGUGACACAAAUAUGAUGAGGCCUUUGGGACCCGUCCAAGUACACACAGAGGUUUUGGGCCGUGUGCUUAAGUGCUUUUGUCCUUUGGGGACUAGAUUAUGCAUGCAUAGAUAUGAUGAGAUAUAAAAUGGCACUUCCCUAUCUAUCCGUGUAGCUCUGGGCCAUGACAGUACCUAGGUAGUACAUUAUUGCUCGUCCAUUGAGGUCUGAAUACAACGAAAUUAUUCCCCUAGGUACUUGCUUAGUGAUGAUUUCAAAUUUGUGUAUUAUACAUGAUCUUGUGAUAUGCUUUUCCAUAGUUAUUACGUACGAUAUUAUAUAUGUUCUUCAAGGUUAGUAAUCUAAUUUAGAUGUUAAAUGAUUUAUUAGUGGUUUCUCGCAUACGAUUUGAUGAAACCGUGCUUGGAAAUGAUGUGAUUAUUUCUUUUAAAGUAAAAAUGUAUUUUAAAAAAUUAAUAUCCACUCACUGAGCUCACUGAGUUUUAUACUCAUCCCGUUUUAUUAUAUUCUCCCUCUCCCCCCAAUAGGAAGUUGCAGGUAUACCAAAUCGGCCCAGCGAGUGUAGAUAUAUUUUGAAUCUCAGUCAUGUGAUGGUGUUAGAAGAUAUAGAUGAUUUUUGUUAGGAUAUCCUGAUCAUCUAAUUUUUUUGGGAUUGUAUAAUUUUAUUGUAUUAUUCUUUUGGGAUUAAGAAUAAACUAAUAUAUAUUAAGAUUAGUUAUAAUAUAAUCUUUUGACACCCUGGAGAUAUCUUAUGUAAAAAUUUAGUAUUUUGGUUGAGAAUGAUAAUCAUUGGAGUUGGUUGUAUAUUGAAUUCUUUUGGAAGUGCUCUUUUUCUAUAGUUGCAUAUUAAGAGUGUUAUAUUUAUAAAGAAGAAUUUGCCGAAUUUUCAGCAGAAUUCUUACUAAUUAGAUUAUUAUCUAUCUAGUUUUAAUGAGAUUAGAUAGACUCGCCCUGAGGGUUCAGAGCAGGUCGUUUCAGGUAGUAUCAUAGCGUGAUUUUAGAUUUUGUAGACUUUACUAUAUUAGUAAGAAUAAGUUUUAUUGUUAUUAAAGUAAGAAUUGAUAUUUUGUAGGCACCAUCGUGCUUUGUUGUAGCAGUAGAUGGGGUCGUGGCUGUGGCCGUACUAGGCCAGUAUCUGGGUUGACUUCUGGUAGUGUACCUGUAGAGGAAAGUGAACGUAUAAAUGGGGGAGUAGUUGAAUCCUCCACGCAUGAAAGAGCACAACAGGCACCAGGGAAUGUUCCAAAUAUUGAACAAUCAUUUGAUAGGCUGGCUCAAAUCAUGACUACAGUGGUGCAAAAUCAGACUCAAGCACAUACCGAUAACGCAAACACUAUUGAAUGUGUGAGGAGUUUAGGGGCUAAAAGCUUUAAUGGUUCUAGAGAACCACCUGACAUUGAGUCAUAGUUUGUUAAGUUAGAGCGUAUUUUUGACGUGAUGAAGUGUUCAGAGCAUGACAUGCCAACCUUUGCCAUUUUCCUACUCGAGUAUAGAGCUUACCAUUGGUGGCAGAUAGCAGAGAAAUUAUAGUAAGGGCAUGUUGCGAUUACUUGGGCCAAAUUCUGUAAGGAAUUCUAUGAUCAUUAUUUCCCAACUGUGUAUCAAGAUAUUAAGCGAAGUGAAUUCCUUUAGUUGGUUUAUGGAUCCAUGAUAGUUGAGGAGUAUGAGAAGAAAUUUUUCGACCUCUCCAGAUUUACUACAUUUGUAGUCGGUGAUGAAAAAAAGAGAUGCAGAUUGUUUGAGGAGUGUCUCUAAUUUGAUAUUUGCACCACCGUGACUACAUCACGAUACACUGAGUUUGGAGAGGUGCUUGAGGUAGUCAGGAGAGUAGAACAUAAUAUUUCAGAGGGACGCAGAGUUCAAGCACUGAAGCAGAAGUGUAGUCAGAGCUAGGCAGAGGAUGGCUCUAAUAGCAAGUUACCUAAAAAAGGGGGUAUUCUUACAAUUUACUUUGAUAUCAUACAAAAGAGUCAGGGUAAAGGCUUUAGGGGAGACCCAAGACAGGAUGUCAGUUAUAGCUCAGUGCAGCCAUCAGUGAGGAGUAAUACCAGAAAUCAAGGACAAUACAACCGCAGUGGUGGAGGACAUCGUGAUGAUCGUCCUAAGAGUACCCAACAGACUUCUUGCUCUUCGUGUGGCAGGAACUAUCAGGGCCAGUGUCGCGUUGGAGACAAAGUUUAUUAUCUAUGUGGUCAGCCUAGACACAUCAGAAGAUUCUAGUCUACCUUGUCUUAAGGUGAAAAUUCUACAAGAGAGACAACCCUACGGUAUCGACCUCACUCUGGCCAGACUCAUGGUCACAGAGGAGUACAGACGGGAGGUUCUACGUCUACUUUGAGGAGUCUGACGAUUCCUCCAGGUCAGAGAGGUCAGCCUAGUCGACUUCAUACUUAGGCACGAGUUUUUGCUUUGACACAACAAGAGGCAUGUGCUGCAUCAGAAGUUAUUAUGGGUAUAUUAUCUAUCAUUGGUCGUGAGGCCUAUAUUCUUAUUGAUCCUGGAUCCAUACAUUCUUUGUUUCCUAUAGUUUUGUUAUACAUUUAGGGCGAGAUCCCGAGCCACUAGAUUGUGGCUUAGUUGUUCGCACACCUACUAGAGAGUCAUUACUUGAUGAGAGUGUAUAUUAUGAUUGUAUGAUUAUAAUAGGUAAGCAUGAAUUUGAGGCGAAUUUGAUGUCUUUAGACAUUCAUGACUUCGAUGCUAUUUUGUUCAUGGAUUGGCUUGAAUUUCAUUAUGCUACGGUGGAUUGUUUCAAAAAUGAAGUUGUGUUUAAAAAGUCAGGGAAUGCUAAGUUGAAAUUUUGUGGGAGCGUAGAGUUCUACCCUCAUGUGUCAUAUCUACCAUUAGUGCAAGACAGUUGUGAAGAAAAGGGUGUUCUGCUUAUUUAGCUCAUGUGAUAGACACAGAAGUUUGAGAAUUGAGAUCGAAGGAUAUUGCCAUAGUUAAAGAAUUUCAAGAUGUAUUUUCAAAUGAAUUUCCUGGGAUGCCACCUAACAGCAAGGUUGAGUUUUGUAUUGAUUUAGUCCUUAGAACAUCUCUUAUAUUUAUAGCAUCAUACAAGAUGGCUUCAGCAGAAUUGAAAGAACUGAAAGUUCAACUGCAAUAGUUGGUAGAUAAAAGGUUUAUUCGACCUACUGUAUCCCUAUGGGGAGCAUGCUUGGUAAUUUAGCCCAACCAUAUUUUUGGCCUGAUUGACCCGACCCUAAUUUUUAGGGCUUUGACCCGAAUUUUUGAGGUUAGGGUCGGGUUAGGAUCAAAAUUUUAAGGCCCGAACAAAUUUCGGGUCAGGAUCGGGCUUAUAGCUGACCCGACCCUAUUAUAAAAAAAAACUAAAUUGUGUGUUUUUAUGAGUUUUUAUGAAUUAUGGGUUUUUAUUUGUAUAAGACAUCAGUUUUUUAUUUGUAUAAGACAAUGUUUUUUUAAUGUUAGGUUGUGGAACUAAAUUGUGUUUUUAUUUGUAUAAGACAUGAGUUUUUUAUUUUUUAUUUUUUAUGUUGGGUUGUUAAAUUGAAUUGUGUAUGGCUAAAAUGGUUGUGGAAUUACAUUGUGUGUUUUUACUUUAAUUGUAUUGUGUGUUUUUAUGUUGCAUUUUAAAAUUGAUUUGUGUGUGGGGUUGAAAUAGCUGUGAAAAUUGGAAUUGAAUUGUGUUUGAAAUGGUUGAGGAAUUGCCAAAUUGGUUGAAAUAGUGGUGGGAAAUAGGAGGGUUAACUAUUUCGGUAGGGUCGGGUUGGGCCCAACCCAAUGUUGACCUGAUUCGAGUCCAACCCUAACUAAAUAGUGUUCGAGUUUCAAUUUUUUUUUUAUCGGGUCGGGUAGGGCUUGGCCAAGCCCGAGCCCGUCCCAACCUUUUGCCAUUCCUAAAUUGGACUUUAGGACUUUACGUCGACUACAAACAGUUGAUUAAAGUUACGGUAUGCAAUAAGUAUCCAUUUCCACACAUCGAUGACUUGUUUGAUCAACUCCAAAGGGCAAAAGUAUUUUCUAAGAUCAAUUUGUGCUCGAGGUAUCAUCAGCUUAGAAUUAAAGAGGCAGAUGUUCCUAAAACAGCAUUUAUAACCCAUUAUGGACACUAUGAAUUCUUAGUGAUGCCAUUCGGGUUGACAAAUACUCCAGCAGCUUUUAUGGAUCUCAUGUAUAGGGUAUUUCACUCAUAUCUAGAUCGGGUUAUAAUUGUAUUCAUUAAUGAUAUCUUGGUGUAUUCCUGAAGCGAUGAGGAGCAUACAGAGCAUUUGCAGACUGUUUUGCAAGCUUUAAGGCACAAACAAUUGUAUGUUAAGUUCAGUAAGUCUGAGUUCUAGUUGGACAGAGUAGUAUUUAUGGGCCAUGUGAUAUCAGCGGAAAGCAUUUAUGUUAAUCCUCAAAAGAUUAAAGCAGUUGUGAAAUAGGGGCGGCCUAAAAAUGUCAUAGAGGUUAAAAGUUUCUUGGGAUUGGCUGGCUACUAUCGUAGAUUUAUGGAAGGAUUCUCUAAGAUUGCUUCUCUGUUGACACGGUUAAUCAAAAAGAACUCGAACUUGUAAAUAUGUAAAAUAAAUACUAUCUAAAUAAAUCAAUAUACAACCAACUCCAAAGAUCAACAUUCUCAGCCAAGAUGUUGAAUUAUUACCCCAAGAUAUCUCUAGAAUAUCAAAUAUUAUAUUAUAACUAAUAUUAAUAUAGAAAUUUAUAUUUACAUUCGCUGGGUCGAUCUGAUGUACCUGAUAUUAAGGAUCUUAAAGAAGAAAUUAUGGAAGAAGCUUAUUGUUCAGCCUAUACAAUGCAUCCUGGUAGUACAAAGAUGUACCGCACCUUGAGGGAUCAUUAUGGCAUAGCAUAAAGAGAGAGAUAGCAAAAUUUAUUUCUCAAUGUUUAGUCUGUCAGCAUAUUAAGGCUGAACACCAGAGGUCUGUAAGGUAUUCUCAACCGCUUCUUAUUCCUGAAUGGAAAUGGGAGCACAUCACGAUGGAUCUAGUAGUGGGACUUCCAUGUACUCAGCAGGGACGUGAUAGUGUUUGGGUGGUUGUUGAUUGACUUACAAAAUCUGCUCACUUUUUACCAUUUAAAACCACUUAUUCGAUGAACAAGUUGGGGAGUAUUUAUGUGGCUGAGAUAGUUCAACUUCAUGGAGUACCUAUGUCCAUAGUCUCAUAUAGAGAUUCCCGGUUUACUUUUUAGUUCUGGACUAGCUUGCAAAAUGCUUUAGGCACCAAGUUGAACUUUACUACAGUUUUUCGUCCACAGAUUAAUGGUCAGCUAGAACGUACCAUUCAAACCCAGGAGGAUAUGUUGCGAGCUUAUGUUAUGGAGUUAAAAGGUAAUUGGGAUAAUUAUUUACCUUUGAUAUGUUAGCAUGUAUAUGUUCAUUAUAUUGAUUCUGAUGAUAACAAACUUUAAUGUUUUUUAUUAAAAUGUUGGAGUUUUCAGUAAUAAACAUUUUCUUAAAAGCCGUAUAAUAUUUCUAAAUGUGUUAAUGAAAUAUGGAUAAUCAUUAUUUUUAAAUCAGAAAAACAAUAUGUGUGAAAUUUUGUUAAAACUGUGAUUCUGGAAGUAAAGGGUGAACCGUUAACUUUGAAACAAUUAAUCGAUAAUUUUCAGAGAGGGAUAAUUCUUUAAACUUGAACCUGUUAGCAAAAACGAACAAGGCAAGUGUGUUGGGCAGGUUAUUGGAAUUAAACGGUGAACCGUUUAUAUCAAACGGCUAAUCGAUAAUUUUCAUAAUGAAAUUUUGUGCUAACCUUGAACCAUUUAAUAGAAACGAAUAAGCCUAUUUUGUUUCGCAGGCUACUGGAAAUAACUGGCGAACCGUUAACUUCAAACGGCUAACCGAUAAUUUUCAGAAUGUCAUUCUAUACUAAUCUUCAACCUUUUAGCAAGAAUGAAUAGUAGAAAUUUGUUUUGCAGGUCUCUAAAAAUUAACUGUGAACCGAUAGUGGCUAUCAAUCAACCAUUUAUUUGAAAUUCAACUGAACGGUCACUUAGACCAGUCAAAAUAGUAACCAAUAAUUGUUAAUAGUGAUCCGAUUUCAGGCAGAAAGUCAACAACGGCUAUUUUUAAACUCCAACUAUAAAUAAGCUCAAUCAAAUUCAAAUAAGGGUUGAUCACAACGUUAUCAUUGAGCUUCUAAUCGAGAAUACCACCUUCAUUAAACUUUAAAUUCAUUCUUGUUUCAUUUAUUCACAUAUUGGGUAUUGAUUUGUAAUCUUAUAUAUUGUGUGAGAGAAAAACAUAUUUGUAAUCUUUGUUUUGAGUGAUUGUAAGUGUUGGGAUACACUUGAGUUAAGAGAUUAAGGAUAAUCUCUUAGUGUAAAGGUUAAUUAACACCUUUGAAGUCAAUUGUAAGUGUUCUUAAAGCCUUGAAGGCUUAACUAGUGGAAUCCCCAAGCCCAAUGUGCUUAGAGACGUGGACGUAGACAAGGUUGGCUGAACCAUGUGAAAAUCUCUGUGUUUGAAUCUAUCUUCCCUUAUCUUUUUAUAUUUUGGAUGAUUUAUUUAUUAAUACUUUAAAUUCGUUUAAGAUUUGAAUCAAGUUUUGAUUAAGUUUUGGUAAUUUUUUAGAAACUCACUUCACCCCCCCUCCCUUUUGGGUUGCCUAGAUAUUAUUUCAUUUGGUAUCAAAGUAAGGUUCUCUUAUUAGGACUUAAAAAAUUCAUGGCAACCCAAAAUGAAUCUACCUUUAGGGAAGGACAAUCCACAACUAGGACUCUAUUCUUUGAUGGUAAUGACUAUCCAUAUUAGAAAACUAUGAUUAAAAUUUAUUUGAAAGCCUUAGAUUAUGAAAUUUGGGAAGUUGUUUGUGAUGGUUCAUUCAUGCCUAUUACUAAAAAUGAAGAAGGAGAUGAUAUUCCUAAACCGUCAAGUCAAUAGAGUGAGUUAGAAAAGAAAAAGAUAUCUUUAAACUCUAAGGCAAUGAAUGCUUUGUUUUGUGCUCUUGAUAAGAAAGAAUUUUAUAGAGUAUUUAGCUGUGAGAGUGCUCAAGAAAUAUGGAAUAAACUUGAGCUUGCCUAUGAAUGGACAAAUCAAGUUAAAGAGUCUGAAAUCAGUAGAUACACUCGUCAAUAUGAAUUAUUCCAAAUUGAACAAAAUGAAAGUAUGUAUUCUAUAUAUACACAAUUUACAGACAUAGUGAACACCCUAGGAGCUCUAAGAAAAACUUUUUCAAAUAACAAGAAAGUCAAGAAAAUCAUCGGAUCACUUCCAACAGAAUGAGACCUAAAAAGACAGCCAUUGAAGAAGCCAAAUAUUUAAAUACUUUACUUAUUGAUGAUUUAAUUGACUCUCUCAUUUCAUAUGAAGAAGAUUUGGCAGCAGAAAAAUAGCAUAAAAAGAAUAAGAAAAGCAUUGCUCUCAAAGAUUCAAAACAUGAGAGCGAUGAGGAAAGCGAGCUGGAUAAUGAAGAAAUGUUAUGCUGACUAGGAGAUUCAGAAAAUUCUACAAGAAAACUAGUGAACGGAGAAAGUUUAGAAACUUUAAGAACCAAAAAGAGAAGAAUGAGUCAAUCACUUGCUAUGAAUGCAAAAAGCCUGGACACAUACGGUCUGAAUGUCCUCUUCUCAACAAGCUCAAGAAGAAAGCAAUGGUAGCCACAUAGGAUGAUAGCGAUCAGGAAAUAAGUGAUGAUAAAGAGCACCAAGAAAUGACAAAUCUAGCUCUCAUGGCAAUCGAGGAAGAAUCAUUUGAUGAACUUGAUGAGGUAACUGAACUUCCAACAUAUGAUGAGUUACAUAAUGCUUUUAAAGAAUUUCAUGAUGAGUGAAUAAAAAUUGGUAAAAAGAAUGCAUGCUAGAAAAAGAAAAUGCUAGAACUUACAAAUGAAAAGGAUGCCCUAGAAAAAUGAAAUAAUUCAUUGAAUGAGAAGAUAAAUGAAUUAAAAUUAUACAAUAAAAUGUUGUAUAAUAAGAUUGCAUCUUUUAAAGGUAAACAAACUACCUCAUAUGAGCAUGAAAAAUCACAUGUUGAUGAAUUGGUAAAAGAGAAUGAAGUGCUUAAGAAGAAGAAUAAUGAGCUAAAUUAAUUGUGAUAAAAUUCACAAAUGGGUAAAAGAUGUUGGAUAACUUACUUAAUUCACAAAAAUAUGUGUUUGACAAAGAAGGCAUUGGCUAUAAGCCAAAUUUGAAACAGAAGUAUUAUAAGAAUUAUUUUGUAAAGAGUACCUCCAUUAACAAUCAAGUUGUAUGCCAUUAUUGUAAUAAAAAUGGUCACAAGAAAAAUAGAUGUACAGUAAAAAUAAAUGCAUAUUAUGGUGUGAAAUGUGUUCGAGGUCCAAAAAGAACCAUUACUAACACUUAAAGACCCAAGAAUAUUUUUGGUACCUAAAACUUAGAAACGUUUUCUACAAGGACAAAAGAAAAGGAAAAAAUAAGUGGUAUUUGGAUAGUGGAUCUUCAAGACACAUGACAAGGAAUUACUCUUGGUUUUCAAGUUUUACCAAGAUUGAAAAUGGUGGAAACGUAUCCUUUGGAGAUAACUUAAAAAGAAAAAUCAUUGGUAUCGAAAAUGUCGGUAAUGUAUCCUCUACUCUUAUUGAAAAUGUGUGUUUGGUUGAAAACUUGAAACGUAGUUUACUUACCAUUAAUCUAUUGUGUGAUAAGGGUUAUAAAGUUGUUUUUUAUAAGAAUAGAUGUGUUAUUGAGAGUGCAUGUGAUGGCAAGAUAUUUUUAUAGGAAAUAGAUAUGUUAAUGUUUAUACCAUUGAUAUAGAUUGUGCAUCUACACAUGAUAAAUGUUUUUCCACAUUGCAUGAUGAUGGUUGGUUAUGGCAUAAAAGACUAAGACAUGCAAGCAUGGAUUUAAUUUCAAAGAUUUCCAAAAACGAUUUAGUUAAAGAUCUUCCAAAAAUCAGAUUCCAAAAAAAUAGAAUUUGUGAAGAAUGUCAAUUUGGUAAACAAAUCAAAAUAUUUUUUAAAAGCAAAAAUCAUAUUUCUACUUUAAAAUCUCUUCAACUACUUCACAGACUUAUUUGGACCUUCAAGGUAUGCUAGCUUGAGUGGGAAGUAUUAUGAUUUUGUAAUUGUGGAUGAUUUUUAAAGAUACACAUGGAUAUUAUUCUUAUCUAAUAAAGAUGAUACUUUUAAAGUGUUUUGUAAGAAAGUUCAAAAUGAAAACGGAUAUGGUAUUGCAUGCAUUAGAAGUGAUCAUGCAUGAGAGCUUGAAAAUCAUGCCUUUGAAACCUUUUGCAACAAUUUAGGCAUUGUGCAUCAAUUUUCAAAGUUUUAAAAUCGUGUAUUGAUUAGAUUUCAUCUCAAUAAAACUCCAUAUGAGCUUUAGAAAUAUAGAAAACCCAACAUUGGUUAUUUCAAAGUUUUUGGAUGCAAAACACUAAUGAUAAUCUUGGCAAAUUUCAUCCAAAAUCCAAUGUUAGCACCUUUCUUAGGUAUUCAAACUCAAGCAAAGCUUAUGGAGUUUAUAACCAAAGAACUCUAGUUGUGGAAGAAUCUAUACAUGUUACGUUUGAUGAAUCUAACCCCUCAUUUGCAGAGAAAGUUGUUGUUGAUAAUGAUGCAGAUAAACAGAAGAGUUAUGUAGACAAGCGUAAAUGGGAACUUGAAUUCGAAGUUAGAGAUAAAGUUUUCAUACGGAUAUCUCCUUGGAAAUGAGUACUUCGAUUUGGGAAGUGGGGGAAGCUAAGCCCACAUUACACUGGGCCAUAUGAGAUCUUAAAGUGCAUUGGUCCGUUACCUUAUCGAUUAGCUCUACUGCCCGAUUUAUCUAGAAUCCAUGAUGUGUUUCAUGUUUCAAUGCUCUGAAAGUACAUAUAUGACCCAAGCAUAUGUUAUCGAAGUAACCUAUUCACUUAAAAGAAAACUUGACUUACAAAGAGGAACCAGUGAAAAUACUGGAAGGGAAAUACUAAGUUCUACGCUCUAAGACCCUUCCGCUAGUAAAAAUAUUGUGGAGGAAUCACAUAAAGGAAGAGGCUACCUGGGAACAUAAGGACUUAAUGCAAGCUCAGUAUCCCUAUCUUUUUUUUAUCAAGUACGUAAAUUUCGAGGACAAAAUUUUUAUAAGUGGGGAGGAUUGUAACAUAUGUUAAAAAAAAAUGAGGCGGUUAAAAGGUAAAUAAAAAUAAAAGAAGAAGCUUGAAAUAGGGGAACACAUACACAUAUGAGAGAGUGAGAAAAGUUGUAAAAUGACCCAAAACCCGACCCCACCCUUAAAAGUGACCUGGUCGAAUCUCGUGAUUUCGACUACUCCAACAGCCAAGCUUAAUACCAAUCUAAAGCUUGAACACCAAUAGUUGUAUCCCAGCCAUCACAAUCACCGAUUAAUGGCCAGAACGUCGAUGUUUUAGCUCAAUAAGCGGCAGUAAAACCCACCUCAUCUCACUGUCGAUUCUGCCAGUUUGGGGUGACACCACCAGCUAGGUUUUGUUCCCCAUAACUCCUUUUUUAUUUUCUGACCAUCCACAACUACCGAAAGUUUUCGAUUUACCAUGGUUCAAAUAUUAAAGUUACAUAGUUUUCGAACUAGAUUCCGGCACCAUCAUGGCACGUGCGAGCUCACCGUCAAUACAAUUGAACUCAGCUCGGCCAAAAGUGUCUAACUCGAGCUUCUCGAUUACUGUUGACCGACGAGGGCAAUUCGAUAAUUUAAUAAUUUGAAGGCAAUUUGUAAUUUUUGACCCUGUAAAGAUUUUAGUAAUUUCUAAAAUUGAGGAUUUGUUGUAAUUACGAUUUCGAGGGUAAUUCGGUGAUUUUUUAUUUUAGAUUAUUUUAAUGAUGUACGGAUUGAAGGGUAUUUUAAUAAUUUUAUCAACACGGGAGUUGUAUAUUAUGGACAGAUGUUCGUUUUGAGUUUAUUGCAUAAAUUCAUAUGUAAUUCUGAUUUACAAAAAUUAAUUAUGUCGUUUCCUUCAUACAGGCCCCCAUUUGUUAACGAUAAUCGUUUCGUUAAAUUAGUCAAAGGUUAAUAUCAUAAUUUCAUAUUAGUAAAAAAUUAAUUGACCAAAAACCCAUACACACACUUCACACACACGAACAAAACACACACACAUAGCUCCUCUCAGAUCUUGACAAAUCCUUAACGUACACACUCACACGGUUUGCCGAAAACUACUGCUGGGGCUGCCGCAAGCUGCUGGAUCUGCUCGCGCUACCGCAAGCUGCUGGAUCUGCUCACGCUUCCAUUGCGUCGAUCAAGAUCGCGUCUGGCUGCUGCUCGUGCGUCAUUGUUGCUCGUUCAUGUGGCUGCUGCUCGUGCAUCUUCAAUCCACGGUUCACUUCUCUUAAACUAGCUUUUCUCUCUUUAAUUUUCAUUUUUUUACUAAAUUAACUUUAUUUCUUUUUAUUAUGAUUCAAAAUCCACUAGAAUUUUGGGGAAUUUUUGGACAAUUAAUUAAUUUUCGAGAAUUUUAGACAAUUAAUUUCACCGAAUAAGUAGGCUUACCAUGGGCAUAACGCCAGAAGAUGACAAUGAUAGCUUUUCAGUUACUCAUUAUUCACCCUUCGGAAUGGCUUAAUUAUUUCUUUUUAUUAUCAUUCAAAAAGUUUCUGACCUGUUUGAUGCAUAUGUGAUGUAUAUGCGAGAAUAUAAAUAAAUCAUGAUGAGAUUUUUUGGUUUUUUUUUUUGGUUUAUGGUUGUUUGAUGAAUAUAGUUCUUAAUUUGUCUAGCUUAUUGGUGAUUUAUUGUGCUUAAUUUAUCAAUGAAAAGCAUGUGCUGGUUUGCAGAUGGUAACAAAUAAUGGCCUGCUUUCAGAUAAUACUACAAUGACAUCCUAACAAGAAUCAUUUCAAGCUGAGGUUGACUUCCAUAACACAGAUCCGAAGUCUCAACAGGAUUUUUUUUUUCAAAAAAUAUUAUGGUUAUCGUUGUAAUGUUUACCAAUGCCAAUUUGAUACAAUAUUAUGAUAGAAUGAUUAUUUGUUAUGUUUAUUGGUGGUUUUUAUGUCUAUUCGAUAUGUUAUUUAGUACAAUUAAGAUUUUGUUAACCACGUUUUUUAAUUUUUUUUAUUAUACAAGUUUAAAUGAUUGACAUAUGGAGAAUUGUUAUUCUUAUGGCAUUAAUAACUAAUUUUAUUUAUUUUUAUUCAUGAGUAAUGGAUUAUAAUUAUUUGGCUUGAAGAGAAUUUGAUAAAAAAUUUAUUAAUAAUUUUGUUAUAUGGACAAAAAUUUAAAUAGAGAAAUUGGGUAAUGAGGGUAUAUUCAUAAUUUUAUUAAUAAUAUAUGGACAAAAUGGACAAUUUAUAUGUUAGAAGGAUAUAACGGUAAUUACAUAUUAAAAUUAUCAUUUCUGUUAAAACUAACGGUUUCUGUUAACAAAUGAGGGUAUGUAUGUCUUUUUUGAAACAUUAGGGGGUUUUGUGUCCCUUUACUAAAAUUUGAGGGUGUCUGAGUCCUUUUCCCUAUUUAUAAAGGAGAUUUUACCAAAUUUUCAUAAGAAUUCUUACUAAUUAGAUUAUUAUCUAUUCAGUUUUGAUGCGAUUAGAUAGACUUGCCCUGAGGGUUUGGGUCGGGUCGUUUCACGCAUGCACGCAAGCGCGUGCGCACACUCACACCGGCCCAAAUACACAAUCACACUAAUCACCUAGCACAUCAUAUAUAUAUUUAUGUCUAUGUAUGUAACUCCAAUUUCAACAAAAAGUUAAUUUCAUAUUCCAUCCUAUAUACAUGAAACAUCAAUUAAAUAAUUUUAUUUCCCAGGGUUGGUGGGAAAGGGAAAUGAUCAUGUGACCUCUUGUUUUCACUAGAAGGGGACAAACCAAUUCGACUUAUUCCGUCAGAGAUACAAAAAGUUACUUCUUGCUAGUUAAUAUUCUGGUGACAUUAAAAUAAAAUAGUAACUAGCAUAUUUAUGGGCAAAUCCAAAAUAUUUAUGUUACUUUCAUAAAAUAUUUAAGUGUUGUACAAAUUUUAUUUUACUCAUUAGUUUCCCUUCUUUCUAUAUAUUAAAUACAUGUUAUUAUAUAACAAGUAACAAGAAUUAGUAGAAUUUGAUAUAUCUCAAUCUAAUCUAUUGACCCAGAGAGUGAGAAUUUUUUUAAUAUUGCCUAUCGUUGAAAUCACCUCCAUUUGUUGACUUUGUAUAUUUUCUAAGGGAUUCGCUUUGAUUUUCUUUAUUAUUUUGGAGAUCCAAUCCUUCAAGAAGCAAUUAUGCAAGACACUUAUAAAUAUGAUGAAUUUGGUUGCACACUAUAUGCCACUCAACACUCACUUUGGUGAAUAAUUUCUCAAAGCCAGCAAAAGAUGGCAGUGACUCUCAAAAAAGUUUUCCCAAUAAUUGCUUCCAAAUUAAUCCCCAAUGAUAUCCAGAUCUUCACAAAACGAAGUAUCAAAAGUGCCCCUUCUGACGUUCAAAUCAUUUCCACCGAAAGAGUCAAACCUUCACUUUCAACGGGGAAACAUCUUAGAACCUAUAAACUUUCAUGGAUUGAUCAAAUGAAUACUGAUGUUUACAUUCCCCUAGUUUUCUUCUACUCGACCAGUUGCAAGAACCAAGAUUUAAAAAAAAAGUCCGAUUUAUUGAAGCAAUCUCUCGCAAAAACAUUAACCCACUACUACCCUUUUGCUGGAAGAUUGAUUGAUGGCUUUUCGGUCGACUGUAAUGAUCGUGGGGCUGCAUUUAUUGAAGCUAAUGUUGGCUGUGAUAUAUCAAAGUUUUCAAAGUUUCUUCAACCACCACUGCUACAACAAUUAAUCCCACCUAGUCCCCAAUUGAUAAUGAUAAUAUUUGCAAUAACAAUAUCGUUUUAGAUUGCACCUCUCUGUUUCCGCCAGUAAAGUUCCCACAGCAGUAUCAGAUCCCAAGCCCACAAUCUUCACGCAAGAUUGUGUUCAAAAGAUUGUUGUUCGAUGGCAAGAAGAUAGCAACUCUAAAGGAGAAGGUGAAUAAAGAAUUAAUGGCUGAUAACAAUUCUGACGAUGACGUGUUACAAGCAACGCGUUUCGGGAUUGUUUCAGCACUCAUUUGGGGUGCCUGCAUCGCUGUAGCGCGUGAAAGAAAGAGGGCAAUUGAUAACAAGUUGCACUCUCAUUCAAUGUAUUAUGCUAUGAAUUUGCGUAACAAGAUCAAUCCACCAGUGUUUCCACGGUGCAUGGGUAACAUUACUCGACUUGUAAGGGCAGAAUGGUCACUAGCCGAGGAUGAUGCCAUAGAGGUAACAAGUUUAGUAAGAGAAGUGGUAAAAGCCAAGAGAAUGGGAAGAGAGGUGAUGAAUAAUGAUGAGUAUUUUGGUUUCAUUAAGGAUAUGUAUGAAGUAGGGGAAGAUUCAAGGUCAUUUCUUUUGACUAGUAUGGUUGGAUUGCCUUGUGAUGAAGUUGAUUUUGGUUGGGGGAAGCCUGUUUGGUUUAGUCUGGGGCCCAUAUUGUUACCUGAUCUUGCUAUUUUAUCAAGCGCAAGUGACAGUGAAGGAAUAGAAGCAUUGGUGGUAAUGUUUAAGGAGGACAUGGAAAAAUUUGAACAAGAAACUAGCAUCAUGGCUUAUGCUUCCCCUAACCCUAGCAUAUUUAUAAUGAAGUAAGGAGUUAAUUUUAUUUAUCUUGCUUUGAAUAAAAGAAUGAAUUAUAUUCUAGUUAGAAUAGUAAUAUGCUUACAAAGUUGAGAUUAUUGUACAAUAACUGUAUCUCAUUAUUUUCAUGCUUCUCUUUAAAUAAAAUCAUGUUAUGUAUGCAUACUUCGAUCAGCGAAAAACCAGCAAUCAUAUGAUGUGUGGGGAAUUAUUGUAUCAUAUUUUCUGAAGGCAGAAUUAUUUUAUCAUAUUUUGGCAUCAAAUUUUAUUAUAGGAUCCUCGUAAGUAGUUAUAUUGUGUGUGUGUGUGUCUAUAUAUAUAUAUAUAUACAUGCACACAUAUAUACAUACAUACAUACAUACAUAUAUAUAUAUAUAUGAAUCAACUCUUAAUAUGCGACAUAAAAUGUCUGUGAUGCCAUGUUGUGAAUGUUGGGGAAGGAUUUCUUAUUAGGGUUUGGAGAUUUGAAUACAAUUUUGAAAAAAAAAUUAGACAGAGGAGACAAAAGGAUAGGAUGAAAAGAAAUUGAAGCUCCAUCUAGAAGAGGAGAAAUUGGGCCAUCGACUUCAAAACUUACUGUGAUACAUGUAAGCUAAAUUAAUUUUAUGGAUCUCUUAUCAAAUAUAUGGUAUUGAGACACACAAUAGACUUUUAUGCAUACGGAAUAUCUAAAGUUCUAAACUCUCAAAAUUCAUUCAAAUGUACAAAUAAGAGAGUGGACUGAGUAUGAUUUGGUAAAUAGCCUUUUCUUACUAUUAUAGGCUUUGAUUAUACUAACCCCCGAAAAUUUAGCUUAAUAUAUAUAUAUAUAUAUAUUAUAUUUCUUAUAGAAAUCUAAAGUCAGUCAUUGGCAAACAAAUCGUAGUAUUGAAUCAAAUUUGCAUGAUAGAUUAAUAAUAUCAAAAUAUAUUUUCUAGAAAUAAAAUAAUUUUCAGAAAAAUUAUUUAUAAUACUUGUAUAGGGAUAGAUUCGGAUGGUUGCUUAUGAAAUAAUUCACUUUUGCUGGCAUUGACGAGAAAAUCAACUGGACAAAUGCAAAAGUUAAGGGUUUGAUAAAAUAAGCUACUGAAGUGAUGUAAGUUUGAAGAGUAGAGUGCAUACGUUUAAUGAUUAUUAUAAACACAUGAUGUCGUCCCACCAGUUUAAUACAGUUUUUCAAUCCCACCUACUCCUUGAAAAGUGGUACAUUUUAUAAUUACAAUAUGAAAAGUGGUACAGUUUUUCAAUCCCAACUACGCCCAUGAAAACAAAUAUAAUAACACAUAUACAGCAAUAAGAAAGUAGCUUCAUAAUUAAGCUUCCGUUUGAUUGAAAGGAUGUCAACGUUAUUUUAUCUGAUUCUAUGAUAAAUAAACAUAUGGUAACAAUUGAUGGUUAAUAAUAAAAAGAAAAACGAGUUUACAUUGUUGGGAUCAUCUAAGGUCAUGCACAAGAUCUUAUUACCAGAAAUGAUCGAUUUGUCCAUCAUUUUCCAUUCUGAUUGGCUUUUGAAAAGUCCAGGGGUUUCGUAAUAUUAUCUUUCAAUUUUAGUUUAAAAAGUCCUAGUGUUUCAUAUGAUAACCUUUCAAUUUUAAUUUGAAAUUUACCAAUUAAGCUAUCAAAAUAAGUCAAUUAAAAAAGUGCCAACAUUUUGAAGGUAUCUUCAAAUCGAGCUUUUCUGGUUGAAAGUCUUAUGGUUCAAGCAGCACUUUCAUUGUGUUGUGUAUAUUAAAAAAUUUCAAAGUGAGAAAGAUAAUUAGAUAUGUUUCUCACAUUUAUUACUUGGGUCCCUUUUUUUAAUUAUUCAUUACCAUUCUAUGUUAAAAAUGUAAGGGAAAAGGACAAAAACAUCCUCUUAGUUUGACGAAAUAGUCAUGGAGACUCUCUUAUUUUCAUAAAUAAUUAUACAAAUAAAUAAUUAUAUAAACCCAUUUUCAAGAUAGACAUACUCUUUCUUAUGUUUAGAAAUUGUCAUACAAAGUACAAACCGUUUUAAGACACAUAAACUCUUUUUUUUUUUUUUUUUGGUUCAAAAAUAAAAACAAAUUCACAUAGACCCUUAAGAUUUGUCAAGAAAAAAAAGUUUGUGUCCCAAAAGUUACCUAUGUGACCAUUUUUGAAAAUAUAGAGGUCUCUAUGACCAUUUCACUAAAUUAUAGGAGUGCCGAUAUCAUUUUUUCAAAAUGUAAUAAACAAGAAAAAUAUUUAUUUUUAUUCUUUUGGUAUUAUAACCUUAUUAUUACUCAAAUAUAUAAUAUUCAUUGUAUCAAAUUUUUGGUCAUUUUUUAUUGUAACACUAGUGUCACUGAAAUAUAAUAUGUAAGUCGAUGAUGUUGCUUGAUAUAUAGAAGUUAACUAGCAUUGACUUUAAUUCAUUGAUCCCCAGUUGCAAGUUGAUGGAUUUGUCCAUGUUACCAACUCAUAUAUUUUAAGUGAGAAUUUACAAAUUUAAAAGUUUAAAAGUUUAAAAGUUGCAUAUGUAAUUAAAAAACACUAGGGUUAUAUUCAAAAGUAAUAUAAUAAAGAGUUCCAAACUUACAAUCAUAUAUGAUGAUAAUUUAUUCGCAAUUAAAUAUGCAUGUACAAUGGUUGUCUUAAGACUGAGAAGCAAGAGUUUAGCCUAAUAGUACAUUGCCUUGUUAGAUAGAAUAAGGCUAUUGCUUGAGAGACUGAAGUAACAAGCAUUGACUUAAAUUCUAGUCAUAAUUCCUAACUAUGUGCGUAGCAUUACUCAUAAUUAUCAAUUUCAUUACUAUAUUUAUUCCAUCAAUUGAUUAUUCCAGGCAAACAAAUACAGCAGUAUUAUUAUAUUUAACUAAAUAAUAAUUUGCAUUGAUUAUAAGUUAAAAUUACUUAAAAAUAAUAUUAUUAUAUUAAUAGAGAAUUAAUAAAAAUUACUAUAUGCUAUCUUUAUUUAAUAAUAUAAUAUUAUUAUAUUUAAUAUUAAUAAUUAAUAAAAAUAAAUAGUUUAUUCUAAGAAAAUAUUAAUUUUGUACUAAAUAAUAUUAUAUUAAUAAAUAAUAAAUUUAAUAUAAUUAUAUUAAAUAAAAUAAAAUAAUGUUUCAUUUUAUAUUUACUCUUAUUUUUAUUACUGCUGUUAUAAUUAUAUUUAAUAAAUAUUUAAAUAAUAUUAUUAUAUUUAACUAAAUAAUAAUUGGGUUUGAUUCUAAGUUUAAUUUACUUAAAAAUAAUAUUAUUAUAUUAAUAGAGAAUUAAUAAUAUUAUUAUAUACCAUCUUUAUUUGAAAAUAUAAUAUUAUUAUAUUUAUUUAAAAAUAAUAGUAUUAUAUUUAUUUAAUAUUAAUAAUUAAUACUAAUAAAUAGUUUAUUCUAAGAAAAUAUUAAUUUUGUACUAAAUAAUAUUAUAUUAAUAAAUNNNNNNNNNNNNNNNNNNNNNNNNNNNNNNNNNNNNNNNNNNNNNNNNNNNNNNNNNNNNNNNNNNNNNNNNNNNNNNNNNNNNNNNNNNNNNNNNNNNNNNNNNNNNNNNNNNNNNNNNNNNNNNNNNNNNNNNNNNNNNNNNNNNNNNNNNNNNNNNNNNNNNNNNNNNNNNNNNNNNNNNNNNNNNNNNNNNNNNNNNNNNNNNNNNNNNNNNNNNNNNNNNNNNNNNNNNNNNNNNNNNNNNNNNNNNNNNNNNNNNNNNNNNNNNNNNNNNNNNNNNNNNNNNNNNNNNNNNNNNNNNNNNNNNNNNNNNNNNNNNNNNNNNNNNNNNNNNNNNNNNNNNNNNNNNNNNNNNNNNNNNNNNNNNNNNNNNNNNNNNNNNNNNNNNNNNNNNNNNNNNNNNNNNNNNNNNNNNNNNNNNNNNNNNNNNNNNNNNNNNNNNNNNNNNNNNNNNNNNNNNNNNNNNNNNNNNNNNNNNNNNNNNNNNNNNNNNNNNNNNNNNNNNNNNNNNNNNNNNNNNNNNNNNNNNNNNNNNNNNNNNNNNNNNNNNNNNNNNNNNNNNNNNNNNNNNNNNNNNNNNNNNNNNNNNNNNNNNNNNNNNNNNNNNNNNNNNNNNNNNNNNNNNNNNNNNNNNNNNNNNNNNNNNNNNNNNNNNNNNNNNNNNNNNNNNNNNNNNNNNNNNNNNNNNNNNNNNNNNNNNNNNNNNNNNNNNNNNNNNNNNNNNNNNNNNNNNNNNNNNNNNNNNNNNNNNNNNNNNNNNNNNNNNNNNNNNNNNNNNNNNNNNNNNNNNNNNNNNNNNNNNACAAAAAUAGGGGCAACUUGAAGUUUUCAAAGUAAACGAGUGGUUUGAAAUAGUUAAUUCAUGAGAGGGAUAAUCCAAAAUUUACCCAUUUGACAAAUACAUUUAUAUUCAGGUGGUUAUAUUCCACUCCACAAAUUUUAUAAAUCCACCCCAUUUUCAAAACUUAUUACAACAAGUUUACAUUAGUUUUAAAAAAAUUCAAAUUAAGAGAAAUUUUUAGAAAAAAUUAGUCAAUUAAAUCCAUAUUCAUUUUUUACACUAUUUUUUUAUUAUAUUUGAUCAAUAAGGUUACUUUAACAUAAAUUAAUAUGACUCUUUUACCCUCAUCAUAAAGUUUCAAAAUAUCUAAAAAUUUACUUUAGCUUGAAUAAUUUUUUUCUGCUGUACGGCCAAGGCGGAUGUACGGUACAGCAGAAAUAUAUUUUUUAUUAAUUUUGUAAUUAAAAACUAUAAUUCUUUAAAAAAGGAUAAAAUUGUAGUUUGAAACUAUUUACUCUCAAUCCAAGACAAAGUAAAUACAUAAAUUGGAUUCUGAUCUCCAUUUCAUGCUUCCAUUCCAGUGCAAGUAAACAAGCUACGUCUACUCCCACUCUACACUCCUAAUCCUAAAAUUCUCAUUUCUCAUGAUUUCCACUCGAAUCCAAAAAGUAAACGCUAUCUUAUAGUAGUGGACAUAGGGUGCUUGUUUUUAUCUCUUUACAGCCAAGGCCAUAAAUGAAAUUCUCACUAAAAAAAAUCAGGUACAGAUUGAAGAUAAGCAUUUAAAAUUCAGAUUUUGAAAUAUCUGAAGAUUAGAUAUCAAAAUUAAUUACCAUUAAUGGCAACAUAUUACUAAGCAGUAAUUCUAUGCAAACAACACCAUCUUAUUUUUUUUAUGCCAUGGGAUACAGCAAUGAACUUUGGCCAAAUGUACCAAUCACAUAAUUCCUAAUGAACAAUGUAAAUUAAUCAAAUAAUAUAAUAAAAUACUAUUUACUUAUAGGUUUGGAUGGGAUGAGAAAUCCCACCCUCUAAAUACCAAUAUUUUUUCAAUUACUACUCAAACUUUGUGACUGUGUAUUCACAACCAUCGAGCUAUGUUCAGGAGGUUGAUUAGUCUUAUCCUUAAGCUUACCUUGUAAAAUUAAAUACUCAUUUUUAUUUUACUUGAAUCGGUUUGUAUGGUGUUCUAUCAUACCUUAUGACGGAGCAUCGCCGCCAUAUCUUUCUCUUAAGUUUAAAUUUAAUGGAGAAAAUCUGAGAAAUGGAUUCUUCAAAUCACAUAUUUAUGGCACUAGACUCUGAUAUUCAAUAUAAAAUCAAAUUCGCUGUCUCCUCUUCUUCUCAGAAAGCAAAGGAAAAAAAAAAGGCUCUUGAGCUCUUUACUUGCUCCAACUUUUCUCUAGAGUACACGAAAUUCUGGCAAAAAAUUUACAAAAUAGAUAUGGAAUUACAACUAUUUUUUCCUCUACCAAAUUUUACAUUUAUUAGUAAAUAUAAGUGUGCCUUACUUAGAGCAAAAAAUACAUUGAUGUUUAAAAAACAUUCCUCCGUUGAGAAAAGCAAUCAUUUAUUUGAGAACUCAUAAUACAAUCGACGGAUCAGCGAUUUACCAGACUUAUAAGUUACAAUCUAUGCCAUGGAAUGCCUCUAUGGGGUUGAUGCUUGGUUUCUUCCAGCACGUCUUCUUUCAUGUACUGACUUUUGUUUAAGCCCCUGUAGCUCACAACUGAAGCUUUGUAGGACCAUGGUGCUCAAAUGCUAAACGAUUUUCUUCACUGAUGACCAUGCCCUAGGAAACGAUGGAUGGUUGAUGAGAUUCCAAUGCUUUUAUUACAAAAGCUGCUCUAAUGGAAGCUUGCAUUGUCAUUAGACUUUUAAAUUGUGAGUUGAGUAUUUGUUAGCACUUAACAAUCCCUGGGUUGCUAUUGAGUUGUAUAUUCUGUAUGCCACUGUCAACGAGUACUUGUUUUGAAUAAAAGAGUUGUUAAUUUGUAAAUUAUAAUUCUUCUCUCUUGUUCAAUUAUGAUUUUUUCUUUUAUAAUUUUGCUCACCUUCUACCUUUUAAAUAAAAUGAAAAAAAAUUAACAUUUCACAAAGAAAUUAUUCAAGAAUUCCCACUUCAUAUAAUAUCAAGGAAACUUUAUAUUUAAUCAACAUUGUAAGAAAUUGAUUUUUUAAUCCUUUAUCUCACUAUAAUUUAUUCAUGAUUGGUCAGUCAAAGAAAAUACUAAAACAAAAAUAUAAUGAUAAAAACAAAAAGAGUUAAUCGGUUAUUUAUUAAAUUAAGACCAAACUCUUUGUAAAUCGUUAAUUUUGAAUUAUCCCCUCAUAAAUUGACUAUUUUUAAAUCACCUCUUUCUUUUAAAAACCUCAAUUUAUUUCCAUUUUAUUUUGUUAAGAAAACCAAAAAUCAUCGAUUGAACCCUCUUUUUCUUUAUCUUUUGGACAAAAAUAGGGGCAACUUGAAGUUUUCAAAGUAAACGAGUGGUUUGAAAUAGUUAAUUCAUGAGAGGGAUAAUCCAAAAUUUACCCAUUUGACAAAUACAUUUAUAUUCAGGUGGUUAUAUUCCACUCCACAAAUUUUAUAAAUCCACCCCAUUUUCAAAACUUAUUACAACAAGUUUACAUUAGUUUUAAAAAAAUUCAAAUUAAGAGAAAUUUUUAGAAAAAAUUAGUCAAUUAAAUCCAUAUUCAUUUUUUACACUAUUUUUUUAUUAUAUUUGAUCAAUAAGGUUACUUUAACAUAAAUUAAUAUGACUCUUUUACCCUCAUCAUAAAGUUUCAAAAUAUCUAAAAAUUUACUUUAGCUUGAAUAAUUUUUUUAUACAAAUUUUUUCAUAUUUUAAUGAUAUAGUAGUGAUUUAUUUGUUAUUCAUUUAUUUUUUAAGACUAUUUUUUAUUAUAUUUAAACAAUAACGUUGCUUUAACAUAAAUUAAUAUGAUUAUUUUACCAUCAUAAGGUAAAAGUACCAAAAUAUCUAAAAUUUUGUUUCAAUCUUCUCAUCUUUAAUUUGAAUCAACUGUACAUUUUAAUUUAGAGUUUAAAACCAAUCCUUAAAGAAAUAAUUGACUUAUAAGAAAACUAUUAAAAAAGAGAGAAAGAGAACAAGAAACAAGAUACAUGUAUUUGGGAUUUUAGCAAAGAGAAAGUUAUUUAGAAUAACUGAAAUAACGGUAUUUUUGGAAUUAAAGAGUGUGUUAAUAGUCAUGAUGAAUUUUCUAAUAUUAUUUAAUAGGGUACACUUAAUAACGGGUUUUAAUAGGAUGUAAGAGGGGUGCCAAUAGCUCCACUCUAUAUUCUUUAUGAACCAUGGAAUAAAGUAAUGAAUUUACUUUGACGAAAUGAACCAAUCACGUUAUAUCAAAUGAAAAUUAAUAUUACAAUUAGUUAUUAAUUUUUUUUGUUUCAAUCACGAUGAGUGGGUUCCAACUGUGAGAGGAACCUUUAAGUCCGUACCACAACCCAUACUAAUCUCCGCUCGCACUGGGUCGGCCUAUAAGGGGUAAAGUACUGGCCAAAGUGGUGACUCCAUACGAGAACGGAACUUGAACCCCUGACCUCUCUUAAAAAAUAAGAGUGUCAAACCACUCACACCAACCAACUUUGGUCAGUUAUUAAUUUCAAUCUAAAAACCAAAAACCAAAACAAAUAAAUAAACGUCACUUUUCAACUCGUUACUUGCUCAAUCUUUCCUCCAAUUUUUCUCGGUAUGGAAGAAUCUUCUACAACUAAAAAAUUGCUUUUUCUUCUCGAGAAUGCACAAAAGUCUGGCAAAAAUUUUGAAAAUGGAUAUGGUAUUAAAAUUACUGUCAUUUGCGUCCACUAAAUUUCACAUCUAUUAGUAAAAAUAAGUAUGCCUCAAUAUCAAGAAAACUUCCAAUAUUAAAUGAAGCAAUAAUUUACUUAAGCACAUAUUGCAACAAAGUAAACCCAGAAUUAAUUUCCUUGAGCAUAUUAGCACGUUAGUUCAUAUAAUAAAGAAAUUCAUACAUUAUAUAAAUUAACUUUUAUAUAGUUGCAUGACACUUGUGUUAUGUUUACUUGUUGAAUUAGAAGUGGGGAAUAUGGUUCUUUCACUCUAUUCAUUUAAGGAGGAGAAUGAAAGUCUCAUUGGGUCCUACUCAUUAACAGUGAGAAAUUGAGAAUACACUCCCGUAUUUGUUUUUACUCUUCCCUUAUUAAAUAUAAUAUAAUUAUAUUUAAAAUAAUUUUACAUUUAUUUAAAAAUAAUAAUAUCACAUUCAUUGAAAUAAUAUUAUUAUAUUAUUUAAUAAUAUUAGAUUUAUUAAAAAUAACAAUAGUAAACUUAUUUAAGUAUAAUAUUAUUAUAUUUAGUUAAAAAUGACAAUUUACAUCAAUUCUAAGUUAAAAUUACUCAAAAAUAAUAUUACUAUAUUCAUAGAGAAUUAAUAAUAUUACUAUAUACUAUCUUUAUUUGAAAAUUAUAAAAUUAUUUUAUUUAUUUAAUUUUAAUAGUAUUAUUUGUAUUUAAUAUUAAUAAUUAAUGAUAAUAAAUAGUUUAUUGUAAGAAAAUAUUAUUUGGCCGUACAGCAGUUACGUAAUUGAGAAUAUUAAUAAUUAUUAUUAAUUUAUAUUGUUAAAAUUAAUAAUAAAAUAAGUAGUUUAUUUUACUUUUUUUUUUACUUUGUAAUUAAAAACUACAAUUUUUUAAAUAAGGGUAAAACUAUAAUUUGAAAUAAUUCACUCAUAAUCUAAUAUAAAGUAAAUAUACAUAUGGGAUUUUGAUUCCUAUCCCACACCCAUUACAAUGUAAGUAAACAACUUAUUCUCACUCCCAAUCCCAUGAUUCUCAUUCCCUGGGAUUCCAAUUCUAAUUCAAGUAGUAAAUGCUACCUUAAUACAUUUUGAGAUAGCUAGCAUUCAUAAGUCAACAUUAUAUAAAUUAACUUUAUACAAUUAUAAAUGCACAACACAAGAAAUUUAAAAAUUCAUAUCAACUUAAGAUUUCUUGUUUGAUGUUGUACCCUUAAAAAAACUUUAAAUAUUAAUAUCAACUUAGACCCUAUUUGGUAUGGUGGUUGAGUAGUUGUAACUUAAAAGUUAUGAUACUAAAGCGUUUAGAAAACACUAAUUAUUGAGGUUUAAUUUGCAAGUUAACUUGAUUUUUUCUCUAAUAAACUUCAAUCCAUUCCCCUGAUAAAGUGACAAUCUUUAGUUUAGCCCCUAAAAGUGCGAAACCCUCAUUUUACUCUUAUUUUCGUUCAAAAGAUGAGGACAAAUAGGGUGCGUUGAUAAAUAAUUAUUUUUUGUCUUCUUAAUAAUAAAUAAAGAUAAAUUGAUGUUUUCAAACUUUUGAAAUGUAAAUUAAAGAUUGUCAUUCUAAGUAGAUGUAAAUUAAAAUUUAUCCUUUUAUCCCACACUGGCAUGAUACCUAUAAUAUAUUUAUUACUUUUAUUAAAAUAAAUUUUUUAAAAAUCAUAUUUACUACAUACUAUCAACAACAUAUUCCAUUUCCAAUUUACAUAAUCUUCUUCAGUACUUAUCAAAGAAAAAAAAUCUUGAGUAAGCACAAACUUCCAACGUUACAUUCACUAAUAUUUUUGCUCACAAACUUCCAAGAACAUAAAAGCCCGCUACACAUACAUGCUUGGAUUAUUUAAGAAAUAAUAAAAUAAUCAAUUAAUGUCAAUGUUAUUAUAUAAAAUAAAAGCCUUUUGAAAAGAACAAGUAACAAGAAUUAUUGAAUUUGGAUAUAUCUUAAUAAGAUUUUUUGACUCGAAGGCGCUCAUUCAUAGUCAUAGUUUUUUAUAUAAAGAUCGGUAACAUAAAGCUAGCAUGUAUUUAAUAAUUCUUGUUACUUGUUCUAUAAGGAUUAACUAUUUCUUAAAUGAAUUUAAACUAAAGUGUUGAGUUGUGAUGAUCUUUUUAUAAUUUUUUUGUAUGUAUUUAUAGUAUUAUACGCCAUUAAUAUUUAGAUAUUAUUAGAAGAACUAUUAGCCAGCAACACAAGAUAAAAAGUAAAAUGAGAGAGCAAUAUAAUAUAAAGUGAUUUUACUCAUUCCAAAUGUAUACAAAACAAAAAGAUUAGCUCUUUUUUAUUGUUACAUAAUCACUCCAUGAAAUUAAUGGAAAUAUUAUAGAUCAUAAUUCUUUGUGAGAUAGUAGGAGUUAUAGAGAAGCCAAAUGUGGCUGGUGGGAGAUAGUAGGGAGACUAAGAGAUGUAUGUUAUAAACAUCCACAUUUAUUUUAAUAAAUUUAAAACACUCCCCCUUGAAUGUUCAUUACAAAAGAAUACGCUUCAUUAAAACCUUUACUAAAAAAAACCCUUAUGGGAAAAAAAUUAAUAAAGGAAAAUGAGUACAUUAUUCAUUGAUGUCUUGAAACAAAUAAUUUUGGAGAUAUAGAGAUAAAAACCUAGUGGGGAAAAAGGAGUACAACAUAUAAAAUCCCUCCAAAAUAAAUUAUUUUCCCCAAUAAGUAGACUCCAUGAUGCAACGGAAGUUUCAUGUUCAAAAUAUUAUGUUGAUUCUAGAGAAUACUAGAAUAAAGAACAAACUAAUUUCACAUUGAUUCAAAAUAAUACCACAAAUUUAGGGGACUAAGACUCGUUAAUUCCGAGAAUACUGGGAAUUAAUUAAACUAAAAAACUCACAUAGAGAUUUGCAAAAACUGAAAUAUUAUUGAACUUUAUUUUCCUUUCUAGUUUAGAACUUUAUUUUCCUUUUCUUUAUGGUUAGGAUAUUUAUACUAGUAGUAAAUAUCCUAACCAUAAAGAAAAGGAAAAUAAAGUUCUAAACUAGAAAGGAAAAUAAAAGUCUUAAACCUUUGUUAAUAAGGAAACAUAUUCUAAUAUAAUAUGGAUUCCUAAUUUGCAUCAUUCCCCCAGAAUGGAGAGAAUUCACCUUCAAAUUUGAAUUGUCAACAACAACAUCUUCAUCAUGAUCACCUUUGCAAGGAAUAAGAUGCUUGACAUUGAAUACAUAUGUAGCGCGGUUGUGACUAGGAAGCUUUAAUUGGUAGGCAUUAGGAUUUAUCUUCUUUAUAAUCUCCAAAAGUCCAAUUUUCCUGACAGAAAGCUUGUUGUUGUCACCAACUGAGAAUCUAUCUUUGGUUAGGACAGCCAAACAAGAUCUCCCACCUGAAAUUCUAAAGCUCAAAACCUUUUGUCUGCCUUAAUUUUAUAACCUCCGGUAGUCUUCUUCAAAGACUCUUGCGUAACUUCAUGAAUCUUCUGAAGCUGCUUAAUAAAGUCUUUUGUCUUGCUGCUUUUGCAAACUAAAUCUAGAACUAGAGUUAAGUCAAUGGGAGCUCGUGGAUUAUAUCCAUAAUUCACUUAAAAAAAGACUUAAACCAGUACUACGCUUAACUGCUGGGUUAUAAGCAAACUCGACUUGAUAUAACUUUUGAUCCCAUAUCUUCGGGUUAUCACCAACUAGACUAUGUAGAUGGUUUCCUAAAGAGCAAUUGACAACUUCAGUUUAACCAUCUAUUUGUGGGUGGUAAGUACUUUCAAAAUUUAGGCGAGUGUUAGUCAACUACCAUAAUGUUUUCCAAAAAUGGCUAAGAAAUCACAUAUCUCAAUCAAAUACUAUAGAACUCAGUAAACCAUGCAAUCUAUAGACUUAUUUACAGAAUAGACAAGCAACAGUCAAGGCAUCUGUAAUCUUCUUAUAGGCAAUAAAGUGAGCCAUUUUCAAGAAUUGAUCCACCACAACAAAUAUUGAAUCCAUACCCCUCUGAGUACGGGGUAAUUCCAAAAAUAAAUCCAUGCUAAUGUCGGUCCAAAAUUGUGUUGGAAUUGGCAGUGGCAUAUAUAACAAACACACACCCGCCCAUAUACACAAUCACACUAAUCACCUAGCACAUCAUAUAUAUAUUUAUGUCCUUGUAUAUAAUUCAAAUUUCAACAAAAGUAUCAAAAGUUAAAUUCAUAUUCCAUCCUAUAUACAUGAACCAUCAAUUAAAUAAUUUUAUUUCCUAGGGUUGGUGGGAGAGGGAAAUGAUCAUGUGACCUCUUGUUUUCACUCUAAGGGGACAAACCAAUUCGACUUAUUCCGUCAGAGAUACAAAAAGUUACUUCUUGCUAAUUAAUAUUGUGGUGACAUUAAAAUAAAAUAGUAACUAGCAUAUUUAUGGACAAAUCUCAAAUAUUUGUGUUAUUUUCAUAAAAUAUUUAAGUGUUGUGCAAAUUUUAAUAAAUAAGAUAUAGAUGCACAGCUUUCGGGUUCAUGGAAUUUGCCAAUGGACUUUAUUUUAUUUUAUUCAUUAGUUCCCCUUCUUUCUAUAUAUUAAAUACAUGUUCUUAUAUAAGAAGUAACAAGAAUUAUUAGAAUUUGAUAUAUCUCAAUCUGAUCUAUUGACCCGGAGAGCGACAAUUUUUUUAAUAUUGUCUAUUAUUGAAAUCACCUCCAUUUGUUGACUUUGUAUAUUUUCUAAGGGAUUCGCUUUGAUUUUCUUUAUUAUUUUGGAGAUCCGAUCUUUUCAGAAGCAAUUAUGCAAGACACUUAUAAUAAAUAUGAUGAAUUUGGCUGCACUACACUAUAUGCCACUCAACACUCACUUUGGUGAAUAAUUUCUCAAAGCCAGCAAAAGAUGGCAGUGCCUCUCAAAAACAUUUUCCGAAUAACUGCUUCCAAAUUAAUCACCAAUAAUGUCCAGAUCUUCUCAAAAAGAAGUAUCAAAAGUGCCACUUCUGAUGUUCAGAUCAUUUCCACCGAAAGAGUCCAACCUUCACUUCCAACGCGAAAACAUCUUAGAACCUAUAAACUUUCAUUGAUUGAUCAAAUGAAUUAUGAUCUUUAUAUUCCCCUAGUUUUCUUCUACUCAGCCAGUUGCAAGCACCAAGAUUUCAGAAAAAAAUCUGAUUUAUUGAAGCAAUCUCUCGCAACAACAUUAACCCACUACUACCCCUUUGCUGGAAGAUUCAUUGAUGGUUUUUCGGUCGACUGUAAUGAUCAUGGGGCUGCAUUUAUUGAAGCAAAUGUUGGCAGUGAUAUAUCAAAGUUUCUUCAACCACCAGAUAUGGAGCUGCUACAACAAUUAAUCCCACCUAGUCCCCAAUUAUCGAAUUUAGAGAUUUCUGAAAGAGAACUUUUGGCUGUCCAAGUAAAUCUGUUCAACAGCGGUGAAAUGGCAAUUGGUGUUUGUUUUUCUCAUGGAGUGGCCGACGGUUC